CCAUUUCAUAGCUAACUCUUUGUUAUAUUUAACUUCCUCUUCUUUGCUUCUUGCUCAUAACGAUAACUUGAAAGCCUUACGUUCAGAUAGAUAAUCAUUGACAAGUCCAUCCUAUAUCAUUCUAUUUAAUUUAGAAAUGCAGAAAGAAAAACGCAAGCAAUCCAAAGAUGAAGAAAAUGAUUCAUCCUCGCGAAAGAGAAGAAAAGCUGACCUCAGUAAGCCUAUAUAAAGAAUACAAUUAACCUCAUUUCAAUAUCAUAGCUUUGGAAUUUCAUAGCUAACUCUUCGUUAUAUUGCUCCAUUGGUAAUUGAUUGUGCCUUGAUUUCUGCAGCUGCCAUGACAGAGCCAGAGUCUUCUCGAUCUAGACCAGAAGGGGCCUAUGAUGUCUUCUUGAGUUUUAGAGGAGAAGACACUCGCAAGACAUUUACAGAUCAUCUAUAUACUGCCUUGGUCCAAGCAGGAAUCCACACUUUUCGAGAUGAUGAUGAACUUCCGAGAGGAGAAGAAAUCUCCGAUCAUCUCCUCAGGGCAAUUCAGGAAUCAAAGAUAUCCAUAGUUGUUUUCUCAAAAGGAUAUGCUUCUUCUAGAUGGUGUCUCAAUGAACUUGUAGAGAUUCUUAAGUGCAAAAAUAGGAAAACCGGUCAGAUUGUUCUUCCUAUAUUCUAUGACAUUGAUCCUUCAUAUGUGAGAAAACAGGAUGGCAGUUUUGCAGAAGCAUUUGUUAAACAUGAAGAGCGUUUUGAAGAGAAGUUGGUGAAGGAGUGGAGAAAAGCUCUUGAGGAGGCUGGAAAUCUAUCUGGAUGGAAUCUCAAUGAUAUGGCAAAUGGGUAUGCCUUUUUUCUCUAAGAUUCACUUGCACACAUUUAUGGAGUCAAUAUACUUUACAUUUUUCAAUGUGAAACAAUAAAAUACUUAAUUGACUCGCUAUCAAUGACUUGCUUUUGUCUAUGAGCAGGCAUGAAGCAAAAUUUAUCGAAGGGAUUAUCAAAGAUGUGUUGAAUAAAUUAGAUCCCAAGUACUUGUAUGUUCCUGAGCACCUAGUAGGUAUGGAUCGGGUUGCUCACAAUAUUUAUGACUUUCUAAGUACUGCAACAGAUGAUGUACGCAUUGGGGGCAUGCAUGGGAUGCCAGGAAUAGGAAAGACGACUAUAGCAAAAGUUGUAUUUAAUAAACUCUGCUAUGGAUUCGAGGGAAGCUGUUUUCUUUCGGAUAUCAAUGAAAGGUCAAAACAAGUUAAUGGUCUUGUUCCUUUACAAAAGCAACUUCUUCACGAUAUUUUAAAACAGGAUGUUGCAAACUUCGAUUGUGCUGAUAGAGGAAAGGUUCUGAUCAAAGAGCGACUUCGUCGCAAAAGAGUUCUUGUUGUUGCUGAUGACGUGGCUCAUCUGGACCAGCUGAAUGCAUUGAUGGGAGAUCGAAGUUGGUUUGGUCCCGGAAGUAGAGUAAUUAUUACAACAAGAUAUUCAAGUUUACUUCGUGAAGCAGAUCAAACAUAUCAGAUCAAAGAAUUGGAACCAGAUGAGUCCCUUCAGCUUUUCAGCAGGCAUGCCUUUAAGGACUCCAAGCCAGCAAAAGAUUAUAUUAAGCUUUCGAAGGAUGCAGUUGAUUACUGUGGAGGACUUCCUUUAGCUCUUGAGGUUAUAGGAGCUCUUCUGUACAGGAAAAACAGAGGUGAAUGGGAAAGUGAAAUUGACAACUUGAGCAGAAUUCCAAACCAAGAUAUUCAAGGAAAACUUCUAAUAAGUUAUCACGCACUUGAUGGUGAACUACAAAGAGCAUUCCUUGAUAUUGCAUGCUUCUUUAUUGGUAUAGAGAAAGAAUACGUCGCAAAAGUGCUAGGAGCCCGUUGCCGUCUCAAUCCAGAAGUUGUUUUGAAAACUCUCCGUGAAAGGUCUCUGAUUCAAUUUCAUUGGUGUAACAUUAAAGAUGAAAGGCAGUUAUUUGGAGAGAUGGUAGCCAUGCAUGAUCUAUUACGAGACAUGGGAAGGGAGGUCGUUUGUAAUGCGUCUCCCUUGCAUCUUGGAAAAAGGACCAGAAUUUGGAAUAAAGACGAUGCAUGGAAUGUACUUGACCACCAGAAGGUAAGAGCUCAAUGCAUACACGAAAGCAUAGUCAUGCGUAUUUUCUAGUCACACUUAUUACAAAUAAUUGUAUGAAAGUUGUAUUGUUUUUCUUUUAGGGUACGGAUGUUGUAGAGGGUCUUGCACUGGAUGUCAGAGCAUCAGAAGCUAAAUCACUUGGCGGAGGAUCAUUUGCAGAAAUGAAAUUCUUAAAUUUACUCCAAAUCAAUGGAGUACAUCUCACCGGAUCCUUCAAACUGCUUUCUAAAGAGUUGAUGUGGAUUUGUUGGCAUGAAUGUCCUUUGAAAUAUUUUCCAUCUAAUUUUACUUUAGACAAUCUAGUUGUUCUUGAUAUGCAGCACAGUAACCUCAAAGAAUUAUGGAAGGAAAAAAAGGUACGAAACAUGCUACAAUCCCCAAAAUUUCUCCAAUAUGUAAUUUAUAUUUACAUGUAAUGACUUUCUAUGAUUAAUUUUCAUUAUUUUGCUCUCUAUCAUGAUAGAUGCUCGACAAACUAAAAAUCCUUGAUCUCAGUCAUUCUCAGCACCUUAUUAAAACACCAAACUUGCACAGUUCAAGUCUAGAGAAACUAAUUCUGGAAGGUUGCUCGAGUUUAGUUGAGGUGCAUCAAUCAAUUGAAAAUUUGACGAGCCUCGUUUUCUUGAAUCUGGAGGGAUGUUGGAGGCUGAAGAUUCUCCCUGAAAGCUUUGCCAAUGUAAAGUCUCUUAAAUGUUUGAAUAUUUCUGGGUGUUUACAACUUGAGAAAUUACCAGAACGCAUGGGUGAUAUGGAAUCCUUAACCAAGCUUCUAGCUUAUGGGAUUGAAAAUGAGCAAUUUCUCUCUUCAAUUGGACAAUUAAAGUAUGUUGGAACUUUAUCAUUGCGUGGAUGCAGUUCGGCUCCACCAAGUUCUUCUUUGAUUUCAACAGGUGUUUUGAAUUGGAAACGUUGGCUGCCAGCAUCUUUCAUUGAAUGGAUAUCAGUAAAACAUCUUAAGCUUUCUAAUUGUGGUUUGUCUGAUCGCGCAACUAACUGUGUUGAUUUCAGUGGUUUGUCUGCUCUAGAGUAUUUGAAUCUAGAUGGAAACAAAUUCUCUAGUCUUCCUACUGGGCUCGGCUUCCUUCCCUAUCUAUUAACGUUGAUUGUCGAUGCAUGCAAAUAUCUUGUAUCAAUCCCAGAUCUUCCCUCACGUUUAUGCAUUUUGCAUGCAAAUCAUUGCAAAUCAUUGAAAAGAGUAAGAAUACCAAUCGAGCGAGAAGAAGAACUAUGUAUACAACUAGGGGGAAGUCAUUCGUUAGAAGAGAUACAGGGCAUCGAAAGUCUAAGUAAUAGUUUCUGGUAUGUUUGUGUUGGUGAGCACAGUCAUUCACCAAAUAAAUUUCAGAAGAGCGUUGUUGAGGUACUAUUUCUUUCAAUCUCUUUUGCACAAGAAGAAACACACAAUUGGCACAUAUAUUGAUUAAUAUCUAAAAUCUCAGCAUUACUUGAAAUCAAUAUGUAUACAGGCAAUAAUCAUUAUUAUUAUUAUUUUAUUUUAAAAAAAUAAAUAUCAUCUUUAAUAACAUUUUUUAUUUUUCUUAUUUAAUCUAAAAAAAUAAAUAUCAUCUUUAAUAAUAUUUUUUAUUAAAUUUAAAGUCUGAUUGGUUUUAUUUUUUAUUUCUUGAUUUUAUGAUAAUAUAUUUAUACAGGCAAUGUGCAACGGUCGUGACCCGUAUUGUAUUGCCAACAUUCCUGGUAAGAUGCCAAAUUGGAUGAGCUACAGGGGAGAAGGAUGCUCAUUGUCAUUCCAUAUACCUCCAGUCUUCCAAGGCUUAGUUCUUUGGUUUCAUAAGGAUUCUCAUUGUCACUUCCACAUUGACAUUAUUAUUAUUAUAAGAAAUAAAAGCAACGGUAUUCAAUUGUUUGAAGAAAAACAAUUACCAAUAGACACGGUACGUGGAAGGGUGGGAUGGACAAGAUACAUAAGUAGAAGUGAAAUGGCAAUGGAAGAUUACUGUGGAGAUGACGAAUUGGAACUAUACGUAUAUUCAAAGCCAUCAAUACUUGCGGUGUACAGAGGUUGGCAAUUAAAACCCGGACACAUUAAAGAAUAUGGGGUCCAUGUGAUCGCAGGGAAGUCAGAUUCAUUUGAAGAGUCGGCAGUGGGAAGAGAUGCAGUGAUGCCUUCACCACCGCUGUAUCAUCUGCUUCCUCAUCCCCAUUGUGGUUCGAUUACAGCGUCUACACCUAAGCAAUGGAGUGACUAUUUAUCUGCGAAGCUAGAAGGACAUAGCCUCGAUUUAAGACUUGAUGGUGAGAACAAAUAUUUCAUUUAGUUAUUUUUAUUCUAUUAUAUUUAAUUUAUGAGAUUAAAUAUUAUCUUUAAUGAUUUUAUUAUUAUUAUUUAAUCUAAAAAAUUAAAUAUCAUCUUUAAUAAAAAAAUAUUAAAUAUUUAAGGCUUUUUGGUAAGAAUACAUAUUUCCUUUAGUUAUUUCUAUUUUAUUCUAUUUAAUUUAAGAGAUUAAAUAUCAUCUUUAAUUCUUACAUUUUUCUUAUUUAAUCUAAAAAAUUAAAUAUUAUCUUUAACAAUAUUUUUUAUUAAAUAUUUAGAGUUUGCUUGGUUUUAUUUCUUUUCUUGAUUUUAUAAUAAUAUUUUUCUUAUUUAAUAUAAAAAAUAAAUAUUAUCUUUAACAAUUAGAUCUAUCGAAUAUCACUUAAAAAUAAAUUAUAACUUUAAUAAUUAUUUUUUGAAAAACAAAAGGCCAACAAUCACUAACAUAUUUUAUUAAAAUCACUUUAGUUUAUAUAGAAAAUAUUGAAAACUGAUUUUUGUUUUUUUACAUUAAAAUAAAAAAUUGAAUAAUGUUUUUAUAUUUUAUUUCAAACUCGAUAUUUUAAAACAAAAAUGAAAAAGAUGUGAUAUUAACAUUUUUUAUUAUAAAGUAAGUUUUUUAAUUAAAAGUGAUGGGAAUUUGUUUUUAUUGCAUGUACAAUCAUGCACAUUUAACUUUCUUUUUAAAUUUGAUGGUUUUUUAGGACGGAAAUGGCUUGAAGGUGGUGAAGGCUUUGAUUGACAUGAGAGUACAAGAUUAGUUUACAUAGAGAUGCUUGAAGUUGCUCCAAAUCAGUACGAUACUUUCAUCUGACAUGUUGAUAUGUAUUUGUUGGCUUGAAGAUUAUUUUCCAAGCUUGGAAGUUUUAUUGAAUUCUCUUUGAAAUCUUUUCCAUCCGCUGGACAACUUAUAUUAUUAUGCAUGAUGUAAUUUAUAUUUUCAAGUUACAAAUUUUGAUGAAUAUUGUUUCAUUUUUUUCCUCAUUUCAAAAGAUGAAAAUCCUUGAUCUUAGUUAGAAAUAAAUUGGUUUUCUAGGAAGAGAUUAUUGAUUGGAAUAUAGUAUUUGAAUUGGUUCUUCAUCAUUUACUGUUAUAUAUAAUUUAAAAUAAUUGAUGAAAAUACAUAGAAAAGUUUUGAGAGCAUCCUUAAUUAGUCUAGUAAGUAAAGUGUUGUUAGUUUUGACUAUAAGAUCUUGCUAUGUAUUAUUGCAUGGUUUUUACUAUUUUUUUGCAUUUCUUCUUUUUGUAUAUACAACUUUUGUUUUUCUUGCCGCUUGUCAUUAGCUUUAUGGCACCAACACCAAUUAAUAAUAAAUCUUGAACUAUUAUUAAAUAAAGAAAAAAUAUAAAUAUCGUUAAAAUACCAAACUUGAAUUGCUCAAUCCUAAAGAAACCCUAUGACAAUAAUCUAAUUUAGAAAAUAAUUAAUUUAUCCUUGUAGUCUAAGAAAAUAGUAUUUAAUUCUUAUGUUUUCAUAUACAUCUAUGAUUUAAUAUGUUGAUUGAAAUUGGCAAGUGAGUUUACUCACGUAUUGUUAUAUUGGUUUUGAGUUCAAAUAAAUGUUUAAAAAGGGAGUUUUUUCAUGAAUGUAACCCUUCAAUAUAUGAAUGUUUAAAAUUGUAUUCAAUAUGAAUGAUGGAUGAUUUUGCUAAGAAUUGGUUGGUAAAAAACUUAAUUUCGAUAUAUAAAAACUUAAGAGACAACAAUAAAUAGAGAGACUAGUAAAGAUUUUAUGUGCUUUCUUGUUUUUUUUUUUUAAUUGGAUUACCUUUGUCUUUUGUUUCAAGUAAAAUUCUAGUAUAUAUCACUAAAUUAAGAAUUAAAGGUCUAAUUAUAUGAAACACAAUUUUAAAGACUACAUCAACUACAUUUCAUAUGCUCAACUCUAAGCAAAUUGAAAUUUCAAGGCCAUUUGUAUCUUGAAAACACAAUCUCAAUAAUCUUAAUAUUGAAUUAUUAUUUGUUGAGUUGGAAAAUAGCACUAAGGAACACAAAAGCCGUACUGUUUAUCUUCUUGGCAUUGUUCAAAGGAACGCAAAAAGAUACUCCAAUUGUGAAAGAUUAUUAUUGUCAUAAAGUAAAACUUUCAAUAUAGAGAGUGAAAUAAAGAGCAAGAGCAAAAAAAUAAUUCGUGUGUGUAUUAGCUAAAUGAAAUGAAGAUUAGAGUAAAAAGGAUAAAAAAAAAAAAAAAAAAUAGAGAGAGAGACUCGUUAAGAUUUUAUGUUGGUGCUCAACAUGUUCUUUCUUAUUUUUUUUUUUUUUUUAAUUUUAUCUUAACGAGUGAAAUAAAGAAACACUCCCCCCAUCUUUCUUGUUCCCUUUCCCUUCUUUACAUGGCUUACUCAGUGAAAAAGCAAUUAAACACCCCAUUUGAUUUUCAAUCAGUAUGAGAGUGAGAGAGAGAGAGGCCAAGGUGGUCCUUGAAUAUUUUCUUCUUUUUUGUCUCGCUCACUGGGGCAAACCAUUUUUUCCAAAAUUUUGAAUAGCAUGCGAUCAAAAAGAAUUUUGAAUAGCAUGCCAUCAAAAGGAAUUUUGUUCAAUCCCAAUCCCACAUUGUCUGUAGAAGUAUUUACUUUUGACUGUACACUUUGUUAUUUUCCAAUCCCUCCCCAGUUCUGCAACCAUUUCUCUACUUUCUAUGCUCUUGGCUUGCUAAAAACUAAAGAAAACACAUUGCUCUACUUGCCUGCCUUCACUCUUCAGAUUGCUCAACAAAUCCCUUGAGACCUUCUCCAUAGUUAACACAUCACAUAAUGGCUACUCUAAAAAAUUUAGCCAUAAACAUUGAACACCUUGAGCAAUCAACGUGCCUUCCUUCACAAUAUCCAUCACCCAUAAAUCUUUCUUUUGGGAUGUCGCCGGGAGUUUAAUUUCCGUGUAAAAAUUAUGUAUAAAUUUCCAUUCUUUCCUUCCAUCCAUUACUUGUCCUCUAUGAAGAUUCUAUGUAUGAAAUCUCGGAAUCUUUUCGAGUAUAACUUGGGAUCAACAGCUGAGAUAGACGUGGGAUCCACUUCUAAGGACUUGUAUGCAUGCUCUAGCUUUUUGCUGAUAUCAUAAUCCUAGAGAUACCAAAGUGAAGAACUACAUCUCACAAUCACCAAAAUUCAAAGUAAAGUAACGGAGAAGAAAAUCUGAUAACAAUGAAUGAUCACUCAUUAACCACAGCGAAUCUUACGCUUUGAAAACACUUUUCACCAUCAAUUUUCCUUUUCUCAUUGAUUUUAAAUCUUCCAGGCAGAUAAAAUAGCAUUGGUUUUAUUCAUCAGCUUAGGCAUCAACAACAUGUUGCAUCCACAAUCUUACUACUACAUUAUAAUUAUAAACAAAGCUAAAAAAAUAUAUAUAUGAGGACAGAGUUAACAGACAUGCACUAAGAGUUAACAGACAUGCACUAACACACACUGUGCAAAUCAGUGUACAGCUGUUAUAACAAACAAGUGUACAAUCUGUUUUCUCCAACCUUCCAGCAUUAUUCUCCCGAGCAUAUUCUGUCAGCUCAAGAUUAGGCAAUUCUGUUAACCAUUCUGUUAGCUCUGUUCUCUUUUGUUGUAUAUAUACUUGAUUGAUUGAUUGAUUCAAUAACAUUAUCUUUCUCUCUUCUCACCUGCCCCCUUUUUCUUCUCCUUUUACCUCUAGCUUCCAAUGCCUAUCAACACCACCAUCCUUAACACAAAUGAAUCUCACAGCAUGUUGAUUACCAUCAAUGUAGCAGCCCAAACUCCAUUAAAACUUAUCUCCACCAGGCACCAACUAUCUAGCCUGGAAACUUUGUUGGGGAUUCCGGCUCCCCCAUGCGCGGACCGGGGGUGUACUGAUAGUUGCUCAACGGAGGGUAAAGCACACUGAUACAAUAUUUUACGUGGUUCGGCAAAACCGCCUACAUCCACGGGAGAGUCCAUAUUAUUAGAGAUAUAUAGAGAAAGGAUUACAACAUACAUGGAGGAGGAGGAUCACUUCACUCAAACUCAAUUCCCAGCUCUUUUGCUACACUUACAGCUGCUGCAAUGGCAGCAGCCAUUGCAGCUCUCUCUUUCUCUCCACUCUCUUGCACACACUCACGUUCUCUCUCUCUCAUUUUUCUCUCAAAUAUAAGCCUCCUUUAUAGGCAUUUCAUGGUCAACAUGGAGGGGCCAAUAGCCUUAAAGCAUGGCAUGAAUUGUGGCACAAUUCAUGCUUCCACUUGCUUAGUGGUGGGGUAUUGCCACAAAUGGCAAUAUCCUAACAAUCACCCCCUUUGCCAUUUGUGUGGGCAAUUGUCCUCUUGCUUCUUCAGCACAGGCUUGCAUCUUGCAGCUCUUCCAAGCUUACCAUUCUGAGAGCGUCUUCAACACAACAUUCCCUUUCGAGUGUAUCAAUCAUGCUCGGUCCGGAAUGAUUUUUCAAGCCUUACACCAAGGCUUACAACACCCCCUCAAAUAGAUAUUUCUAAGUGCGACAGUCAUUUAGUAUUUCAAUGUGAUCACAAGCUCACCACUCUUCCAAGAGUCUACUCAUCCAAGAGUUGUGCCUGCCCUCUGUUCCACCCUAGGAACCACGUCUUACUUCUCCGUGAGUCUCUCGCUCUUAGUCGUAAGAGUCCAGGUAGCUCUCCACCUUUAACCAUAGGGGCAGCCCAUUAAAGGUUGAUUCAUAUCUGUCUUCAUACUCUGAGUAUUACAAUGCCAUUACCGAGCUCACCACCUUAACAAGAGUCAACUCGUUCUCGGAACCUGCGCAUGCCCUUCUGCUUCUUCAUAGCAGCCGCGUCUUAAUGCUCCACAAGUCACACACUUAUUGUCCAAGGCAAAUGUCUUCUAGCUCAUUGAUCUUUAGCAUGGGGGCAAUAUCCAUGAAAGUCAAUCCUGCAUUUGUCUCCAUACUCAUCAUAGCCACUUCAUUGGCUAUCUAUACACUUGUCCACUUGUAUCUAGCCAUCACAUCGGCUUUGGAGCGUUCUGAACUGGGCUCAUAUCAUGGCCCUCACACCUUCUCCUCAGGUGUCUCCGCUCGUCAUCAUGCGACGGUCUGAACUGGGGCUCCUCUCAUAGCCCUCACACCUUCUCUACGGUGUCUUCGCCCGUUGUCAUGGGGCGGUCGCAUCCUUCUUCAGCUGGGAUGCUUCAAAGUGGCUCCAAAAUUCUCUACCACCAUGUGCACUAUGGGAGAGAUUAUAACCACUGAUUACAUAGAAAGAGAAACUUGCGGUAUACUCCUCGCAAUCCUCCACCUCGAUUUCUAUGUUUGGAGCUUUUGUGUCUUUCUACUUGAUAGCUCCACCUACACCAACUCUCUUUGGUGUCUUCGCCUUUCAUCAUAGGCGGUCGCCUUUUAUCACAGGCGUUUGCACCCCCUCAAUUAGGUGCUUCUACAACAGCUCUCUUUCCAUCCUUGCAUGCAUUGGAAAGGUCUUCGCCUGUUGUCUUCAUCAAGAGCAUAAGAGACUUCCUGUUGUACAAACUUUAACAGUCUCUGCUCUGAGCUUCAUCUGGGAACACUUCUUCUCCUUGCACCUAUUGUCUCAUUACAGUACCUCGUUGGAUCCUACGGGUACUCCUGCACAAUCUCCGUGUGCCCUCGUGCAAUUUCUGUUCUCCAGAUUUCUCCCUAUUUCUUGCUUAUGUUUGACAGCAGCUCAUCCUGUCACAACACCUGUCCAAGUCAAAAAUAUGGUGCCAAUCUUUAUCCCCUUGCUGUAUUCCUCUUCCAUUAUCAGGGUCUUCAUCAGUUCUCCCCUCGAGAAAUCACAGUCACCGAAUCUAACUUCUUUGGAGAAAUCACCACUCCAUCAGAUCCUUGAACCUUUGGAACCCAACUAUUCCCUUGUGCCGUCAUCCUGCUAGCCUUCAACUGUUUCAUUACAAACUGCUAUAUAUACAAAAAUAGUACCGUAUGGAUAAUCCUUCCACUAAGCAAGUUCCCAGGAAAGAUUGGAGGGGUCACACUGGUCCCGCUUAAAACCCAAUCUCCUAGACAGAACUUCUUAGGACAUAUCUAUCCAUCGUACUGUCUUUUUGUAUAUACAACCAUUUGCUAGCUUUGUUGCGGCUUUCCUUUACAAGUGAUCUGGGGUAUCCCGAUUUUAUACCUGAUUUCUCAACAUCUGGCGAGACUACCAGUUCUUAGAUUCGUCAAGAUUGGUCUUUAUCAAUUUUCACUCUACACCUCUAAUUGUCCACUUGAUCGGGUGUCUAGAGUGUCCCAAUUUUGCCUUCCCUCAAGGCAGUUAAAUUUCUCCCAACUUAGCAGCUCAGCACAUGUAAUUGGGUAAACAUGUGCACCUUCUUCUUCUUCUCUUCAACGACCACCAUGAUAACCUUCAGAUGCCUCCUGAUCGGGCAAUCUCUUUUGUUAAUUCAUCACUACCACUUUCGGUCUCAAAUCUCAACGAUCGGACCAUACCAUUGCAUCCGAAACGAUCAAAUUAGCUGGAAACAAGUCUGAAAUCGUCCAAAUCGCACUUCAGACGGCUAAGAUUUGAUCAAAACAAUUCUGGCCUGAUCAAUGGCUCAGAUUCAAUCUCAGAUCCGGUUGCACGUAGGAUCAGCUACACUGGAUCCUGUCCCUCGGCUCGCGGCUCGGCUCCAAUUAGGCUCGGCUCGGCUUGGCUCGGCUCGUGGCUAAUGACGUGGUUGGUGGGUCCCACUUUGCUGACGUGUCAGUGACUGUACGCUGACAUGGCAUGCCAACUGUGCAUGCUGACAUCACACUUACAUCAGGCUGAUGUCAUCCCUGGCAUGCCUACUAUGCAUGUUGACAUCACAAUUAUGUCAUACUGACGUCAUUCAUAUCCGGGUCAGCCAUGUGGGUCGGGUCAACUGGUAUUUGGGUCGGGUCAGCCCAUCCGGGCGAAGAAGACGCGUGGGGUGCGUCUGCGCGCGUGGGCAGACGCCUUGCCGGAGAGUGAUGGAGAGUACGGCCAUGUCCGACGUCCGAUUUUGACGCCGUUUUCACCAGUGGCUUCGUCUCGGCCUCCUCUACACGGUGGUAUAGUCAAAACACCAUUUUGAGAACUUUCAUUUUUGAGCAAAAAUCAAACACCCCUUUAAACCAUGUGCUCUGAUACCAGUUGUUGGGGAUUCCGGCUCCCCCAUGCGCGGACCGGGGGUGUACUGAUAGUUGCUCAACGGAGGGUAAAGCACACUGAUACAAUAUUUUACGUGGUUCGGCAAAACCGCCUACAUCCACGGGAGAGUCCAUAUUAUUAGAGAUAUAUAGAGAAAGGAUUACAACAUACAUGGAGGAGGAGGAUCACUUCACUCAAACUCAAUUCCCAGCUCUUUUGCUACACUUACAGCUGCUGCAAUGGCAGCAGCCAUUGCAGCUCUCUCUUUCUCUCCACUCUCUUGCACACACUCACGUUCUCUCUCUCUCAUUUUUCUCUCAAAUAUAAGCCUCCUUUAUAGGCAUUUCAUGGUCAACAUGGAGGGGCCAAUAGCCUUAAAGCAUGGCAUGAAUUGUGGCACAAUUCAUGCUUCCACUUGCUUAGUGGUGGGGUAUUGCCACAAAUGACAAUAUCCUAACAAACUUCAAUUCCAGACUCUAUUCAUAGGACAUUUGAUUGAGGUCUCCACAAACAUUGAAACACCGCAAUUUUUCAUGAUAAAAUCCAAAGGAUUGGUACUUUGGUGUUUGAGGGGCUGGUAAAUGAAAGAACAGAUCAAGAGAUGACAUCCCUCUAUACCGCUGUUAUUCCUUUCAAGGUGCGUAUCAGGUGUUUGAAAAACUUCCUCAACUUAAAAAUAAAAAGGUCCUGUUUACAAUGUUUUUUAGUCCUUUACAAAUCUUCCAAUGUGUUGCGUUUACUGAAUAUGAUAGUGGGAACUUAUUUAUCAAGAAUUAACUACUCAGAAGAAAAUGUAAAGACGCAAUAAUGAUUUUUUUAUUUUAGAUUCCAUAGUCUACAAACUUGGAAGCAUACGGACCAGUCAGAAGACAACAUGUUUAUUGUAUAUGAUAAACAAUAAUAAACAUCUCAUUCUUAAAAUGAUGGUAAAUCAGAAACAACCAUCCAAUACUUGAAGAUCUGUUGAAGAUAUUUGGCCUUUGGAAAUUUUGAAGAGAACUGGAGCAGUUGCAUAUGGAUUAGCUCUUCCAUCCAAUCUUUUCAUCUAACCAUCCAGUUUUCUAUGUAUCCAUGCUUUAAAAGUAUCUUCGUGCUCCAUCACAUGUAUUGGAGCCAUAAACAGUAGCAUUUCAAGGAGAUAUGUCAUGUGAAAUCCGUUCUAAUGAGAUUGCUUCAGUGAAAGUAAUGUGAGAAGGUCAUCCAAGUGAUGAAGCAACACGAGAACCUGAGAAGAUGAUACGUAAUAAAUAUCGUUAUUUCUUCAUUCAAUCAAGCUAACAAGUUUUCUACUUAAAUUCGAGGAUGAAUUUAUUUUAACAGGGGAGGUGGAAAUGUAAACCCACCCCAUAAUAUAUAACUCAUUAUUGUUUUAUAUGUUGGCCCGUUAAUUCAAGUCAUUUUCUUCUAUCUCUCUUAUAGGAAUGUUCCUCCUUCUCCCUUUUACUGCAAAUAUUCCCCCACGAUCCCAAACCAUCAAUUGACCCUAUAACUCUCUUGUUUUGAGUAGGUUUACUUCAACUUUAUCAAGUGUUUAUAAUAUUGUUUUAUGUUUAUUUAUUUAUAUAAAAUUGUUGAAUUCUAGGCGUUAUAUGAUAUUAGUUGAUGUUAUAUGGAAUUAUUUAAAUUAAUUUGUGUGUGGGUAGUAAUAAGUGUAUAUGAAUAUGAAUUGGAGUAAGGUCAUAGAUGGGUUGGUGUGAAGCUUUGAUUAAUUGAUAUAUUUUGAUGUAAUGAGUAAAUACCUUAAGAAAUUUGAAUAUUUGAAAGAUAAUAGGUAAAUAUUGAAGAAUUGUAUAGAAAGAAUCAUAUUGAAAUUAUGAAAAAUAUGUUUUGGGGUUGAUGAUGGAAGAAUUACAGUUUGGUCCUUGCUUUUGAGAAAUUAAGAUUUUGUCCCUAAAUUCUAAAACAAUUAUAGUUUAGUCACUGGUUGUAAAUAACAAUUUUUAAGAUAUUUUCCUGAUAAAUAUCUGAGAAAUAAUGAUCAUCUAUUAUCAAUUUUUAUUGUUAUCAUUUAAAUUUAAAAUUAAUUGUAUUAUCUACGAGCACAAGUGGUACAGUUAUCAAUCGAAUUUUAGCAAAAUCAAGGAUCCAAGAAUUGGCCUCUGUAACAUAUUAGGAAACUGGCAUGCAAACCCGACAAGAUAAAAGGCAAGGGACAAGAUAAAAUGAGAAAUAAGACACAAGAAUUUACGUGGUUCACCCAAUUUGGCUACGUCCACGGGCAAGUAUAGAAGGAUUUUACUAAGUAAUGUGGGAAUUACAACCUCUCUCUACUAAUAGGAGAACAACUGAAAUCUCUCUAUUAAUAGGAGAAAACACCUCACUUACUCUCUCACAAAUACCUCACAAUUUUGUGGGAUUACUUUCCCUCUCUCACUCUUCUCUUCCUCUCUUAUGAUGUGCAAAAUAAGCUUGGAUGCACUGCCUAUUUAUAGGCAAGCAUCCAAGCAAAGGACAAAAAGGCACCAAUUGGUGCUGCAAGUGGCACCGAAUUGGUGCCCAACAUUGUUGAAUUUGCAGCACAAAUUUGGUGCCUAACAUUGUUGACUUUGCCAACAAUGCAGCUGGCUUCACAUUCUCCCACUUGAAGACUUUGAUGAGUGAAUCAAGUCUUCACACUUAAUCAUCUGUGAUUCUUCUAUCCUUUCUAUACUUGUCAUCUUCAUGCUGCUUACAUUUCUGUUAGGCCAUAAGAGGAUCUGCACCAUAUGUACUUGUCAGUGUUGACUGGUUUGGUUAAAGCAUCUGCUGGGUUUUCCUUCGUGUGAACCUUUUGAAAAUCUACACUUCCAUCUUCCACUACUUCGCGAACAAAGUGAUACUAAACAUCUAUGUGUUUUGUUCUUGAAUGAAACGCGGGAUUCCUUGCAAUAUGCAAAGCACUCUGACUAUCACAAUACAAAAGAAUGUUCUCUUGUUUGUGCCCGAGCUCCUCCAUAAGUUUCUUCAUCCAUAUUGCUUCUUUACAAGCUUGUGUAGCUGCCAUGUACUCAGCUUCUGUUGUGGAUAAAGCUACAACAGUCUGAAGUUUAGAGACCCAGCUCACAGCUCCUCCUGCAAUUAUGAACACAUAGCCUGUAGUGGAUUUUCUUUUCUCAAGGUCGCCAGCAAAAUCUGAAUCAACAUAACCUCUGACGGUAAAUUCUGAUCCUCCAUAUCAUAAUGCAACAUCUGAGGUGCCCUUGAUGUAUCUCAAGAUCCUCUUAAUAGUAUUCCAAUGCUCUCUACCAGGAUUUGCCAUGUAUCGACUAGCUACUCCCACUGCUUGUGCAAUGUCUGGUCUUGUACAUAUCAUGGCAAACAUUAAGCUUCCCACUGCUGAUGCAUACGGUACUCGAGACAUCUCCAUCCUCUCUGCUUCAUUGCUAGGAGACAUACUUGAGGAUAAUUUGAAGUUAAUAGGAAGUGGGGUGGAAAUUGGCUUACAAUCUUGCAUGUUGAAGUGUCGUAAGAUCUUAUUCAAAUAAUUCUUCUGAGAAAGCCAAAUCUUCCUCUUACUUCUGUCUCGGUGAAUUUGCAUCCCUAGAAUCUUGUUUGCUGGUCCCAAGUCCUUCAUAUCAAACUCCCUAGCCAACUGUGCCUUCAAUUCUUGGACUCGAUCUUUGUUGGAGCCUAUUACCAACAUGUCAUCCACGUACAACAACAAAAUGAUGAAAACAUCAUUUUCUUCAAACCUCUUGUAAUACGUACAAUGGUCUGAACUGAGUCUGUUGUACCCAAGGCUAAUUAUGAAGGAAUCAAAUCUCUUGUACCAACAUCUCGGCGCCUGUUUGAGACCAUAUAGAGAUUUGUUCAACCUGCAAACCAAGUUCUCCUUGCCUACUUCAGCAAAACCCUCUGGUUGGAGCAUAUAAAUUUCUUCUUCAAGUUCUCCAUGAAGAAAUGCAGUUUUCACAUCUAACUGCUCUAAGUGAAGAUCAAAUAUAGCACACAUCGCCAAGACUACUCUGAUUGUAGUAAGUCAUACCACUGGAGAAAAUAUCUCAUUAAAAUCUAUUCCUUCUUUCUGAGCAUAUCCUUUCACCACCAAUCUUGCACGAUACCGCUCCACUUGAUUAUUGCCAUCAUGCUUUAUCUUGUAAACCCAUUUGUUGCCAAUGGCCUUCCUUCCUUGUGGUAGCGGAACAAGAUCCCAAGUGUUGUUCUUGUGUAGAGCUUCAAUCUCCUCUUGCAUCGCUGUCAUCCACAUAGAUACAUCUGUGCUUUUGAUAGCCUCAUGGAAAGUUGAUGGCUCUCCAUCCUCUGUUAGAAGACAGUAUGCAAUGUUGCUCUCAGUAACAUAUUCUGAGUGCCAAGCCGAUGGUCUUCUUUCACGAGUUGACCGUCGAACUUCAGGAGUUUCAGAUUCUAUUUGUUCUUGUUCUUCAUGCUCUGGUACAGCUUCAGAAGAAGUAUGAUUCUGAGUAUUUUCCAUCUGGACUGCUGUAGUCUCCUUUGGAAUGCUAUUAUGUUCUUCCAUUUGUAUUUUACCUUCUGCAAAUAUAACAUCUCUGCUGAUGACUAGCUUGUGGGAUUGGGCAGUGGGAUCCCACAAGCGAUACCCCUUCACUCCAUCAGCAUAUCCCAAGAAUACACAUUUUCUGGAUUUUGAAUCCAGCUUGUUGACUUCUUGAGUAUUGUACAUCACGUACACAGGACUUCCAAAUAUAUGUAAUUGAGAAUAAUCAGCUGACUUUCCAGUCCACAUCUCCAUCGGUGUCUUCAGCUCAAUUGCAGUUGAUGGAGAUCGAUUUAUCACAUAACAGGCGGUAUUGACUGCUUCUGCCUAGAAUGACUUUCCUAGACCUGCAGCCUUCAACAUUGCUCUCGUUCUUUCUAAUAGAGUUCUGUUCAUCCGCUCUGCCACUCCAUUUUGCUGUGGAGUGUAUGCCGUUGUGAACUGCCUUUUGAUACCUUCAUGUUGACAGAAGUUAUCAAAUUCAUCACUGGUAUAUUCUCCUCCAUUGUCAGUCCUCAAACACUUGAUCUUCUUUUCAGAUUCAAGUUCCACCCGCGCUUUGAAAGUUUUAAAGAUUGCGAACACAUCUGCCUUCCUUCUAAUUGGAUGCACCCAACAUCUCCUGGAGAAGUCAUCUAUGAAUGAUACAAAGUAUCUUGCUCCUCCCAAGGAUACAACCGGUGCUUGCCAAACAUCAGAGUGAAUCAAGUCUAAGAUGCAUUUGCUCUUAGUUGUUGAUGUGCCAAACUUCAACCUGUGUUGUUUACUUGUAACACAGUGCUCCCAAAAAGGUAAAGUAACCUUUGUAAGCCCAGGGAGUAACUUCUGAUCAAAGAGAACUUUCAAACCUUUCUCUGACAUGUGGCCUAGUUUUUGAUGCCACAUCAUCGUCUUCUUUUCUGCAGGACUGGCUGAUGCGAUUGACGCUUCUGCCCUAUGAUGUGUUUCUCCCAUUAAUACAAACAUGUUUGCAACUAUUUUUCUCGCCUUUAAAACUACCAACGCUCCUUUGACAAUUUUCAUUAUUCCAUUGUCUGUUCGGAUCUUAUAGCCAAGACUAUCAAAUUGUCCCACAGACAAAAGAUUUUUCUUUAAGUCUUUCACAUGACGCACUCCUGUAAUAGUACGAAUUAAGCCAUCAUACAUCUUCAAUUUGAUGGUGCCAAUGCCAGCAAUCUCUAAAGCAUGAUUAUCACCCAUGAACACUUUGCCUCCAGAGAUGGGUUCAUAUGUAUGGAACCAAUCUCGAUUAGGAGUCAUAUGCCAUGUUGCUCCUGAAUCCAUUAGCCAGACCUCAGUAAGCUCUUCUCUAUCUGUAGAGAUUGUCGCUGCUUCACUAUAUAAAACCUCCCCAUCUUCUGAGGUGCUCGCAACACAUCCUUGAGGUUUUGAUGACUCUGCAGUAUUCUCUAUACCCCUUUUAAACCAACAAUCCUUUUUGAAGUGCCCUUUUCUGCCACAGUUGUAGCAUUUCACAAUCUUCUUACUUCUUGAUUUGGACCUCCCUUGCCUUUGACUCCCACUGGAGCCACGCUCCGUUGAUCUCCCUCUUGACAUCAACAAUGCCUCUGCUUGGUUUGAACUAUUUCUGUCUCCUUUAUUUUUGCGCCUAUUUUCUUCUUCCAAGAUAGCGGCUGCAACAUCAUCAAAGACUAAAUAGUCUGUGAGGAUAUUAUUGGUCAAGUUGAUAAUGAGCUGAUCAUACGAAUCUGGGAGACUUCGAAGUAGAAGUUCUGCACGUUCACUUUCCUCUAUUUGUUGACCCAACGUAGUGAGUUGUGAAAAUAGAGUUCUUAUUGUGUUGAUGUGGUCAGUCACUGCCGUGGUUUCUGCCAUUCGAAGGGUAUAAAGUCUCCGCUUUAAGAAAAUCUUAUUGUGCAAAGACUUGGACUCAUAUAGCUUUGUUAGAGUCUCUCAUAUCUCCUUAGCUGUUUUCUUCUCCGCUACACUUGAUAAUACUUCAUCGGCUAAUGCUAAAUGUAUGUUAGCAAUAGCAUUGCCAUCCAUCUCAUUCCAUUUUGCAUUAUCAGUGAUCUCCGCGGGCCGAUCCCCAAUUGCUGCCAAGCAAUUGUCUUUCCUUAAGAUUGCUUUGAUUCUCAUUUUCCAGAGUGAGAAAUUGCUCCCAUUGAACCUCUCAAUCUCAUACUUUGCUGCCAUUUUAUUCACCGUGAUCUAUUCAGCUAUCACUGUUUCACAGAUCUGUAACGUAUAUAGAAAUAGUAUCGUGUGAAUAAUACUUCACUAAGUAAGUUCCCAGGAAAGAUUGGAGGGGUCACAAAUGGUCCCGCUUAAAACCCAAUCUCCUUAGACAGAACUUCCUAGACUGUAUUUAAUCACCGCACUGACUUUCUAUAUACGCCAACAGUAACGUAUGUGAAUAGUGCCGUAGACGUGAAUAGUAACCGUAUACACGAAUAACUUUUGUGUAUUAACAACACCAACCAAAAGGCUCUGAUACCACUAUUAGGAAACUGGCAUGCAAACCCGACAAGAUAAAAGGCAAGGGACAAGAUAAAAUGAGAAAUGAGACACACAAGAAUUUACGUGGUUCAACCAAUUUGGCUACGUCCACGGGCAAGUAUAGAAGGAUUUUACUAAGUAAUGUGGGAAUUACAACCUCUCUCUACUAAUAGGAGAAAACACCUCACUUACUCUCUCACAAAUACCUCACAAUUUUGUGGGAUUACUUUCCCUCUCUCACUCUUCUCUUCCUCUCUUAUGAUGUGCAAAAUAAGCUUGGAUGCACUGCCUAUUUAUAGGCAAGCAUCCAAGCAAAGGACAAAGGGGCACCAAUUGGUGCUGCAAGUGGCACCGAAUUGGUGCCCAACAUUGUUGAAUUUGCAGCACCAAUUUGGUGCCUAACAUUGUUGACUUUGCCAACAAUGCAGCUGGCUUCACAUAACAUAGUUUGUAUUCUGAGCCAAUCUGGGGUGGGACUUGAAACAAAUGUUGUAUAUUGUUUGCACUGUCACUUUGCUUACCCUCUUAGGUUUUUAUUGAGAUUAGGGAUUCUAUUGUAGCUCUUUUUUCUCCUUUUAUUAUAAUAAAAUAAUAUCUAUGGAUUAAUUUUGGUAUAAUUUAAGAAAGUAAGUCCUUUAAUCAAAUUUUAGAUUGACCAUCCUCUAUGUGUUAAAAGUAAAUGUUAAUUUAUAAAAUAAUAACUAUGUUUAAGUCUUGAUUAACUCAGAAGAUGUCUUCUAAGACGCAUCUCUGUCUUCUCUUCUCUUCUCUUCUUCUCUAUAAAAUUCCUUUUUAGCUCUCUGAUGUACUUAAUGUCCCGGAGGUGUGGCUUCUUCAUAUGAAGAAAAUGUUAAGAUUCAAUUAUGAUUUUAGAUUUUAGAUUCCAUUGUCUACAAAUUUGAACCAUGAUGAUGAAGCAUACGGACCAGUCAGUAGACAACAUGUUUAUUAUAUAUGAUAGAGGUCCUCAAUGUAUUUCACGUUUCUAUGAGAAAUUUCACGAGACUAUGAGUACUCGAAUUGAUCUUAGUACAACAUUUCAUUCUCAAAAUAAUGGUUAAUAAAAAAGAACCAUUCAAAUACUUGAAGAUAUGUUGAUAGCAUGCAUACUUAAGUGGAGUUUGCUGGAACAAAUAUGUACCAUUGGUGGAGUUCGUUAAGAGGGGGGAACUAAUUCCUCGAUAUAUUAGGCCUUUGGAAAUUUUGAAGAGAAUUGGUGCACUUGCUUAUGGAUUAGCUCUUCCACCCAGCUUUUUCAUCUAAACAUCCAGUAUUCCAUGUAUCCAUGCUUUAGAAGUAUAUUUGUGCUCCAUCACAUGUAUUGGAGCCAUAAACCGUAGCAUUUGAAGAAGAUAUGUCAUGUAAAAUUCGACUGGAGAGAAUUGAAGAUAGACAAAUUAGAAAACUUCGUUCUAAAGAUUGCUUUAGUGAAAGUAAUGUGAGAAGGUCAUACCUGAGAAGAUGAUACGUAAUAAAUAUCGUGAUUUCUUCAUUCAAUCAAGCUAGCAAGUUUUCUAAUUAAAUUUCGAGGGUGAAUUUAUUUUAACAGGGGAGGAAAUGUCAACCCCACCCAUAAUAUAUAACCCAUUAUUGUUUUAUUGGUCCAUUUAGGUAGCCCAUUUGUUAUAUACAGAAGGAGAGAGGUAAGGACAUUGUUAGUCAUUUUCUUCUUUCUCUCUUACGGGGAAUGUUCUUCCUUCUCCCUUUUACUGCAAAUAUUCCCCCACAAUCCUAAACCACCAAUUGACCAUAUAACUCCCUUGUUUUGAGUAGGUUUACUUCAACUUUAUCUAAGUGUUUAUAAUAUUGUUUUAGGUUUAUUUCUUUAUAUAAGCUUGUUGAAUUCUAGGCCUUAUAUGAUAUUAGUUGAUGUGAUUUGGAUUUAUUCUUAAGUUAAUUUGUGUGUGGGUAGUAACAAGUGUAUAUGAAUAUGAAUUGAAGUAAGUACCUUAACAAAUGUGAUGGGUUGGUGUGAAGCUUUGAUUAAUUGCUAUAUUUUGAUGUAAUGAGCAAAUACCUUAAGAAAUUUGAAUAUUUGAAAGAUAAUAGGUAAAUAUUGAAGAAUUGUAUAGAAAGAAUCGUAUUGAAAUUAUGGAAAAUAUGAUUUUGUCCCUAAAUUCUAAAAAACAAUUAUAGUUUGGUCACUGGUUGUAAAAACAAUUAUAUUUUCAAACUUUCAAUAUAGAGAGAGAAAUAAAAAUAAAAAGGAAAAGGAAAAGGAAACAACCCCCAGCUUUCUUGUGCCCUUUCCCUUCUUUACAUGGCUUCCUCGAUCGAUGUAAAAAAGCAAACGCCCCAUUUGAUUUUCAAGCAGUAUGAGUGAGAAAGAUAGAGAGGACAAGAGAGGACAAGGGGGUCCUCUCUCUCUUUCCUUGCUUUUUUUAACGCGUGGACCCAGCAGUUGUUGCCACCAAAUUCCUUCCUCAAUAUUUACCAGUGCUACACGCUUGAGAAAUUUCCUUGUUAUUUUUUUUAUUAAUGAAAUAUUACUUUUACCGUAUAGCCAUUGAAUUCUAGAUCAAUUUAUCGGGUAUUGGGCCGGUUUGGAUUUAAUAAUUAUGAUUCACAGACAUACAACUAGUACUUGCAACUAUUAAUAUUUAUUAUUUUCAUUAAGUUUUUCAAACUUUCAAUAUAGAGAGAAAAAUAAAAAUAAAAAGGAAAAGGAAACAACCCCCAUCUUUCUUGUGCCUCUUCCUUUUUUUUUAAGUUUAAUGUUGGUGUUUGGGUCAACUUGCACGCAUCUCGACUAAUUUCAUGGGCUCUGAAGUUAACAACUAUGUAAGUCUCCAAUGACCAUCAUAUAAACAACCACGGGGCUCGAAUUUAAAACUAUAAAAAAAACAAAUCUCUUAAUCACAUGAUCUUAUUAAUGUACCACCAUUUAGGUAGUUGCCCUUUCCCUUCUUUACAUGGCUUACCCGAUGAAAAAAGCAAACACCCCAUUUUGAUUUUCAUUCCGUACGAGUGAGAAAGAAAGACAGGACAAGGUUUGUUGAGGCUUUUUUUUUGGAACCUCGCUCUGGGAUUAAUUAGCGAGAAUAAGAAAAUUCUAUGCAAAUUAUACAAAAUUUAUUAUUAAUCAUCAAUAUUUAUUCUUAUCAUCAAUAUUGAAUAAUGGUUUAUUUUCUAGUAUAAACUAUGAUGGGUUCGUUUAUAAAAAUAAAUAAAUUGAGGUUUUUCAAUUUCCUUUAAACAUAUCAUAGUUUUAAUACCAUUUAUUUUUACAUUUUAAAAAUAAUUUUUAAAAAAAUUAAAAAUAAAUUUUAUUUUUUAUUUCAAAAUAAUAUUUUUUUAAAUAUUUUUAAAUUAUCUUGAUAUAUUGAUAUUAAAAUUAAUUUUUAAAAGAUAAAUUUUUUCAAACAUAAAGUUUAGCCUGCAGAUCUUCCGCUGAUCCCAUCUCAUUGUUGUAUGCAUCCAAGCUAAGCCAAUUCAAGAAAGAAGAUUUGAAGAAUACCACCAGCAGCAGGAGUAAUACAUUAACAUAACAGCAUUAUGGCAGAAGGAGGGACGACCUCACUGCAAGGGCGAAGGCAUGUUAAAGACUUGGGCGUGCUAUAAUUUAGAUUAAAACUUUAUUAAUAUUUUUUGAUUAGUUUUAUUUAAAAAAAUUGUAAUUCUUGAUUGAAUUAUUAAAAAAAUUUAAAAUUUAUGUGGAGCUUUCUAGAAUAACGUUUUAACUUGGAUUAAAAUUUCAGAAUAUUUUGAGAAAUUCAAAAAUUUGAUGAAAAAUCAUAAUUUAACUAAUUUUAUGUUAAUUGAUGUAAUUUUCAAUCCAACUAUCAAAUUGAGCUGAAAUUUUACGAGAAAUCUUAAAAUAUAUUAAAUAAAAUAUAAUUAAAAUUUUAUGAUGAGUGGAGCUUGAUAAUACUAACAAAAAAAAUCAUCAAAUAAAAACAAAUCAAGAAUAAAAUGAUUAUUUCCAUUAAAAAGUAAAAUAAAUCAACUAUUUAUAUAAUAGCUAAAUCUAUUAAGAUAAAUCGAAAAUAACUAGUAAAAUCAAUGACUUGUAUUGACGAGUGUGUCUAUAUAUACAUAUAGGAACUGCUGAUUCGAUUUGAAUAUGUUAUUUGAUUAGUCUAAUUCAUGAUUUGCAUUGACUCAAAAUUACCACUAGAAAUUCCUAGUUUCGUGGUGCUUUCUCAGCCUGCAAAUGAAUAUAAAGCAUAUCCUUUUAUCCUAUAUAAAGAAUACAAUUAACCUUUUUAUCUUUUAUAAUUAUAAUUAUUGCAUUGCUAAUAAUUUGCACGAAAGAAUAUUGUUUCUCUGAAAAGGGCUUGAGAAAACCCUAAGCAUAGUAUAUAAUCUCUUAUAGGAAUCUCUUUAUUAAAUUAUCAAAAUAUCAAAGUCUGUUUCCAAAGACUAUGACUACAGUUUAUAUAUAGAAACAACCAAAUAUAAAAAUUAUUAAUUUUUAAAUAGAAAAACCAGAGAGCUUGAUAAUAUUUAAUAAAAAAAAUAAAAUAGAAAAAUUAUUCCUUUUUAAGUAGAAAAAAAUUAUAAAGAUUUAAUAAUACUAAAUAAGAAAAAUUAAAAUUUCUACACUAAAUUAAAAAAACAAAAAAAAAACUGAGAAAAUAUUUAUUAUCCCAAUAGUUCUUAUAUUAAAAUCUCAUUUAUCAUAUGUUAUAUCUAUCAAAAUAAUAAUAAUAAUAACUUGUGACUUGAACUAAAGCUACAUGCGAAAACUAGAAAAACCCGGUAGAGACCCGUUCUGUUUUUUCAAAUAUGUUUUUUCUUCUAGCUAGAGACCUUUUUUUUUAAUAUAUUUUUCUAUUGGUUACUAAACCAUUUCAAAGUUCACUAUAUAAAUACUAGAAGAAUAUUUUAUUUUUUCAAUAUGGAAUAAAAAAAAUCAUUUUUGUUUACAUACCUCAAUUUAAAAGAAUUAGAUAAUAUUUUUUUAAUAUGAGAUAAAAAAACCUUUUGAAAUAAUCUUUUAAACUUUAUUAUAUGCAACAUGUAUAAUCUAUAUUCAUAUAAAUUAUUUCUUUAAUUUUUUUCAUUCUCAUAUUCAAACUUCCAAUAUUGAGAGAGAAAUUAAAAGGAGCAAAAGGAAACAACCAGUGAGGACAAUAUCCUCCAGCUCAUCAUCAGAUCCCACGAAAGGAACGCAGAAAGACAUUCCCUUUCUUGUCAUCAAGUUUUGAAUCAAAAAGUACUUUCGUGCAUUAUUGUCAUAAAGUUUUUCAAACUUCCAAUAUAGAGAGAGAAAUUAAAAGUAAAAAUAAAAAGAGCAAAAGGAAACAACCCCCACCCCAUCUUUCUUGUUCCCUUUUCCUUCAAUGAAAAAGCAAGCACUAAUGCACCUUCUCCACAAACUACCCCCCAAUUUCGCCACUAUAUAAAUAUAUUAUGGAAAACAAGAUAAAAAGAAAUCUUUCGGUACAUCUAUAUAUAUAUAUAUAUAUAUAUAUUAUGGCUAUGAAAAUAGGUUUGUGGAAAUUUACAUGGUUUGAUUUUGACAGUGUCAGAUUAGACAAUUGCAUGGAAAUGGUCUUCUUAGUUUGCCGUGUGGAAAAUCAUGUCAUUUACGGGACUGCUGGAGAGAGUUUCUAUUGAUAAUUUCACUCGAAAAGUUUUAGUAAUUUACAAAGGAAAUUUCUCCUUUAUAUGAAUUGAAAAACUAUUAUUGACUGACUUCUUGCAAAGUAUUUGCAAGAAAGCUAAAGAAUUAAAGUUUUUCAAUUUUGAAAAUUAUAAUUUAAAAUUUUUAGAAAAAAAUCAAUUAUUUUUAAAAUUGUUUUCAAAAAUACACUACCAGAAAUUCAUCUAAUACCAACGGACUUACCGACAGAAUUAUUCUGUCGGUAAAUUGCGGUGAUAAUUACUGACGGAUACUAAUCCGUCUGUAAUUCAGUUGGUAUAUACCGACGGAAUUAUUCCGUCGGUAUAUACCGACUGAAUUACAGAAGAAAGAUAUAGAAUUAAAAAAAAGCGGGGAUGUUGACGUGACAGUUUUUGCGGGCGAUUUUACCGACGGAAUCAACGAGGGAUUCAAACCCUGAUUUUGUUUAUGAGCAAUUUUGACUAUCUUAGAGGUAGAACUAGGUUCUCUUUAAUCAUAGAACUUGUAGCCUCAUGUCUUAGCUUUCUAACAAGACUAAUCUUGCUUAAAUCGGAGUUUUAUAACUCCAGAUAUAGUUAAAAAUAUGAGGAGAGGUCAGACAGUAACAGUUCAAUGUUUAGACAGUAACAGUUCAAAAAUGAGACAGUAAUAGUUGGACAGUAACAGUUCAAGAACGAGACAGUAACAGUUAAAAAAUGAGACAGUAACAGUUCAAAAAUGAGACAAUAAUAGUUGGACAGUAACAGUUCAAAAAAGGAGACAGUAACAGUUAAAAAACGAGACAGUAACAGUUCAAUGUCUAGACAGUGACAGUUCGGGAUUUAAACAGAAACGGUUCAAAUAUAUAUAUAUAUAUAUAUAUAUGUGUGUGUGUGUGUGUGUGUGUGUGUGUGUGUGUGUGUGUGUGUGAAAUGAGAAAAAUGUAAAAUAUUAAGAAAUGACUGAAAGAAAGACUUAUUGGUUGUUGAUAUGGUUAUAAUAAAACAUAUCCUUGAGUGAGGAAGUAGAGCUUCUAUUGCAGGUAGGUAAUCCGUACCUAUACUUUCUAGUUUAAUUCUAUGAUUUAAUAAGUUAUUGAUGUGAGAUGUGAAUUACCGAAUAUGGGAUAUUAGGAUAAAGGAGGAAAGUUUGCGUAAUGAUGCCGAUAUUUGGAAAGUAUUCUUAAUGUAUGUGUAUUCAAGGUGAACGGUUGUUCUGUGAAUUGCCAAGUGAUGAAAUUAUAAUUGAUAAAGAAAAUAUGAGAAGUGUGAUUUGGGGCGUGAACUAGCAUACAUUUAGUGUAUGUUAGGAUCCCGGGUAAGGGGAUCAAGAUGUAUUGGCUAGCAUACAUUUAGUGUAUGUUAGGAUCCCGGGUAAGGGGAUCACCAUGUAUUGGCUAGCAUACAUUUAGUGUAUGUUAGGAUCCCGGGUAAGGGGAUCACCUUGCAUCGACUCCUACAUGAUGAUGAUGAUGAUAACAGUGAAAUUGGUAUCGGUAAUGUGUUAAGCGGAAAUAAUCAUGGGUGGUUUUAUGAGAUCUUGAAUGGAGGUUGAUAAUAGAAGAGGAAAUGGUUUUUAGUAGUUGAAGGAGAAAAAGUCUCCAAUAAGAACCAAAAGGGAGAAGUGAAUAAAAUAUGAAUGUAUGUUGCCUUUUUAAAUUGCUGGAUAUUUGUAUUGCUAUAUUAUUGUGAUAUUCAUAUUUCAAUAAUAUGUAUUUUAUUUUCAGGACCAUCGCAUGCAUGACAGGAGUAGAUUUUGGCUUAGGUUCUUUUUUUGUAAUUUAGGUUCUAAGGAGUAUACCCUUGUAUUUGGUAAUAUUACAACUUUUAUUUAACUUAAUUUGUAUAAUUGAUGUUUAAACUUGAAUAGAUGAACUUAAUUCGGUAGUUUGUAUAACUAUGUUCCAUUAAGCAUGUUUAUAUCUUUAACCAUCCAUAAUGAUAAUUGUUGUACAAUGUAUAUCAUCAACAUUGUGGUUGAUAUGAAUGGUGAUGUUUGUGGGAUUGAGACCUAAGAUGAUUAGGCUGAAUUGAGUUGGAGAUGCGGUAUAUUAGAAGUGUAAACAGGACGUAUGUCGAUAACUUGGGACCUCCCGGUAUAGGGGAUACUCUGUUAAAAUUUCACUAGACUUUAAUGCAAAUACCAUGAAUAGAUAUAUAUAUAUAAAAUUUAGUCACUCUGUUUAUCAGCUAACAUGAGAUCGUUGCUUUAUCCCUGAUAUGGGAAUGUUACAGGUUCGAUAGAAGUCAUGGAUGAUUGUUCAUGGAUGUAUCGAGAUCCAUGUGUUAAUUUUGACAACAUGUAUUAAUUAAGAUGACAACAUGUAUUAAUUAACUAACAUAGUUAACUAAUACAUGUUUUCAUCAUAAUUUUAUAGAGGUUCGAUAAAAGUCAUGGAUGAUUGUUCAUGGAUGUAUCGAGAUGCACCCCAUGGAUUGCAGAGGAUUCUUUGAAGAAAAUUCAAAUUUUCAUGUUUUCGAUAAUAGUCUUGUUGAUGUUGACGCAGAGGAGUUGAAUGUUGUUUUGAGCUCUAACGGACAAGCAAAUAUCGAUGAAGAUGAUGAUUAUGAUGACAUCCAUAUUGAAGAUUGCGAUGGAGCUGAUGACUAUUCAAUUGAUGACGAAGAAGAAGAAAAUUCUGACUAACUAGCAGAAUCAAGGAAAGUGCAAAGCAUUUUUCUAAAAUGUAAUAUGUAUUAUCGAUGAUAUUUUGUAACAUGAAAUAUUUAUUUGAUAAGUGUUUAAGUGUUUUUGUGUGAUGGGCAGUUUGUAAUUUAAGUGUUUGUAGGAAGGUAAAUAGGCAAUACAAACAAAAGUUUUCAUGCACAGUGCACGAUCACCAACGUCCAUACCGAUGGAUUACAUUUCGUCGGUAUUGCACAGAGAGCUGUAAAAUAUUUAUUGGAAAUGCCACAAUCACCGACGACUUUGCAGAUGGAUUACCGUCCGUCGGCAUUCAACAGAGAGGUUCACUGGAAAUGCCACAAUCACUCACCGACGACUUUGUAGACAGAUUAAAGUCUGUCAGCAUUCCACAGAGAGGUUCACUGGAAAUGCCACAAUCACCGACGACUUUGCUGAUGGAGUAGAGUCUGUCGGCAUUCCACAGAGAGUGGUGGAAAUGCCACAAUCACCGAUGACUUUGCAAACGGAUUACAGUCCGUCGGCAUUGUGUCGGCAGCUCACAAUUAUCGAUAAAUUCACCAACGAACGGUGUGAAUUCCAAAGGACGGGUAAUAAAUGCAUAUCUGAUAGCGUGCAGCUGCCGACGGAAUUACCAACGAACUGCGAAAAAUAUGGAGGGUAAUUAAAAAAUUCUGGAGCAAAAUUCAAAAUUUACCGACGGAGUUAAAUGUUCGUCAGUGAAUCCGUCGGUAAAAUUACGAUAUAAAUGCCAGCGACCGCCCUUUGAGUUCAUUUUUUCAUCUCCUUUGUUUUUAGAGCUUAACUUUUUGUUUUUUUUCCCUCUCAUUUCCUUCAAAUCUCUUGUUUUUUCUUGUAAUCUCUAGUUAUAUCUUCAGCAAAUUAAAAGGUAUGUAUUUCCUCUACUUAAUUUGCUUUAAGAUUUUACUUUUUUAUUUGUUCUUUGUUUAGCAAUUGUUAUUUUUGUUAUGUUUUUUGUUUUGGUGUAUUUUCAUAAUGUAGAUAAAGUCUUACAAUAAACACAUUAUUAAGGUAAGCAUUUUUCAUUCUUAAAGUCUAUAGUUUUUUUUUUAACUUGUUCAAUAUAUUUUGUUGUUUGUUUUGCCAUAAUAAUUAGGGGUGAGCAAAUUCGGUUCGGUUCGGUUUUUAUCUAAAAAACUAACCAAAAUCAAAUUUUGAAAAACUUAAAAAUUCAAACCGGACCCAAACCGGAACCGGUUCAAACCGACCGGUUUCGGUUCGGUUCGGUUCGGUUUUUUUAUCAGGAAAACCGGAAAACCUGUAUUAUUGUUUUUUUGGGCUUUUUCGGGCUUUUUAAUGGGCUUUCUGAUGGGUUUUCUGAUGGGCUUGUAAUUAAUGUAAAUAUCAUCUAAUUUUGUUACAAAAUUCUAUAAUAUAUUUAAUAUUUUUUAUCACUAAAUAUUCAUUUAUAUUAAAUUAUUAGUGCUAAUAUUAUGUUUAAUAUGUUGCACAUCUUUCUAAUAUUUAUAUUUAGGAGUUUGGACUCCUCAUGCAUCAAAAUUUAAAUAACACACACACCAAAUUAAAAUUAAAAUUACAAAGCAUUGCCUUCAAAAUGGGCUUAAAAAAACAACAAAUAACAUUGCCAUAAAAAAUAAAAUACUUCAUGCAAAAAAUAUAAAUCUUCAUUGUGCACAUCAUCUCAAUCAAAAAGCACAACAAGAUGACAAGAACAUUGCACUUUGAUUCCGUAAUACCAUUGACAUCAAAACCUGAAAAUCAAGAUCUAAAAUUAUAACAUGAUAAAAUAAAUUAGAAUAUGUAAAAAUAAAUAGUAGUAUUUUACCAUCAAAGUAACUUUUGAACUAAUUAUCAUUUGUUACUAAAUGUAACUUUCCACCAAAUUCUACAAAAUAAAAAAUUAGACAUGUUAGAUGAUUGCAAACAAUUUAAUUAAUAAAUAACAAAAUAAAAGGUGCAAAUUUCUAAAAACAAUUACCUGACUCAAGGUUUUCGUAGGUUUCAAGAUCAUUUAUCAAGCUUCUAAUAUCAGUUGGAAUUGAUCCAUGAUGAAACCAAUUUUGACAACAAAUGAGUGCUUGAACAGUUGCUGGAGAUAGAGAACUUCGAAAUUGAUCAAGUACACGACCACCUGUGCUAAAUGCUGAUUCAGAAGCCACUGUAGAUAUAGGAAUAGCCAGAACAUGUUGUGCAACCUUUGAAAGUGUCUUAUAUUUCAAAGCAUUACUUUUUCACCAACCCAAAAUAUCUAACUUAUCAUCAUUACGAUCCUCACAACCUUCAAUCAAAUACCUCUCAACCUCAUUUUUAUUUUCCACACUAUCCACCUUCAGCAAAUGUCUUUUGAAUCGAGCCAAAGUGUUAACAUCUACCUCCACAUCAUCAAUAGCAUUAACAUCCUGUUUAUGCCUAUUAUUAUCCACCACUUCAUCAAUUUUCAAAUAAAACUCAUACAAGCUCACCAAAGUAUCUUUCACCUUAUUUGUUAGCAAUUGUGCUUUGUCAUAAUCAUACAAAUCACCAAAACAAAAUUCCACAUAUUUCAACUUCAAACAUGGAUCUAAGACAUUAGCCACAUAUAACAAAAAAUUCUGAUUUACUUCACAACCCCAAUACUUCUCAAACUUUAACAUCAUCUUCAUCGCCAUUCCACUUUAACAAGUUUGUAUGCAUGUAAAUCAAUUCAUUGAAGAAAGAAUUUGAUGUGACAUGCAAUGAGCCAGAAAAUAUCAAUGUAACCAUAUAAAAGAUCUUUAAGAACUUAACCAAAGUUCUUGCAUUUUCCCAAUCCUCCAAACUAGGUGGCCCUAUGUUUUUUUUAUUCCCCUUUGAAUCAACCUCCAAAAAGUAACUCAUAUACCUAAGUUCUCUUUCACCUAACCUCACAAAUACCUUUUCAAACUUUUCAGCAGCUUCUAGCAUAAGAUAAGUUGAAUUCCAUCGAGUUGCAACAUCUAAACACAAUGAUUUCUUACACUCUAUAUGCAACUUUUCAGCACACUUCUUAAAUGCAAGAUGCCUCAACGGUGAAGAUCUCACAAACCUAAUGGCAUUUCGAAUCUUAACAACUGAAUCAUUAAUCUCUUUCAAGCCAUCACACACAAUGAGGUUUACAAUGUGUGCACAACAUCUAACAUGCAGGUGCUCAUUUGACAAUAUAUUAGUUGGCCAAUCUUUCAUCACAUUCUUUAAAUAUGAAAUGGUCACAUUAUUAGAGCUUGCAUUGUCUAAUGUAAUAGUCAACAGUUUAUCAAUCCCCCACUCCAACAAACAAUUCUCAAUAACUUGGCCAAUUGUCUCACCCAUAUGAUUGGAAACUUGACAAAAAUUAAGAAUUCUUUUAUGCAAAUUCCAGUCAUUAUCAAUCCAAUGAGCUGUUAAACAAAUAUAGUUAAUAUUUUGGAUUGAUGUCCAUGUAUCUGUUGUCAAGCACAAUCGUUGACCCCUAAGAGCUGUCCUCAAUCUAUCCUUCUCUUCAACAUAAAGUUUCAAACAAUCUCUCAUAAUUGUAAAACGAGAAGGAAUGUCAAAUCUAGGUUGUAUAGUCCUAGCAAACAAUUUAAAUCCCCGACCCUCCACAAAAUUAAAAAGCAACUCAUCAAUUAUAACCAUCUUUGCUAGUGCUUGUCUACAUUCAUCAUAAUUAUAACCUAUUGCCUUAAGACUUCCCACAUUUUGUUCUCCCAAUUCACCCUUCUCUAUCUUAGGUUCUAAUACCAAAACCUUUUGUUUCUUAUCAAUCACAAAAGGGAACUUCUUGUACACUUUUAAAUGACUCCACAUAUUACUUGUGCCAUUAACAAUAGUAUGACAUGCAUAAUGUUUUCCACAAUAAUUACAUUCAGCUCUAGGGGUUUUAGGAUCAACAUCAAGUUUUGUAAAGUGAUCCCAAGUUUGUGACUUCUUUUUAUCAUCAGCAUUUCUUUUCCUAGAUGAAAGGACUUGAGGUUGUUUACCUUGUGUAUCUGUGGUGGAUCCUGCAUUGGUUGAUUCUACAUUAGGUUUUGAAGUUGGAGAAGUAGUUGAUGUUGGUGUAGUGCCUGUGGAUGAAGCAUUUUGAAUUUGAGUAGUUUCCAUCUGUUAUUAUAUAUGAAAACAUGUUAAAAACCAAUAAUUUAUAAUAGAUUAACAACAGUAUGACAUGCAUAAGUUCAACUGUAAUUUUAAAGAUUAUUUUCACAAGUUAAGUUCUUUUAUUUUGGUUGAUAUGUUGUAAAAACAAUUAUGUUGCUGAGUGCUGAGAUUGUAUUUUGUAAUUUCAAUAGACAAUAAUACAAUACAAUAUAUAUAUAUAUAAACAUUAUUCUCUUUUCAAUAAAUAAAAAAAAUUCAGUUUUCAGAAUUGAUAAAUUACAAUCCACCGAAUCCCCCCUCUUUUUUUUAACACAGAUAAUAAACAUUAUUCUCUGUUUUUUUAGCACACAGCAUUGACAGCACACCAUAAUAAUGGAUUAGCAAUAAUAUUUAAAACAAAUGCCUCUCGGGGAAACUGUAUUUUCCCAUUUUUCUCCCUAAUGUAAUAUCAGGCUCAUAAUACCAAUUCACCGCAUUGGUAUUGCAAGUUUUUAUCAUUUGUUUAGUAUCAUUUUCUUCUUCAGUCAUUUGGCUAUUGACAUAAUGAGAUAAUUUUUCUAAUCUUUUACCAGUACUCCACCUUAGAGUAUGAGUGGAAUUCAAUCUCUAAUGUCUAGCUAAAAGCCUAAAACGGCACAAAGAGGUUUCUUUAGUAAUGAUCAAGUUUUACCACUACCAGUGCCAAUUAUUCCCAUUUCUUUCAGUGAUGUGCUGUUAGCUUUAGCAUUUGGAACAAUCAUAACAUAUUGUCUUUCUCAUGACCAGUGCCAUUUCUACCAGUGCCAAUUAUCUGUGUUUUGUAUAUUAAAUUAACAUGCAAGAGUUUGUAUAUUAAAUUAACCCUCAUUCCGAUAUUAAUCUAGAUUCCAUUAUUUUUUCAUUGCUACUCAUGACCUUAAUAAAACACGAAUUCAUUAACAUAUUGUCUUUCUCAGCAAAGAAAAAACGCAUUGUCUCUGUCAUAAAUCUCUUCUUAAGAAGUUUAUUAAAAAAUAAACAGAAUCACAGAGCAAUAGAGCAUAUGUUCAAAAAAAAAACAGAGACAAAAAAAAAAUCAUACCUGGUGUGACACGAUUCAAGGUCGGGUGUGAGAGAGGGAGGUGACUGCCUCACUGGUUCGCUAAAUCUGGAGUUGGACUCUGGAGGUUCGGUGAGCCGGUGUGGUGUGUGUCCUACGAUUCAAGAUCAGGUGUGACCGUGUGAGAGAGGGACGUGGCUGACUGGGGUUUGAAGAUGAAGAUGGUGGCCGGUGGGAGAGGGAUGUGGCUGACUGGCGUUUGAAGAUGAAGAUGGUGGGAGAGGGAUGUGGCUGACCGGCGUUUGAAGAUGAAGAUGAAGAUGGUGGGAGAGGGAUGUGGCUGGUUGUGGUCCAGUAGAUGAAGAUGGAUUGAUUUCUUACAUAUGUGAAAUUGUGAGUUGUGAGUUGAGGGAGCGGCUUAGGAGAAAGGAGAAGGACGGCUGGAGCAGGAGUAUGGAUGCUAGGGUUAAGAAAAACAACGCGAUUUUUUUUGUAGCUAUUUAUAGUACCCCUUAAACCGAACCGGUUCGGUUCGAUUGGGGUUUUUCCGGUUUCAGGUUUCUAAAACCGAAACCGAACCGAACCAAACCAAAAAUUUUUACAAAAAAUUUAAUCGGUUUUUUUGGUUAUUUUUUUUUCGGUUUUCUCGGUUUAUUCGGUGUCUCGGUUUUUUUUCUCACCCCUAAUAAUAAUUGAACACUUUGUUGAAUUUUAAUUGUUAUUGUUGAAUUUACCUUGCAAUUAGUAAUUGAAUACACUGGAAUGAAUUUAAUUAUUUUAUCUCAAUUUUACUGUAUUUUUGCAUGAUAUGUGUUUAAUUAUUUUGUUGAAUUUUAAUUGUUAUUGUUGAAUUUACCUUGUAAUUAGUAAUUAAAUAUAUUGGAAUAAAUUUAAUUAUUUUAUUUCAAUUUUACUGUAUUUUUGCAUGAUAUGUGUUUAAUUAUUUUGUUGAAUUUUAAUUCUUAUUGUUGAAUUUACCUUGUAAUUAGUAAUUGAAUAUAUUGGAAUGAAUUUAAUUAUUUUAUCUCAAUUUUACUGUAUUUUUGCAUGAUAUGUGUUUAAUUAUUUAGUUGAAUUUUAAUUGUUAUUGUUGAAUUUACCAUGUAAUUACUAAUUGAAUAUAUAAGAAUAAAUUUAAUUAUUUUAUCUCAAUUUUACUCUAUUAUUACAUGAUAUGUGUUUAAUUAUUUCCAUUAAUUUUAAUUGUUAUUUGUAUAGAUGUUAGGUUAUAUGUAAGAUUUUUGAAUGGGGGUCAAUUGGUUGUGGCUAUUGUUAAUAUUUGAAGGUUUGAAAACUUUGGGUAGUCUCCAGUAUAGAAGAGACGCUGCUGAAUUUUUUUUAACAAUCGAAUUUAAUUAUAUAAUUAUUCUUAUAAAAUUGCGUAGAUGUGUAUAAUGAAAUCAACUGUUCGUCGCUCACAUAUGGUCGCAGCUAGUUCUUCUAGCAGCAAGAAUGACAUUUCCUUAGGUGUCAAUCAAGAAGAGGUACCUGCACCACCUACCGAUGCUGCCUCUUGCAGCACGGUUUCACAGCGCAGAGACGGCGUGCCUUCACAGUGGAAUCAAUUUACUUACAAGUACGAGGCACAAUGGAAGAACGAUGUUUCAAUGUAAGUUUGUUUUGAUUUUAGUUUUUUUUUUAAUUAUAACAUAAUUUAUGAACAACUAAUCAAUAUUUCAUUAAUUUAAUUUAUUUUCAGGUUCACAAACAUUGAGACCGUCCGAGUAAUAUCAUCGGCGUUUAAAUCGUCGAUGGAGAUUCCAUUAUUUCAAUGGAGUUAGGUAUCCAGACAUCCUGAAUGGAUACCUAAUAUCGAUGCAUGGUUUGAUAAAUUUGAGGUUGGUGUUAAUUUCUAAUUUCCAGCUUAUUUUUAAUAAAUUAUUAAUAUAAUUAUAAAUAAAUUAUUAUUUUUAUUUUAAAUAAAUUAUGUAUACGUGGCACAAAUUCGAGUAGGACAGCACACAUGAUAAUAUUGUGAGGAGGGUGUGGGAAAAUCAUGCGGCAACUAAGUAACAUCGAAAACAAUAUGAUAUUUUUUAAAAAAAAAAUAUGUUUUAAAAUCUAAUUUGUUACUAUGGAAGUAGGUUGUGUGAUUUUUGGUAUGAAGCACAAAAAAAGGUAAAAAAAAAAAAAACACGAGAGAUAGAGGUCUCCAAGGCUAGAACGACGUGGCGGUUUGGGGGGAUUUCAAACCGCUACACAUCCCGGAAAAUAUUUGGCCGGAAUAUAUUGAGCACGUGACGUCUGAGCGGUUCACACGACGCUCAAAGUCUGGUGCUGACAACCGGAACAGGCAAAUUCAUGGUUCACUGACAACGCACAUCGACGGCUCCGUAUCGUUUGCUACACAUGCAAAACGGAUAUAAGAUUAAUUUAAAUGAAAUAUAUCGUUAAAUAAUUUGUUGUUACUUAAUUAAUUUUUUUUCUUACAGGCUACGUCUCUUGGACGUGAGCCGAGCCCAAUGGAGCUGUUUGUAGAGACGCACAUGCGGAGUCAAGACCGCCAAAAGGGGGUGCAACAGUUCGUUGACAACCGCGCUCAACACUUUGUGGUAUGUUCGUUCAACCAUUUUAUUUCGUAAGUUAUUAUUUUUAUUGAAUUGAAUAUGAUGAUUUUUUUUUAUUUUCAGGAUACCUAUAAUAGUCGUUGAGGGAGAGAUAUAGGGACGAUCCUUCAAUCCAUCCGGAUUUCAAUCCGGAUUUGUGGAUGGCGGUAGGAUCGUCCGGUGGACUCGAUAAAAAUCAGGUGUAUGGGCUCUCCAACACCACGGCCGAGAACUUGCGAGCGGCCAGUAGUGCCUCAACCGUUGGGAGCUCCCAAUCUAAGGAGUCCGUGGCCUUGCAGCAACACACGAGUCAUCUCACCGAGAAAUACGAGCAACUCUCGACGAAUUAUGAACUUCGCCAAAUUAUCAUGAACAUGACAUCACAGAGUGACUUUAUGGUCUCGGGAAAAACCAGCCUCCUCCUCCUCCUCCUCCUCCAGCCCCGCCAUUCUGCUAAUUUAAUAUUUUUUUGGAAACACAUUCAAUUUGUAAUGAAUAUUAUUUAACUUUAUUUUUUUAUUUUUGAUGUUUAAUAAAAUUUUAUUUGCAUAAUAGUUUUUUUUACUAUUAAUUUACAUAUUUUUAUAUUAUUUAUUCUAAAUAAUUUUUUAAAAAACAAAUUUAAAAAACCCCACCAACAGAAUUCAUCCGUCGGCAUUUUACAGAAAGUUGAAAGAUAUUUACUAAAAAAGGCCACAAUCACUGAUGUCUUCACAGACGGAUAGUGUCCGUUGGCAUUUUACUUAGAAUCAAAAAAUAUUUACUGGAAAUACUAUAUUCACUGAUAUUUUCACAGACAGAUUUAUUUCGUUGGUAAAUACCGAGAGUUCAAACAAUGACUUGCAUUGACGAGUGUAAUAAUCUGGAACCACUCGCAAUAAAUAAAGCCACAAAAGGCAGACGAGAGUGUCUAUAUAUAUACAUAUAGGAACUGCUGAUUCGUGGUGCUUUCUCCUGCAAAUGAAUAGAAGACGAGUGUGUCUAUAUAUAUACAAAUAGGAACUGCUGAUUCGUGGUGCUUUCUCCUGCAAAUGAAUAGAAAGCAUAUCCUUUUAUCCUAUAUAAAGAAUACAAUUAACCUCAUUUCAAUAUCCUUGCUUUACUCUUCAGCUAACUUCUCUCUCCCAUUGCUGAAAUUUCAUAGCUAACUCUUUGUUAUAUAGAGGUAUAUAUGGCUAACUCUUCUUUGCUUCUUUCGUGUUUUAAUUUCAUGUCUUUACCAUUAACAAUAAUGUGAAAGCUUUGUUUGUUUCAUGUUUAACUUCAGUUGCUAUUGUCUUAUGCUCUCUCAUUAUUAAGCUUAAACUGUUGUAUCAUCUUCGAUGAUCUUGACAUGUAUCUCUUACUUGUAUUAGCAAGAGAGUAGAUACCUUCUGCAAUUGCUCCAUUGCUAAUUGACUGUGCCUUGAUUUCUGCAGCUGCCAUGACAGAGCCGGAGUCUUCUCGAUCUAUAUCACUAGGGGCCUAUGAUGUCUUCUUGAGUUUUAGAGGAGAAGACACUCGCAAGACAUUUACAGAUCAUCUCUAUACUGCCUUGGUCCAAGCAGGAAUCCACACUUUUCGAGAUGAUGAUGAACUUCCGAGGGGAGAAGAAAUCUCCGAUCAUCUCCUCAGGGCAGUUCAAGAAUCGAAGAUAUCCAUAGUUGUCUUCUCAAAAGGAUAUGCUUCUUCUAGAUGGUGUCUCAAUGAACUUGUAGAGAUUCUGAAGUGCAAAAAUAGGAAAACCGGUCAGAUUGUUCUUCCUAUAUUCUAUGACAUUGAUCCUUCAGAUGUGAGAAAACAGAAUGGCAGUUUUGCAGAAGCAUUUGUUAAACAUGAAGAGCGUUCUGAAGAGAAGUUGGUGAAGGAGUGGAGAAAAGCUCUUGAGGAGGCUGGAAAUCUAUCUGGACGGAAUCUCAAUGAUAUGGCAAAUGGGUAUGCCUUUUUCCCAAAUUUAUGGAGUCAAUAUACUUUACAUUUUUCAAUGUGAAACAAUAAAAUGCUUAAUUGACUCGCUAUCAAUGACUGCCUUUUGUCUAUGAGCAGGCAUGAAGCAAAAUUUAUCAAAGAGAUUAUCAAGGAUGUGUUGAAUAAAUUAGAUCCCAAGUACUUGUAUGUUCCUGAGCACCUAGUAGGUAUGGAUCGGCUUGCUCACAAUAUUUUUGACUUUCUAAGUACUGCAACCGAUGAUGUACGCAUUGUGGGCAUACAUGGGAUGCCAGGAAUCGGAAAGACAACUAUAGCAAAAGUUGUAUUUAAUCAACUCUGCUAUGGAUUCGAGGGAAGCUGUUUUCUUUCGAAUAUCAAUGAAACACCAAAAAAACUUACAGGUCUUGUUCGUUUACAAACGCAACUUCUUCGUGAUAUUUUAAAACAAGAUGUUGCAAACUUCGAAUGUGUUGAUAGAGGAAAGGUUCUGAUCAACGAACGAAUUCGUCGCAAAAGAGUUCUUUUUGUUGCUGAUGAUGUGGCUCGUCAGGACCAGCUAAAUGCUUUGAUGGGAGAGCGAAGUUGGUUCGGUCCGGGAAGUAGAGUAAUUAUUACAACAAGAGAUUCAAAUCUUCUUCGUAAAGCGGAUCAAACAUAUCAAAUUGAAGAAUUGACACGAGAUCAGUCCCUUCAGCUUUUCAGCUGGCAUGCCUUUAAGCACUCCAAGCCAGCAGAAGAUUAUAUUGAGCUUUCGAAGGAUGUAGUUGAUUACUGUGGAGGACUUCCUUUGGCUCUUGAGGUUAUGGGUGCUUGUCUGUACGGGAAAAACAGAGGUGGUUGGAAAUCUGUAAUUGACAAAUUGAGAAGAAUUCCAAACCACGAUAUUCAAGGAAAGCUUAGAAUAAGUUAUGACUCACUGGACGGUGAAGAACUACGAAAUGCAUUCCUUGAUAUCGCUUGCUUCUUUAUUGAUAGAAAGAAAAGGUACGUCGCAAAAGUGCUAGGAGCCCGUUGCGGUUACAAUCCAGAAGUUGAUUUGGAAACUCUCCGUGGAAGGUCUCUGAUUAAAGUUAAUGCCAUUGGAAAGAUAACCAUGCAUGAUCUAUUACGAGACAUGGGAAGGGAGGUUGUUCGUGAAACGUCUCCAAAAGAACCUGGAAAGAGGACCAGAAUUUGGAACCAAGAGGAUGCAUGGAAUGUACUUGAGCAGCAGAAGGUACGUAAGAGCGCAAUGCAUACAUGAAAGCAUAGUCAUGCGUAUUUUCUAGUCAAACUUAUUACAAAUAAUUGUAUGAAAGUUGGAUUGAUUUUUUUUUAGGGUACGGAUGUUGUAGAGGGUCUUGCACUGGAUGUAAGAGCAUCAGAAGCUAAAUCACUGAGCACAAGAUCAUUUGCAAAAAUGAAACGCUUAAAUUUACUCCAAAUCAAUGGAGCACAUCUCACCGGAUCCUUCAAACUGCUUUCUAAAGAGUUGAUGUGGAUUUGUUGGCUUCAAUGUCCUUUGAAAUAUUUUUCAUCUGAUUUUACCUUGGAUAAUCUGGCUGUUCUUGAUAUGCAAUACAGUAACCUCAAAGAACUAUGGAAGGGACAAAAGGUGUGAAACAUUCUACAAUCCCCAAAAUUUCUCCAGUAUGUAAUUUAUAUUUACAUGUUAUGACUUUCUAUGAUUAAUUUUCAUUAUUUUGCCCUCUAUUAAGACAGAUUCUCAACAGGUUAAAAAUCCUCAAUCUCAAUCAUUCUAAGAACCUUAUUAAAACACCAAACUUGCACAGUUCAAGUCUAGAGAAACUAAAGUUGAAAGGUUGCUCGAGUUUAGUUGAGGUGCAUCAAUCAAUUGAAAAUUUGACAAGCCUUGUUUUCUUGAAUCUGGAGGGAUGUUGGAAUCUGAAGAUUCUUCCUGAAAGCAUUGGCAAUGUAAAGUCUCUUGAAACUUUGAAUAUUUCUGGGUGUUCACAACUUGAGAAAUUGCCAGAAUGCAUGGGUGAUAUGGAAUCCUUAACCGAGCUGCUAGCAGAUGGGAUUGAAAAUGAGCAAUUUCUCACUUCAAUUGGACAAUUAAAGCAUGUCAGAAGGUUAUCGUUGUGUGGAUACAGUUCGGCUCCACCAAGUUCUUCUUUGAAUUCAGCAGGUGUUUUGAAUUGGAAACAGUGGCUGCCAACAUCUUUUGGAUGGAGAUUAGUGAAUCAUCUUGAGCUUUCUAAUGGUGGUUUGUCUGAUCGCACAACUAACUGUGUUGAUUUCAGUGGUUUGUCCGCUCUAGAAGUAUUGGAUCUAACAAGAAACAAAUUCUCUAGCCUGCCUUCUGGGAUCGGCUUCCUUCCCAAGCUAAGGCGGUUGUUUGUUCUGGCAUGCGAAUAUCUUGUAUCAAUCCUAGAUCUUCCCUCAAGUUUAGAUUGUUUGGUUGCAUCUCAUUGCAAAUCAUUGAAAAGAGUAAGAAUACCAAUCGAGCAAAAAAAAGAUCUAUAUAUAGAACUACAUGAAAGUCAUUCGUUAGAAGAGAUUCAGGGCAUCGAAGGUCGAAGUAAUAGUUUCUGGUAUAUUUGUUCUAAUCAGUUCAGUCAUUCACCAAAGAAAUUACAGAAAAGCGUUGUUGAGGUACUAUUUCUUUCAGUCUCUUUUGCACACGAAGAAACACACAAUUGGUACAUACAUUGAUUAAUGUCUAAAAUCUCAGCAUUUCUUGAAAUCAAUAUGUAUACAGGCAAUAAUCAUCAUUAUUAUUAUUUUAUUUUAAAAAAUAAAUAUGUUUAAUAAUAUUUUUUAUUUUUCUUAUUUAAUCUAAAAAAUUAAAUAUUAUCUUUAAUAAUAUGUUUUUAUUAAAUAUUUAAAGUCUGAUUGGUUUUAUUUUUUAAUUAUUUCUUGAUUUUAUGAUAAUAUACAGGUAAUGUGCAACGGUCGUCACCCGUAUCGUAUUUCCCCCAUUCGUGGUGAGAUGCCAAAUUGGAUGAGCUGCAGUGGAGAAGGAUGUUCAUUGUCAUUCCAUAUACCUUCAGUCUUCCAAGGCUUAGUUGUUUGGUUUAUCUGUCCACUUGAACCCGUGACAAUUGAAUUCGAUUCUCGCAUUAUUAUUAUUAUAAGAAAUAAAAGCAAUGGUAUUCAAUUGUUUGAAGAUAAACGAACACCAGGAACUGACAUGUUUUUUAUUGAGGGAUUCAUAAGAUACAUAAGUAUAAGUGAAAUGGGAAUGGAAGAUUACUGUGGAGAUGACGAAUUGGAACUCUGCAUUUAUUCAGAGCCAACAGAGCAUGCGGUGCGCCGUCUUCCAUUCUACCCCGUACACAUUAAAGAAUGUGGGGCCCAUGUGAUCGCAAAGAAGUUAAAUUCAUUUGAAGAGUCGGCAAUGGGAAGAGCUACAGUGAUGCCUUCACCAUCGCUGUAUCAUCUGCUUCCUCAUCCCCAUUGUGGUUCAAUUACAGCAUCUACACCUAAGCAAUGGAGUAAUUAUUUAUUUGCGAAGCUGCAAGAAUAUAACCUCAGUUUAACAUUUCAUGGUAAGAACAAAUAUUUCCUUUAGUUAUUUUUAUUCUAUUAUAUUUAAUUUAUGAGAUUAAAUAUUAUCUUUAAUUAUUUCAUUAUUAUUAUUUAAUCUAAAACAUUAAAUAUCAUCUUUAAUUAAAAAAUAUAUAUAUAUUUAAGGCUUUUUGGUAAGAAUACAUAUUUCCUUUAGUUAUUUCUAUUUAAUUUAAGAGAUUAAAUAUCAUCUUUAAUUGUUACAAUAUUUUUCUUAUUUAAUCUAAAAUUUUAAAUAUUUUCUUUAACAAUAUUUUUUAUUAAAUAUUUAGAGUCUACUUGGUUUUAUUUUUUUUCUUGAUUUUAUGAUAAUAUUUUUCUUAUUUAGUAUAAAAAAUAAAUAUUAUCUUUAAUAAUUAGAUCUAUCGAAUAUCACUUAAAAAAUAAAUUAUAACUUUAAUAAUUAUUUUUUGAAAAACAAAAAGCCAACAAUCACUAACAUAUUUUAUUAAAAUCACUUUAGUUUAUUUAGAAAAUAUUGAAAAUUGAUUAUUUUUUUUACAUUAAAAUAAAAAAAUUAAAAAAUGUUUUUAUAUUUUAUUUCAAAGUCGAUAUUUUAAAACAAAAAUGAAAAAGAUGUGAUAUUAACCUUUUUUAUUAUAAAGUAAGUUUUUUAAUUAAAAGUGAUGAGAAUUUGUUCGUAAUAACAAAAUGCAUGUUUAAUUUUCUUUUCAAACUUGGAAUAUAUUUCUAUUGAAUUUGAUGGUUUUUUUAUCUUAAAACACUUGCCAGCAAUCUUGUUUUUUCAAUGCUGCCAUUUAGCAAGUGGAGUACUGUAGCUUUUCCACAUACAUUGAAUAAUAACAGUUUGAAUAAAUAACAAGAAAAUAGAAAUUAGUUUUAUUAAUUUGAACGGUACAUCAUUCAUCGAAUAAAUUACAAAAAAGUAUUAUUGAGAUACUAUUUUUUUCAGUUUCUAUUGCACCAAAAUAAACACAUAUAUUUGUCACAUAUAUUAAUUAAUAUCAAAAAUCUCUGUAUUCCUUGAAAUCAAUAUGUAUACAAGUAAUAAUCAUUAUUAUUUUAUUUUAUUUUAAAAAAUAAAUAUCAUAUUAAAUAAUAUUUUUUAUUUUUCUUAUUUAAUUUAAAAAAUUAAAUAUUAUCUUUAAUAAUAUUUUUUAUUAAAUAUUUAAAGUCUGAUUGGUUUUAUUCUUUAUUUCUUGAUUUUAUGAUAAUAUAUUUAUACAGGCAAUGUGCAACGGUCGUCACCCGUAACGUAUUGCUUCAUUUCGUGGUGAGAUGCCAAAUUGGAUGAGCUACGGUGGAGAAGGAUGCUCCUUGUCAUUCCAUAUACCUCCAGUCUUCCAAGGCUUAGUUGUUUGGUUUGUCUAUCCACUUGAGAAGGAUUGUCAUAACCUAUUUUUAGGUUAUUUUUCAAUAUAUAUAUUUUUUUUUCUUCAAAAAAAUUACAAAAAAAAUCUAAAAAUAUUAUAAAAAAUAUAACAGUAAAAAGAGGAUGUCAGAACGCUCAGAAAAUAGUUAAAAUUUGGUUGAGGAGGUUUAAAAAUAUAAAAAUUAAAAUUUGGUAGUAUUUUAUUAACUGAUGAUAGCCCUGUUGACAAAGAAAAUUCAAUUUGAGAAAAAAAAAGUCUAAAAUCAGAUGUUGAGGGACUCAAUUAAAUUAUAUUGAAAGUUUAAUUGAAUUUAUGGAGGGUUUGAUUGUAAGAAAAAUUGAUUUUGGAGUUAAUUUGGGCUUUAAUUGGAAGAAAUUAAAGUUCUGGGGUCAGAUUAUAUUUUUUUUUAGAGUUGAUUUGGUCAAAUUGGGGGCUUAAUUGCAUAAAUAUUAAAGUUUGAUGGCCAAUCGGGGACUUAAUUGAAGAAAUCUGAGACCAAGGACCAAAAUGCAAAACGCGCGCAAAUUGAAGGAUUGAAUUGAAAUCUAGCGCUUUGGCUCCAAUUUUCAUUUAAAUGAAACAGUGCGUUUUAAGCAAAACGACGUCGUUUCAUGCACUUUCCAAAAAAAAAAAAGAGGACGAAACGGUGCCGUUUUGAGGCGGCACUGUUUCUUCUUCUUCUUCCCCUGGACAUGCAGCAGGGGAAGAGGCGUUUUUGUUUUCUUCUCUUUGUUUCUUCCUCUCCCUCCCCAUGUGCUCUGUUACAACCAAAACCGGUCGCCACUUGCCUCAUGAUGAGAUGCCAAAGCAGUCGUGCCCCGCAAGCGACGCCUCCAUUGGCCACCUCUGUCGGCGCCGUGACAGAGCAGGAGACGUGCGACGCAUGCAUGGGCAACGAUGGGACGGGGCAGGGUCGACCCCGCUCCCCUUGCCCCUAUAAAUAGUGACCCGAAAGGAGAAAAAAAGGAACACGGGAGAAAACAGGGAGGGAAACCGAGAGAGAGAAAUCGAUAGUGUUGAGAGAGAAAUGACUGAAACAGUAGAAACCAAAAAAACCGGGGAUAUCGAUAGGGAGACCGAGAGAGACAGACGGGGAGAAGGAAGAAAAAGGACAAAAGAGGUAAACCGAUGGGGAAGAAGACACUGACUGGUGUCUCUACACAGCGGAGAAGAAGCGCCGCUGCUGGCAUUGGGCUUCACAGUCACCGCCACCGCAACACCACCGAGAACGUUCACCAGCAUCACCGUCAGCUCAGCCAUCCGAGAUCACCACCUCAGGUAAAUUCUCUUCCCCUCACGCCGAUAAUUAUUCAUCUUCUUGCUUGUAGAACGUGCACUGUGCACGUUCUGCAUGCAAGAAGAAAUAAUUAGUCGGUUACCGUGCAUGCGCACAGUAACCGGCUAAUUAAUUAACUAGUUACUGUGCUCAUGCAUAGUAACUAGUCAUUGGUUUCUUCUUCUGCGAGUUGGAACAUCAGCCCAGCCCACGCGACUGGGCUGAGUCCAACCCCCUUUUUUUUAUGCGGGCUGGAACAUCAGCCCAGCCCACGCGGCUGGGCUGAGUCCAGCCCUGUUAACUGCGGCCUGGAACAUCAACCCAGCCCAUGCAGCUGGGCUGAGUCCAGCCUUGUUGCUGGGCCAAUACAGGCCCAACCCAGUUCAUUUCAUUUUUUCUUUUUUCCUUUUUGUUUUGUGUUUUAUAUAUAUAUAUUGUGAUUUUCCCACGGAUUUUUCUACGUCAUUUUAACUAAUAUUGGUCUAUAUUUUUUACUCGGUUUUCAAAAAAAAAAACUUUUGCUUUCAUGCAUACGGCCAAGUCUCUCAAAGCUAAAAAAUCAUAUUGUAUUUUUAUACAACAAAGAAAACUAAAAAAAUAUAUAUUAUUUUAGCAUGCAUUUUAGCUUUAAUAACCAGUUUAUUAAAGUCAUGAUAACUUGGCCAAUAUUUCAAAAAAUCAAAAAAAAUAUUUUGUUUUGUUUUAAUGUCUGGGAUUACGAAUUUAUACGUAAAACGUAUUCCCGAUAUUAAAAAGGUAGUUCUUUUAUAGACAUUAGGCCGGUUAGAUUUUUACCCCAUAAGAUAAGAACCUCCUUACUGAGGAGGGCUUUUCUUGAACCCUAGACAGACCAACAUGAUAAGACCUUAGAUUUUUUAUUAGACAAUAAAACAAUGCAGCUUACCUUAGGUAGGGUGUAUUUGAGGUGCUAAUACCUUCCCUUUGCGCAACCAGUCUCCGUACCCGAUCUCUAAGACCAGUUAGGGUUCCUAGUGAUCAGAAUACUAGGUGGCGACUCUCAUUCCAUUUUUUCACCGCUAAGAGACAAAGAAUUCCUUGUUUUACCAUAUUUUCCAGAAUAGAUAGACAUACCACAUUUGAUGAUGAGGGUGGUGGAUGAUCGCCGCACACGUGCGAUAGAAUGGUGACUCCACUGGGGACCCAUCAAAUCAAUCAACAGAAAAAAAAAUCACCAAGCCGAUGCCGCGCGGGUGACAUGCGACAAGGAUGAUCAUUAUUACUCACGGUCUGGCACUAUUAUUAUUAUUAUUAUUAUUAUUAUUAUUAUAAGAAAUAAAAGCAAUGGUAUUCAAUUGAUUAAAGAUAAACGAAUAGUAGGACCUUUCCUACCAAAAACUGCGGGAUGGAUAAGAUACAUAAGUAGAAGUGAAAUGGAAAAUGGAAGAUUACUGUGGAGAUGACGAAUUGGAACUAUACGUAUAUUCAGAGCCAAGAGGAGAUACAGUGCGCAUCAUUAAAAAAUGUGGGGUUCAUGUGAUCGCAGGGAAGUUAGAUUCAUUUGAAGAGUCGGAAGUGGAAAGAGAUAUAAUGAUGCCUUCACCACCGUUGUAUCAUCUGCUUCCUCAUCUCCAUUGUGGUUCAAUUACAGCGUCUACACCUAAGCAAUGGAGUGACUAUUUAUUUGCGAAGCUGAGUAAAUAUAACCUCAGUUGAACGCUUCAUGGUAAGAACAAAUAUUUCAUUUAGUUAUUUCUAUUUUAUUCUAUUUAAUUUAAGAGAUUAAAUAUUACCUUUAAUUAUUUCAUUAUUAUUAUUUAAUCUAAGAAAUUAAAUAUCAUCUUUAAUAAAAAAAAUUAUUAAAUAUUUAAGGCUUUUUGCUAAGAAUACAUGUUUCCUUCAGUUAUUUCUAUUUUAUUCUAUUUAAUUUAAGAUAUUAAAUAUAAUCUUUAAUUAUUUUAUUUUUCUUAUUUAAUUAAUCUAAAAAAUUAAAUAUGUUCUUUAAUAAUAUUUUUUAAAAAAUAUUUAGAGUCUGAUUGGUUUUAUUUUUUAUUUCUUGAUUUUAUAAUAAUAUUUUUCUUAUUUAAUUUAAAAAAUAAAUAUUAUCUUUAAUAAUUAGAUCUAUCAAAUAUCACGUAAUUAAUUAUAUCAUUAUUUUAUUGGUAGCAACUUAGGAGUCUUUUAAGCCAAAAGAAUAAUAGCUAGGAAGAGCUAAAAUUAGCAAGGAAUAUUUAGAGUCUGUUUGAUUUUAUUGUUUUUCUUUGAUUUCUUAAUAAAAAAAAUCAAAUUCUUGAAAACAAAAAUUGAAAACUUAUACGUUUUGAUUUUGAUUUUAUUUUUGAAAAUGAAAAGCCACCAAUCAAUAGCAUAAUCUAUUAAAAUCACUUUGUUUUAUUUAGAAAAUAUUGAAAACUGAUUUUUUUUACAUUAAAAUAAAAAAUUGAACAAUAUUUUUAUAUUUUAUUUCAAAUUUGAUAUUUUAAAACAAAAAUGAAAACGAUGUGAUAUUAACCUUUUUUUUAUUAUAAAGUAAGUUUCUUAAUUAAAAGUGAAGGUGAUUUGUUUGUAAUAACAAAAUGCAUAUACAAUCAUGCAAAAGUUGUAUUUAAUCAACUCUGCUAUUGAAUUUAAUGGUUUUUUAGGGAACAAAUGAUAUGGAUGAAUGUGAGAGCACAAGAUCAUUUUACAAAGAGAUUGAUUGGUACUUAAAAAUAUAUUUUUAUUAAGGUUUUAUAUCAUCAUAUUGCAUUUAAAGUAUAAUUAAAUUCUCUAAUUUAAGCAUAUUUUAUAAUAACAAGUCUGAUAACAUAAAAUAUAUUUAAUUUAUGGUAAAUGCUCAUUUUGAAUGCAGGCAUAUCUCACAAUUUAAAGGAUUGAUUGAUGUGUUUAACUAUUAAAAGUGAAAAGACAAAAAGAAGGCUAAGCUUAAAGAAGAAAUGUUGGUUCAAUUCAAACUGGAAUAUCAUUAUGUUAUUGAAUCAUAACUAUAGCUAUAGAACAUGGAUUUAGGUUUGGUUUAUAUGGAUGGAAAGCUAAGACAUAGGCCUAAAACUUUCAUGAAGAGUUCAAGAUUCAAAACGGCCCUUUUCAAGUUCAAAUUAUAGCAACAAAAGAGAAGUCGAAAUAUGACUUGUAACCUAGACACUGUUCAGUGUUCAGCCCAUAUCUCGAGUUCUAGAAGUUCAAAUAAUCUCAUUCUUGUUUUGUUGGAAAACUGAGACAAAUGCCCAGAAGUUUCAUGAAGACUAUCUGUUCAAAUUUUGAUGUUAGCAUGUUGUGUUCAGACAAGAAGAUAAUGGUUGUCACCAAGUCAAUAGGUGGCCACCCACUUAAUAAUUAGUCAUUAAAUCAAUAGUUCUGAAUUUUGGACUCUAAAAGAAGGCAUUUGCCAUACAUUUAGACAUCUUGGUGUUCAGAUCAAGAUCUUGCUCUCACUCUCUCUAUUUGUAUUUUGUAAUGUUCAAGUUUUAUUUUAUGUUAUAUUAAUCUCUUAUUUAUGCUUUUCAUUUCUUUUACUAUACUUAGUUAACUUAUAUCAUGUUUAUGUUAUUAUGUUGUUUAUUUAUGUUUUUCUUCUUCAUGAUGUUUAUCUAAGUUAAUUUUGUCAAGGUGAAAAGGGUACACUAAUGGUGUAAGAAUAAGUAUAAUACAAACUCCACAUAGACUUUAAUGUUUAAUACUAACAUGUUUUGUAUUUGUUAUCUUACUCACUCUUUAUACCUUACUUGUUAAAUGGUUAAUCUAAAUUUAUGUUGUACAACCCUUGGCAUAACAAAUACUUGACACUUUCAUAACCUACUGUAUGGUAUAAUCAACACUUGUGCUAUGAAAGGAACUUGAUUUAUUGUUAACAUAAAUUAUCAUCAUGAAUACCUGACCACAUUUACAAGUAUUGGCAUUACUCAAAUAAGAUAAUUAAUAUAAUCAUGUAUGUGGUUUCUAGUUGAGUAAUAAAAAGAGUUUAUACUAUACUUAUUUGAAAUACCUCUAACUUUAACAAUUGUUUUAUCCUUGUUUAAUCCUUACAUCAAUAUCACAUUUCAAAAGUUCUCUUCAACUCCUUUUUAAUUGUUGUUUAUAAUUUUAUAUAAUUCAUCUCCCUGUGUUUCAACCCCGGUCUUGCCGGGUUAUUUAUUACUUUGACACUCCUGCACUUGAUAUAAGACAUCAAUCUCUUGAUCGUGUUAGAGAUGCUUGAAGUUACUCUUUAUUGGUAUGGUAGUUGUUUCUAACGAGUUGAUAAGUAUUUGUUAGCUUGAAGAUUAUUUUCCAAACUUGGAAGUUAUAUUGAAUGCUUUUUGAAAUCUUUUCCAUCCGAUUUGAAAUUGGACAACCUAAUUGUUAUUAUCCAUUAUGUAAUUUAUAUUUUCAAGUUUCAACUUUUGAUGAAUAUUGUAUUGAAUGCUCUUUGAAAUCUUUUCCAUCCGAUUUGAAAUUGAAAAACCUAGUUGUUAUUAUCCAUGACGUAAUUUAUAUUUUCAAGUUACAACUUUUGAUGAAUAUUGUUUCCUUUUUUUCUCACUUCUUGGAAGUAUUCUCAAAAAGAUGAAAAUCCUCGAUCUUAGUUAUAAAUAAAUUGGUUUUCUAGGAAGAGAUUAUUAGGUGGGAUAUAUUAUUUGAGUUGGUUCUUCAUCAUUUAAUGUUAUGAUUUAAGAUAAUUGAUGAAAACUACCAAUACACAAGAAUGUUUAGAAAGCAUCUUUAAUUGGUCUAAUAAGUAAAGUCUUGUUAGUUUUGGCCAUAAGCUAUGUAUUAUUGCUUGUUUUUUACUAUUUUUUUACCUUUUUUGUUUUUUGUAUAUACAACUUUUGUUUUUCUUGCGAGUUUCUCAUUAGCUUUAUGGCACUAACAUCAAUUAAUAAUAAAUCUUGGACUAUUAUUAAAUAAAAAAAAACAUAAACAUUGUUAAAACACCAAACUUGCAUAGUUCAAACCUAGAGAAACCCUAUGCCAAUAAUCUAAUUUAAAAAAAUAAUUAAUUUAUCCUUGUAGUCUUAGAAAAUAGUAUUUAAUCCUUAUGUUUUUACAUUUAUCUUUGAUUUAACCUUUUACAUCUAUUUCAUCUUAUUAUUUUGGUUUACUAAGUAAAGUCUUAGAAACCUAUUUAUGGUCUUAAACAACUUAAAAAGGCUCAAAAACCUAAAAUGAACUCAAACCUGAAAAUCUUCAUGCUGAGAGGUCUGUUUCAUCAAGCAAGGAAAAAGAAAAAAAAAACAUAGGUGAAACUUCCCUCAUCAAAUAAAAUCCAAUGACACUAGGAUUGACUAUUUUGGUGGCUAGAAUAGAAGUCAACGAUAACAUUUUCUUUCCACGUCGGAAUCUAGCAAGUUUCUCUCUUCUCUCACAAAAAAAAACUAAAAAAUAAGGAAAAUAAAGUUUGGUAUUAAAAUCAAAUUUCCGACAACUAAAGAGACCAAUCACCUAUUAACUAAAAACAAUUGGGGACCGAACUAAGUUUUUCAUAUGAAAUAUGAAGUUGACAUCUAUUUUCUCCAUGUUUUUUACUUUGGUUAUCUAUCUUUCAAUCCAACCCUUUCUUCAUAAAAAUAGAAGUAACUUUGUAUUAAUUUGGACUAAAAAAGGUACAAUAGUGCAAAAACAAAUUGAGGAUCAAAUUGAGAAUUAAAAAAUAAUUGAUUAUUUUAAUCUAUAAUGAUAUGUGAGAGAGUGCACAUUAUAAAGUGAAGAGAAAAAACUCCACAUGACUUUGAAACACCUUUGAUGGUUGAUUGAAAUUGGUAAGUGAGUUUCCUCACAUGUUGUUUUUUCGGUUUUGAGUCCAAAUAUGGAGAUUUUAUGAUUUAAGGUAUUUUUCAUGAAUGCAACCCUUCAUGUAUUCAAUAACUUAUUUUCUAGUAUAAACUACGUUUGAAAUAAAAUUGAUAAAAGACAUGUGGUACACAAUUAAUGAUGGCAUGUAUAUAAAAAUAAUUAAAUUGAAAAUUUUCAAUUAUCUUUAAAGAUAUCAUGGUUUUAGUCGGUUAAAUUAUAAAAAAAAUAUUUAAUUUUUUGAUAUAAAUAAUAAUAACAAAUUAGAUAAUAGUAACAAGAAAAUAGGAAUUAGUUUGAAUAAAUGGUACCAGUUCCUAUUAUGAUAUAUCUAGAGAAGAAGUUUGAAGAAUAAAAUGAAGUGAAAUAUUCUUAAUAAAAAAAGAAAAACACAAAAAGAAAUAAAAAAAUAUUCUUAAUAAAUAUAAAAGAUGGGUGAAAUUAGAGAACAAGAAAGAGAUAUAGAAUCUCUUUGUAAGAUUUCUAAAAACUUAAUUACAAUUAUAUUAUAAUUUCUUCCCUAAAAUUAUUUAAAAUAUAGUAUUAGAAUUACAUAAUGCUAGGUUUUAAUAUAUAAUUAAAGAGUUUCUCCUUAACCAAAUAUAAAAAUAUUUUAUAAUUCUUUUGAAUGAAUUAUUAACGGAGGGACUGUUUUGGGUCCCUAUUUAGCUGAUUUUAUUUGAAUAUAUUAUUUGACUAGUCCAUUUAUAGGUUUACUCUACUAUUCUUGCCUUACUGGAACCGGAAAAUUCACUCGAAAUUUCUAGUAGUUUACACAGAAAUUUCCUGUGCUAAACUUCAAAGAAUUUCUUUUCUUUUCAUUUUGUAUUUUCUCAUUUUCUUGGCAUGCGCGCAGCUGCAUCAAGGAAAAAACGUUUCAGAUGCGUGUAAUAAAUCCAAUCGAUGAAUGAGAAAGGGACGCAAAAUAAAGAUAAAAGUGGAAUAUUCUCAUUAAUUGGUCAUCAUUUAAACGUUGGACACAGCCAUCUAUAUGUUGUUUAAAGAAUUUAAAUGGUUAGUCAGAAAGGAUUGCUUUUUAAUUAAAAAUAUAUUAAAAUAAUAUUUUUAAUGCCAAGUAUUUGUUCAACCUCAUUAAUGCUAACGAGUGGACCCAGUUGUUGUGGAAACUUUGCUAGGGAUCUGGAGUGUCAUAAUCCAAAAUUAUUCCUUAAAAUUUAUAUUUUUUCAAAAUAAAAAUCAAAAAAAUAAAAUAAAGGCUGGCAACGUGGAGAAAGCAGGCCGGAAAAUCAAGCUGUAAUUUUUGGAGGAAAUUCAAGGCGUAAUUGUACCCCACUAUGCCCCAAAAUAGAGAGAAAAUAUAAAUUCAAGGUCAAAUUAAAUGAUUAUUUGACAAAUUUGCAUAAACAUUAAGUCCGAUGACAUAAUUAAAUUUUUAAUAGGCCAAUUUGAUUUAAUCACGGGCCAAAUUAAAUUUUAAUUAUGUUUAAGAAUUAAUUUGCGUCCAAUUGAAGGAUUUAAUUAAGUGCAAGGACUUAAUUAUACUUUAAAUGGGUCAAAUUAAUUUUAUUUUGGGCUUAAUUGGUGAAAACUUAAGUUUGGGAGCUUAAUUGAGAAGAUUGGAAUUUUAAGAGACCAAAUUUAAUUCUUACCAAGUUAAUUGAUUGAAAUUAGGGGCCCAAUUGCAAGAACAUUGAAGUUUUGGGGUCAAUUGGGGGUUAAAUUGAAGAAAUUGACAGCUAAGGACCACUCUGCAAAAGGCGAAAACAUUUGGGGACUUAAUUGACAACCACCGGGGCAAAAUUGAAGAAAUUGAAAGUAUAAUGGUCAAUUAGAGGUUAAUUUGACAAAAUUCGAGACCAAGGACCAUAUUGCAAUAGGCGCGUAACUUUGGGGUUUCAAUUGAAGUUUAUCAGGGGCUUAAUUGCAUUAAAUCCAAAGUUAAGGGUUAAUUAGGGGUUCAAUUGAAACCAAUUGAAAGAUGGAGGACUAAGAUGAAAAUAUGUUAAAAUCCCUAAUUCAACUCAAAAUGGCGCCGUUUUAUAUUAAAAAAGAGAGAGAGAGAGGGGACCAGACGACGCGUUGUCGGGUCACUGUUCAUUGUCUUCUUCUUUUACCCGAAAGAAACUGCUUGGGAGCCUUAUUUGCAGGUGCAUUUAAUGCUUGAUUUCUCCAUAAAAUUGAACAAAACUUGCACGAAAAGGAUCCCCUGCAAUUCCUCUACAAACCCAUGUGAACUUUUCAGGAUUAAUGACAGCACAGCUACGCCGGAGAUGGCGUGAAGAGGUCAACUCAGGCAGCCUUUUCCUGCAGAUUUGACAACUCAGGGAGGCUACUUUGAGCCAACAGUUGGGAUCCUUCCCAACAGAAUCAAGAGCUAAAAUUUUACCCCAGUGCAAAAGAGAUUACCCUCUUCGACCGCCUAUAAAUAGAGGCUGAUUUGAUGGCCUGAGGGAGGAAAAAAAAUCGGGUCCAAAAUUUGAAAAAAACAAGCUCCCACUGCCCCCGUUUCUGCAAUUUCUCUCUCUCUCUCCGUCGCUUCAACCACCACCAACCUCAUCACCAGCUUCUCCACCACCAGCUCCAUCACAGUAAGCCACCAACCGACCACCGAGAGCCACCGUGAACCUUUCUCUCUCCUCUGCAAACCGGUUUCUUCUUUCUCCCACAGCGACUCCACCGGCCAAAACUCUCCACCAACGCCGCCAUCAGCCUCUUUUCUUCCACGACCAGACCACCGCCAACUUCACGCCAGGCCAGAGACAGCAGCUUCUUCUCCUCCGCAAGGUCGCCUCCCACUUCACUCCGCCGUCUGCGCAAAGUUGCAUGCAGAACAUGAACUUACUGUUCACGUUCUACAAUUAAUUCAUCCCUCACUUGGGCCGGGCCAUAAAUGUUUGGCUGGGUCUGGCCCGGCCUCAAAAGAAAAGGAGAAAGAAAAUAUGUUGGGCCGAUAUCGGCCCAACCUUUUUGGACCGAGAUCGGCCCAACUGUUUCUGGGUUUCUGCUUGGUCCAGUUACUUGGGCCAUCCCGGCCCACCUGUUUUAAUAAUAUUUAAUUAAUAUAUUAUAUUAUAUUAUAUAUUUCCUUUUAAAAAAAACAAAAAAAUCCAAAAAAAAUUUCAAAAAUCAUUUUUAAAAAAUUACGAUUUUCUCAAAUAUUUUUCUACCACUUUUGUAUAAUAUCGGGUUGUAUAUUUACACUGUAAAAUACAAACCUGGUAUUAAAAUACCCGGUUUUCUCCUAAAUAUUUCAAAAACAAAAUUCAAAACAUUUUCAAAGAGAAAAAAAAUAUUUUGUUGCAUACGGCCAAAUCUUAAAAUUUUUCCAAGCAUAUUUUUCAAUAAAAAAACAAAAAUUGCAUCUUUCUCCAGUUUUGAAAAUAAAAAAAAUGGAUAUCAUAACCAGUUUGUGAAUAUCCAUUAGAAUUUGGCCAACAUGUCAAAACCUUUUUCCAAUCUUUUUAGGGUUCAGAUGCAGACUUUAGUAUUUGUGGAGUGUAAAAUUACACGAUAAAGUACACCCUCAGGUAUUAAAGAUACAAGGUGUAAAUAAAUGCGAUGCUAAAAUUCAGACUUUAGAAUGGUUAGGAUUUAACCUGAUAAAGUAAAGACUUUCUCAUGAAGAGAGAUCUGCCUUAAACCUUAAAAAAGACCAACGAAUAGAAACCCGAUUUAGAAAAAAACAAUCAAACAACAAUGUAGCUUACCUUAGGUAGGGUGCACUGGGGGUGAUGCGUCUUCCCCUUGCACAACCAGUCUCUUACCCAGACUCUCGCAGACCAUAGGUUUCUAGUGAUCAUAAUACUAGGUGGCGACUCCUAAACAUUAAUCAUAAUUUUAUAAUUAAAUCCAAAAAACCUUCCCAACACACAACACCUCACACAGGAGGCACGACAAGAAGCCUUUGCCGUCGCCAGACGACGUCGCGCCCCUUGCGACAUGGAGGAAGAAAAAUGAUUGCAUUGCUAAUAAUUUGCAAGAGAGAAUUCUUUUUCUGAAUAGAAAAAACUAUUAUUUUUAAAAUAAAAACAACUAAAUAGAAAAAUUAUUAUUUUUUAAAUAGAAAAACUAGAAAAGCCUUGUAAUAUUGAAUAAAAAAUAAAAUAGAAAAAUUAUUCUUUUAAAGUAGAAAAAAUUAUGACAAUUUAAUAAUACUGAAUAGAAAUAAAUCAAAUUUUUAAACUAAAUAAAAAUAAUAGAGAAAAAUAUUUAUUAUCCUAAACUUUUUUAUAUUAAAAUCUUAAUUUAUAACAUGAACUGAGUCUACAUGCUAAAAUUAGAAGAACAAAAAAAAAAUGUAACAAAAAAAUUCCAUACAACACAAUUAAUGAUGGGAUCAUAUAUUUUGAGACUAAAAUGAGGUUUUCGAAUUACCUUUAAACAUAACAUAACAUGAUUUUAAUAGAUGUACUGUACAUCAUUUGAAUUUAUUAGAAAAAACAUAUAAUGUAAAGUAUGAACCACUUACCAUUAACUAGAUUUUUCAAUUGGAUUUUUUAUUUAAAUGAAAAGGAAAAUUUAUUUUAUUAUGAAAAAUAUUUUUUAUAUAUAUCUAGUAAUAAUAAAUUAAAGGAUAAUAACAAGAAAAUAACAAUUAGAUCGAAUAAAUGGUACCAAUUUCUAUUCUGAUAUAUCUAGCCAAAGAAUAGAAUGAAUCAAAAUAUUCUUAAUAAAAAAAAUAGAAAACACAGAAAGAAAUAAAAAAAUGUUCUUAAUUAAUAUAAAACUAUUAAUUUACAAAAGAAAUUUUCUGGUACUUUAUACUGUAUAUAAUUUGAAAAAUUGUGACUGACCGACUUACUUGCAAAGUAUUUGCAAGAAAGUUAAAGAAUUAGAGUUUUUUAAUAUUCAAAAUUAUAAUUUUAAAUUCUACGAAAAAAAUCAAUUAUUUUUAAAACUGUUUUCAAAAAUAAAACAUCAACUAUUUAUAUAAUAGCUAAAUAAAACAAUUAAAAUAAAUAAAAAAAUAACUAGUAAAAUCAAGUGAAUAAUCCAAAAAUAACAAGAAAAUAGAGAUAUUUCCUAAAUAUGAUUUCAGUUUGUUGUAUUGAUCAAUUUGCUAACAUAAAUAGCAUAAACGAACUUUAUUCUAAUAGUAUGUUUGAUAUUUAAAAAAAAAAAAAACUUAUAGAUAUUAUAUGGGUUGGCAACCCAUUUUUUAUUAAAUUUUAAAUUUUAUUUGUUUAAAAAUAUUUGUUUAUGUUUUUUAAUUAUUUUAAUAUGAUAAUAUCAAAAAUAAAUAAAUAAAAUUUUUCUAAGUUUUACUACUUCUGACUUGCUUUGACUCGAAAUUAGUGGUGCUUUCUCCUGCGAAUGAAUAGAAAGCAUAUCAUAAAGGUGUGUUUGACAUUGUGUUUUGGAAGUAUUUUUUAAAAAAAUAAAUUUUUUUAUUUUUUUUCUUCAAAUUAUUUUUUUUGUUGAUGUUUUCAUAUUAUUUUGAUAUGCUGAUGUCACAAAUAAUUUUUAAAAAAUAAAAAAAUAUAUUAUUUUGAUGUGUUUUGAAAUGAAAAAACUUUAAAAAGCAACCGCUACCACACUCUCAAACUCCUUUGUUUAUUGAGUCUUACUGUGAAACCUCGUUUUGGGAUGAAUUGAUUGUAAGAAUAAGAAAUUAUGUGCAAAUUAUACAAAAUUUAUUAUUCAUCAUCAAGAUUUAUUAUUUAUUAUCACUAUUGAAUAAUGAUUUAUUUUAUAAUAUAAAUUAUGUUUAAAAUAAAAUUGAUAAAAUUAAAAUACAUGAAACGAGGUCGUAUAUUUUGAAACUAAAUUAAAAUUAUUUUCUUUUUCAAUGAUAUCAUUUGUUAGUUUGCAAGUCCACAUGUCACGAGUCUCCACUGCAUGAAAUUUGCAAAAUCAUAUGGCCCAUUGAUAGAAGGUGUGUUGAAGCAAAAUCUGUUUUAUUGAUUAUCAAUAUUGAAUAAUAGCUUAUUUUCUAGUAGAAACUAUGUUUGAAAUAAAAUUGAUAAAAGACAUGAUAUACAAUUAAUAAUAGGAUCGUAUAUAAAAAUAGGAAAUUUCCUGGUAAUAAAGUCCCAACUUUCGUAGGCGAGCACUAAAGUCCCAAACUUCAAGAAUUUCUCUUCUUUUCCUUUUGUAUCUUCUCAUUUUCUUGGCAUGCGCGCAGCUGCCUCGAGGAAAAAACGUUUCAGAUUCGGAAAAUAAAGAUAAAUGUGGAAAAAAAAAAUCCCAAAUAAAGAUAUCUUUUCGUCCCUUGGUGUCGUGUGAAUACCAUGUGGAUAUCAUUUCAGAAAAUCAAUUCAACCGUUCUCCAAAGAACACUCAUACUCCAAUAUCAGCAACUACCACGAAAGUUACCACUCUAAAUUCCAGCUCAAUAAUUAAGGUUCCAAGAUAAGCCUAAAAAAUAUUUAUUAGGCUUAUCUUAAAGCCUAAUAAAUAUCUAAAAAAAAACAAAAAAACAAAAUUCCACCCUAGGCUGUGAUUAACAGAUUAUCUGAUGGAAACAUGAUGAGCUUUUUUUUAGUGAAUUAAGUUCAAUUAAAAAAAAAUUAAGGUUAAAUUGAUGAUUAAUAAUGAAUUUUGUAUACUUUGCACAGGAUUUUCUUAUUCUCGUCAAUUAAUCUUAAAGCGAGGUUCCAAGAUAAGCCUAAAAAAUAUUUAUUAUUGAUCAACAAUAUUGAAUAAUGGCUUAUUUUCUAGUAUAAAUUAUGUUUGAAAUAAAAUUGAUCAUAAGAGUAGAUGAUAUACAAUUAAUGAUGAAAUCGUAUAUUUUGAGACUAAAUUAAGAUUUUUCAAUUAUCUUUAAAUAUUAUGGUUUUAAUAGGUGGACAAUGCAUUCUUUGAAUUUAUUACAAGUAAUGUGUAAUUUAAAUUAUAAAAAAAUAUUUAUUUUUCUGAUAUACAUGAUAAUAAUAAAUUUGAUGAUAGCAACAAGAAAAUAGAAAUUAGUUUGAAUUAGUACGUUUCUCAUUAACAUUAAUGAUGGAAUCAAAAUCUUUGUUAGCGGUCACCUGUUCGACCUCAGUAAUGUUAACGCGUGGACCCAGCUGUUGUAGAAACUUUGCAAAGGAUCUCGAGGAAGAAAAAUGAUUGCAGUGUAAGACUUAAUUACCGAUUCUAUGAUGGGGAAUAAAUAUGUUUAUAACAGAAUUGUAAGUUAUAAUAUGUAAAAUUUAAUUAACGAUUCUAUUAUACGAAAUAAAUAUGUUUAUAACGUAAUCGUAAGCCUUAAUAAUAAGAAAUCAAUAUCUCCAUCUAUUAAUGUUCCUCAUGUAUUUAUUAUUCUUUUUUAUAUAUAUUUGAUACUUUCAAACUCUACUCACUUUAUAUAGAUUGUGUAAAACUUAAGAGAACUCAGUAAGUGAGUAUAGAGAUCAAAUAACAUUAUUUAUAGCCAAAGCUUCCCUCAAGCUUUAAUGGCUAUAUGUCCCACAUAUUUAUUAUAUCAUGGGUAGUUACAAGUGAAUCACUUUAAGAGCUUAUAAAUGUAAAUGUUACAACUUUAAAAUGAACGAUUUUAAGAGUUUAUAAAUAUAAAUAUUAUAAUUUUUAGAGUGGAUCACUUUUAGUGUGAAGGAGAGUUAGAGAAUCGAUUAUAAUGACUCUGUAAAAAACAGUCAACAUGCAUUGCUAAUAAUUUGCAACGGAGAAUUCUUUAUUGAGAUUUAUUGUUAAACCUCGCUUUGGAAUGAAUUGAUCACGAGAAUAAAAAAUAAUCACUACAUACACCCUUUAACUAUUUUACUUGAAAGUUUCGAUUAUUUCCUAAGCUCCUUUGUUCAUUUUCUUUUUUAUUACCCCUUCAUGCACGACACUUUAUGCCACUUCAUGAUACCCUUGUUUUCAACGUUUUACACUACUUUAAAAGCGUGUUUGGUAGUGUGGUUGCGGGUGCUUUUCAAAUAACUUUUCGUGUCAAAAUACAUGCCAAUGAUAUUUUUUUUAUUUUUUAAAAAUUAUUUUUGACAUCAGCACAUCAAAACGAUCCAAAACAUAUAAACCUUAUUAAAUUUUAAUUUAAAAAAUAUUCAAUUUUUUUGGGAACGCAGCCGCAUCCGCGUUCACAAACGAGUCCUCAAGUCAAUUGUUAGAUACUAAAAACAGCAAGAACUGUACUCAAUCAGCAACCACUGUGAAAUUACCACUCAAAAUCCCAUGAAUAUAUAUAAAAAAGAAUUUUGUCUAGAAAAAUUCUAUCAAAUUCUCUACUUUAUUACUCUUCAAUGUUUUACACUGCUUUAGUUCUAAAAAAACUCCUAGAUGUUAUAAAGCAAGAUAUAUACAACUAUAUAUAUAUAUAUAUAUAUAUAUAUAUAUAUGAAAGUGUAAUAAAUAUUAUAUUUUAAAGUAUUUUUUAAAUAUAUUAAAAUAAUAUUUUUUUAAAAAUAAUUUUGAUAUUAGUAUAUUAGAAUAAUAAAAAAAUAAUUUAAAACAAUAAAAAAUAUUGAAAUUUUUAAAAAAUAUGAUUUGACUGAACUCCAAAACACACGCAUGCUCCCUCAGCAGCCACCACGAAAUUACCACUCUAAAUUCCAGCUCAAUAAUUUAUUCUUUAGCAAUUAUUGCUUGCUCUUUGACAAGUACUGCUUUGCUAAUAAUUUGCAAGAAACUUUCUCAAUUUCCUUCUAUUUUCUUUUUAUCAUGGAAACUUUAAGUCACAUACCACUAAAUUACCGAUAAUUAAAUUUCAAUGUGUAAUUGUGUAGGUUUCAAUUAAAAAUGUUUUAAUUUGAGAAAAUUUGUUAAAAAAAUAGUAUAAAUUAUAUUUUAGAGUUUAUUUUAAUAGUUUAAAUUUUUAGAUGAAUAGUUUUCUAACAAAUAAAGACAUAGUUUUACGAUAAAAUGCAUUUUUUAAAAUGAAAUUAUAUUAAAUUAAGCAUGGUCGAGAUUAUUCAAAUUAUUAAUUAAUUAUAAUUAACUUUAUGUCUUUAGAGGAAACAAAAGGAAAGGACAAAAUGAUUAAUUAAAUUUUUAGAUGAAUUAAUAAAUCUUUACAAAUAAAAGAUAUAGUUUUUCAUUUUUUGAAAUGAAAUUAUAUUAAAUUAAGCAUGCUCGACAUUGUUCAAAUUAUUAAUUAAUUAUAAUUAACUUUAUGUCUUCAGAGUAAACAAAAGGGAAGGACAAAAUUAUCUUCCCCACAACGAUAAACCUAGCCCCCUUUCCAAACCAAUCCUCUAGUAAAUAGAAUGAUGGUCCCAUAAAUUGCUUUAUUCUUUCCAGCCCGCCAAGUAGUUUGGUCUCCCUCACAGGACCUCCUUAGCAUGGGAAUCAUAUGAAUUUCCUUGCUUUUCUUCCUCUACGCGUUACCUUUCACCUUUUAUAAUUAUUAUUAUUGCAUUGCUAAUAAUUUGCAAGAAAGAUUAUGAACAUUUUUUUUAGUGAAAUAAGCUCAUUUCAAAUUAACAAAAUAUAGUUUGUUGAGGCUUGUCUUGAAACCUCACUUUGGAUUAAUUGACAGGAAUAAUAAAAUUUUAUUCAAAUUAUAUAAAAUAUUAGGUGUGGAUGUGCCCUUGCCCAACAAGCUACCAUGACCUUAUCUAGAGUUGGGUGUUAACGAGACAAGCCCUUGUCCAACUCAGAGUUCGGCAUAGAUAUAUCAUGACCCAACAUAAAGUUUGGAUGCGGAAAAAAUAUAAUUUCAUUUUGAAUUAUGAUUUUUGUUGGAUAGUCUUUAAAUAAAUUUUUUUUUUAGAAAAUCAUGACCCAUAUCUGGUUAUCGGAAAAACAAUUAUGGUUGAUUUAGCCUCAUCUUCUCUGCUUGUAAAAUUGGGGCAGAUUAUGGACUUAACCGAGCAAUUACCGCUCAAAAUUCCUAGCAAUUUACAAAGGAAUUUUCCUUGCUUUUUCUCAGUAUAUUAUUAGAAAAACCGUCAUUGACUGAUUUAAUUGUAAAGUCUUUGCAAGAAAGUAAAAAAAUUAGUUUUUUAAAAUAAAAAAUAUAGAGAGAGAAAUAAAAAAUAAAAAAUAAAAAAAGGAGCGAAAGGAAACAACCGCCAUCUUUCUUGUUCCUUUUCCCUUCUUUACACGGCGUCCUCGAUGAAAAUAGCAAACACCCCAUUUGAAUAUAUAAUUAAAGAAAGAAAGAAAGAGAGGAAAAUUCCUUCCUCAAUACUUACCGCUACACGCUUCAGAAAUUCCUUGCUUUUUUUUUUUUUUUUUUCAUCUCUACUUACGUGUUACCUUUUACCUUUUAUAAUUAUGAUUAUUGCAUUGCUAAUAAUUUCCUUGCAUUUCUUUAAUAUAUAAUUAAAGAAAGAAAGAUGUUGAACACUUUUUUAGUGAAUUCAAAAUAACAAAAUAAGGUUGUUGAGGCUUUUCUUGGAACCUAGCUCAGGGAUUAAAUUAUAAAAAAAUAUAUUUAUUUUUCUGAUUAUAUAGCAAUAACAAAUUAAAUAAUAGCAACAAGUAAAUAGGAAUUAGUUUGAAUAAAUGGUACCAGUUCCUAUUAUAAUAUAUCUAGAGAAGAAGUUCGAAGAAUAGAAUGAAGUCAAAUAUCCUUACAUAAUGCUAGGUUUUAAUAUAUAAUUAAAAAGUUUUCCAUGAACCAAAUAAUAAAAAUAUUGUACAACUUUUUUGAAUGAAUUAUUAACAUAGAGGCUUAUUUGAUUUGAAUAUAUUAUUUGAUUAGUCCAUUUAUAGGUUGUCUCUAUUAUUCCUGCCUUGCAUUGCCAGGAAAUUUCACUAGAAAUUUCUAGUAAUUUAAACAGGAAAUUUGCUGGUGAUAAACCUGGAAUAUGAUUUUCAACUUUCGUAGGCGAGCACUGAAGUCCCAAACUUCAAGAAUUUCUUUUCUUUUCCUUUUGUAUCUUCUCAUUUUCUUUCUAGGAAUGUUAUGAGAAGCAGCAGAGUCAAGAGGCCAUUUUUGAUCCUGUGGACCGGAAGUAGUUGCAUAGUUAGUCGUAACCUCUGAUCAAUGGAGUCGUGGGUAAGACUUGGCUAAAUGGCCUAUCUGAUCAGGAAAUUGGCAUUUCGGUUGAUAAUGCAUUUGAGUGGUACCGAUUGGUUGAAGACUUGCAGUUGUCUUUGAAUGGACCGACCUUGAGGGAUUUUAUUGUGGCCUGGAGACCGAGAAGAUCCAUUAGUCUUAUUUGAACCCUUCGGGUGAGACCCACCAUAUGAACUAUUUAAGUUCUGUUUGUGAAGAUAAGAAUAAUUGGCAGAGGCCACAAGCUGCUGAGUUGAAGAUUCCAAACGCCGCAGGUAACUGUCAUGCCCCUCAAGAAUAUCUUGAAGCUCUUCAAAUUAUCCCAAUAGUUCUUAUAUUAAAAUCUCAUUUAUCAUAUGUUACAUCUAUCAAAAAAAAAAAAAUAAUUUGUGACGUGAACUAAAGCUAUAUGUGAAAACUAGAAAUAACAAAUGUAUGAAAAAAAAAUCAGCUGUGAUUAACAGAUUAACGAUGGAAAUUAAGAUGAUGAAUAUUUUUUUGUAAAUUAAUUUCAAUUUAAAAUAACUACAAAGAAGUUAAUUAGGAUUCCUUCCUUGAAAUUAUUAAAAAUAUAGUAUUAGAAUUAUAGAAUGCUAGGUUUUAAUAUAUAAUUUUUAAUAUUAAUUGUUAAAGAGUCUCUCUCGAACCAAAUAAUAAAGAUAUUAUAUAACUCUUUUGUAUGAAUUGUAAAUCUAGGGAUAGUUUUGGGUUUUCCAAUCACAACUUUGGACUAAAAUUAAUAACAAAAUAAAGACCAAAGAUAACGGUAUGUAAAUCUAGGGACCAAAAAUAAUACAACUGCAUUUACUGUAGAUUUCACUUAGAAUUUCUAGUAAAUUACAAAGGAAAUUUCUUGUGCUUUUUAACGUACAUGAAUUGAAAAACUACCAUUGACUGACUUGCAUUGACUGACUUGCUAAGCAUUUGCUGCUCGAAAUUUUCUCCCUAAAAAUUUUCAAGCAAUUUACGGAGCAAAUUUCCUUAUGCUCUCUCUUGUAUAUUAUUAGAAAAAUUGUUUUUAAAAAUCAAUUUUUUUUUAUUUUCCUGAGAUUCUAUUUUUUAGUCGAGUCAAUUUCAAGUUGGGUUCAAUAAUUAUGAUUAAAUUUACUGAAAAAAAAAUAAUUUUAUGUCACUUCAUGAUACCCAUGUUUUCAACGCUUUACACUGCUUUAAUAAAUUGUUACAGUAAUAGCACAGAGAGGAGCGGUUCCAGAAAAAACAAUAAUGGAGAUGAAGCAAAAUCUGUGUUUGAUUUUUUCUUUUUUGUGUUUUCGGUACAUUGGUCAACAAUAGCUUGGAAGAGUUUGGAAUCAGUAACACGUGGACCCAGUUGUUGUGGAAACUUUGCAGAGGAUCUUCACUCUGCAGGAAGAAAAAUGAUUUUAAUAGAUGUACUGUACAUCAUUUGAAUUUAUUAAAAGUAACGUGUAAUGUAAAGUAUGAUUCACUUACCAUUAACUAGUUGGACAAAAAAACUAAACUUUCUCAAUUUCCUUCUAUUUUCUUUUUAUCAUGGAAACUUUAAGUCACAUCUGCGCCUACCACGAAAUUACCGAUAAGUAAAUUUCAAUGCGUAAUUGUGUAGGUUUCAAUUAAAAAUGCUUUAAUUUGAAAAAUUAUGUUAACAAUAAUAUAAAUUAAUUUUUCUUCAAAAUAAAAAGUAAUUGGGUAUUAAUUUAGGCUAUAAAGAUAAAAUAAUAAUAAUAAAAAAGAGUUCGAGGGUAUUCAUUUUAUUAUUUGUUAUGUAACUAUAUAAUCUAAUUUGUUGAUGUGGAAAAUAGCACAAAGUUUUUGACAUGGAUAUUGGUGAGAAGCAAAAGCAGUAUCCACUAUGAGAGCUUUUGUAAACGCGUGGACCCAGUUGUUGUGGAAACUUUGCAAAGGAUCUGCAGGAAGAAAAAUGAAAUUUGCAAAGUAUUUGUGUGUAUUAUAUAAUUGUGUUAAUUUAAGGAUUAUUUUUUAGUUGUAUUAAUUUAGAAAAUAUUUUGUCUCACCGGAAAACUCUAAUUACGUUCGUAUAUUUGUUUUUGGUAACAGAUGCAAUAUGCUUUUUAAUUCAAGAUAUAUUAAAAUAAUAAUUUUUAAAAAAAAAUUAUUUUUUUUAUUUUAGUAUAUUAAAAAUAAAAAAUUUAAAAAUAGUAAUUUAAUAUUUUCUUAAAAAUAUAUUUAAAAAACACUUUUAAUUUUGUUUUUCAACUGUACUAUUCCUUGAAAAAACUCAAACUCUAAAUAAUAUCUUCUACUACAUACUUUCUAAGACUAAAAAUUAAUCUAAAUGUUUUUGAAAAGUAGUUCAACCAAAGUACCAAAUAUGUUUAUAUACUCCAUCUUCAACCACUGUAAAAUUACCACUCUAAAUUACAACUCGGUAUCGAUUACCUUUUAUCUUUGACAAUUAUUGCAUUGCUAAUAAUUUGCAAGAAAAAAUACAUUCUCAAUUUCCUUCUAUUUUUUUUUUAACAUGAAAAACUUUAAGUCACUCAAUCUGCAACCACCAUGAAAUUACCGGUCCGAAUUCCAGCUCAAUAUUUACCGGUACGACACGCUUGAGGAAUUUCCUUGCUUUUCUUCCUCUACGCGUUACCUUUCACCUUUUAUAAUUAUUAUUAUUGCAUUGCUAAUAAUUUGCAAGAAAGAUUAUGAACAUUUUUUUAGUGAAAUAAGCUCAUUUCAAAUUAACAAAAUAUAGUUUGUUGAGGCUCGUCUUGGAACCUCGCUUUGGAUUAAUUGACAGGAAUAGUAAAAUUUUAUUCAAAUUAUAUAAAAUAUUGGGUGCUGAUGUGCCUUUAUCCAACUUAGAAUUGCGACAAGCUACCAUGACCUUAUCUAGAGUUGGGUGUUAAUGAGACGAGUCCUUGCCCAACUCAGAGUUUGGCAUGGAUAUAUCAUGACCCAACAUAAAGUUUGGAUGCAGAAAAAAUAUGACUUUAUUUUGAAUUAUGAUUUUUGUUGGAUGGUCUCUAAAUAAAUUUUUUUUAUAGAAAAUCAUGACCCAUAUCUGGGUAUCGGAAAAACAAUUAUGGUUGAUUUAGCCUCAUCUUCUCUGCUUGUAAAAUUGGGGCAGAUUAUGGACUUAACCGAGCAAUUACCGCUCGAAAUUCCUAGCAAUUUACAAAGGAAUUUUCCUUGUUUUUUCUCAGUUCAUUAUUAGAAAAACUGUCAUUGACUGAUUUAAUUGUAAAGUCUUUGCAAGAAAGCUAAAAAAAUUAGAGUUUUUUAAAAUAAGAAAUAUAGAGAGAAAAAUAAAAAAUAAAAAUAAAAAAAGGAGCAAAAGGAAACAACCCCCAUCUUUCUUGUUCCUUUUCCCUUCUUUACAUGGCGUCCUCGAUGAAAAUAGCAAACACCCCAUUUGAAUAUAUAAUUAAAGAAAGAAAGAAAGAGAGGAAAAUUCCUUCCUCAAUACUUACCAGUACUACACGCUUGAGAAAUUCCUUUCUUGUUACCUUUUACCUUUUAUAAUUAUGAUUAUUGCAUUGCUAAUAAUUUCCUUGCAUUUCUUUAAUAUAUAAUUAAAGAAAGAAAGAUGUUGAACACUUUUUUAGUGAAUUCAAAAUAACAAAAUAAGGUUGUUGAGGCUUUUCUUGGAACCUCGCUCAGGGAUUAAUUAACAAGAAUAAAAAAAUCCCCUGCAAAUUAAACAAAAUUUAUUAUUAAUCAUUGAUAUUUAUUAUUGAUCAUCAAUAUUGAAUAAUGGCUUAUUUUCUAGCAUAAAUAAAAUUGUUAAAAAACAUGAUUACACAAUUAAUGAUGAGAUCGGUUAUAAAAAUGACUAAAUUGAGGUUUUUCAAUUACCUUUAAACGUAUCAUGGUUUUAAUAGGUGGACAGUACAUCCUAUUAUGUAAAUUAUAAAAAAUUAUAUUUAUUUUUCUGAUAUAUAUAGCAAUAACAAAUUAAAUAAUAGCAACAAGUAAAUAGGAAUUAGUUUGAAUAAAUGAUACCAGUUCCUAUUAUUAUAUAUCUGGAGAAGAAGUUCGAACAAUAGAAUGAAGUCAAAUAUCUUUACAUAAUGCAAGGUUUUAAUAUAUAAUUAAAAAGUUUUCCAUGAACCAAAUAAUAAAAAUAUUGUAUAACUUUUUUGAAUGAAUUAUUAACGUAGAGGCUUAUUUGAUUUGAAUAUAUUAUUUGAUUAGUCUAUUUAUAGGUUGACUCUACUAUUCCUGCCUUGCAUUGCCAGGAAAUUUCACUAGAAAUUUCUAGUAAACGAAAUUUGCUGGUGAUAAACCUGGAAUAUGAUUUUCAACUUUCGUAGGCGAGCACUAAAGUCCCAAACUUCAAGAAUUUCUUUUCUUUUCCUUUUGUAUCUUCUCAUUUUCUUGGCAUGCGCGCAGCUGCCUCGAGGAAAAAACGUUUCAGAUGCGGAAAAUAAAGAUGAAAGUGGAAAAUAGAAGCGGGGAAAAAAAUCCCAAAUAUCGACAAACAUCACAAGAGAAGCUUGAUAUCUCUUCGUCCCUUGGUAUCGUGUGAAUGUGGAUAUUAUUUCAGAAUAUCAAUUCAACCGUACUCCAAAGAACACUCAUACUCCAAUAUCAGCAACCACCACGAAAGUUACCACUCUAAAUUCCAGCUCAAUAAUUUAUUCUUUGACAAUUUUACUUCUAAAAAAAAUGAAUUUUUUUUUAUAAUUAUACGCCAUCAGCAACUACCAUUACGACUCCAAAUUCCAGCUCAAUAUCGAUCAACACGUGGCUAAAGAAUUUGUUUCCUUUUUUUUCCUGCACGUGUUACCUUUUUAUCUUUUAUAAUUAUAAGUAUUGCGUUGCUAAUAAUUUGCAAGAAAUAAUAUUCUUUCUCUAAAAAGGGCUUGAGAAAACCCUAAGCAUAGUAUAUAGUCUCUUAUAGGAAUCUCUUUAUUAAAUCAUCAAAAUAUCAAAGUCUGUUUCCAAAGACUAUGACUACAGUUUAUAUAUAGAAACAACCAAAUAUAAAAAUUAUUUUUUAAAAAUAGAAAAAACAGAAGAGCUUGAUAAUAUUUAAUUAAAAAAUAAAAUAGAAAAAUUAUUCCUUUUUAAGUAGGAAAAAAAAAUAUAAAGAUUUAAUAAUACUGAAUAAGAAAAAUUAAAAUAUUCUUUCUCUGAAAAGGGCUUAAGAAAACCCUAAGCAUUGUAGAUAAUCUCUUAUAUGAAUCUCAUCAAAAUAUCAUAGUAUAUUUCCAAAUACUAUUACGUACUACAUUUAUAUAUAUAUAUAUAUAUAUAUAUAUAGAGAGAGAGAGAAAGAGAGAGAGAGAUAGAGAGAGAAACAACUAAGUAGGUAAAGCUUAUGUUUCUUUGUUCUUGUUCCUUUAUAUAUAUACAUUCUCAAUUUCAUAAAAAAAAUUAAUUAGUCCUUGAAAUCUUAAAAAAUAGUAUUUAAUCCUUAUGUUAUUAUAUUCAUCUCUAAUUUAAUUUUUUUCAUCCAUUCAUCUUUUUAUUUAUUUAAUAGCUUAAGUUUUUAGUUAAAAGAUAAAUAGUUUUACUAUUAAAAGCAUUUUUUCGAAAUAAAAAUAAUAUUAAAUUAGGCAUCCUCAACAUUGUUCAAAUUAUUAAUUAAUUAUAAUUAACUUGAGGUUUAGAAGAAACAAAAGGGAAGGACAAAAUUAUCUUCCCCACAACCAUAGACCUAACCCCUUUCCAGACCAGUCCCCUGGUAAAUGGAAUAAUGGUCCCAUAAACAGCUUUUUUUCUUUCCAGCCCGCCAAGCAGACUAAGGCCUGUUUGUUUCUGUGUUUUAAAAGUGUUUUUGAUAAAAUUUAAAAUUUUUUUGUUUUUUUUAUUAACUUCAAAUUAAUAUGUUUUUAGUGUUUUUAAAUCAUUUUGAUGUGCUGAUGUCAAAAAUAAUUUUUAAAAAAUAAAAAAACAUCAUUAGCAUGUAUUUUGACACGAAAAACUAUUUGAAAAGCAACCGCAACCACACUACCAAACACACUCUAAGCAGUUCGGUCUUCCUCGCUGGACCACCUUAGCAUGAGAAUCACACUAGUUGGAAGUAUCUUUAAACCUCAUAAAAAUGAAUAACUGAUAAUAAUAUAAUUGGGAUUUAAAAAAAAUUCAUAAAAAAAUUUCUUAAAAAAAUCCAAAAAAUUAAACCGGACAAAAAUAAACAACCAAUAAUAAUAUAGUUAAAAUGAUAAAAAAGUGUUUAAAAAGCAAUUUGAAACCAAUUAAUCUUAAAAAAAAAAAACCAAAAAGAAACAUGCGAUGAAAACCAAUUCAUGAAAAAGUAAUUGGAUAUUAAUUUAGACUAAAAGGAUGAAAUAAUAAAAACAAAAGGAGAGUUUGAGGGUAUUCAUUGUUCAAAGGAACGCAAAAAUGCAUUCCAAGUAUGAAGUGUUUUAUUGUUAUAAAGUUUUUCAAACUUACAAUAUGGAGAGAGAAAUAAAUAAAAAGAAAAAAUAGCAAAAGGAAACAGCCCCCAUCUUUCUUGUUCCCUUUCCCACGGCCUACUCAAUGAAAAAGCAAACACCCCAUUGGAUUUCCCACGGCCGCCCACGAAAUCCCUUUAUCCUCUGCUGUUAAUUUUUUAAUGACGCAUAUCAGGUGUUUGAUAAAAUUCCUUAGCUGGGAAAGGAAAAAAAACCAUGUUAAGAAUGCUUUAGUCCUUUUCGAGUGGAAAGUGGUGUGAAAGUGAGAAGUACUGUGAGAGCUUUAUACCACUUUCUAUCUUAGACGUAAUGGCUUUGGCAAAAAGAAACCAAUAAAAGUUAGUGUUCGCACUGCUUUAGUCCAAGAGUCUUUCAUGGUUGCAUUGAUUGACUGGAAAAAAUCUCAAAGUUUUUAGAAAGAAACAGCCUUCAUUGCUUUUCGAAACCAAUCUCAGUAAUGUUAACGCGUGGACCCAGUUAUUGUGGAAACUUUGCAAAGGACCUCGAGGAAGAAAAAUGAUUGCAUUGCUAAUAAUUUGCAAGAGAGAAUUCUUUCACUGAAUAGAAAAAAGUAUUAUUUUUAAAAUAACAACAAGUAAAUUUAAAAAUUAGUAUUUUUUAAAUAAAAAACUAAAAAUUCCUGAUAAUAUUGAAUAAAAAAUAAAAUAUAAAAAUUAUUCUUUUUAAGUAUAAAAAAAUAUAAAAGUUUAAUAAUACGGAAUAGAAAUAAAUAAAAAUUCUAAACUAAAUAAAAAUAUUUUCUAUCCCAAAAAUUCUUAUAUCAAAAUCUCAUUUAUCAUAUUUUAUAUCUAUAAAAAACUAAUUUGUCAUGUGGAAUAAGUCUAUAUGCUAAAAUCAGAAAAAAAAUGUUACAAAAACAAAUUCCACAAAAGGCUGUGAUUAAAAAGAUGAUAGAUAUUUUUUAGUAAAUUAAUUUCAAUUCAAAAUAACAAAAUAAGGUUUAUUGAGGCUUACCGUUAAACCUUGCUUUGGGAUGAAUUGAUCACGAGAAUAAGAAAUCAUGUGCAAAUUAUACAAGAUUUAUUAUUAAUCAUCAAGAUUUAUUAUUUAUUAUCAAUAUUGAAUAAUGAUUUAUUUUAUAAUAUAAAUUAUGUUUAAAAUAAAAUUGAUAAAAUUAAAAUACAUGAAACGAGGUUGUAUAUUUUGAAACUAAAUUAAAAUCAUUUUCUUUUUCUAUUAUAUCCUUCAAAAUUAUUUAUUUUAUAAAAAACAAAACUUGUUAGUUUGCAAGUACACAUGUCAUGAGUCUCCACUGCAUCACUUUUGCAAAAUCAUAUGGCCCACUGUAUAUUUUGAAACUUGUUGAAGCAAAAUCUGUUUUAUUGAUCAUCAUCAAUAUUGAAGAAUGAUUUAUUUUCUAGUAUAAACUAUGUUUGAAAUAAAAUUGAUAAAAGACAUGACAUAUACAAUUAAUGAUGGGAUGGUAUCUAAAAAUGAUUAAAUUGGCAUUUUUCAAUUACCUUUAAACAUGCAUAUCAUGAUUUUAAUUGGUGGACAAUACUGUUAAAUAAUAUAUUUAUUUUGUUUUAUUUAUUAAGAUUAAAAUAAUAUUUUUAGCUUAAUCUAUAUAUAAACUCUUUAUAUUUAGAUUAAGCAAAAAUAAUAAUAUAUAUCAGAAUUCUAGUCUCAUUCCUUUUCGUAUUUAUUUUUAUGUUAAUUAAAUUGUUUUAACAAUACAUCAUGUAAAUUAUAUAAAAAUAUAUUUAUUUUUCUGAUAUAUAAAUACCUCUCUGUCCCAUUGCUGCCAUUUCAUAGCUAACUCUUUGUUAUAUUUAACUUCCUCUUCUUUGCUUCUUGCUCAUAACGAUAACUUGAAAGCCUUACGUUCAGAUAGAUAAUCAUUGACUAGCUCAUCCUAUAUCAUUCUAUUCAAUUUAUAUAUGCAGAAAGAAAAACGCAAGCAAUCCAAAGAUGAAGAAAACGCUUCAUCCUCGCGAAAGAGAAGAAAAGCUGACCUCAGUAAGCCUAUAUAAAGAAUACAAUUAACCUCAUUUCAACAUCAUAGUUAACCUCAUUUCAAUAUCAUAGCUUUGGAAUUUCAUAGCUAACUCUUUGUUAUAUUGCUCCAUUGGUAAUUGAUUGUGCCUUGAUUUCUGCAGCUGCCAUGACAGAGCCAGAGUCUUCUCGAUCUAUACCAGAAGGGGCCUAUGAUGUCUUCUUGAGUUUUAGAGGAGAAGAUACUCGCAAGACGUUUACUGAUCAUCUAUAUGCUGCCUUAGAUCAAGCAGGAAUCCACACUUUUCGAGAUGAUGAUGAACUUCCUAGAGGAGAAGAAAUCUCCGAGCAUCUUCUCAAGGCAAUUCGAGAAUCAAAGAUAUCCAUAGUUGUCUUCUCAAAAGGAUAUGCUUCUUCUAGAUGGUGUCUCAAUGAACUUGUAGAGAUUCUUAAGUGCAAAAGGAAGAAAACCGGUCAGAUUGUUCUUCCUAUAUUCUAUGACAUUGAUCCUUCAGAUGUGAGAAAACAGACUGGCAGUUUUGCAGAGGCAUUUGAUAAGCAUGAAGAGCGUUUUGAAGAGAAGUUGGUGAAGGAGUGGAGAAAAGCUCUUGAGGAUGCCGGAAACCUAUCUGGAUGGAGUCUCAAUGAUAUGGCAAAUGGGUAUGCCUUUUUUCCAAAUUUAUGGAGUCAAUAUACUUUACAUUUUUUAAUGUGAAACAAUAAAAUACUUAAUUGACUCGCUAUCAAUGACUUGCUUUUGUCUAUGAGCAGGCAUGAAGCAAAAUUUAUCAAAGAGAUUAUCAAGGAUGUGUUGAAUAAAUUAGAUUCCAAGUACUUCUAUGUUCCUGAGCACCUAGUAGGUAUGGAUCGGCUUUCUCGCAAUAUUUUUGACUUUGUAAGUACUGCAACAGAUGAUGUACGCAUNNNNNNNNNNNNNNNNNNNNNNNNNNNNNNNNNNNNNNNNNNNNNNNNNNNNNNNNNNNNNNNNNNNNNNNNNNNNNNNNNNNNNNNNNNNNNNNNNNNNNNNNNNNNNNNNNNNNNNNNNNNNNNNNNNNNNNNNNNNNNNNNNNNNNNNNNNNNNNNNNNNNNNNNNNNNNNNNNNNNNNNNNNNNNNNNNNNNNNNGAUGAUAGAGGAAAAGUUCUGAUCAAAGAACGACUUCGUCGCAAAAGAGUUCUUGUUGUUGCUGAUGAUGUGGCUUAUCUGGACCAGCUAAAUGCUUUGAUGGGAGAGCGAAGUUGGUUUGGUCCCGGAAGUAGAGUAAUUAUUACAACAAGAGAUUCAAAUCUUCUUCGUGAAGCAGAUCAAACAUAUCGGAUCAAAGAGCGACUUUGUCGCAAAAGAAUCUUGUUGUUGCUGAUGAUGUGGCUCAUCAGGAGCAGCUAAAUGCAUUGAUGGGAGAUCGAAGAUGGUUUGGUCCCGGAAGUAGAGUAAUUAUUACAACAAGAGACUCAGAUCUUCUUCGUGACGCAGAUAAAACAUGUCAGAUCGAAGAAUUGAAACUAGAUGAGUCCCUUCAGCUUUUCAGCAGGCAUGCCUUUAAGGACACCAAGCCAGCAGAAGAUUACAUUGAGCUUUCGAAGAAAGCCGUUGGUUACUGUGGAGGACUUCCUUUAGCUCUCAAGGUUAUAGGAGCUCUUCUGUACGGGAAAGAAAAAGAUAGAUGGGAAAGUGAAAUUGACGACUUGAGCAGAAUUCCAAACCAAGAUAUUCAAAGAAAGCUUCUAAUAAGUUAUGACGCACUUGAUGGUGAACUACAAAGAGCAUUCCUUGAUAUUGCAUGCUUCUUUGUUGGUAUAGAGAAAGAAUACGUCGCACAAGUGCUAGGAGCCCGUUGCCGUCGCAAUCCAGAAGUUGUUUUGGAAACUCUCCGUGAAAGGUCUCUGAUUCAAUUUCAUGAGUGUAUAAUUGAAGAUGAAAGGCAGUUAUCUGGAAGGACGGUAGCCAUGCAUGAUCUAUUACGAGACAUGGGAAGGGAGGUCGUUUGUAAAGAGUCUCCCUUGCAUCCUGAAGCAAGGACCAGAAUUUGGAAUAAAGACGAUGCAUGGAAUGUACUUGAGCAGCACAAGGUAAGUAAGAGCUCAAUGCAUACACGAAAGCAUAGUCAUGCGUAUUUUCUAGUCAAGCUUAUUACAAAUAAUUGAAUGAAAGUUGUAUUGAUUUUUUUUUUAGGGUACGGAUAAAGUUGAGGGUCUUGCACUGGAUGUCAGAGCAUCAGAAACUAAAUCACUUAGCGCAGGAUCAUUUGCAGAAAUGAAAUGUUUAAAUUUACUCAAAAUCAACGGAGCACAUCUCACCGGAUCCUUCAAAUUGCUUUCUAAAGAGUUGAUGUGGAUUUGUUGGCAUGAAUUUCCUUUGAAAUAUUUUCCAUCUUAUUUUACUUUGGACAAUCUAGCUGUUCUUGAUAUGCCGUACAGUAACCUCAAAGAACUAUGGAAGGGAAAAAAGGUGCGAAACAUGCUACAAUCCCUAAAAUUUCUCCAGUAUGUAAUUUAUAUUUACAUGUUAUGACUUUCUAUGAUUAAUUUUCAUUAUUUUUCUCUCUAUUAUAACAGAUUCUCGACAAGCUUAAAAUUCUUAAUCUCAGUCAUUCUCAGCACCUUAUUAAAACACCAGACUUGCACAGUUCAAGUCUAGAGAAACUAAUUCUGGAAGGUUGCUCGAGUUUAGUUGAGGUGCAUCAAUCAAUUGAAAAUUUGACGAGCCUUGUUUUCUUAAAUCUGAAGGGAUGUUGGAGUCUGAAGACUCUCCCUGAAAGCAUUGACAAUGUAAAAUCUCUUGAAACUCUGAAUAUUUCUGGGUGUUCACAAGUUGAGAAAUUGCCGGAACGCAUGGGUGAUAUGGAAUUCUUAACCGAGCUGCUAGCUGAUGGGAUUGAAAAUGAGCAAUUUCUCUCUUCAAUUGGACAAUUAAAGCAUUGCAGAAGGUUAUCAUUGUGUGGAGACAGUUCGACGCCACCAAGUUCUUCUUUGAUUUCAACAGGUGUUUUGAAUUGGAAACGUUGGCUGCCAGCAUCUUUCAUUGAAUGGAUAUCAGUGAAACAUCUUGAGCUUUCUAAUAGUGGUUUGUCUGAUCGCGCAACUAACUGUGUUGAUUUCAGUGGUUUGUCCGCUCUAGAAAAAUUGACUCUAGAUGGAAACAAAUUCUCUAGCCUGCCUUCUGGGAUCGGCUUCCUUUCCGAGCUAAGGGAGUUGUCUGUUAAGGGAUGCAAAUAUCUUGUAUCAAUCCCAGAUCUUCCCUCAAGUUUAAAGAGUGUGUUUGCAUGUGAUUGCAAAUCAUUGAAAAGAGUAAGAAUACCAAGCGAGCCAAAAAAAAGACUAUUUAUAAAGCUAGAUGAAAGUCAUUCGUUAGAAGAGUUUCAGGGCAUUGAAGAUCUAAGUAAUUGUUUCUGGUAUAUUCGUGUUGAUGACCGCAGGCAUUCAACAAGUAAAUUACUGGAGCGUUGUUGAGGUACUAUUUCUUUCCGUCUCUCUUUCGCACAAAAAGAAACACACACAAUUGACACAUACAUUGAUUAAUGUCUAAAAUCUCAGCAUUCCUUGAAAUCAAUAUGUAUAUAGGCAAUAAUCAUUAUUAUUAUUAUUAUAUUUAAAAAAACAAAUAUCAUCUUUAAUAAUAUUUUUUUAUUAAAUAUUUAAAGUCUGAUUGGUUUUAUUUUUUAUUUCUUGAUUUUAUGAUAAUAUAUUUAUACAGGCAAUGUGCAACGGUCGUCACGGGUAUUUUAUUCGCCACACUCCUGGUCAGAUGCCAAAUUGGAUGAGCUACAGGGGAGAAGGACGCUCAUUGUCAUUCCAUAUACCUCCAGUCUUCCAAGGCUUAGUUGUUUGGGUUGAUAAGGAUGAUAAGGAUGCUCACAUUAUUAUUAUUAUAAGAAAUAAUAGAAAUGGUAAUCUCUUGUUUCAAUGUACGAAAUGGUAUUAUCAUCCAAAAACUGGAAGUAUAAGAUACAUAAGAAGAAGUGAAAUGGCAAUGGAAGAUUACUGUGCAGAUGACGAAUUGGAACUAUACAUUUAUUCAAAGCCAUCACCGUUGGCAAUGGCAAUGGCAAUGAAGGAUGCUGUGAUGCCUUCAUUUGAACCGUCUACACCUAAGCAAUGUGGGGUCCAUGUGAUCGUAGGAAAGUCAGAUUCAUUUGAAGAGUUGGCAGUGGGAAGAGAUGCAGUGAUGCUUCCUCAUCCUCGUUGUGGUUCGAUUACAGCGUCUACACCUAAGCAAUGGAUUGACUUUUUAUUUGCGAAGCUGCAAAACCAUAACCUCAAUUUAAGGCUUUUUGGUAAGAAUACAUAUUUCCUUUAGUUAUUUCUAUUUUAAUAUUCUAUUUAAUUUAAGAGAUUAAAUAUCAUCUUUAAUUAUUACAUUUUUCUUAUUUAAUCUAAAAAAAUAAAUAUUAUCUUUAACAAUAUUUUUUAUUAAAUAUUUAGAGUCUGCUUGGUUUUAAUUAUUUCUUUUCUUGAUUUUAUGAUAAUAUUUUUCUUAUUUAAUAUAAAAAAUAAAUAUUAUCUUUAAUAAUUAGAUCUAUCGAAUAUCACUUAAAAAAUAAAUUAUAGCUUUAAUAAUUAUUUUUUGAAAAACAAAAGCCAACAAUCACUAACAUAUUUUAUUAAAAUCACUUUAGUUUAUUUAGAAAAUAUUGAAAAUUGAUUUUUGUUUUUUUACUUCAAAAUAAAAAAAAUUGAAUAAUGUUUUUAUAUUUUAUUUCGAACUCGAUAUUUUAAAACAAAAAUGAAAAAGAUGUGAUAUUAACCUUUUUUAUUAUAAAGUAAGUUUCUUAAUUAAAAGUGAUGGGAAUUUGUUUGUAAAAACAAUCUUGCACAUCUAACUUUCUUUUCAAAUUUGAAAAUUUUAUUAACUUUGAUGGUUUUAUAUGUAUGAAGGAUCUGGAUGGACGUAAUAGCACAAGAUCAUUUGACAUAGAGAUGCUUGAAGUUACUCCAAAUUAGUACGGUACUUUUAUCUAAUGUAUUGAUAUGUAUUUGUUGGCUUGAAGAUCAUUUUCCAAGCUUGGAAUUUUUAUUGAAUGCUCUUUGAAAUCUUUUCCAUUUGCUUUUAUAGUGGACAACCUAGUUGUUAAUUAUUAUCCAUGAUCUAAUUUAUAUUUUCAAGUUAAAAAUUUUGAUGAAUAUUAUUUCAUUUUUUUCCUCACUUCAAAAGAUGAAAAUCCUUGAUGUUAGUUAGUAAUAAAUUGGAGAGAAUAAUAAUAAUUUGUGUGUAUAAGCUGAUUGAAAUGAAGAUUAAAAUAAAGAAGUAAAAAAAAAGAGACUCGUAAAGAUUUUAUGUUAGUACUCAACAUGUCCUUUCUUGUUUUUUUUUUAAUUGGAUUACCUUUGUCUUUGGUUAAACUGCACUUCUUAAAAUAUUUUUGGAUUGUUCUGAUAUCAAAAAUAAUUUUUUUUAAAUAUUAUUUUAAUACAUUUUCAAUUAAAAAAUAUUUUGAAAAACAAUAUCUAACACACUCUCAAACAAGUUAAAACGUUAGUAAUAAAAUAACUUUUACAUAUUUUUCAAGUUUAGUAGAAUAGUAGUGGAAUAAUAUUUUUAAUAUUUAAAAAUUAAAAUUUUUUGUGUAACUGUUUUGUUAAAUUAUAAAGUUAAGGACUCUUUUGUAGUUUACCUUACACUAAAGUUAAUAAAUAAUAACACAAGAAAGGACCAAAGUUAACUACAAUACGAGGAAGUUUCAUACUAAAGUUAAAAUACCUCACACUUUUCAAUGAAACAUUACCUCUCCUGUACAUGAAUAUAAAUAAUUUCGUUGACCGACUCUUAUUUCAUUAAUUAUUGAUUAUUUGGAAGAAGAAAGCGUAUCCCUUCUCACUUUUAGAGCGUAUUUAGGGUAUUUAAGAGCGCAUUAUAAAUCCAGGGACAAUUUUGGGUUUUCUAAUCAGAACUUUGGACUAAAAUUAAUAGCAAAUUAAAUAAGGACCAAAUAUAACAGUGUGUAAAUCUAGAAACCAAAGAUAAUACAGCUGCAUUGACCGGAGAUUUCACUCGAAUUUUGACUAAAAAUUAAAAUUUUAUCAAAUUCUCUACUUUAUUAGUGUUCAUUUUCUUCUUUUUUUUUACCUAUCUUUUCCAACUGUUUAGAAAAUUUUUAUGGAUAAAAUUAGAGGAUAAGAAAGAGAUAUAGAAUCACUUUGUAAGAUUUCUAAAAACUUAAUUAUAUUAUAAUUUCUUCCUUAAAAUUAUUCAAAAUAUAGUAUUAGAAUUACAUAAUGCUAGGUUUUAAUAUAUAAUUAAAGAGUCUCUUCUAAAAGAAAUAAUGAAAAUAUUGUAUAACUCUUUUAGAAUGAAUUGUAAAUCCAGGGACAGUCUUCCUGGUGGUUUUUACUGUAUAUGAAUUGAAGAACUAUCAUUUGCUGAUUUACUUGUAAAGUAUUUGUAAGAAAGCUAAAAAUUAGAGUUUUAAAAUUUCUAAAAUAAAUAAUCUUCUCUAAAAUAAGUUUUUUUUAAUUAUACUUAUAAAAUUAAUUAAAUCUCAGGAUAAUAAGAUAUGUCCGGAUAUUUGGCGACUGANNNNNNNNNNNNNNNNNNNNNNNNNNNNNNNNNNNNNNNNNNNNNNNNNNNNNNNNNNNNNNNNNNNNNNNNNNNNNNNNNNNNNNNNNNNNNNNNNNNNGUAUGUUACAAAUUAAAUAUUAGUAUAUUUUUUUCAAGGUGAUAUCUCUUAUUAAAUCAGAGAUUCUCUCUAUUUUUUACAUGCAAUAUAAUCACGGAAUAAUUAAAUAAUUUGAAAAAUAAAUAAAUUUUUAUUGUGGAAUAAGUAAAUACUAAUAUCUAUAACUAGAAGUAACUAUAAUUAUAAUAUUAAAAAAAAGCAUAAUAAAAUGAAUUUAUUUAUAAAUUAGAUAAGAUUCAAACCAAGGGAAUUAAAGUGUAAAAUAAGGAAAACACCCUUGCCAGUCUAAAAUAAUUGAAGUAAUGAGUAAAUGCAUGAAGCAAGAUAAUUAGUUGAUAUUGUGACUAUUCAAGAUAAUUAUAAUCUAUAGGUAAUUGUAUACUAUAAAUUAAUAUCAACAAAAUAAUUGUAUUUAAUUGUUUGAAGUUAAACAAAAAAACAUACAUUCUCCCUUUCCCUUCUUUACAUGGCUUACUCAAUGAAAAAGCAAGCACUAACGCACCUUCUCCACAAACUACCAUAAAUAUAUAAAUAUAUUAUGAAAACAAGAUAAAAAGAAAUCUUUUGGUACAUAUAUAAAUAUAUUAUGGCUAUGAAAAUAGGUUUGUGGAAAUUUACAUCAUUUGAUCUUGACAGUGUCAGAUUAGACAAUUGAUUGCAUGGAAAUGGUCUUCUUAGUUUGCCGUGUGGAAAAUCAUCUCAUUUACGGGACUGCUGGAGAGAGUGUCUAUUGAUAAUUUUACCUUCUUUUCAAAUCUUUGACACUGCUUGGAUUGACCGGUAAUUUCACUCGAAAAUUUCUAGUAAUUUAUAAAGGAAAUUUCUACUGACUAUUAUUGACUGACUUCUUGCAAAGUAUUUGUAAGAAAGCUAAAGAAUUAAAGUUUUUUAAUUUUUAAAAUUGUAAGAAAAAAAUCAAUUAUUUUUAAAAUUGUUUUCAAAAAUAAAACAUCAACUAUUUAUAUAAUUGCUAAAUCUAUUAAGAUAAAUCCAAAAUAACUAGUAAAAUCAGUGACUUGCAUUGACGAGUGUAAUGAUCUUGACAGCAUCAGAUUAGACAAUUGCAUGGAAAUGGUCUUCUUAGUUUGCCGUGUGGAAAAUCAUGUGAUUUACGGGACUGCUGGAGAGAGUGUCUAUUGAUAAUUUUACCUUCUUUUCAAAUCUUUGACACUGCUUGGAUUGACCGGUAAUUUCGCUCGAAAAUUUCUAGUAAUUUAUAAAGGAAAUUUCUACUGACUAUUAUUGACUGACUUCUUGCAAAGUAUUUGUAAGAAAGCUAAAGAAUUAAAGUUUUUUAAUUUUUAAAAUUGUAAGAAAAAAAUCAAUUAUUUUUAAAAUUGUUUUCAAAAAUAAAACACCAACUAUUUAUAUAAUAGCUAAAUCUAUUAAGAUAAAUCCAAAAUAACUAGUAAAAUCAGUGACUUGCAUUGACGAGUGUAAUGAUCCGGAACCACUCGCAAUAAAUAAAGCCAAAAAAGGCAGACGAGUGUGUCUAUAUAUACAUAUAGGAACCGCUGAUUCGAUUUGAAUAUGUUAUUUGAUUAGUCUAAUUCAUGACUUGCAUUGACUCAAGAUUACCACUCAAGAUUUCGUGGUGCUUUCUCGGCCUGCAAAUGAAUAGAAAGCAUGUCCUUUUAACCUCAUUUCAAUAUCGUUGCUUUACUCUCCAGCUAGCCUGAUACAUAUGAGUCUCGAGACAUACGGCCAUUGAUAGAAAGGUGUGCUGAAGCAAAAUAUUUUUUUAUCUGUAGCGACCUCAAUAAUGUUAAAGCGUGGACCACCAUGAAAUUACCGCUCCAAAUUCCUUGUUCUUUCUAUAUUAUUAGAAAAAUUAUCAUUGACUAAUUUAAUUGGAAAUUAUUUGCGAGAAAGCUAAAAAGAAUUAAAGUUUUUUAAUUUAUAAAAUUAUAAUUUUAAAUUGUAAAAAAAUUCAAUUAUUUUAAAAAAUAAAACAUCAACUAUUUAUAUAAUAGCUAAAUAAAUCUAUUAAAAUAAAUUGAAAAUAACUAGUAAAAUCAAGCAAAUAAUCCAAAAAUAACAAGAAAAUAAAUAUAUUUCCUAGAUCUAAUUUGAUUAUAUUUUUUAUCUUGAUUGACUUACUUGCUAAGUCUUUGAACUUUAAUCUAAGAAUUUGUUUUAUAUUUCUUCAUUUAUUAAUGAAAUAUUACUUCUAUUGUAUAGUUUUUGGUUUCGAGUCGAUCCACCAGAUUAAUAGGUGAACAAUACAUUUUUUGAAUUUAUUAGAAGAAACGUGUAAUGUAAAUUAUAAAAUAAUAUUUAUUUUUCUGAUAUAUAUAAUAAUAAUAAAUUAGAUGACAGUUACAAGAAAAUAAAAAUUAAUUUGAAUAGAUGGUACGAGUUUCUAUUCUGAUAUAUCCAGGGAAGAAGUUCGAAGAAUAGAAUGAAGUUAAAUAUUCUUAAUAAAAAAAGAAAAAAAAAAGAAAAAAAAUAUAUUUUUAAUAAAUAUAAAAGAUGGAUAAAAUUAGAGAACAAGAAAGAGAUAUAUAAUCUCUUUGUAAGAACUUCUAAAAAUUUAAUUACAAUUGAGAAUUUCUUCCUUAAAAAAAUCCAAAAAAAUCCUAUUAUAUAUGAAUCAAGACAACAGUUGAAUAACUAUUACAUAUUUUUCAAGUUUACUUAGAAUAAUUAUUUUAAUAUUUAAAAAUUAAAAAAAUACUGUGUAGUUGUUUUGUAUAAAUUCUAAAGUUGAGAACUCUUUUGUGCUUGGUAAAAUGAAUAACUUUUACAUAUUCUUCAAUGUUUCACACUGCUUUAAUAGAUUGGUACAGUAAAUACCUCACACUACAGUUAAUAAAUAAUAACACAAGAAAGGACCAAAGUAUAUAAAUAAUAGCAUGUUUCACACUGCUUUAAUAGAUUGUUACAGUAAAAGCACAAAGAAGAACGGUUCAAGAUGUGGUAGAAUCACCUUCGAAGUGACUAAAUCUGCUUUAAUAUAUUUGAGAUUCACGCAAUGCCACUCUCAUCGGUAUUCUAAAAGCGAAGAGAAGAGUAGAAGCAAUGUGAUAGCUAUACAGGUGAGACUUAAUAAUUUACAGGUGAUAAUUGUUUUUUAAAAUAUUUUUUUUAUUUGAAAAUGUAUUAAUUUAAUGUAAAAUAAUAAAUAAAAUUUAAUUUUUUUUAAUUGUUUUUUAAAAUAUAAAAACAAAGAGGAUAUAAUCAACCUCUUGAUGUCACUAUUAAUUAUUGAUGUCGAUUGAUGCACAUGCUAACACCAGCGAAGAAUUAAGAGGCCAAUAUGCCAUUUGAUGCGAUAUUGCAAUUCAACAGCCAAGACACCACGGCUGAUAGAUGUAGACAGCGGUAAUGAACAGGAAAAGUUAAAAAAAUUAAAAUAUUUCAUGUCUUCACAGUCGUUUAGAAAAGAAACAAGAUCAAACCUUGGUUUCAUUUUGUCAGUUGACUCCAAGUCAAUGUCUAAAUCUCCUCUAAAUUCCAAACUGGGUCACCCAGCGAAUUAAGGUAUAGAUUUUAUUGGACGACAAUCAUAUUAAUAAAUAUGGGACGACAAAUCACAAACAUAAUCAAUUCAACCGUACUCCAAAGAACACUCAUACUCCAAUAUCAGCAACCACCACGAAGGUUGAAUUACACUACUUGUUAAAUUAAUAAAGUUACUAGUUGCUAUAAAGUAAGAGAUAAGAAAAUAUUGUGUUUUAAAAUAUUUUUGUUUUAAAAUAAUAUUUUUUUAUUUUUAAAAUUUAUUUUUAAUAUUAUUACAUCAAAACUAUAUAAAAAAAAUAUUUCAGAUUAUCAAUUCAACCGUUCUCCAAAGAACACUCAUACUCCAAUACCAGCAACCACUACGAAAGUUACCACUCUAAAUUCCAGCUCAAUAAUUUAUUCUUUGACAAUUAUUGCAUUGCUAAUAAUUUGCAAGGAAACAUACUUUUAACUAUAUUCAAUUCCAGAAUAUUUUUUUUUGAUAAAUAUUUGAGAAAUAUUGAUAAUCUUUUAUCAAGUUUUAUUUUUAUCAUUUUUAUUUGGAAUUAAUUCUAUUAUGUAUUUAAAUGUGUUUAGUUACCUUGUAAACUGUAUGUUAGAGUCCCUCAAAUAUUCUGGCCACAUCAACCACUAUAUUUUAUGCCAAGCAGUAUUUUGUCCUUGAACCCUUUGGCCCUCUAAAUUACCCAAAAAGGACAAUAAUUGAGCACAAGUGGUACAGGUCAGGGUUAAACUCAGCUUGCUAGAGCCAGUUCUCAAUUUUAGGCGCCAGUUCUCAAUUUUAGGCACCAGUUCUCAAUCGAAUUUUAGCAAAAUCUGGGCUAGGAUUUGAAACAAAUGUAGCUAUUUUUUCUCCUUUUAUUAUUAAAAAAUAAUAUUCAUGGAUUAAUUUUCGUAUAAUUUAAGAAAGUAAGUCCUUUAAUCAAAUUUUAGAGUGUUGCAAUUACUACGAAAGGAACGCAAAAAGACAUAAAGUUUUUCGAAGAGAGAAAUAAAAAGGAAAAGGAAAAGGAAACAACCCCCACUCCAUCUUUCCCUUCUUUCCAUGAAAAUCAAUUUUAGGAUUUUGAUUUUCAAUCAGUAUGAGUGAGAAAGAAAGAGAGGACAAGCCGACACUUCAAAGGUCCUCUUUCUCUUUCCUUGCUUUUUUUAACGCGUGGAGCCAGCAGUUGUUGCCACCAAAUUCCUUGCUCAGUAUUUGAAAAUUUUCCUAAUUUUUUUUCCUCUACGUGCUGUUACCUUUUACCUCUUUUAUAAUUAUUAUGAUUAUUGCAUUGCUAAUAAUUUGCAAUAAAGAUGAUGAACAUUUUUUAGUCAAUUCAAAAUAACAAGAUAAGGUUUGUUCAGGCUUUUCUUGGAACCUCGCUCAGGGAUUAGUUAGCGAGAAUAAGAAAAUGCUGUCCAAAUUAUACAAAAUUUAUUAUUAAUCAUCAAUAUUUAUUCUUGAUCAUCAAUAUUGAAUAAAGGCUUAUUUUCUAGUAUAAACUUUGAUGAGAUUGUUUAUAAAAAUAACCAAAUUGAGGUUUUUCAAUUACCUUUAAAUAUAUCAUAGUUUUAAUAGGCACACAGUAUAUUUUUUAAUUUAUUAGAAAAAACAUGUAAUGUAAAUUAUAAAAAAUAUUUAUUUUUCUGAUAUACAUAGUAAUAAUAAAUUAGAUGAUAGUAACUAGAAAAUAGAAAUUAGUUUAAAUAAGUGGUACCAAUUUCUAUUCUAUAUAUCUACGGAAGAAGUUCAAAGAAUAGAAUGAAAUCAAAUAUUCUUAAUAAAAGAGGAAAAAAAACACAAAAAGAAAUAAAAUAUGUUUUUAAUAAAUAUAAAAUAUGGAUAAAAUUAUAGAACAAGAAAGAGAAGUUAGAUACCUCAAAUUUUAGUAAGGAUCCAAUUGGAUUGUUUAAAAGAGGAGAAACUGUCAUUGACUGAUUUAAUUGGAAAGUAUUUACAAGAAAGCUAAAAGAAUUAAAGUUUUUUAAUUUUAAAAUUAUAAUUUAAAAUGGCAAGAAAAAAAUCAAUUAUUUUUAAAAUUGUUUUAAAAAAUAAAACAUCAACAAUUUUAUAAUAGCUAAAUAAAUCUAUUAAAAUAAAUUGAGAAUAACUAGUAAAAUCAAGCAAAUAAUUCAAAACCAACAAGAAAAUAAAUAUAUUUUCUAAAUCGGGUUUGAGUAUGUUUUCUAUCUUGAUUGACUGGCUAACUUGAUAAGUCUUUAUUAAGUGUAAAUCAACUUUAUUCUAAAAGUCUGUUUGAUAUUUUUUUAUUUAUUAAUGAAAUAUUAUUUUUACUAUACAGUUAUUAGAUCCCAGGCUAAUCUACUGGGUCGGUUUAAAUUUAAUAACUAUGGUUCAUAGUCAUAUAGCUAGUAGUUGCACUAAAGCUAAUAAUUUAAAAAAAAUUAAAUAUCAAUAAUUUUUGUUGGCAUCAAAUAAUUAAAAAUGAGAAUUUCAGAGCAGAGGGUUUAAGAAAUAUUAAAAUAGAAGGUUUUGUGUAAUUAUUAGAUAAUUGAAAUCAUCACUAAUCUCCUUUGUUCAUUUUCCUUUUUUAUUACCCUUACCAUGCACAAAACUUCAUGUCACUUAAUGAUACACUUGCUUUCAACGUUUAAACUGUUAAAGAAUAAUAUAAAUUAUAUUAUGAGAUCUUACCUAACAGCUUAAGUUAUUGGGUUGAGAUGGUUCUUUGAUAUGGUAUCAGAGCCUUGAUGAUCAAGCGGUCACGAGUUCGAAUCUCACCAUCUCUAUUUAUUUGAUAAAAAUUAAGCACAAAGUAAUGUGGAUUUGUGCAAGUUUUAAGCCCAAAUGGCUUUCACUUGAGGGAGUGUGUUAAAGAAUAAUAUAAAUCAUAUCCUGGGACCUUACCUAACAGCUUAAGUUAUUGGGUUGGGAUGGUUCUUUGAUAUAAUAGCAACCAUCAUGAAAUUACAACACUAAAUUUAUUCUUUAGCAAUUAUAUAAUGCUCGCUCUUUCACAGUUAUUGCAUUUCUAAUAAUUUGCAAGAAAAUUAACAUUCUUUGUCUCUCAAUCUGCACCUACCAUGAAAUUAACAUCCUUUCUCGACAUUUCCUAGCAAUUUAUGGAGGAAAUUUCCUUGUGCCCUCUCUUAUACAUUAUUACAAAAACUGUCAUUGAUUGAUUGACUUGCAAAAGUAUUUGCAAGAAACCUAAUGAAUUAGAGUUUUUAAAAUUUUUAAAUUAUUAAAAACAUCCAAUUGUUUUUUUUUUAAAUCAAGAAUAAAACAUCAACUAUUUAUAUAAUUACUAAAUAAAUCUAAUAAAAUAAAUUGGAAAUAACUAGUAAAUAAUUCAAAAAUAACUAGAAAAUAAAUAUAUUUUCUAUGAUUUGAGUAUGUUUUUGAUUCACUAAUUUGCUAAGUAUUUGCUAAGCAUAACCGAAAGAAAUUAUUUGCUAAUCACUCACUAAUUCAUCCAUGAUAUGUUCAAAAAAAUGGGUUAAAAAUUGGGUAACAACACCAUAUCUAUUUUAUUGAAAACCCGGGCCUGUAAUUGACCGGAAGAAAACCGAUCAACCCACUAAGUAGAUCUGGAACCUUGAUGACCCAACAAAACCUGGUAGAAAUUCAUUUUUUUUUCAAAUGUAUUUUUUCUUCUAGCUAGAGACCUCUAUUUUUUAUAUAUUUUUCAGUUGGUUACUAACCCAUUUCAAAGUUUACUAUAUAAAUAUUAGAAGAAUGUUUUAUUUUUUUAAUGUGGGAUUUGAAACCUUUUAGUAUAUAUACUCUUUGUUUACUAAAAAAAAAAUUAUGUUUUUUUAAUAUGAAAUAAAAAACCUUUUUGAUUUAAAUACUUCAACUCAAAAAAAUAAGAUAGUAUCUUUUUAAUGUGGAAUAAAAAAAACCAUUUGAAAUAAUCUUUUAAACUUCAUUAUUUAUAACAUGUAUAACUUAUAUCUUUCUUAAUUUUUUCAUAUGAAAUAUUAAAACCUUUAAUAUUUUUUUUUUCUUGGUUGACUUGGAUCAAUCCUUGUAACUCGAGACUCAGCUCCUUGAUUGAGUCGAUCUCGAGUCGGGUUUGAUAAUUAUGAAAAUAUUUAAUGAAAAAAUAUAUUUUUUUUGUAUAAAAAUGAAGGGUAAAAUAUUAAAUUAUGACAUAUAUCAUUAAUUAUUGACAUACUCUUGUAACAAGCAUGAAACUUUAUGUUAUUUCAUGAUACCCAUGUUUUUAACGCUUUACACCGCUUUAAUAAAUUGUUACAGUAAUAGCACAGAGAGAAGAACGGAUCAAGAGAAAAUAAUAAUGUAACCAUCUAGAAAGUGAUGCAAUGAUAAGAAUUUGGAACUAAAGAGUUUGUUUUUUUUUUUUUUUUCAGGUUCGAGUUUUGUGGUUGCUAAUAUAAUAGUUACUGGAGAUUUACAUGAUCGUUAACUUUAGGACUCGUAAGAUUAGUUUCGAGUUUUGUGGUUGCUAAUAUAAUAGUUACUGGAGAUUUACAUGAUCGUUAACUUUAGGACUCGUAAGAUUAGUCAAGAUGCAUGCAAACUGGACUGGAUACCUACAGGAAUCUAAAAAAAAAUAAUAAUGGAGAUGAAGCAAAAUCUCUGUUUGAUUUUUUCUUUUUUGUGUUUUUGGUACAUUGGUCAACAAUAGCUUGGAAGACUUUGGUAGCAGUAAGUAACCUGUUCUUCCUCAAUAAUGUUAACGCGUGGACCCUGUUGUUGUGGAAACUUUGCAGAGGAUCUUAAUAAAAACAAGUAAAUAGAAAAAUAUUAAUUUUUAAAUAUAAAAACUAGAAAACCUGAUAAUAUUGAAUAAAAAAUAAAAUAAAAAUUUAUUCUUUUCAAGUAGAAAAAAAAUAUAAAAGUUUAACAAUAUUGAAUAGAAAUAAAUAAAAUUUUUAAACUAAAUAAAAAUGAUAGAAAAAAAUAUUUAUUAUCUUAAAAAUUCUUAUAUUAAAAUCUUAAUUUAUCACAUGAACUGAGUCUAUAUGCUAAAAUCAGAAGAAAAAAAAAAACAAAUGUAACAAAAAAAAUUCUACACAACACAAUUAAUUAUAGGAUCGUAUAUUUCGAGACUAAAUUGAGGUUUUUGAAUUAUCUUUAAACAGAACAUGAUUUUAAUAGGUGCACUGUAUAUCCUUUGAAUUUAUUAGAAGUAACGUGUAAUGUAAAGUAUGAACCGCGUACCAUUAACUAGCCUUUUCAAUUGGAUUUUUUAUUUAAAUGAAAAGGAAAUUUUGUUUUAUUAUGAAAAUAAUAUUUAUUUUUUGAUAUAUCUAAUAAUAAUAAAAUAGAAAGUAGAUUGAAUAAAUGAUAUCAGUUCCUAUUAUGAUAUAUCUAGUAAAAGAAUAGAAUGAAUUAAAAUAUUCUUAAUAAAUAUAAAAGAUGGGGAAAUUACAUCACACGAAACUACCAAUAAGCAAAUUUUAAUCUGUAAUUAUGUAGGUCUUAAUUACAAGGGUUUUAAUUUAGGAAGUAUAUUAAAAAAUAAUAUAAAUUAUAUUCUAGAAUUUAUUUUAAUAGUUUAAAUUUUGAGAUGAAUUAAUAAGUCUUUACAAAUAAAAGAUAUAGUUUUACAAUAAAAUGCAUUUUUAGAAAUGAAAUUAUAUUAAAUUAAGCGUGCUCGAGAUUGUUCAAAUUAUUAAUUAAUUAUAAUUAACUUUAUGUCUUUAGAGGAAACAAAAGGGAAGGACAAAAUUAUUUUCCCCUCAACGAUAGACCUAGCCCACUUUCCAAACAAAAGGUAAAUAGAAUGAUGGUCUCAUAAAUUGCUUUUUUUCUUUCUAGCUCGUCAAGCAGUUUGGUCUCCCUCACUGGAAAAUCUCCUUUUUCCCUGCCUCUGUGCACGUAGGGGAAGAAGGAGAAUAGUAUCGUUCAAAAUAUCACUGUUUUGAAAUUUUUUUUGAAAAAAAUAAAAUGAAUUUAGGAAUAAUUUAAAAAUAGAUUAUGAUAUUUUCCAUCACUUUUUCUUAUCAUCAACUUCAAUAUGUUGCUUCUUUUUUAAAGGUUUAACACUAGAAAGCCUUUUUUUUGUUUCAUUCUUCAAAUCUUAAUAACAAACGUAUGUAAUAGACAAUUGAUAGUGAAAUGAAAAGGUUAAGGAAGAUGAAAUUGUAAGAAAAGAAAAUAAAUUUAAAAUAUUAUUAUGAAAAAAACAAAAAACAAUAAAAAAUAUGGACCAAAACUUAAAGAUAAAAAAAUUAAAGGUAAAAUUGAAAAAUAAUUCUAGUUUUAUAAAUUAUUAAAAAAAGAUUUCAAAUAUUUAAUGAUGAAAUCGAAAAAUAUUAACUUUAAAAAUUAGCCAGAAAAAUUCAAUAAAUAAUAAAAAAACAAACUCAAGAAAAUCUAAAUCAUUUAUAAAAUUAGUAAAAACUUCCACACUAAGUAAACAAAUAAAAACAAAACAAAUAGAAACAAGGAAGUAAAGUCUGUAAUUAAAUAUAUACGCGGAGACAAAAACAUGGGCAUGUGACAGGAGACAAAAGGGCAAAGGAAGGUCUCUAUCCAACUUCCUUUUCCUUUUUCUUAGAAAAAAAGUGACAAAAUCUGAUAGAACACAGAUUCCAUCUCUUUUUCAUUGGUUUUUUUGUUUUUUUAAUGUUUAUGCAUGUGGCUCAACCUUUCUCAGUAAUUGCAACAUGUUUCUUUGUUGAAUAAACUGCAAUACUGGUCUCCCUCACUGGACCCCUUUAUAAUGAGAAUCACACUAGGAAAUUUAAAAGUAAUUUGAAGUAUUAUUAAAGCCUAUAAAAAUAAAACUGAUAAUAAUAUAGUUGGGAUUUUAAAAAAAAAAUUGAUAAAAAACCAUAUAAAAAGAAAUUUGAAACAAAGUAAUCUUAAAAAACCAAAACAAACAUGCCAUGAAAACAAAUUUAAAAUAAACAAAAUACUUUAAAAAAAAAUAAUUCAACCAUUUCUUCAUAAAAAAAACAGUAAUUGGGUGUUACUUUAUGGUCAAAAAGUACAAUAAUGCAAAAAAAAAAAAAAAAAGAGUUUUAGGAUAUUGAUUUUAUUAUUUGUUAGGUAACUAUGUAAUCUAUACGUUGAUGUGGAAAAUAGGACUAAGUUUUUUUGUCAAAAGAGUAACUGUGUAAUCUAAUAUUCAUCUCUCAAAUCCCUAAUCCAAUUGAUCAUAUAAUUAAAUAAUUGUUUUAAUUAAUAACUAUAAGAAACAAACUCCCUUGUUAGUUCAUUACUUAAAUAAAAACUCAUGAUUGUCUAGCAAAGUAAAUAAAUUACUUAACCGGAUCACCAGAGGAGUUAUUUGCCAAAAUAAAAACUCAUGAUUGAGUUAUAUAACAGUUUAUAAAUCAUGCUAUCAUCUCCAUCACCAUAUAUAAAGCUAGACAAAAUAGGAUAAGACGGGAUUAAAUUUAAUUUUAGGAUAUAUUUGAGAAUAUGAUUGAAUCAUGCUUUUUAAAAUGUUUUUGAAUUAUUUUAAUAUGUUGAUGUCAAAAAUAAAUUUUAAAAAAUAUUAUUUUAAUAUAUUUAUAAUAAAAAAAUAUAUUUUAUAAAGCAAUUUUCACCAUAUUUUCAAAUAAAUUAAAAUUUUUCAAAUAAAUGGAUUGAUAUAUCGAUGACACUCUCUAGUCAGUUUUGAGAAUUUUGAAUCCAAACAAGUGAAUUUAUAUGCAUGCUUGUACAACUUGAUUUUCUCUUUAAUUUAAUCAACAAUAAUUUCUCAUACUCAAUAGAAAUUUGGGUUUAUCAUUAGGGUAAGACAACCUGUAUUUUAAAAUACUAUUGCCAAAAGAUCAUAUUAUUUAUUACCACAAGAAAGGACCAAAGUUAAUAAAUAAUAGCAUGCACGAAACUUCGUGAUACCCAUGUUUUCCACGUUUAAUAGAGUGUUACAGUAAAAGCACAGAGAGAAGAACGGUUCAAGACAGAACAAUAAUGUUAACGCGUGGACCCCAUUUGCUGUUUUUUCCUCUACGUGUUACCUUUUACCUCUUUUACCUCUUUUAUAAUUAUGAUUAUUGCAUUGCUAAUAAUUUCCAAGAAAGAUGAUGAACUUUUUUUAGUGAAUUCAAAAUAAACAAAAUAAGGUUUGUUGAGGCUUUUCUUGGAACCUCGCUCUGGGAUUAAUUAGCGAGAAUAAGAAAAUCCUGUGUAAAUUAUACAAAUUUCCUUGCUUUUUUUUUCCUGCAUGUGUUACAUUUUUAUCUUUUAUAAUUAUAAUUAUUGCAUUGCUAAUAAUUUGCAAGAAAGAAUAUUGUUUCUCUGAAAAGAAGUCUGAAUGUUUUUAGAAAGAAGCAGUCUUCAUUGCUUUUCAAAACCAAUCUCUGGAUCUAUUAACAAAAACUCUAAAUCGCGAGUAAUAGACACAAUUAAUUAUGCAUUGCUGUAAUAAAAUCACGUAUUUAUUUUCAAGUGGGAAAAAAUUAAGCCAUGAGGCCAGGGGUUCUUUGGUCUUUACCUAUUUUCGUUUUGGCCACCGAAUUUUAUUUUUUUUUCAAUAAAAGAGAAGGUUUUGUGUAAUUAUCAGAUAAUUGAAAUCAUCACUAACUCCUUUGUUCAUUUUCAUCUUUUUUUAUUACCCUUAGCAUGAUACACAGAAAAGAAGAACGGUCAAGAGAGAAGAAUAAUGGAGAUUACUGUGGAGAUGACGAAUCAAAAUCUUUGCUUGAUUUUCUGUUGUGUUUUUGGCACAUUGAUCAACAAUAGCUUGGAAGAGUUCGAUAGCAGAGGAAGAAAAAUAAUAGCAGUAACCUUUUCCACCUCAAUAAUGUUAACGCGUGGACCCAGUUGUCGUGGAAACUUUGCAGAGGAAGAAAAAUAAUAGCAGUGACCUUUUCUACCUAAUAAUUUGCAAGAGAGAAUUCUUUCUCUGAAUAUAUAGAAAAAAACUAUUAUUUUUUAAUAAAAACAACUAUAUAGAAAAAUUAUUACUUUUUAGGUAGAAAAACCUCAUGAUAUUGAAUAAAAAAAUGAAAUAGAAAAAUUAUUCUUUUCAAGUAGAAAAAAAUAUAAAAGUUUAGUAAUAUUGAAUAGAAAUAAAUAUUAAAAUUUCUAAACUAAAUAAAAAUAACAGAGAAAAAUAUAUAUUAUCCUAAAAGUUCUUAUAUUAAAAUAUUAAAAAGAACUGAGUUUACAUGCUUUAAACAGAAAAACAAUAAAAAAAACAAAUGUAACAAGAAAAAUUCCACGCAACAUAAUAUAUAUGAUAUAAAUUGAGGUUUUUAAAUUACCUAUAAACAUAUCAUAAUAUAUAUGGUACAUCCUUUGAAUUUAUUAGAAAGAAGCCAUUAACUAGCCUUUUCAAUUGGAUCUUUUAUUUAAAAGAAAAGGAAUAUUUAUUUUAAUAUGAAAAAAAUAUGUAUUUUUUAUAUAUAUCUAGUGAUAAUAAAUUAGAGGAUAGUAACAAGAAAAUAGAAAUUAGAUCAAAUAAAUGAUACCAAUUUUUAUUCUGAUAUAUCUAGCUAAAGAAUAGAAUGAAUUAAAACAUUCUUAAUAAAAAAAAAACAGAAAGAAAUAAAAAAAUAUUCUUAAUAAAUAUAAAAGAUAGGUGAAAUCAGAGAACAAGAAAGAAAUAUAGAAUCUCUUUCUAAGAUUUCUUGUUCCCUUUCCCUUCUUUACACGGCCUCCUCAAUGAAAAAGCAAACACCCCAUUUGAUUUUCAUUCAGUAUGAGAGUGAGAAUGAGAAUGAGAAUGAGAGAGAGGUAAUUUCGACUAUACAUAGAACUCGACAGGACAGAAGACUUAAAGAUAAAAUAGCUUUGAUUUACAACCAUGGCUUCAAGGGCCUGGAAUAGGACCAGGUACAAGUUUGUUUCUAUCUAAGAAAGCAAGAAGCUCCCACUAAUGCAUGCUCUCAACAAACUACCCCCAAUUUCGCCACUACAGCUCAAGUAGCUUUGAGUCAUUCCAACAAGUAGGAAUUGAAUUCAAAGGAAUAAAUCAUUAAAUGCGGAGUUGGUGUUCUCCUGUUUGUGGUUCUGAUAAAUGUAAGAACGGACAGAGAGAAGAAAUAGGAAAAAUCCAUGUAUCUAUUAGUUGGCAGCAGUUAUCAUUCGGCCCUUGCCGCCCACGAAAUCCCUUUAUCCUGCUGUUAAUUUUUUUAAAGACGCGUAUCAGGUGUUUGAUAAAAUUCCUCAACUGGAAAAAAAAACCAUGUUUAGAAUGCUUGAGUCCUUUACAAGUGGAAAGUGGGAACUAUCCACUUUCCCAUUUGAAAUCAUCACUAACUCCUUUGUUCAUUUUCUUCUUUUUUUAUUACCCUUAGCAUGAUACACAGAAAAGAAGAACGCGUGGUUCAAGAGAGAACAAUAAUGGAGGGGAAUCAAAAUCUUUGUUUGAUUUUAUGUUGUGUUUUUGGUACAUUGAUCAACAAUAGCUUGGAAGAGCUUGAUAGCAAUAACCUUUUCGACCUCAAUAAUUAAUGUUAAUGCGUGGAUCCAGUUGUUAUGGAAACUUUGCAAAGGAUCUGCAGGAAGAAAAAUGAAAAGCUUUUCGAACCUACAAUAUAGAGAGAGAAAUAAAUAAAUAAAAAGCUUUUCAAAACCAAUCUCAUGCCAAAUUGGUUUGUCUGUCCAGUACUUGAGCUUGCACACUUCGUUUAUAUUCAAACAAUAUUCUUCCGUUGCUUUUAUUCUUUACAAUAAUGUGAUAGGAAUAACAUUAAUAUUAUUAUAAAGAAAAAACUCCACCCACUUUGAAACACCUUUGAUGUGUUGAUUGAAAUUGACAAGUGAGUUUACUCACAUGUUGUUAUAUUGGUUUUGAGUUCAAAUAUGGAGAUUUUAUGAUUUAUUCACAUGAAUGCAUUCAUUUAUUCACCUAUUAACUAAAUCAUGUAUUCAAUAUGAAUGAUGGGAGAUUUUUAAUGUCUUCUGAAUACAUUCAUUUAUAUAUGAAAAUAAUUUAUGUGUGUGUAUAAGGUUAUUGAAAUGAAGAUUAUUAUCCUCCAGCUCAUCAUCAGAUCACACGAAAGGAACGCAGAAAGACAUUCCCUUUCUUGUCAUAAAGUUUUGAAUAGAAUGCCCAUCAAAAAGUACUUUCGUGCAUUAUUGUCAUAAAGUUUUUCAAACUUCCAAUAUAGAGAGAGAAAUUAAAAAAAAAAAAAAAGCAAAAGGAAACAACCCCCACCUCAUCUUUCUUGUUCCCUUUUCCUUCUUUACAUGGCUUACUCAAUGAAAAAGCAAGCACUAAGGCACCUUCUCCACAAACUACCCCCCAAUUUCGCCACUAUAUAAAUAUUAUGGAAAACAAGAUAAAAAGAAAUCUUUUGGUACAUAUAUAAAUAUAUUAUGGAAAUUAACAUGGUAUCAGAGUAUCUGUGAACUAUUGCUGGGAUUGGGAAGUCAUAAUUUUUGACACGCCUAAUCACAGUCUUUUUUGGAAAAAGAAGAAGAAGCCAGGCUAUGAAAAUAGGUUUCUGGAAAUUUACAUCAUUUGAUUUUGACAAUUGCAUGGAAAUGGUCUUCUUAGUUUGCCGUGUGGAAAAUCAUGUCAUUUACGGGACUGCUGGACAGAGUGUCUAUUGAUAAUUUUACCUUCUUUUAAAAUCUUUGACACUACUUGCAUUGACUGGUAAUUUCGCUCGAAAAUUUCUAGUAAUUUAUAAAGGAAAUUUUUACUGUAUAUGAAUUGAAAAACUAUUAUUGACUGACUUCUUGCAAAGUAUUUGUAAAAAAGCUAAAGAAUUUAAGUCUUUUAAUUUUUAAAAUUAUAAUUUGUUGAGGCUUAUCUUGGAACCUCGCUUUGGGAUUAAUUAGCGAGAAUAAGAAAAUCCUAUGCAAAUUAUACAAAAUUUAUUAUUAAUCAUCUAUAUUUAUUAUUGAUCAUCAAUAUUGAAUAAUGGCUUAUUUUCUAGUAUAAACAAUGUUUGAAAUAAAAUUGAUAAAAGAUAGUAUACAUAAUUAUUAAUGAUGGGAUUGUUUAUAAAAAUGACUAAAUUAAGGUUUUUUAAUUAUCUUUUAACAUUUUAUGAUUUUAAUAGAUGGGCUGUACAUCAUGUAAAUUAUAAAAGAAUAUUUAUUUUUCUGAUAUAAUAAUAAUAAUAAUUAUAAUAACAAUAAUAAUAAUAAAUUAGAUGAUACUAACGAGAAAAUAGGAAUUAGUUUGAAUAAAUGAUACCAGUUCCCAUGAUGAUAUAUCUAAAGUCCUAAACUUCAAGAAUUUCUCUUCUUUAUCUUUUGUAUUUUCUCAUUUUCUUGGCAUGCGCGCAGCUGCUUCAUGGAAAAAACGUUUCAGAUGCGGAAAAUAAAAGCGGAAAAAAAAAUCCCAAAUAUCAGCAAACAUCACAAGAGAAGCUUGAUCUCAACAAGAUGUUGCAGUCCACAGUCUUUCCAUUACAUUAUAAUUACUUCUAAAAAAAAUUAAUUUAAUUUUUAAUUAUAAGCCAUCAGCAACUACCUCAAAAUUACCACUCUGAAUUCCAGCUCAAUAUCGAUUAACAUGUGGCUACAGAAUUUGAAUUAAGUUCAAUUAUACAAAAUCCUGUGCAAAUUAUACAAAAUCCUGUGCAAAUUAUACAAAAUCCUGCUUUAAGUUCUUGGAACCUAGCUCUGAGAUUAAUUAGCGAGGAUAAGAAAAUUCAGUGCAAAUUAUAUAAAAUUUAUUAUUAAUUAUCGAUGUUCAAGAUUUUCUUAAAUGUUAUUUUAUUUUCAUUAUUAUUUAUAAAAAUCCAAAAAAAUUAAGAAAAAGUUUAAAAAUUCAAAAAUAUAUUUUUCUCGAGUCAAUCACAUUUUUCCAUCAAAACCAAGUCCACCGGGUCAAACCAUGUCGACUAGGGUAAAAAAUGAGUUUCGGGUCAAAACCGUCAUUUCCGACCAAAACCGAGCUCACCGGGUCAAUACGGGUCAAACCAUGUCGACCAGGGUAAAAAAUAAGUUUCGGGUCAAAACCGUCAUUUCCGACCAAAACCGAGCUCACCGGGUCAGGACGGGUCAAACCAUGUCGACCAGGGUAAAAAAUGAGUUUCGGGUUGUUUCGGGUCAAAACCGUCAUUUCCGACCAAAACCGAGUCAUUAGGUCAGUACGGGUCAAACCAUGUCGACCAGGGUAAAAAAUGAGUUUCGGGUUGUUUCGGGUCAAAAACUGUUAUUUUCGACCACAACCCGGUUCACCGGGUUGAUACCCAUCAAAUGUUUUUUUUGAUAUUCUAUUUCUUUUUUUGCGGUUGAAACCGGCUUUUUCUAAUACUAAUUUGAAUUUUUAAUUUUACCUAUAUAAAUAUUUAUUAUUAUAUAUAAUAAAACAAAAUCAAUAAUUCAACAAUUUGUCAGCGGAGCAGUUGAUUUUUUUAUUUAAGGUAGAUGGCAGAAGGGAAAGGAAAACAGAAAGAAAGAAAGAAAGAAAGAGAGAAGAGUGUACUAUUCAUAUCUUUUUUAGUUUUUCUUCAUGAGAGUAGGAUAUUGUUUUUUUUUAAAAACAAUAUGGAAAAUAUCAAACAUAUCCCAACCACUGGAUUCAAUAGUGUUAGUUCUGGGCCUUUAAUUUAAUAGGAUACAAUAGGACUUACCACACUAGAUUAAAACCCAAACACAUCUCAGCCCUUGAAAUAAUCUAAGCUUUGAUCCCGUUGCCCCACGUCACCCGGUGUACUGAGAUUUCGGUGCACCGCGUCACACCAGGUCAAACAUCUGCUCAUCCAGACCGUCCGAUCAACCUGCAGAUCGAGCCAAUCACAACCACACGAUCUUUUCAUCAGAGAUCCAACAGAUCACAGGCUUAAGUUGCACCGGUGUAUAGUGCUAGCGCUCACACCGUAGUAUAACCCAAAGCCUCUCUCUCCUAUCGCCGGCGACUCUCUCUCUCCUCCGAUCUCCCAUCUCCGGCUGUAUAAAGCCUCCAAACUACCACAGAAAGGUCGCCAACCUCCUACAAAGCAAAACACCGGCCUUUUUCAGCGUUUUCUCCGCCUUAUCUGGCCGCAAAAAGGCCGCGAUCGUCGCUGGCCAGCGACGCUUCAAGUCGUCGAUUCUCACUCAUCAGCCAUCAACGACCGUCAAGACCACCACCAUCAGAAUCCUCGACAUCAGAUCUACCAGGAUCGACCAUCGGUUGGACAGAAAUCUCACCGGAAAAUCUCGCCGCCGCCAACAGUAACCGCACGUGAGACACGCGCCACCAGUGGCAUUUUCGUAAUUUUUCAAGAAAUCCGAGGGUAUUUAAGUCUUUUACCUGGCACUCAUGUAUUUUUUUUAUCUAACAUUUUUUUAUUUUGUAUAAAAAUUUUCUUGCAUGUAGAAAAAAAAUAAAAAAAAAAUAAAUAUAAAAAACGACGUGGGUCCAACACCCAUCUUAUCAUAUUAUUGGUCGUGGGUGCAAAGCCCAACCUCUCAAGAAUAGUUAUACCUAUUUUUAAUGACAUCAAAAUAUUUGUUUUUAUAAAUAAAUAUUAUUUGUUGACACGUCUCUUUUUAUAGAAAAGGACCGAUGUCAAAAAAAGUUUAAAUACCAAACAAAUAUGGAUUAUGUUUAUAAUUUUGUUUUUUUUGUAAAUCAGACGUAAAUCUCCUUUUUAGGAUUAGACAUCGAUAUUUUAGACGAGUCUUCUAUUUUUAAGGACUGAUGUCAUUUUUAAUGUGUCUCUUAUUUUUAAGGACCGACGUUAACCAUUUUAAAAAAAUAAUAAAAUUACAAAUAAGCUCAAAAUACAAUAUCAUUUGAAACAAAAAAAAAACACAAGUAAAGAUAACUUUUCUUUUGAAAUGAUAAUUUAAGGGUGAUGUCUACCUUCCCUUAAUCAUAACUAACCCAGUACCUAAAUCUCUGGGACCAGUGUCUAAUUUGGGAUUUUUAGUUCCCUCAUAUUACUAGAUGGCGACUCCAAUAAAAUCUUAAUUUCCCCAAUAAAAAAUCUCUUUUUAUUAAAUAAACAAAAAAAGCGGAGCCAACAAAAAAAAUAGAGCCGUCGCCCGACAUUGUGUAUAAGUUUAUAUAAGCUUAUUUGAACUCGUACACGUUAAAGAAUAGUAUUGACCUUGAUAUUAGUUAUAAAUAAAUUGGUUUUUCAGGAAGAUAUUGUUUUAGGUUUAUUUCUUUAUUUAAGCUUGUUGAAUUCUAGGCCUUAUAUGAUAUUAGUUGAUGUGAUUUGGAUUUAUUUUUAAGUUAAUUUGUGUGUGGGUAGUAAUAAGUGUAUAUGAAUAUGAAUUGAAGUAAGUACCUUAACAAAUGUGAUGGGUUGGUGUGAAGCUUUGAUUAAUUGCUAUAUUUUGAUGUCAUGAGCAAAUACCUUAACAAAUUUGAAUAUUUGAAAGAUAAUAAAUAAAUAUUGAAGAAUUGUAUAGAAAGAAUCGUAUCGAAAUUAUGGAAAAUAUGAUUUUGUCCUGAAAUUCUAAAAAACAAUUAUAGUUUGGUCACUGGUUGUAAAUAAUAAAUUUUAAAAUAUUUUUUGAUAAAUAUUGAUGAUUUAUUAUCAAUUUUUAUUGUUAUCAUUUAAAUUUAAAAUUAAAUAUAUUCUGUAUUUAAAUGUGUUUCGUUUCUUUGGAAACUGCAUGUGUUGGGAAAACUAGGGACAACUAACCGGAUCAAUUCAGCGGAAUACAAUUCACAAUUCACAAGUCCCAAUCAUUUUUCCCUCUUUGUGCAGUAAAAACAGAAUCAAACAAUGAACAAAUAUAAUGCAACAAUCACACAAAUCAACGCCAAGAUUUUUACGUGGAAAACCCGAUGCGAGAAAAACCACGGGACCGGAGUCCACCUAAAAACUUCCACUAUCACAAAUAAUGGGUUCACAAUUGUUCUUCCUCAGAUUCAACUAAGGGCUACAACAUAUAUAUAUCAUCAAGAACAACUUAUUCUCGGAUUACAACAAGAUUAAAGAGAGUAAUGUUAGAGAAAAGCUCACAACACUGACAGCCCUGUUUUCUGUCAAAACGACCAGCUUCCACACCACCAAUCUUCAAUCCAACCGUUCAGAAUGAAGAGGAACGUGUCUAGAAGUUUCUGUCAAAAUCUCAGCCCGAUCCAACGGUGAAACAACUGGAAAAUGAAGAAAGAAGACAGACUGCUCUGCUGCCUCCUCUUCUUUCUUUCUCUCGGUUUUCUUCUCCUCUCUUCUCAAAUUUUCUACUACUAUCUACAGUAACCGUUUCAUUUAAUUUAAACCAAAGAGGCAGCCAGCUGCCUCCUUAAUUAAUGUGGUGGUCCCCCAUCACAUGGUGCGGGACCACACAACAGUAUGCUAGAGUCUCUCAAUAUAUUAAAAGGGCUAACUAUAAGGUAAAAUAAUGAUCAGUUUUAGUUAGCUCCUGCGGGACUUUGCAUUCUAUAAUUUAUGCUAUGCAUUCUAUAACCCUUGGCCCUCUAAAUUACCCAAAAAGGACAAUAAUUGAGCUUGGUGAUCUAAGAGCACAAGUGGUACAGUUCUCAAUCGAAUUUUAGCAAAAUCAAGGAUCCAAGAAAUGGCCUCUGUAACAUGGUAGCUAUGAUUUGAAACAAAUGUAGCUAUGUUUUCUCCUUUUAUUAUAAAAAAUUAAUAUUCAUGGAUUAAUUUUCAUAUAAUUUAAGAAAGCAAGUACUUUAAUCAAAUUUUACAUUGACCAUCCUCAAUGUGUUUAAAGUAAAUGUUAAUUACCAAGCUGUUGCAAUUAAACCUGACCGGCCCGGUAGGUUUACUGUUACCUUUUACCUUUUAUAAUUAUGAUUAUUGCCUUGAAUAUAUUAUUUGAUUAGUCCAUUUAUAGGUUGACUCUACUAUUCCUGCCUUGCAUUGACAGUAAAUUUCACUAGAAAUUUCAAGUAAUUUACACAGGAAAUUUCCUGGUGAUAAACCUGGAAUCUGAUUUUCAACUUUCGUAGGCACUAAAGUCCCAAACUUCAAGAAUUUCAGAAUAUCAAUUCAACCGUACUCCAAAGAACACUCAUACUCCAAUAUCAGCAACGACCACGAAAGUUACCACUCUAAAUUCCAGCUCAAUAAUUUGUUCUUUGACAAUUAUUGCAUUGCUAAUAAUUUGCAAGGAAACAUACUUUUAACUACAAGAGUCUGUUUGAUAUUUUUCCAACUUUUACUGUUUCACUUCAAAGUUUCAAUAAUUGUUUUUUCAUUACAUAUUCUUUCCAACGUGUAAUAAUUCGGAACCACUCGCAAUAAAUAAAGCCAGCAAAGGCAGAUGUGUUUGUCUAUAUAUACAUGAACCUGCUGAUUCGAUUUGAACACCCCAUUUCUCCGAUUCAAUAACUUCAGUUGCAAAACUUCUCUCUCCGAUUGCUGCAAUUUCAUAGCUAACUCUUUGUUAUACACAGGUAUAUAUGGCUAACUCUUCUUAGCUUCUUUCUUGUUUUAAUUUCAUGUCUCUACCAUUAACAAUAAUGUGAAAGCUUUGCUUGUUUCAUGUUUAACUUCAGUUGCUAUUGUCCUAUGCUUUCUCAUUAUUAAGCUUAAAUUGCUAAUUGAUUGUUCCUUAAAUUCUGCAGCUGAAAUGAGAGAGUCAGAGUCUUCUCGUUCUAUACCAGAAGGGGCCUAUGAUGUCUUCUUGAGUUUUAGAGGAGAAGAAACUCGCAAGACGUUUACUGGUCAUCUAUAUGCUGCCUUAGAUGAAGCAGGAAUCCACACUUUUCUAGAUGAUGUUGAACUUCCUAGAGGAGAAGAAAUCUCCGAGCAUCUUCUCAAGGCAAUUCGAGAAUCAAAGAUAUCCAUAGUUGUCUUCUCAAAAGGAUAUGCUUCUUCUAGAUGGUGUCUCAAUGAACUUGUAGAGAUUCUAAAGUGCAAAAGGAAGAAAACCGGUCAGAUUGUUCUUCCUAUAUUCUAUGACAUUGAUCCUUCAGAUGUGAGAAAACAGACUGGCAGUUUUGCAGAGGCAUUUGAUAAGCAUGAAGAGCGUUUUGAAGAGGAGUUGGUGAAGGAGUGGAGAAAAGCUCUUGAGGAUGCCGGAAACCUAUCUGGAUGGAGUCUCAAUGAUAUGGCAUAUGGGUAUUCCUUUUCUCUCUAAGAUUCACUUGCAGACGUUUAUGGAGUAAUUUUACAUUACAUUUUUCAAUGUGAAGUUAUAAAAUAUUUCUUUUUAGCAUACUUAAUUGACUUGCUAUCGAUGACUUGCCUUUUUUUCUGUGAGCAGGCAUGAAGCAAAAUUUAUCAGAGGUUCCUGAGCACCUCGUAGGUAUGGAUCGGUGUACUCACAAUAUUUAUGACUUUCUAAGUAAUGCAACAGAUGAUGUACGCAUUGUGGGCAUACAUGGGAUGCCAGGAAUAGGAAAGACAACUAUAGCAAAAGUUGUAUUUAAUCAACUCUGCAAUGGAUUCGAUGGAAGCUGUUUUCUUUCGGAUAUCAAUGAAAGGUCAAAACAAGUUAAUGGUCUGGCUCUUCUACAAAAGCGACUUCUUCACGAUAUUUUAAAACAAGAUGCUGCAAACUUCGAUUGUGUUGAUAGAGGAAAGGUUCUAAUCAAAGAGCGACUUUGUCGCAAAAGAGUUCUUGUUGUUGCUGAUGAUGUUGCUCAUCAGGACCAGCUAAAAGCUCUGAUGGGAGAUCGAAGUUGGUUUGGUCCCGGAAGUAGAGUAAUUAUUACAACAAGAAAUUCAAAUCUUCUUCGUAAAGCGGAUCGAACAUAUCAAAUUGAAGAAUUGACAAGAGAUCAGUCCCUUCAGCUUUUCAGCUGGCAUGCCUUUGAGGACACCAAGCCAGCAGAAGAUUAUAUUGAGCUUUCAAAGAAAGCAGUUGAUUACUGUGGAGGACUUCCUUUAGCUCUUGAUGUUAUGGGUGCUUGUCUGUCCGGGAAAAACAGAGAUGGUUGGAAAUCUGUAAUUGACAAAUUGAAAAGAAUUCCAAACCACGAUAUUCAAAGAAAGCUUAGAAUAAGUUAUGACUUACUGGACGGUGAAGAACUAAAAAAUGCAUUCCUUGAUAUCGCAUGCUUCUUUAUUGAUAGAAAGAAAGAGUACAUCGCAAAACUGCUAGGAGCCCGUUGCGGUUACAAUCCAGAAGUUGAUUUGCAAACUCUCCAUGAAAGGUCUCUGAUUAAAGUAUUGGGAGAGACGGUAACCAUGCAUGAUCUAUUACGAGACAUGGGAAGGGAGGUCGUUCGUGAAUCGCCUCCAAAAGAACCUGGAAAGAGGACCAGAAUUUGGAAUCAAGAGGAUGCAUGGAAUGUCCUUCAGCAGCAGAAGGUAAGAGCUCAAUGCAUACAUGAAAGCAUAGUCAAACUUAUUACAUAUAAUUGAAUGAAAGUUGUAUUGAUUUUAUUUUUUUAGGGUACGGAAGUUGUAGAGGGUCUUAAACUGGAUGUCAGAGCAUCAGAAACUAAAUCACUGAGCACAGGAUCAUUUGCAAAAAUGAAAGGCUUAAAUUUACUCCAAAUCAACGGAGCACAUCUCACCGGAUCCUUCAAAUUGCUUUCUAAAGAGUUGAUGUGGAUUUGUUGGCAUGAAUUUCCUUUGAAAUAUUUUCCAUCUGAUUUUACUUUGGACAAUCUAGCUGUUCUUGAUAUGCAGUACAGUAACCUCAAAGAAUUAUGGAAGGGAAAAAAGGUGAGAAACAUGCUGCAAUCCCCAAAAUUUGUCCAGUAUGUAAUUUAUAUUUACAUGUUAUGACUUUCUAUGAUUAAUUUUCAUUAUUUUUCUCUCUAUUAUAACAGAUUCUCGACAAGCUUAAAAUUCUUAAUCUCAGUCAUUCUCAGCACCUUCUUAAAACACCAAACUUACACAGUUCAAGUCUAGAGAAACUAAUUCUGAAAGGUUGCUCGAGUUUAGUUGAGGUGCAUCAAUCAAUUGAAAAUUUGACGAGCCUUGUUUUCUUGAAUCUGAAGGGAUGUUGGAGUCUGAAGACUCUCCCUGAAAGCAUUGACAAUGUAAAAUAUCUUGAAACUCUGAAUAUAUCUGGGUGUUCACAACUUGAGAAAUUGCCGGAACGCAUGGGUGAUAUGGAAUCCUUAACCGAGCUGCUAGCUGAUGGGAUUGAAAAUGAGAAAUGUCUCUCUUCAAUUGGACAAUUUAAGCAUGUCAGAAGGUUAUCAUUGCGUCGAAAUAGUUCGGCUCCACCAAGUUCUUCUUUGAUUUCAAUAGGUGUUUUGAAUUGGAAACGUUGGCCGCCAGCAUCUUUCAUUGAAUGGAUAUUAGUGAAACAUCUUGAGCUUUCUAAUAGUGGUUUGUCUGAUCGCGCAACUAACUGUGUUGAUUUCAGUGGUUUGUCUGCUCUAGAAAAAUUGGAUCUAGAUGGAAACAAAUUCUCUAGGCUGCCUUCUGGGAUCGGCUUCCUUCUCAAGCUAAGGGAUUUGUCUGUUGAGGGAUGCAAAUAUCUUGUAUCAAUCCCAGAUCUUCCCUCAAGUUUAACGCGUUUGGGUGCAUCUUAUUGCAAAUCAUUGAAAAGAGUAAGAAUACCAAGCGAGCCAAAAAAAGAACUAUAUAUAUUCCUAGAUGAAAGUCAUUCGUUAGAAGAGUUUCAGGACAUUGAAGGUCUAAGUAAUAGUUUCUGGUAUAUUCGUGUUGAUGACCGCAGUCAUUCACCAAGUAAAUUACAGAAGAGCGUUGUUGAGGUACUAUUUCUUUCUGUCUCUCUUUCGCACAAAAAGAAACACACAUAAUUGGCACAUACAUUGAUUAAUGUCUAAGAUCCUAGCAUUUCUUGAAAUCAAUAUGUAUACAGGCAAUAAUCAUUAUUAUUAUUAUUUUAUUUUAAAAAAUAAGUAUCAUCUUUAAUAAUAUUUUUUAUUUUUCUUAUUUAAUCUAAAAAAUUAAAUAUUAUCUUUAAUAAUAUGUUUUUAUUAAAUAUUUAAAGUCUGAUUGGUUUUAUUUUUUAUUUCUUGAUUUUAUGAUAAUAUAUUUAUACAGGCAAUGUGCAACGGUCGUCACGGGUAUUUUAUUCGCCACACUCCUGGUCAGAUGCCAAAUUGGAUGAGCUACAGGGGAGAAGGACGCUCAUUGUCAUUCCAUAUACCUCCAGUCUUCCAAGGCUUAGUUGUUUGGGUUGAUAAGGAUGAUAAGGAUGCUCACAUUAUUAUUAUUAUAAGAAAUAAUAGAAAUGGUAAUCUCUUGUUUCAAUGUACGAAAUGGUAUUAUCAUCCAAAAACUGGAAGUAUAAGAUACAUAAGAAGAAGUGAAAUGGCAAUGGAAGAUUACUGUGCAGAUGACGAAUUGGAACUAUACAUUUAUUCAAAGCCAUCACCGUUGGCAAUGGCAAUGGCAAUGAAGGAUGCUGUGAUGCCUUCAUUUGAACCGUCUACACCUAAGCAAUGUGGGGUCCAUGUGAUCGUAGGAAAGUCAGAUUCAUUUGAAGAGUUGGCAGUGGGAAGAGAUGCAGUGAUGCUUCCUCAUCCUCGUUGUGGUUCGAUUACAGCGUCUACACCUAAGCAAUGGAUUGACUUUUUAUUUGCGAAGCUGCAAAACCAUAACCUCAAUUUAAGGCUUUUUGGUAAGAAUACAUAUUUCCUUUAGUUAUUUCUAUUUUAAUAUUCUAUUUAAUUUAAGAGAUUAAAUAUCAUCUUUAAUUAUUACAUUUUUCUUAUUUAAUCUAAAAAAAUAAAUAUUAUCUUUAACAAUAUUUUUUAUUAAAUAUUUAGAGUCUGCUUGGUUUUAAUUAUUUCUUUUCUUGAUUUUAUGAUAAUAUUUUUCUUAUUUAAUAUAAAAAAUAAAUAUUAUCUUUAAUACUUAGAUCUAUCGAAUAUCACUUAAAAAAUAAAUUGUAACUUUAAUAAUUAUUUUUUGAAAAACAAAAAGCCAACAAUCACUAACUUAUUUAUUAAAAUCACUUUAGUUUAUCUAGAAAAUAUUGAAAUUGAUUUUUUUUUUACAUUAAAGUAAAAAAAAAAUAAUGUUUUUAUAUUUUAUUUCAAACUCGAUAUUUUAAAACAAAAAUGAAAAAGAUGUGAUUUUGACCUUUUUUAUUAUAAAGUAAGUUUUUUAAUUAAAAGUGAUGGGAAUUUGUUUUAUUGCAUGUACAAUCAUGCACAUUUAACUUUCUUUUUAAAUUUGAUGGUUUUUUAGUACGGGAAUGACUUGAAGAUGAUUUUACAUAGAGAUGCUUGAAGUUGCUCCAAAUCAGUACGAUACUUUCAUCUGACAUGUUGAUAUGUAUUUGUUGGCUUGAAGAUCAUUUUCCAUCCGCUGGACAACCUAGUUGUUAAUUAUUUUCCAAGGUACUUCUAUCUGAUGUAUUGAUAUGUAUUUGUUGGCUUGAAGAUCAUUUUCCAAGCUUGGAAGUUUUAUUGAAUGCUCUUUGAAAUCUUUUCCAUCCGCUUUUAUACUGGACAACCUAGUUGUUAAUUAUUAUCCAUGAUGUAAUUUAUAUUUUCAAGUUAUAAAUUUUGAUGAAUAUUGUUUCAGUUUUUUCCUCACUUCAAAAGAUGAAAAUCCUUGAUGUUAGUUAGAAAUAAAUUGGUUUUCUAGGAAGAGAUUAUUGAUUGGAAUAUAGUAUUUGAGUUGGUUCUACAUCAUUUACUGUUAUAAAUAAUUUAAAAUAAUUGAUGAAAAUUACCGAUACAUAGAAAAGUUGUGAGAGCAUCCUUAAUUAGUCUAGUAAGUAAAGUGUUGUUAGUUUUGACUAUAAGAUCUUGCUAUGUAUUAUUGCAUGGUUUUUACUAUUUUUAGGCAUUUUUCUUUUUGUAUAUACAACUUUUGUUUUUCUUGCCGCUUGUCAUUAGCUUUAUGGCACCAACACCAAUUAAUAAUAAAUCUUGAACUAUUAUUAAAUAAAGAAAAAAUAUAAACAUUGUUAAAAUACCAAACUUGAAUUGCUCAAUCCUAAAGAAACCCUAUGACAAUAAUCUAAUUUAGAAAAUAAUUAAUUUAUCCUUGUAGUCUAAGAAAAUAUAAACAUUGUUCUUUCUUAUUUUAUUUUUUUUAAUUGGAUUACCUUUAUCUUAACGAGUGAAAUAAAGAAACACUCCCCCCAUCUUUCUUGUUCCCUUUCCCUUCUUUACAUGGCUUACUCAGUGAAAAAGCAAUUAAACACCCCAUUUGAUUUUCAAUCAGUAUGAGAGUGAGAGAGAGAGAGGCCAAGGUGGUCCUUGAAUAUUUUCUUCUUUUUUGUCUCGCUCACUGGGGCAAACCAUUUUUUUCAACAUUUUGAAUAGCAUGCCAUCAAAAGGAAUUUUGUUCAAUCCCAAUCCCACAUUGUCUGUAGAAGUAUUUACUUUUGACUCCACACUUUGUUAUUUUCCAAUCCCUCCCCAGUUCUGCAACCAUUUCUCUACUUUCUAUGCUCUUGGCUUGCUAAAAACUAAAGAAAACACAUUGCUCUAGUUGCCUCCCUUCACUCUUCAGAUUGCUCAACAAAUCCCUUGAGACCUUCUCCAUAGUUAACACAUCACAUAAUGGGUACUCUAAAAAAUUUAGCCAUAAACAUUGAACACCUUGAGCAAUCAACGUGCCUUCCUUCACAAUAUCCAUCGCCCAUAAAUCUUUCUUUUGGGAUGUCGCGGGAGUUUAAUCUCCGAGUGUUAAAAUUAUGUAUAAAUUUCCAUUCUUUCCUUCCAUCCAUUACUUGUCCUCUAUGAAGAUUCUAUGUAUGAAAUCUCGGAAUCUUUUCGAGUAUAACUUGGGAUCAACAGCUGAGAUAGACGUGGGAUCCACUUGUAAGGACUUGUAUGCAUGCUCUAGCUUUUUGCUGAUAUCAUAAUCUUGGAGGAUGUCAAUGAUACCAAAGUGAAGAACUACAUCUCACAAUCACCAAAAUUCAAAGUAAAGUAACGGAGAAGAAAAUCUGAUAACAAUGAAUGAUCACUCAUUAACCACAGCGAAUCUUACGCUUUGAAAACACUUUUCACCAUCAAUUUUCCUUUUCUCAUUGAUUUUAAAUCUUCCAGGCAGAUAAAAUAGCAUUGGUUUCAUUCUGUUAAAAAUGGACCUAUUCAUCAGCUUAGGCAUCAACAACAUGUUGCAUCCACAAUCUUACUACUACAUUAUAAUUAUAAACAAAACUAAAAAAAUAUAUAUAUGAGGACAGAGUUAACAGACAUGCACUAAGAGUUAACAGACAAUUCUGUUAUAACAAACAAGUGAACAAUCUGUUUUCUCCAACCUUCCAGCAUUAUUCUCCCGAGCAUAUUCUGUCAGCUCAAGAUUAGGCAAUUCUGUUAACCAUGCUGUUAGCUCUGUUCUCUUUUGUUGUAUAUAUACUUGAUUGAUUGAUUGAUUCAAUAACAUUAUCUUUCUCUCUUCUCACCUGCCCCCUUUUUCUUCUCCUUUUACCUCUAGCUUCCAAUGCCUAUCAACACCACCAUCCUUAACACAAAUGAAUCUCACAGCAUGUUGAUUACCAUCAAUGUAGCAGCCCAAACUCCAUUAAAACUUACCUCCACCAGGCACCAACUAUCUAGCCUGGAAACUUCAAUUCCAGACUCUAUUCAUAGGACAUUUGAUUGAGGUCUCCACAAACAUUGAAACACCGCAAUUUUUCAUGAUAAAAUCCAAAGGAUUGGUACUUUGGUGUUUGAGGGGCUGGUAAAUGAAAGAACAGAUCAAGAGAUGACAUCCCUCUAUACCGCUGUUAUUCCUUUCAAGGUGCGUAUCAGGUGUUUGAAAAACUUCCUCAACUUAAAAUAAAAAGGUCUUGUUUACAACGUUUUUUAGUCCUUUACAAAUCUUCCAAUGUGUUGCGUUUACUGAAUAUGAUAGUGGGAACUUAUUUAUCAAGAAUUAACUACUCAGAAGAAAAUGUAAAGACGCAAUAAUGAUUUUUUUAUUUUAGAUUCCAUAGUCUACAAACUUGGAAGCAUACGGACCAGUCAGCUGGUAAAUGAAAGAACAGGGAUCAAGAGAUGAAAUCCCUCUAUACCGCUGUUUGAUACAAAAGUUCAUGGCCAAGUAAAAGAUGUUUAUUUUGGAUGUAAUAAAUAUUCAUAUUGCAACAUAAUAGUCAUCUCUCAAAUCCAUAAUUCAAUUGAUCAUAUAAAUAAUUGUUGAUUACUUAAAUAAACAAUUAUAUAAUUAAAUACUUAAUUAUAAAUUAAAGAGAUGGACAAUUAUAUAUUUCUAAAAUCUUAAUUACAAUUAUAUUAUAAUUUCUUCCCUAAAAUUUUUCAAAAUACAGUAUUAGAAUUACAUAAUAAAAUACAGUAUUAUAAUUUCUCAUCUAAAGGUCCAGCAUACCCUGGGAAUCUGAUCGGGUCAAGCUACGAGCAAUUAGGAGGCAUGACCAUCACCCACAUGUAACUUUGCUAAUAAUAUAUUACGGUUGUCAAAAUUAAUUAUUAUUAGCAAAAACUUAUUUUAUUUGUGAAUCUCUCAACCGUUGGAUUUAGAUAUGAGGAUAAGAGAUUGUGGGCACCUCUCUUUUUUAAAAUAACUAAAAUCUAAAUCAUCGGACGNNNNNNNNNNNNNNNNNNNNNNNNNNNNNNNNNNNNNNNNNNNNNNNNNNNNNNNNNNNNNNNNNNNNNNNNNNNNNNNNNNNNNNNNNNNNNNNNNNNNCCGGGAUUAUUUUAACUCAGUGAUCCUUCCCAGGUAGGCCCAGGUCACAUUGAUUAUGUUAAAAAAAAAAAAAAUCUAAUGUCUUUACCAUUAUAUUAUAAUUAUUUAGGAGGAUAGUUGAACAAUACUUUUUUAAAAAAAAUUAAUUUUUGACGAGUAAAAUAAUGUGGAACCAAUCGCAAUAAAUAAAGCCAAAAAAGGCAGACGAGUGUGUCUAAUUCAUGACUUGCAUUGACUAAAAAUUACCACUAGAAAUUCCUAGUUUUAUCCUAUAUAAAGAAUACAAAAAAGGCAGACGAGUGUGUUUCGUGGUGCUUUCUCGGCCUGCAAAUGAAUAGAAAGCAUAUCCUUUUAUCCUAUAUAAAGAAUAAUACAAUUAACAAAGCAUAUUUCAAUAUCCUUGCUUUACUCUCCAGCUAACCUGAUACAUAUUUCAAUGUCUCAAGACAUACGUAUGCCAUUGAUAGAAAGGUGUGUUCAAGCAAAAUCUUUUUUUAUCUGUAGCGACCUCAAUAAUGUUAACGCCACGAAAUUACCACUCCAAAUUCCUUGUUCUUCCUUUUUAUAUUAUUAGAAAAACUGUGAUUGACUGAUUUAAUUGGAAAUUAUUUGUGAGAAAGCUAAAAAGAAUUGGAGUUCUUCAAUUCCUAAAAUUCUAAUUUUAAAUUGUAAAAAAAAAUUAAUUAUUUUUAAAAUUAUUUUAGAAAAUAAAACAUUAACUAUUUAUAUAAUAGCUAAAUAAAUCUAUUAAAAUAAAUCGAAAAUAACCAGUAAAAUCAAGCAAAUAAUUCAAAUAUAACAAGUAAAUAAUUAUAUUUUUUUGGUCUGAUUUGAGUAUGUUUUCUUGACUUGCUUUAGUGUUCAUUAAACAUAAACAAACUUUGCUCUAAGAGUCUGCUUAUCAAUAAAAUAUUACUUUUACUGUACAUAAUAGAAAUAAUUUGGUUACCCGUCGACACUUACGUCACUUUACUCUUCAAUCGAUGUAAUUUCAUAGCUUUUCUCAGCAGGUGGGAUCCAACUAAUUUCAUAAAUCAUAAUUCUUCCUAAGGCGAUGCCAAAUAGGUGCCAAGAGUAUACCGCAUUAAGCGAAAACAUGCUGUCGCCAUAGUCUUACAGCUAANNNNNNNNNNNNNNNNNNNNNNNNNNNNNNNNNNNNNNNNNNNNNNNNNNNNNNNNNNNNNNNNNNNNNNNNNNNNNNNNNNNNNNNNNNNNNNNNNNNNCCAUUAAUAUUUGAUUGUUAUAAUUUAAUUUUUUUUUAAAAGCAAUUAAUCUUCAUUCUCUUUAUUUUUUUUCAAUCCAUUUAGUAAUUUGAUUUUUUUUUUUAAUUUUACCCUUCAAUUUAAAAUUUUAGUUUGUCCUCUCAAUUUUUUUUCAAAUGAUGUUCUUUUUUCUUAAUUGUUGUUUUUUUAUCCUUUAAUUUUUUUUAAUUUUAUUAUUCAACAUUUCAUUAAUUGAGAUUUGGUCUCAUUAAGCCCUACCCAAGAGUCAAUCUGGGAUAAUUAUUAAGUCACAAGUCGAGUAAGUUGACUCGAGUUAACCUAAGUUAACCAAAUCGUUUUAUUUUAUAAAAAGCCAAAAUGAUACCAUUUUUUUUAAAAAAAAUAAUAAACAAGUUUUGACCAUGUUUCGGCUAGGUUUUCUCAGGGUUAACUGAAAUAUUGGUCAACCCAGGUUUUGAUCGUAUUAUACUGGAGUAAUUCUCCGUCAAUUUUUUUUGAAACUCGAGCCAGUUUCAGCUAAAGGUCACUUAGAACACAGGUCAACCCAUAAGUUAAACCAAAUUUUUAAAUAAUAACUUUACAAAUAUAGUUCUUUCAAUUUAAUUACUAUCUCAGAUUAAGAUUUGAAAAAUUAACAUGGAUUUCUUUCGUUAUUCAUUUUAAAAAAGAACUCGUUAGUUUGCAAGUCCACGUGUCAAAUUUGGAAAAUCAUAUGGCCCAUUGAUAGAAAGGGGUGUUGAAGCAAAAUCUUUAUUAGCAAAGCCUGUUCGACCUCAAUAAUGUUAACGCGUGGACCCAGUUGUCGCAACCACCGCGAAAUUACCGCUCCAAAUUCCUUGUUCUUUCUCCGUAUAUUAUUUUUGAAAAACUGCCAUGUAUUUAAUUGUAAAGUAUUUGCAAAAAAGCUAAAAGAAUUAUAGUUUUUUAAUUUUUAAAAUUAUAAUUUUAAAUUGAAAAAAAAUAAUUAUUUUUAAAAUUGUUUUAAAAAUAUAACAUCAACUAUUUAUAUAAUAGCUAAAUAAAUAUAUUACAAUAAAUCAAGAAUAACAAGUAAAAUCAAGCAAAUAAUCCAUAAAUAACAAGAAAAUAAGUAUAUUUUCUAGAUCUGAUUUGAGUAUAUUUUUUAUCUUGAUUGACUGACUUGCUAAGUUUUUGCUAAGUAUAAACUAAUUUUACUCUAAGAAUUUAUUUGAUAUUUCUUCACUUAUUAAUGAAAUAUUAUUUCUACUGUAGAAAAUAGAAAUAAUUUGGUUGACCAUCGACACUUAUGUGAUUGAUUAUUGAUUAUUUUACUCUAAGAUGAAUAUUUUUUUGUUUGCAUCAAAUAAUUAAAAUUGAGAAUUUCAAAGCAGAGGGUUUAAGGAAUAUUAAAAGAGAAGGUUUUACGUAAUUAUUAUAUAAUUGAAAUUGUCACUAAUCUCCUUUGUUCAUUUUCUUUUUCUAUUACCCCUUCCAAUCAGCAUGCAAGAAACUUUCAACGUUUUACACUGCUUGUUCACUUAAUAAAACUAUUACUUGCUAUAAAGCAAGAAAUAAUAUUCUUUCUCUGAAAAGGGCUUGAGAAAACCCUAAGCAUGGUAGAUAAUCUCUUAUAGGAAUCUCUUUAUUAAAUAAUCAAAUAUCAAAGUCUAUUUCCAAAGACUAUUACUACAGUUUAUAUAUAUAUAUAUAUAUAUAUAUAUAUAUAUAUAUAUAUAUAGAAACAACUAAAUAGAGAAAUUAUUAUUUUUUAAAUAGAAAAGGUUGAAAAGCUUGAUAAUAUCGAGUAAGAAAUAAAAUAUAAAAAUAAUUCUUUUUUAAAUAAACAAAUAUAAAAGUUUAAUAGUACUGAAUAGAAAAAAAAAUAGAAUUUCUAAACUAAAUAAAAGUAACUGAAAAAAGUAUUUAUUAUUCCAAAAAAUUAGAGUUUUUUAAUUUAUAAAAUUAUAAUUUUAAAUUGUAAAAAUAAUUCAAUUAUUUUUAAAAUUAUUUUAAAUAAUAAAACAUCAACUAUUUAUAUAAUAGCUAAAUAAAUCUAUUAAAAUAAAUUGAGAAUAACUAGUAAAAUCAAGCAAAUAAUCCAAAAAUAACAAGCAAAUAACUUGUCAAGUCUUUAUUCAGCACAAACGAACUUUAUUCUAAAAGUAUAUUUGAUAUUUCUUCACUUAUCUAUGAAAUAUUACCUCUACUGUACAGAAUAGAAAUAAUUUGAUUGACCGUCGAUACUUAUGUUAUUGAUUAUUGAUUAUUUGGAAGAAGAAAUUGUAUUCAUUCUUCUUAUUUAUUUUUAUUAUUAACGUGGAUGUUCAGGCCAGCUUGCGCACACCUCGACUAAUCCCACGAGUCCUGAAGUUAACGAUCAUGUAAGCCUCCAGUGACCAUCAUAUUAGCAACUAUAGAGCUCGAACCUGAGAUUAUAGAGGGAACAAACCUCUUAAUCUCAAACUCUUAUCACUAGAUCACCUACUUUACUAUUCAGCUCGUUGUAAUUUCAUAGCUUCUCCCAGGUGGACGCAACUAAUUUCAUAAAUUAUAAGUCUUCGCUAAGCAUAAAUGAACUUUAUUCUGAGAGUCUGAUUGAUAUUUUUUCAUUUAUUAAUGAAAUAUUACUUCUAUUGUAUAGUUAUUGGGUACCGAGUCGAUCCACCUGGUCAAUAGAUGAACGGUACAUUCUUUGAAUUUAUUAGAAGAAAUAUGUAGUGUAAAUUAUAAAAAAAAUAUUUAUUUUUUGAUAUAUAAUAAUAAUAAUAAUAAUAAUAAUAAUAAAUUAGAUGAUAGUAACAAGAAAAUAGAAAUUAAUUUGAAUAAAUGGUAAGAGUUCCUAUUCUAAUAUAUCCAGGGAAGAAGUUCGAAGAAUAGAAUGAAGUUAAAUAUUCUUAAUAAAAGAAAGAAAUGAAAUAUAUUUUUAAUAAAUAUAAAAGAUGGAUAAAAUUAGAGAACAAGAAAGAGAUAUAUAAUCUUUUUGUAAGAACUUCUAAAAAUUUAAUUACAAUUCAGAAUUUCUUCCUUAAAAAUAUCCAAAAAAUCCUAUUAUAUAUGAAUCAAGACAACAGUAGAAUAACUUUUACAUAUUUUUCAAGUUUACUUAGAAUAGCAGUGGAAUAAUUCUUUUAAUAUUUAAAAAUUAAAAAAAAAACUGUGUAGUUGUUUUGUAUAAAUUCUAAAGUUGAGAACUCUUUUGUGCUUGGUAAAAUAUGAUUUUCAACUUUCGUAGGCGAGCACUAAAGUCCCAAGCUUCAAGAAUUUCUCUUCUUUUCCUUUUGUAUUUUCUCAUUUUCUUGGCAUGCGCGCAGCUGCUUCAUGGAAAAAACGUUUCAGAUGCGGAAAAUAAAGAUAAAUGUGGAAAAUAGAAGCGGAAAAAAAAUCCCAAAUAUCGACAAACAUCACAAGAGAAGCUUGAUAUCAACCACAUGUUGCAGUCCACAGUCUUUCCAUUACAUUAUAAUUACUUCUAAAAAAAAAUUUAAUUUUUUUUAAUUAUACGCCAUCAGCAACUACCUCAAAAUUACCACUCUAAAUUCCAGCUCAAUAUCGAUUAACAUGUGGCUAAAGAAUUUGAUUGCUGCUCAAUAUUUACCAAUACGCGCUUGAGAAAUUUCCUGCACGUGUUACAUUUUUAUCUUUUAUAAUUAUAAUUAUUGCAUUGCUAAUAAUUUGCAAGAAAGAAUAUUGUUUCUCUUAAAAGGGCUUGAGAAAACCCUAAGCAUUGUAGAUAAUCUCUUAUAGGAAUCUCUUUAUUAAAUCAUCAAAAUAUCAGAGUAUAUUUCCAAAUACUAUUACUAUAGUUUUUAUAUAUAUAUAUAAAAAUAGAAACAACUAAGUAGAGAAAUUAUUAUUUUUUAAAUAAAAAAACUAGAAAAGCCUAUAAUAUUAUUGAAUAAAAAAUAAAAUAGAAAUUUAAUCAAUUAAAAGUUUAAAAAAAAAUACUGUUUAACUGUUUUGUAUAAAUUCUAAAGUUAAAGAGUCUUUUGUGCUUGGUAAAAUACGUCACACUAAAAUUAAUAAAUAAUAACACAAGAAAGGACCAAAGUUAAUAAAUAAUAGCAUGCACGAAACUUCACGAUACCCAUGUUUUCCACGUUUUACACUGUUUUAAUAGAUUGUUACAGCAAGAGCACAGAGAGAGGAACGGUUCAAGACAAAACAACGAAGGAGGGGCAGAUGCUCAAGUUGUUGCAACCACCAUGAAAGGAACACAUUAAUGUUAACGCGUGGACCCAGUUGCUGCACCAGCACGAAAGUACUACUCCAAAUUCCAGCUCAAAUUGAAUAAUGAUUUAUUUUCUAGCAUAAAUUAUGUUUGAAAUAAAAUUGAUAAAAGACAUAAUUACACAAUUAUUGAUGGGAUCGUAUAUAAAAAUAAUUAAAUUGUGAUUUUUUAAUUAUUUUUAAACAUAUCAUGGUUUGAGGUACAUCAUGUAAAUUAUAAAAAAAAUAUUUAUUUUUCUGAUAUAUAUAUAGUAAUAACAAAUGGUUAGAAUGCUUUAGUCCUUUUCGAGUGGAAAGUGGUGUGAAAGUGGGAACUACUGUGAGAGCUUUAUGCCACUUUCUAAAUCGCGAGUAAAGUCUGAAUGUUUUUAGAAAGAAGCAGCCUUCAUUGCUUUUCAAAACCAAUCUCUGUAUCUAUUAACAAAAACUCUAAAUCGCGAGUAAAGUCUAAAUGUUUUUUAAAAAGAAGCAGUCUUCAUUGCUUUAAUAAAUUGUUACAAUAAAGCACUGAGAGAAGAAUGGUUAUACCGUUGAGCCGGGUCGAGUUUUAAAAUUAUAAUUUAUAUAUAAAAACAACUAAAUAGAAAAAUUAUUAUUUUUUAAAUGAAAAAACCAGAAGAGCUUAAUAAUAUUUAAUAAAAAAAUAAAAAUGAAAAAAUAUUCCUUUUUAAGUACAAACUAAUUUAAUAAUACUGUAUAAAAAAAUUAAAAUUUCUAACCUAAAUUAAAAAAAAUAAAAAUAACUGAGAAAAUAUUUAUAAAGAUAACGGUAUGUAAAUCUAGGAACUAAAAAUAAUACAACUACAUUGAUUGGAGAUUUCACUCAGAAUUUCUAGUAAAUUAUAAAGGAAAUUUCCUAGUGCUUUUCAUGUACAUGAAUUUAAAAAUUAUCGUCGCGGAACUUACUUGCAUUGACUGACUUGCUAAAUAUUUGUGCUCGAAAUUUCCAAGCAAUUUAUGGAGGAAAUUUCCUUGUGCUCUCUCUUGUACAUUAUUAGAAAAGCUGUCAUUGAUUGAUUGACUUGCAAAAGUAUUUGCAAGAAAGCUAACGAAUUAGAGUUUUUUAAAAUUUUAAAUUAUUAAAAAAAUCCAUUUUUUUUUUAAAUCAAGAAUAAAACAUCAAGUAUUAUAUAAUUGCUAAAUAAAUCUAAUAAAAUAAAUCGGAAAUAACUAGUAAAUAAUCCAAAAAUAACUAGAAAAUAACCUUUUCCACCUCAAUAAUGUUAACGCGUGGACCCAGUUGUUGUGGAAACUAUGCAGAGGAAGAAAAAUGAUAGAAAAAUUUGCAAGAGAGAAUUCUUUCUCUGAAUAGAAAAAAACUAUUAUUUUUUAAAUAAAAACAACUAUAUAGAAAAAUUAUUACUUUUUAGGUAGAAAAACCUCAUGAUAUUGAAUAAAAAAAUAAAAUAGAAAAAUUAUUCUUUUCAAGUAGAAAAAAAUAUAAAAGUUUAAUAAUAUUGAAUAGAAAUCAAUAAAAUUUCAAAACUAAAUAAAAAUAAUAGAGAAAAAUAUUUAUUAUCCUAAAAAUUCUUAUAUUAAAAUAUUUAAAAGAACUGAGUUUACAUGCUUUAAACAGAAAAACAACAAAAAAAAAAAACAAAUGUAACAAGAAAAAUUCCACACAACGUAAUAUGAUAUAAAUUGAGGUUUUUAAAUUACCUAUAAACAUAUCAUAAUAUAUAUGGUACAUCCUUUGAAUUUAUUAGAAAGAAGCCAUUAACUAGCCUUUUCAAUUGGAUCUUUUAUUUAAAUGAAAAGGAAUAUUUAUUUUAAUAUGAAAAAAAUAUUUAUUUUUUUGAUAUUUCUGGUAAUAAUAAAUUAGAGGAUAGUAACAAGAAAAUAGGAAUUAGAUCGAAUAAAUGGUACCAAUUUGUAUUCUGAUAUAUCUAGCCAAAGAAUAGAAUGAAUUAAAACAUUCUUAAUAAAAAAAACAGAAAACACAGAAAUAAAUAAAAAGAUAUUCUUAAUAAAUAUAAAAAAUAGGUAAAAUCAGAGAACAAGAAAGAGAUAUAGAAUCUCUUUCUAAGAUUUCUAAAAACUUAAUUACAAUUACAUUAUAAUUUCUUCCUUAAAAUUAUUCAAAAUAUAGUAUUAGAAUUGCAUAAUGCUAGGUUUUAGUAUAUAGUUGUUUAUAUUGUUAAAGAGUCUCUCCUAAAACAAAUAAUAAAAAUAUUGUACAACUCUUUUGAAUGAAUUGUUAAUGCACGGACUGUUUUGGGUCCUGACUUGGUUGAUUUAACUUGAAUGUAUUAUUUGAUUGGUCCAAAUAAAAGUCGACUCGAAAUUUCUAUUAAUUUACAAAAGAAAUUUCCUAGUACUUUAUGCUGUAUAUAAUUUGAAAAAUUAUGACUGACCGACUUACUUGCAAAGUAUUGGCAAGAAAGUUAAAGAAUUAGAGUUUUUAAAUAUUUAAAAUUAUAAUUUUAAAUUCUAAGAAAAAAAUCAAUUAUUUUUAAAAUUGUUUUAAAAAAUAAAAGCAUCAACUAGCUAAAUGAAUCUAUUAAAAUAAAUAAAAAAAUAAUUAGUAAAAUCAAGUGAAUAAUCCAAAAAUAACAAGAAAAUAGAGAUAUUUCCUAAAUAUGAUUCCAGUUUGUAUUUGCUAACAUAAAUAGCAUACACGAACUUUAUUAUAAUAGUAUAUUUGAUAUUUAAAAAAAAAACUUAUAUAUAUUAUAUGGGUUGGAAACCCAUUUUUUAUUAAAUUUUAAAUUUUAUAUGUUUAAAAAUAUUUUUUUAUAUUUUUUAAUUAUUUUAAUAUGAUAAUAUCAAAAAUAAAUAAAUAAAAUUUUUCUAACUCUUACUACUUCUGACUUGCUAUGACUCGAAAUUCGUGGUGCUCUCUCCUGCAAAUGAAUACAAAGCAUAUCCUUUCUCUUUCUCCUAUAUGAAGAAUACAAUUAGAAAUUUCCUUGGUUUACUCUUCAGAUUACUUUUCCAUGCACGAAACUUUAUGCCAAUUAGCAACCACUGUGAAAUUACAACUCAAAAUCCCAUGAAUAUAUAAAAAAAAAUUAGAAUUUGACUAGAAAAAUUCUAUCAAAUUCUCUACUUUGUUAGUGUUCAUUUUCCUUCUUUUUUUACCAUAUCUUCAGUUGGGACAAAAUUAUCUUCCCCAAACGAUAGACCUUUAUUUUCCUUCUUUUUUAGUUUAUUAGUAAUUACAUUAAAGAAAAAUAUUAAUUAGUAAUUUUACAUUUUUUUUCUAUAUUAUAAUUAUCAAAUAACCCUUAAAAAAUUUUAUUUUAACCUUUUUUUUCUCUCUUUUUUUUUCAAUUUAUUUGUUAAUUUAAUUUUUUUUUUAAUUUUACCUUCCGGUUCAAAAUUUUAGUUUAUUCUCUCAAUUUAUUUUUCAAAUGAUGUUCUUAUUCUCUUAAUUGCUAUUUUUUAUCCUUCAAUCUUUUUAUUUUAUCAUUCAACAAUUCAUUAAUUGGGAUCUGGUCUCAUUGGUUUUUCCUAUUGUUUCUAAACUCUACCCAAUAGUCAAUCCAGUAUAAUUAUCAAGUUACGAGUUGAGUGGAUUGACUCGAGUUAAUCUAAGGCAACCAAAUCUUUUUGUUUUAUAAAAAGCCAAAAUGAUGCCAAUUUUUUAUUUUUAAAAAAUAAAAAACGAGUUUUGAUCUUGUUUCGGCUAGAUUUUCUCAUGAUUAACUAAAACAUUGAUCAACCUAGAUUUUUUAUUGUAUUACAUUAGAUCAAUUCUACCUCAAUUGUUUUUGAAACUCGGGCCGUUUUAAACUAAAGAUCACCUGGGACACAGUUUCUUGGCGCUUUGUACUGUAUAUAAUUUGAAAAACUGUGAUUGACCGACUUACUUGCAAAGUAUUUGCAAGAAAGCUAAAGAAUUAGACUUUUUCAAUAUUUUAAAUUGUAAGAAAAAAUCAAUUGUUUUUUUUAAAUUAAAAAAUAAAACAUCAACUAUUUAUAUAAUAGCUAAAUGAAUCUAUUAAAAUAAAUAAAAAAUAACUAGUAAAAUUAAGUAAAUAAUCCAAAAAUAACAAAAAUAAAUAAAAAUGUAUUUUUUAAAAACUUUUAUCUUAUAUGGGUUGGGGUUGCUAUGCAACUUAACCGGGAUCACCAUGAUUGUCGAGUAGAGUAAAUAAAUUACUUAACCGGGAUCACCAGAGGAGUUAUUUGCCAAGAUUAAGUUAUAUAACAGUUUAUAAAUCAUGCUAUCAUCUUCAUCACCAUAUAUAAAGUUUUAUAAUAAAAAAAUAUUUAAAAAAACAAUUUUCAUUACAUUUUCAAAUUAGUUAAAGUUUUUCAAAUGAAUGGAUUGAUGUCGAUGACACUCUCUAGUCAGUUUUGAGAAUUUUAAAUCCAAACAAGUGAAUUUAUAUUGUAUAUGGAUCAAGCAAGCAUGCUUGUACAAUAAUUUCUUAUACUCAAUAGAAAUUUGGGUUUAUCAUUACAAACCGUAUUUUAAAAUACUAUUGCCAAAAGAUCAUAUUAUUUAUUAAAACAAGAAAGGACCAAAGUUAAUAAAUAGUAGCAUGCUCGAAACUUCGUGAUACCAAAGUUAAUAAAUAAUAAAGUUAAUAAAUAGUAGCAUGCUUUAAAAGAGUGUUACAGUAAAAGCACAGAAAGAAGAACGGUUCAAGACAGAACUAUAAUGUUAACGCGUGGGACCCAUUUGUUGCAACCAGCACGAAACUCCAGCUCAAUAUUUACCAGCACUACACGCUUGAGUAAUUUCCUUGCGUUUUUUUUCCUCUACCGCUCUACGUGUUACCUUUUACCUCUUUUAUAAUUAUGAUUUAUUAACGAGAAUAAAACAAUUCUGUGUAAAUUAUACAAAUUUCCAUUGUUGCUUUUUUUCUUGCACGUGUUAGAUUUUUAUUUUUUAUAAUUAUAAUUAUUGCAUUGCUAAUAAUUUGCAAGAAAGAAUAUUCUUUCUCUGCUUAAGAAAACCCUAAGCAUUGUAGAUAAUCUCUUAUAGGAAUCUCUUUAUUAAAUCAUCAAAAUAUCAGAGUCUAUUUCCAAAUACUAUUACGACAGUCUAUAUAAAGAAUACAAUUAACCUCAUUUCAAUAUCAUAGCUUUGGAAUUUCAUAGCUAACUCUUUGUUAUAUUGCUCCAUUGGUAAUUGAUUGUGCCUUGAUUUCUGCAGCUGCCAUGACAGAGCCAGAGUCUUCUCGAUCUAGACCAGAAGGCGCCUAUGAUGUCUUCUUGAGUUUUAGAGGAGAAGACACUCGCCAGACAUUUACAGAUCAUCUAUAUACUGCCUUGGUCCAGGCAGGAAUCCACACUUUUCGAGAUGAUGAUGAACUUCCGAGAGGAGAAGAAAUCUCCGAUCAUCUCCUCAGGGCAAUUCACGAAUCAAAGAUAUCCUUAGUUGUCUUCUCAAAAGGAUAUGCUUCUUCUAGAUGGUGUCUCAAUGAACUUGUAGAGAUUCUUCAGUGCAAAAAUAGGAAAACCAAUCAGAUUGUUCUUCCUAUAUUCUAUGACAUUGAUCCUUCAGAUGUGAGAAAACAGAAUGGCAGUUUUGCAGAAGCAUUUGUUAAACAUGAAGAGCGUUUUGAAGAGAAGUUGGUGAAGGAGUGGAGAAAAGCUCUUGAGGAGGCUGGAAAUCUAUCUGGAUGGAAUCUCAAUGAUAUGGCAAAUGGGUAUGUCUUUUUUCCAAAUUUAUGGAGUCAAUAUACUUUACAUUUUUCAAUGUGAAACAAUAAAAUGCUUAAUUGACUCGCUAUCAAUGACCUGCUUUUGUCUAUGAGCAGGCAUGAAGCAAAAUUUACCAAAGAGAUUAUCAAGGAUGUGUUGAAGAAAUUAGAACCCAAGUACUUAUAUGUUCCUGAGCACCUAGUAGGUAUGGAUCGGCUUGCUCGCAGUAUUUUUGACUUUCUAAGUACUGCAACAGAUGAUGUACGCAUUGUGGGCAUACAUGGGAUGCCAGGAAUAGGAAAGACAACUAUAGCAAAAGUUGUAUUUAAUCAACUCUGCUAUAGAUUCGAGGGAAGCUGCUUUCUUUCGAAUAUCAAUGAAACAUCAAAACAAUUCAAUGGUCUGGCUCUUUUACAAAAGCAACUUCUUCAUGAUAUUUUAAAACAAGAUGUUGCUAACAUCAAUUGUGUCGAUAGAGGAAAGGUUCUGAUCAAAGAGCGACUUUGUCGCAAAAGAGUUCUUGUUGUUGCUGAUGAUGUUGCUCGUCAGGACCAGCUAAAUGCUUUGAUGGGAGAGCGAAGUUGGUUUGGUCCCGGAAGUAGAGUGAUUAUUACAACAAGAGAUUCUAGUGUUCUACUUAAAGCAGAUCAAACAUAUCAGAUCGAAGAAUUGAAACCAUAUGAGUCCCUUCAGCUUUUCCGAUGGCAUGCCUUGAGGGACACAAAGCCAACAGAAGAUUAUAUUGAGCUUUCGAAGGAUGCAGUUGAUUACUGUGGAGGACUUCCUUUAGCUCUUGAGGUUAUGGGUGCUUGUCUGUCCGGGAAAAACAGAGAUGGUUGGAAAUGUGUAAUUGAAAAAUUGAGAAGAAUUCCACACCACGAUAUUCAAGGAAAGCUUAGAAUAAGUUUUGACGCACUGGACGGUGAAGAACUACAAAAUGCAUUCCUUGACAUCGCUUGCUUCUUUAUUGAUAGAAAGAAAGAGUACGUCGCAAAAGUGCUAGGAGCCCGUUGCGGUUACAAUCCAGAAGUUGAUUUGCAAACUCUCCAUGAAAGGUCUCUAAUUAAAGUUAAUGCCAUUGGGGAGAUAACCAUGCAUGAUCUAUUACGAGACAUGGGAAGGGAGGUCGUUCGUGAAUCGUCUCCAAAAGAACCUGGAAAGAGGACCAGAAUUUGGAAUCAAGAGGAUGCAUGGAAUGUACUUGAGCAGCAGAAGGUAAGAGCUCAAUGCAUACACGAAAGCAUGGUCAAUGUUGUAUUUUCUAGUCAAACUUAUUACAUAUAAUUGUAUGAAAGUUGUAUUGUUUUUUUUUUAGGGUACCGAUGUUGUAGAGGGUGUUGCACUGGAUGUCAGAGCAUCAGAAGCUAAAUCACUGAGCACAGGAUCAUUUGCAAAAAUGAAAUGCUUAAAUUUACUCCAAAUCAACGGAGCACAUCUCACCGGAUCCUUCAAACUGCUUUCUAAAGAGUUGAUGUGGAUUUGUUGGCUUCAAUGUCCUUUGAAAUAUUUUCCAUCUGAUUUUACCUUGGACAAUCUAGCUGUUCUUGAUAUGCAGUACAGUAACCUUAAAGAACUAUGGAAGGGAAAAAAGGUGAGAAACAUGCUGCAAUCCCCAAAAUUUCUCCAGUAUGUAAUUUAUAUUUACAUGUUACGACUUCUUAAGAUUAAUUUUCAUUAUUUUGCGCUCUAUUAUACAGAUUCUCAACAGGCUAAAAAUCCUUAAUUUCAGUCAUUCUCAGAACCUUGUUAAAACACCAAACUUGCACAGUUCAAGUCUAGAGAAACUAAUUCUGGAAGGUUGCUCGAGUUUAGUUGAGGUGCAUCAAUCAAUUGGACAUUCGACGAGCCUCGUUUUCUUGAAUCUGGAGGGAUGUUGGAGUCUGAAGACUCUCCCUGAAAGCAUUGGCAAUGUAAAGUCUCUUGAAACUCUGAAUAUUUCUGGGUGUUCACAACUUGAGAAAUUGCCAGAACGCAUGGGUGAUAUGGAAUCCUUAACUGAGCUGCUAGCCGAUGGGAUUGAAAAUGAGCAAUUUCUCUCUUCAAUUGGACAAUUAAAGCAUGUCAGAAGGUUAUCAUUGUGUCGAAACCGUUCGGCUCCACCAAGUUCUUCUUUGAUUUCAGCAGGUGUUUUGAAUUGGAAACGGUGGCCGCCAACAUCUUUCAUUGAAUGGAUAUCAGUGAAACGUCUUGAGCUUUCUAAUGGUGGUUUGUCUGAUCGCGCAACUAACUGUGUUGAUUUUAGGGGUUUGUCCGCUCUAGAGCAUUUGGAUCUAGAUGGAAACAAAUUCUCUAGCCUUCCUUCUGGGCUCGGCUUCCUUCCCAAGCUAAGGUGGUUGUCUGUUCAGGCAUGCAAAUAUCUUGUAUCAAUCCCAGAUCUUCCCUCAAGUUUAGACUUUUUGUUUGCAGCUCAUUGCAAAUCAUUGAAAAGAGUAAGAAUACCAAGCGAGCCAAAAAAAGAACUAUAUAUAGGACUAGAGAACAGUCAUUCGUUAGAAGAGAUUCAGGGCAUCGAAGGUCUAAGUAAUAGUUUCUGGUAUAUUCGUGUUGAUAAGCACAAUAAUUCACCAAAUAAAUUACCGAAAAACGUUAUUGAGGUACUAUUUCUUUCAGUCUCUCUUGCACAAAAAGUAAACACACAAUUAGCACAUGCAUCGAUAUUUAUUAUAUGUCAUCGAUAUUGAAUAAUGAUUUAUUUUCUAGCAUAAAUUAUGUUUGAAAUAAAAUUGAUAAAAAACAUGAAUACACAAUUAUUGAUGGGAUGGUAUAUAAAAAUAAUUAAAUUGAAAUUUUUUAAUUAUUUUUAAACAUAUCAUGGUUUUAGGUACAUCAUUAAAUUAUAAAAAAAAUUAUGUAUUUUUCUGAUAUAUAUAUAUAUAUAUAUAUAUAUAUAUAUAUAUAUGGCAAUAACAAAUUAAAUGAUUAUAACAAGAAAAUAGAAAUUAGUUUGAAUAAAUGUUACCAGUUCUAUUAAUUUGAACGGUACAUCAUUCACCGAAUAAAUUACAGAAGAGCGUUGUUGAGGUACUAUUUCUUUCCGUCUAUCUUUCACACAAAAAGAAACACACACAAUUGGCACAUACAUUGAUUAAUGUCUAAAAUCUCAGCAUUCCUUGAAAUCAAUAUGUAUAUAGGCAAUAAUUAUUAUUAUUAUUAUUAUAUUUAAAAAAACAAAUAUCAUCUUUAAUAAUAUUUUUUAUUUUUCUUAUUUGAUCUAAAAAAUUAAAUAUUAUCUUUAAUAAUAUUUUUUUAUUAAAUAUUUAAAGUCUGAUUGGUUUUAUUUUUUAUUUCUUGAUUUUAUGAUAAUAUAUUUAUACAGUUAAUGUGCAACGGUCGUCACGGGUAUUCUUUCUUUUGGGAUGUCGCCGGGAGUUUAAUUUCCGAGUGUAAAAAUUAUGUAUAAAUUUCUAUUCUUUCCUUUCAUCCAUUACUUGUCCUCUAUGAAGAUUCUAUGUAUGAAAUCUCGGAAUCUUUUCGAGUAUAACUUGGGAUCAACAGCUGAGAUAGACGUGGGAUCCACUUGUAAGGACUUUUAUGCAUGCUCUAGCUUUUUGCUGAUAUCAUAAUCCUGGAGGAUGUCAAUGAUACCAAAGUGAAGAACUACAUCGAAGAUCUCAUUACCAUUAUGUGAAGGUGUUGAAUUGUUACUUCCACCCCCCAUGCACUGAUCCAUUUCAGUAGUCCUCAUUACACUCUCGGCUCUUGCAGGCACAUUUGCCCCCAGCCGGAUGAAUGGCCCCCUGGAACAGAUUUCACAUGAGUACUACAGAUAAAAUCUAGACAUUGCAUCACAUAAUCACCAAAAUUCAAAGUAACAAAACGAAGAACAAAAUGUGAUAACAAUGACAAUGAUCACUCAACCACAGCCGAAUCUUACGCUUUGAAGACACUUUUCAUCAUUAAUUUUCCUUUUCACAUUGAUUUUCAAUGUUCCGGGCAGAUAAAAUAGCAUUGAUUUACAACCAUGGUUUUAAGGCAUCAUUAUUGGCAAAAACAUUGUAGGAUCAUGCACAUUUAACUAGUUGUUAAUUGAUUUUCAACCAGAUAAAAUAGCAUUGAUUUUCAAUGUUCCUUUAUCCUUGUAGUCUAAGAAAAUAUUAUUUAAUUCUUUUGUUUUCAUAUUCAUCUAUGAUUUAAUGUGUUGAUUGAAAUUGACAAUUGAGUUGUUAGUAAUAGCAAAAGGCAUGUACAAUCAUGCACAUUUAACUUUCUUUUUAAAUUUAAAAGUUCUAUUGAAUUUGAUGGUUUUUUAGGAUACAAAAGACUUGAAUUGACGUGAGAGUACAAGAUCAUUUUACGUGGAGAUGCUUGGAGUUGCUCCAAAUCAGUACAGUACUUCUACCUGACAUGUUGAUAUGUAUUUGUUGGCUUGAAGAUCAUUUUCCAAGUUUGGAAGUUUUAUUGAAUUCUCUUUCAAAUCUUUUCCAUCCGCUUUUAUGUUGGACAACCUAGUUGUUAAUUAUUUUCCAUGAUGUAAUUUAUAUUUUCAAGUGUUGAUCGAAAUUGACAACCUAGUUUUAUUUAAUUAAUGUGUUGAUUGAAAUUAAGAAUUAAAGGUUUAAUUAAAUGAAAUACAGCUUUAAAGAACACAUCAACUACAUUUCAUAUGCUCAACUCUCAGCAAAUUGAAAUUUCAAGGCUAUUUGAAUCUUGAAAACACAAUCUCAAUAAUCUUAAUGUGAUGAGUGAUUUCUUUUCUAUUUUUUUUUCUUUGGAUCAAAAGGGUCUUAUUGAAUUAUUAUUUGUUAGGUAACUAAGAUUUAUUGAUGUUAAAAAUAGCACUAAGUUUUUGGCAUGACAAUUGGUGAGAAGCAAAAGCAACAGCAAUCCAUCAGGUUCAUCACCAUCCUAUCGCUUUGCCGUACUGUUUAUCUUCUUGGCAUUGUUCAAAGGAACGCAAAAGACAUUCCAAGUGUGAAAGUGUGUGUGAAAGUGUAUUAUUGUCAUAAAGUUUUUCAAACUUCCAAUAUAGAGAGUGAAAUAAAGAGCAAAAGGAAACAUCUUUCUUGUUCCCUUCCCCUUCUUUACAUGGCUUACUCAAUGAAAAAGCAAUUAAACACCCCAUUUGAUUUUCAAUAAGUAUGAGAAUGCGAAAGAGAGAGGCCAAGGGGUUCCUUGAAUAUUUUCUUCUUUUUUAUCUCGCUCACUGGGGCAAACCAUCUUUUUCAAAAUUUUGAAUAUUAGCAUGCCAUCAAAAAGAAUUUUGUUCAAUCCCAAUCCCACAUUGUCUGUAGAAGUAUUUACUUUUGACUGUACACUUUGUUAUUUUCCAAUCCCUCCCCAGUUCUGCAACCAUUUCUCUACUUUCUAUGCUCUUGGCUUGCUAAAAACUUUUAUCCUUGAUUGUAGUUAGAAAUAAAUUGGUUUUCUAGGAAGAGAUUAUUGAUUGGGAUAUAAUAUUUAAGUUGGUUCUUCAUCAUUUAAUGUUAUAAUUUAAAAUAAUUGAUGAAAAUUACUGUACACAAAAAAGUUGUGAGAACAUCCUUAAUUAGUCUAAUAAGUAAAGUGUUGUUAGUUUUGACUAUAAGAUCUUGUUAUGUAUUAUUGCAUAGUUUUUACUAUUUUUUCGGUAUUUUUUCUUUUUUAUAUACAACUUUUAUUUUUCUUGCCAGUUUGUCAUGGCACCAACACCAAUUAAUAAUAAAUCUUAGACUAUUAUUAAAUAAAGAAAAAACAUAAACAUGGUUAAAAUACCAAACUUGAAUUGCUCAAACCUAAAGAAACCCUAUGACAAUAAUCUAAUUUAGAAAAUAAUUAAUUUAUCCUUGUAGUCCAAGAAAAUAGUAUUUAAUUCUUAUGUUUUCAUAUUCAUAUAUGAUUUAAUGUGUUGAUUGAAAUUGUCAAUGGAGUUUACUCACAUAUUGUUAUAUUGAUUUUGAGUUCAAAUAGAUGUUUAAAAAGAGAGUUUUUUCAUGAAUGCAACCCUUCAUGUAGUCCAAGAAAAUUAGAAGAAUUAAUAAGUUUGCGGACUUAAUUAAACUUUGAGUUAAUUAAUCAAAUAAAUUCAGGGAUUUAAUUAAAAUUAACCUAAGGGCACAAUUAGAAAUCAAUUAUUACUGAUUAGGAUCCCAAUUGUUGAGAUUAAAUUGAUUAGGGGUCAAAGUGAAUAUUUCCAUUCCUGUCGAAAUGACACCGUGGUUGGGGAACAGUCGUGUAUCUUCUUCAUUCCGAUUCAACAGGGAAGCUGGAAAAUCGGCAGUAAAACCGACCCAAUCGUGACCACGUUCUCUGCCCACAAUCCCGUUCGUGGAGGGAUAACAGUCCUGCAAAGCCAGGACUGGUUUGAGGGGCAAGCUCUUAGGGGCCUUAUAAAAGGCAGAGUAGAGCAGAAAAAGGGAGGGGAAGAACACCGGGAAAAGACCAGAGAGCCGAAAAAUCAACCCAGAAAAACAGAGUUGAAAAAAAAAAGGGCAGAGAAAACAGAGCACAAAUCCAAAUACAGAGAGAAAGAGAGAACAAGAGGGCAGGACACAGUGAGGAGAAUUAUCCUUGAAAUUGUCUUCGGACCUGCAAACAAAGAAAAACCCGGAUUCAGCCAAAGAACACUCACAACAAGCCGGAAUCUUCUUUGUAGCUGUCACACCCGGACAUCGCGGCGACCAAUUAAAAAUUAUUAAAUCUUUGGAAAAGAACGGAUUUCUGGCAUCCUGUUCUUUAAUGGGGAAUGGUCUUUGUUUAAGGAGUCGCCACCUAGUAUUAUGGUCACUAGGAACACUAACUGGUCAACAGAGAUUCUAUGGUUCGAGACUGGUUACGUAAAAGGGAAGAUAUUAUCACCCCUUAAACGUCCUGCCUAAGGCAGGCUGCAUUGCUAGUUUCGUCUUAAAUUGCUAAAUGUUUAUUACUUUAUGCUAUGAAAAUUUGCUUAUAAUAUUCCUGACUCUGGCGCCAGUGAAUAUUCAACUAUGAAUAUUUCCAACUCUGGCGUUGGUAAAUAUUACGUAGCUAUAAAAUAAAUUAGAUCAAUAUUUUAUUUUAUUCCCGACUCUGGCGCCAGUGAAUAAAUAAAUAAUAAUAAAUUUAUUUUUUACAAAUGCAAAUAUUUUUUAUAUUUCUAGCUAAAUAAAAUAAAAUACAAUGAAUAAAAAUAAUAUAAAUUUAAACCGGUAUUUUUAUUCCUGACUCUGACGUCAGUGAAUAAACCAAUAAAUUUACAUUAUUUUUAUUCAUGCAUACACAUUUUUAUUUUUUUAUUUUUUCUGUUUUUUUAUAUAUGUUUAUUUUUUUUUUUUUAAAGGACUAAGCUUCACACGUGUAUGCAAAAGUAGUGAAUUAAAUUUGCCUAUGUACAGUACCCAUGCCCGACACCCCACGUGAAUAAAAAAAAAAAGAAAAAAAAAAAAAAGAAUUGCAAAGCAAAGGGAAAUGAAGAACUUACCUGUGCAGGAGGCGAAGUCGAAGACGGUGGCGAAGGUGUGCUGAAUUGCCAAAGCUACCUUCUCUCCUUCUCUGUUUUUAUUCUUCGUCCGCUUCUCCUCUGGUUUUGCUUUUCUUUGCUUUGAUUGCUUCUCUUAUUCUUCCUGUCUCCCCCCUGUGUUUGCUUGUUCUCAGUUCGCUUGUGUUUUCUUUUUUAUAUGUUGUUCAGGGAAUGGAGGAGCUGGUGUAAGUGGAGACAAAGCAGCUGAUGCCUGAGAGGGCGUUGUACUGCUGCUGGAGCUGGAAGAGGCGCGCGUUGCUGGUUGCUGAUGCAUGCUCACGAUGCAUGGAAGUGGCUGAGUUGCUACUAAUCUUGACGAUACUGGUUUCGUCCGCUGUAAAAGUUUUCGUGCCCCUGCAUCCGAUCAAAGCUUGUGCUUUUCCAAGCAAAAGCCAUGGUCCCUUGAAACUCAGCAGAUUUUCGGAGCAAGGAGGAUCGCAUGCCAAUGUAGUUCAUGGUUCUGGUUUAGAGGCAGACGUGGCGGAGAUUAAUGGUGAUUGGGACCACAGCCUAGAAGGUGACCGGGAGGAAGAUGAUCUCAAGCCUUUAUUUGCUUUUUUUUUUUUUGUGAGGAGUUUGCAGAUCCCGGGGGUUGAGAAUGAAGAAUGAAAAAUCAAUUUGAUGGGGAAGAGAUUGAGGCCAGGCAAGAAGGGAGGAAAAGGCUGGGGGGAGGGGGAAGCGACGGCUAGUCUAGGACUCGGCCGCGCCCUCCUUUUUUUUUUUAAAUGUCUUUUGUUUCUUUUCUUUUUUUAUAGGUUUUUGGUAAUGGUCUUCUCUUGGGUUUUUUUUUUUGUGUCGUUUAGGGUUCCUCUCUAAUCAUCCCCUCUCCUUUUCUUUCCCCUGAGAUCUGUAUUUAUAGUGCCAGAGUCCCUUCGCUUGUGAGAAACCAAGUUUCAAUCAAACUCAUUCUUUUUUUUGAAGUUUGAAUUUUAUUAAGAAUCAAAUUUGAAAGCGGAUAACUAUCAUUAUCUUAAAGACAAGGAUUAUCUCGAAGAUAAAGAUUAUCUUGAAGAUAGGGAUUAUCUUGAAGAUAAAGAUAGAAUGAUAAAAGCACAUUGUAGUCCUUAAUUUUCACGGAAGUUGACAAAUCACACUUUUCAUUGAAAUAAAUCUCUGAUCUUUUAAUUUUUCAUUUUAAACCCUGUAAAAAUUAAAUUAAAAAUCAAAGGGCCAAAAUUGGGUUAUGACAGUAGCUUUAGAAGUUACAGAGAAAUCAAGAAGGAAAGCACAGACAAGUGGUCACAGAAGGAAAACCAGAGGAGCAUUAGGCGAGAAUCAUCAAGCAGCGCUGCAAGCAUCUUCGGUCUCCAGAAGCAGGUAUGACUUCGUCCCCUUUGCAUCUUCAUUUCAAAAAGUGAUUCUGUGUUACAAGAACACUGUGUGAAGGUAAUUUAAUUACCUUCACUAGUGUUCGGGCACGCGUGAACAAGUCACGCGUGCCUUUAGUUUUUGCCCAGCCGGGUCACUGGCUUGGGCCAGUGACCGGGCUGGGCUGGCUAGGCCCAGCCCAGCCCCAAAAUUUUUUUGCUGGGCUGGGCCCACCCCACCCAGUUCAAAAAAUAAUAAAAAUAAAAAAUAUGUAUGUAUAGAUAAAAAAUAAUGUAAAUUUAUUGGUUUAUUCACUGACGCCAGAGUCAGGAAUAAAAUACCAGUUUAAAUUUAUAUUAUUUUUAUUCGUUGUAUUUUAUUUUAUUUAGAUGAAUAAAAAUAAUGUAAAUUUAUUGGUUUAUUCACUGACGCCAGAGUCAGGAAUAAAAAUACCGGUUUAAAUUUAUAUUUUUUUUUAUUUGUUGUAUUUUAUUUUAUUUAGCUAGAAAAAAAUCAAAAAAAAUGUGCAUGCGUAAAAAAUAAAUUUAUUUUUGUUUAUUUAUCACUAGCACUAGAGUCAGGAAAAUAAAAAAAUAUUAAUCUAAUUUAUUUUAUAGCUACGUGAUAUUUACCAACGCCAGAGUUAGAAGUAUCCGUAGUUUAAUAUUCACUGGCGCCAGAGUCGGGAAUAUUAUAAGUAAAUUAUCAUAUCGUAAACUAAUAAACAUUUAGCAAUUCAAGACGAAACUAGCAAUGCAGCCUGCCUCAGACAGGACGUUUAAGGGGUGAUAAUAUCUUCCCUUUUACGUAACCAGUCCCGAACCAUAGAAUCUCUGUUGACCAGUUAGGGUUCCUAGUGACCAUAAUACUAGGUGGCGACUCCUUAAACAAAAAUCAUUCACCAUCAAAGAAUAGGAUGCUAGAAAUCCAUUCUUUUCUAAUUUUAAUUUUUUAAGACCGCCGCGAUGUCGGGUGUGACAAGGAGUGAUUUCUUUUCUAUUAUUUUUUUUCUUUGGAUCAAAAGGGUCUUAUUGAAUUAUUAUUUGUUAGGUAACUAAGAUUUGUUGAUGUGAAAAAUUUGGCAUGGCCAUCGGUGAGAAUCAAAAGCAGCAGCAAUCCAUCUGUGAAGCCGUACACCACAUCAGGGCCCCAACAUUUAGACUUUUGAUGGCAACCAAAGCUAAAUUUAAAAACAGGACCAUCUGAGAAGCCGGCAUACAACAACAGGUCAAAGAUCCAAUUUCCAAAAAUAAACCAUGUAUCAUGUAGUUUAACAUCUCUAAGCAUGAUUUUUGCAAUAAUCAUCUAUGCUUUACCAUUCAUAUCUUUCACCACAGUUCUCUGUCACCACUUCACAUGCACACAUUCCAAAAAAGAGAUAGCAUGGAAAAAUGUCUUUGCUUGCCGUAAAAAAUACAAGGGCUAAAACCUAACAUAAGGAAAAUAGAUUGGGAAAAGGAAAGCAGAACCAAAGCAAGGCACUAACAAUUAGGAGGGGCAAAAACAUGAAUUCUGAAAAGGAAAAUACAUUCCGGCCUUCCAUGACCCAAUCCAUAUUGGGCAGCAAAUGAUAACCCCGCAUCGAUGUUUCCUCGUGAUGUGAAUUUCUUUUUUCUGAUACAGAAACACAAAACCAAAUUACCUCAAGGUCUAUUGUUGUUGUAAAUUUUUAAGGUAGCAGAAUUACAGGAUAAAAGUAAUUUACCAAAAUGCUUAUGGAUAAUUGGCUCUUCCAUCCAGCAUUAAUUCUAUUAUCAAUUAUAGUUCAGUCACUGGUUGUAGAUAAAUUUUUUUAAGAUAUUAUCAAGUUUUAUUUUUAUCAUUAAAAUUUAGAAUUAAUUCUAUUACGUAUUUAAAUGUGUUUAGUUACCUUGUAAACCGUAUGGUAGAGUCCCUCAAAUAUUCUGGCCACAGCAAAUUGUAUGGGGCUUGCAACCACUAUAUUUUAUGCCAAGCUAAUAAUAUUUUUUUUUCUAAAUUAAAGAUUAAUAUUUUUUGUUCGCAUCAAAUAAUUAAAAAUGAGAAUUUCAGAGCAGAGGGUUUAAGAAAUAUUAAAAGAGAAGGUUUUACGUAAUUAUUAUAUAAUUGAAAUUGUCACUAAUCUCCUUUGUUCAUUUUCUUUUUCUAUUACCCCUUCCAAUCAGCAUGCACGAAACUUUAUGUCACUCAAAUGAUACAAAUGCUUUCACCGUUUUAUGCUGAUUGUUUAUUAUUAUUUUUUUUUUUUUAAUGAAAGUGAUUGUUCAGGCCAGUUUAUAUGUAUUUUGAAGUUAACGAUCAUAUAAACUUCCAGUGACCUUGAAGUUUGUAGGACUCGAACUGAUAAUUUCUAAAAAGUAAACUUAAAGUCUAAUUAGUUGAGUUAUACCUUUCAGAAUUACAAAAUUACAUUGCUUGUUAAAUUAAUAAAGUUAUUAGUUGCUAUAAAGUAAGAGAUAAGAAAGUAUCUAGGAAUAUGGUAAAUAUUGUGUUUUAAAAUAUAUUAAAAUAAUAUUUUUUUAUUUUUAAAAUUUAUUUUUAAUAUUAUUACAUCAAAACUAUAUAAAAUUUUUUUCAGAAUAUCAAUUCAACCGUACUCCAAAGAACACUCAUACUCCAAUAUCAGCAACCACCACGAAAGUUACCACUCAAUAAUUUAUUCUUUGACAAUUAUUGCAUUGCUAAUAAUUUGCAAGGAAACAUACUUUCUAACCGAUACUCAAUCGAUCUGCACCUACCACGAAAUUACCAAUAAGAGUCUGUUUGAUAUUUUUCCAACUUUUACUAUUUUACUUCAAAGUUUCAAUAAUUGUUUUUUCAUUACAUAUUCUUUCCAACGUGUAAUAAUUUGGAACCACUCGCAAUAAAUAAAGCCAGCAAAGCCAGAUGUGUUUGUCUAUAUAUACAUGAACUGCUGAUUCGAUUUGAACACCCCAUUUCUCCGAUUCAAUAACUUCAGUUGCAAAACUUCUCUCUCCGAUUGCUGCAAUUUCAAAGCUAACUCUUUAUUAUACAGAGGUAUAUAUGGCUAACUCUUCUUUGCUUCUUUCUCGUUUUAAUUUCAUGUCUUUACCAAGAAUAAUAAUGUGAAAGCUUUGCUUGUUUCAUGUUUAACUUCAGUUGCUAUUGUCUUAUGCUCUCUCAUUAUUAAGCUUAAAUUGCUGUAUUAUCUUCGAUGAUCACUUCACAUGUAUCAGCAAUUGCUAAUUGAUUGUUCCUUAAAUUCUGCAGCUGAAAUGACAGAGCCACAGUCUUCUCAUUCUAGACCAGAAGGGGCCUAUGAUGUCUUCCUGAGUUUUAGAGGAGAAGAUACCCGCAAGACAUUUGUAGAUCAUCUAUAUACUGCCUUAGUCCAAGCAGGAAUCCACACUUUUCGAGAUGAUGAUGAACUUCCUAGAGGAGAAGAAAUCUCCGAGCAUCUUCUCGAGGCAAUUCGAGAAUCAAAGAUAUCCAUAGUUGUCUUCUCAAAAGGAUAUGCUUCUUCUAGAUGGUGUCUCAAUGAACUUGUAGAGAUUCUGAAGUGCAAAAGGAAGAAAACCGGUCAGAUUGUUCUUCCUAUAUUCUAUGACAUUGAUCCUUCAGAUGUGAGAAAACAGACUGGCAGUUUUGCAGAGGCAUUUGAUAAGCAUGAAGAAGAGCGUUUUGAAGAGAAGUUGGUGAAGGAGUGGAGAAAAGCUCUUGAGGAUGCCGGAAACCUAUCUGGAUGGAGUCUCAAUGAUAUGGCAAAUGGGUAUUCCUUCUCUCUCUAAGAUUCACUUGCACACGUUUAUGGAGUAAUUUUACAUUACAUUUUUCAAUGUGAAGUAAUAAAAUAUUUCUUUUUAACAUACUUAAUUGACUUUCUAUCGAUGACUUGCCUUUUUUCUGUGAGCAGGCAUGAAGCAAAAUUUAUCAAAGGGAUAAUCAAGGAUGUGUUGAAUAAAUUACGUCGCGAGUGCUUAUAUGUUCCUGAGCACCUGGUAGGUAUGGAUCUUGCUCACGAUAUUUAUGACUUUCUAAGUACUGCAACAGAUGAUGUACGCAUUGUGGGCAUACAUGGGAUGCCAGGAAUAGGAAAGACAACUAUAGCAAAAGUUGUAUUUAAUCAACUCUGCAAUGGACUCGAUGGAAGCUGUUUUCUUUCGGAUAUCAAUGAAACAUCAAAACAAUUCAAUGGUCUGGCUCUUUUACAAAAGCAACUUCUUCAUGAUAUUUUAAAACAAGAUGUUGCUAACAUCAAUUGUGUCGAUAGAGGAAAGGUUAUGAUCAAAGAUCGACUUUGUCGCAAAAGAGUUCUUGUUGUUGCCGACGAUGUGGCUCAUCUGGACCAGCUAAAUGCUUUGAUGGGAGAGCGAAGUUGGUUUGGUCCCGGAAGUAGAGUAAUUAUUACAACAAGAGAUUCAAGUUUACUUCGUAAAGCAGAUCUAACAUAUGAGAUUGAAGAAUUGGAACCAGACGAGUCCCUUCAGCUUUUCAGCUGGCAUGCCUUUAAGGACACCAAGCCAGCAGAAGAUUAUAUUGAGCUUUCGAAGAAAGCUGUUGAUUUCUGUGGAGGACUUCCUUUAGCUCUUCAGGUUAUAGGAGCUCUUCUGUACAGGGAAAACAAUGAUAAAUGGGAAGGUGAAAUUGACAACUUGAGCAGAAUUCCAAACCAAGAUAUUCAAGGAAAGCUUCUAAUAAGUUUUGACGCACUUGAUGGUGAACUACAAAAUGCAUUCCUUGAUAUUGCAUUCUUCUUUAUUGGUAAAGAGAAAGAAUACGUCGCAAAAUUGCUAGGAGCCUGUUGCCGUUACAAUCCAGAAGUUUUGGAGAAACUCCGUGAAAGGUCUCUGAUUGAAAUAUUGGAAGAGACGGUAACCAUGCAUGAUCUAUUACGAGAGAUGGGAAGGGAGGUCGUUUUUAAAGCAAAAGGAUGCAUGGAAUGUACUUCAGAAAAACAUUAUGGAAUGUACUUCAGCAGCAGAAGGUACGAGCUCAAUGCAUACACAUAGCCAUGCGUAUUUUCUAGUCAAACUUAUUACAAAUAAUCAUAUAAAAGUUUUAUUGUUUUUUUUUUUCAGGGUACGGAUGUUGUAGAGGGUCUUGCACUGGAUAUGAGAGCAUCAGAAGCUAAAUCACUAAGCACAGUAUCAUUUGCAAAAAUGAAACGUUUAAAUUUACUCCAAAUCAAUGGAGCACAUCUCACCGGAUCCUUCAAACUGCUUUCUAAAGAGUUGAUGUGGAUUUGUUGGCAUGAAUGUCCUUUGAAAUAUUUGCCAUCUGAUUUUACCUUGGACAAUCUAGCUGUUCUUCAUAUGCAGUACAGUAACCUCAAAGAACUAUGGAAGGGAAAAAAGGUACGAAACAUUUUACAAUCCCCAACAUUUCUCCAGUAUGUAAUUUAUAUUUACAUGUUAUGACUUUCUAUGAUUAAUUUUCAUUAUUUUUCUCUCUAUUAUAACAGAUUCUUGACAAGCUUAAAAUCCUUAAUCUCAAUCAUUCUCAGAACCUUAUUAAAACACCAGACUUGCAUAGUUCAAGUCUAGAGAAACUAAUUCUGAAAGGUUGCUUGAGUUUAGUUGAGGUGCAUCAAUCAAUUGAAAAUUUGACGAGCCUCGUUUUCUUGAAUAUGAAGGGAUGUUGGAGGCUGAAGAAUCUCCCUGAAAGCAUUGGCAAUCUAAAGUCUCUUGAAACUCUGAAUAUUUCUGGGUGUUCACAACUUGAGAAAUUGCCAGAACGCAUGGGUGAUAUGGAAUCCUUAACUGAGUUGCUAGCCAAUGGGAUUGAAAAUGAGCAAUUUCUCUCUUCAAUUGGACAAUUAAAGCAUGUCAGAAGGUUAUCAUUGUGUGGAUACAGUUCGGCUCCACCAAGUUGUUCUUUGAUUUUAGCAGGUGCUUCGAAUUUGAAACGGUUGCUGCCAACAUCUUUCACUGAAUGGAUAUCAGUGAAACGUCUCGAGCUUUUUAAUGGUGGUUUGACUGAUCGCGCAACUAACUGUGUUGAUUUUAGUGGUUUGUCUGCUCUAGAAUUUUUGGAUCUAAGAGGAAACAAAUUCUCUAGCGUGCCUUCUGGGAUCGGCUUCCUUCCCAAGCUAGAUGUCUUGUUUCUUCACGGAUGCGAACAUAUUGUAUCAAUCCUAGAUCUUCCCUCAAGUUUAAGUUGUUUCAGUGCACCUUAUUGCAAAUCAUUGGAAAGAGUAAGAUUACCAAUCGAGCCAAAAAAAAAUCUAUAUAUAAAUCUACAGGAAAGUCAUUCGUUAGAAAAGAUUCAGGGCAUUGAAGAUCUAAGUAAUGGUGGCUGGAUAAUGUGGGUUGAUGACAGCAGUCAUUCACCAAAUAAAUUAUCGAAAAAUGUUUUUGAGGUACUAUUUCUUUAAGUUUCUCUUUCGCACAAAAAUAAACACACACAAUUGGCACAUACAUUGGUUAAUGUCUAAAUUCGCAACAUUUCUUAAAAUCAAUAUGUAUACAGGCAAUAAUCAUUAUUAUUAUUAUUAUUAUUAUUAUUAUUAUAUUUUAGAAAAUAAAUAUCAUCUCUAAUAAUAUUUUUUAUUUUUCUUAUUUAAUCUAAAAAAUUAAAUAUUAUAUUUAAUAAUAUUUUUUAUUAAAUAUUUAAAGUCUGAUUGGUUUUAUUUUUUAUUUCUUGAUUUUAUGAUAAUAUAUUUGUACAGACAAUGUUUAACGGUCGUCACCGGUAUUCCUGGUAAGAUGCCAAACUGGUUGAGCUACAGGGGAGAAGGAUGCUCAUUGUCAUUCCAUAUACCUCCAGUCUUCCAAGGCUUAGUUCUUUGGUUUGUCUGUCCAUAUACCUCAUUGCUCCUUCUCACCAUAUGCUGUAAAGAAAUAAUUCUUAGAUGGUCAUCAUAAGUAGGAUGAAUUACAUCUUAAAACUCCAUCACCGAAACAACGUGGCAAAAAUAAUCAAAGGAAAAGGUGGAUGAAUUGUUUCACGUGUCAAAAUAGAUUUAUACCAUGAUUUUGAAUUCAAGUGCUAAUUGAUAUUCAGCUUAGGUGAUAUCAUGUGAAGCAAUUAAUUCGUCCACUUUUUGUUAUGCAGAUCUUUCUCUCUCCAAAUCCAAUCUUACUAAAUAUAUAUAUAUAUAUAUAGUAAUUAGGAGAUCAAAUCUUAUCCUCUCAAUACUUAUCAUUCAACUAAUUAAUAACUUUAUUUAGCAUAAAUCCAUUAAUAAACUCACGAAAAGAACCUAACAUCCUCCUGAAUUCCUUAGCCGACACUCUCGUACACUGCUGAAUCAUUGAAAAAAUCAGUAGAAGAUCUGAAGUUAGCAUCUAUAACAGUGCCUUAGAAUUUAGAAAGAGAAAGGUUUUUUCUUUACUAUAUAUUCCAUUAUAUAAAGCAACUAAAAAAAGGUGGGUGUUAACUAUACAUUCCAAUGUUCAUCCUCUCACAAAAGUUUAUUUCUCCUUUAGGAAGUCCUUGAAAUUUUUAUUGUUUUAUAAUUUGGUUGCUGAACUUUUUUUCUUUUUCAAUUAGUCCUUUCAAGUCGCAUUAUUAUUAUUAGGAUAAGAAAUAAAAGCAAUGGUAUUCAAUUGUUUGAAUGUAAACGAAUAUCACCAAAAACUGAGGGAUGGAUAAGAUACAUAAGUAGAAGUGAAAUGGCAAUGGAAGAUUACUGUGGAGAUGACGAAUUGGAACUAUACAUUUCUUCAGUGCCAACAGUGGAUAAGAUAUAUUAAAUAUUUAAGGCUUUUCGGUAAGAAUACAUAUUUUCUUUAGUUAUUUAUAUUUUAUUCUAUUUAAUUUAAGAGAUUAAAUAUCAUCUUUAAUUAUUUUAUUUUUCUUAUUUAAUCUAAUAAAUUAAAUAUUAUCUUUAAUAAUAGUUUUUAUUAAAUAAUUAGAGUCUGAUUGGUUUUAUUUUUACUUCUCGAUUUUAUGAUAAAAUGUUUCUUAAUUAAUUUAAAAAAUAAAUAUUAUCUUUAAUAAUUAGAUCUAUUGAAUAUCACUUAAAAAAUAAAUUGUAACUUUAAUAAUUAUUUUUUGAAAAACAAAAAGCCAACAAUCACUAACAUAUUUAUUAAAAUCACUUUAGUUUAUUUAGAAAAUAUUGAAAAUUGAUUUUUGUUUUUUUACAUUAAAAUAAAAAAAUUGAAUAAUGUUUUUAUAUUUUAUUUCAAACUCGAUAUUUUAAAACAAAAAUGAAAAAGAUGUGAUAUUAACCUUUUUUUAUUAUAAAGUAAGUUUUUUAAUUAAAAGUAAUAGGAAUUUGUUCGUAAUAACAAAAUGCAUGUACAAUCAUGCGCAUUUAACUUUCUUUUCAAAUUUGAAAGUUCUAAUGAAUUUGAUGGUUUUUUAGGGUGCAAAAGACUUUGAUUGACGUGAGAGUACAAGAUCAUUUUUCAUAGAGAUACUUGAAGUUGCUCCAAAUCAGUACGAUACUUCCAUCUGACAUAUUGAUAUGUAUUUGUUGGCUUGAAGAUCAUUUUCCAAGCUUGGAAGUUUUAUAAAUUGAGCGCUCUUUGUAAUCUUUUCCAUGAUGUAAUUUAUAUUUUCAAGUUACAAAUUUUGAUGAAUAUUGUUUCAUUUUUUUCCUCACUUCAAAAGAUGAAAAUCCUUGAUUGUAGUUAGAAAUAAAUUGGUUUUCUAGGAAGAGAUUAUUGAUUGGGAUAUAAUAUUUAAGUUGUUUCUUCAUCAUUUAAUGUUAUAAUUUAAAAUAAUUAAUAAAAAUUAUUGUACACAAAAAAGUUCUGAGAACAUUCUUAAUUAGUGUAAUAAGUAAAGUGUUGUUAGUUUUGACUAUAAAAUCUUGUUAUGUAUUAUUGCAUAGUUUUUACUAUUUUUUUAGCAUUUUUUCUUUUCUAUAUACAACUUUUAUUUUUCUUGUCAGUUUGUCAUCAGCAUCAACACCAAUUAAUAAUAAAUUUGAUACUAUUAUUAAACAAAGAAAAAACAUAAACAUUGUUAAAACACCAAACUUGCAUUGCUCAAACCUAAAAAAACCUAUGACAAUAAUCUAAUUUAGAAAACAAUUAAUUUAACCUUGUAAUCUUAGAAAAUAGUAUUUAAUCCUUAUGUUUUCGUAUUCAUCUAUGAUUUAAUGUGUUGAUUGAAAUUGGCAAGUGAGUUUACUCACAUAUUGUUAUAUUGGGUUUGAGUUCAAAUAGACGUUUAAAAAAGGGAGUUUUUCAUGAAUGCAACCCUUCAUGUAUUCAAUAUGAAUGAUGGGAGAUUUUAAUGUCUUGUAAAUGCAUUCAUUUAUAUAUGGAUGAUUUUGCUAAGAAUUGGUUGGUUAAAAACUUAAUUUCGUUAUAUAAAAACUGAAGAGAUAACAAUAAAUAGCUAAUAAUUGAUGUGAUAAAAAUGAUUUAUAUGCGUGUAUAAGCUAAUUCAAAUGAAGAUUAAAAUAAAAAAGACAAAAAGAAAAAGAAAAAGGAAAGACUCGUUAAGAUUUUAUGUUAGUGUUCAACAUAUUUUUUCUUAUUUUAUUUUUUUAAUUGGAUUACCUUUGUCUUUCAUGUCAAGUAAAAUUCUGGUAUAUAACACUAAAUUAAAAAAAAUAAGAGGUGAAGUAAAGGUCUAACUAAAUGAAAUACAAGUACAAAGACUACAUCAAAUACAUUUCAUAUACUCAACUCUUAGGAAAUUGACAUUUCAAGGCUAUUCGUAUCUUGAAAACAUAAUCUCAAUUUCAAGGCUAUUAUUAUUUUUUUCUUUGGAUCAAAAGGGUCUUAAUUGAAUUAUUAUUUGUUAGGUAACUAAGAUUUGUUGAUGUGGAAAAUAGCACUAAGGAACACAAAAACAGCAGCAAUCCAUCAAGAUCAUCACCAUCCUAUCGCUUUGCCGUAUUGUUUAUCUUCUUGGCAUUGUUUAAAGGAACGCAAAAAGACAUUCCAAGCGUGAAAGUGUAUUAUUGUAAUAAAUUUUUCAAACUUCCAAUAUAGAGAGUGAAAUAAAGAGCAAGAGCAAAAGGAAACAUCUUUCUUGUUCCCUUCCCCUUCUUUACAUGGCUUACUCAAUGAAAAAGCAAACACCCCAUUUGAUUUUCAAUCAGUAUGAGAGUGAGAAUUAAAGAGAGAGGCUGUCACAGUGUCAAAUGUGCACGAGGUGCACGCUUCGGCAGGCUGGCCAAAACAAGGCCUGAGGGUGCUGGCAGCCAUGCCAUCAGUGGGAGAAAUCGUCAGCGCAGAUUUAUGCGGCUGUAGGUUCGUCAAAGGGAAAAUCAGCAGCGCAGAUUGUUGACGAACAUGGGCUGGACGAGGGACUGUCCAAGCCUCGUCAGGAGGAUAGGCUGACGAGAAUUGGGGCUAUCGCAGAAUUCAGCAGCGUAGACAGGGGCAGCCUGCACGCAGAUGCGAAUUCGGCAGCGCAGAGAUUGGCAGCACGCAUAUGCGAAUUCGGCAGCGCAUUGGCAGCCUGCCCGCAGAUGCGGAUUCGGCAGCGCGCAACAACUUGUGCAAGUCAGGGGCUCGACUUGGCACGAUCUAAAACUUGGGCGAAGGAUUGUCCAAGGCAUGGGUAAAAGAGCUCUAGGCGCUGGGACGCGCCAGCGAAGGCACACUGCCUAGAAUUCGGCAGCGAUGGAUCGCGGCAGCCUUGCAUAGGCAGAGAUGAAUUCGGCAGGCAGCAUGCAAUGGUCUAUGCGAGUCUUUGAGCUUGCGACUUGGCAUGGACGUGGGGGCUUAGAUGAUGGACCUUCUAAGUCAGCAGCUGACGCAGCAGAAGCUGGCAGCUGGGGCUGCCAAGUAGACAGCCAAGAAAUGGGGGAAGUGGCAGCUUCAUGGGAGGCAGAACGUGGGAGCAUAACUGGGGUGCUUUCCAGGCCACUAUGUCCUGAAAACAUGGGAUCAUGGGUGAGAGGUAGUGCUCCACCAUGUCCUGAAAACAUGGGAUCAUGGGAGAAAGGUAGUGCUCCACUAGGUCCCGAAAAUGGGGGAUAAUGGGGAGGAGCCUUUGCAGCUCCUUUGCUUGUCUAUAAAUACAAGAUGUAGCUCUUGGUUGUGAGGGAGCAUUCGGGUGGGAAUGUUCAGAUGUAAGGGCAUUCGGUUGGGAUUGUCCAGCAUGUAGGGGCAUGCAAGAACAUGUGUAGAACACUAGUUAGAGGUAGCUUAGUGUAGCAUGCAAUCUUUGUGCAUAGCACACAUACGGAUUUGUGUAUAGUUUCCUUUGUGUAUGAGAUUAAUAAAGGUUGGGAAAGAGUUCCUGUAAAGCUUGUUGUGCACUAUGAUUCUUAUCCUUGCUUGUGUAUUCUGCUUGCUUAGUUAUUAGGCAAACACGAGUGAGAUUGGUGAGGGAAGGCUGAGUCUAGUGAGGGACUAGGCUGCCGCACGGGUUUAUUCGCGUAGCGAAAAAUACCCCCGUGACAGUUGGUAUCAGAGCGCGGUUGCUUUCGUGGCAGGAUGACGAGAAGAAUUCUGCGGCCAAAUCAACGGACUGAUUUGGGAGAGCUACUGCUUCUGCCGAUGGAGAAGCAGAUUUCAGCGCAAUGAUCAGCGACGAGAAUGCUGGUGUUUCUCGGGACAAAUCGAAGGGACUGAUUUGGGAGAAACAUUGCUGCUGCCGAUGGACUGGCAGAAACUUUGGAGCAAGAGCGCAAUAUGCGUUCAUGACGAAACGAUGGGCUGUUUCGUAGCACAGACGAUGGGCUGUUCUGUGGGGGCAGAUCGAAGGGCUGAUUUGUUCCAAGCCAUUUGAGGGAAAAACUUGCUAGCGUUUUGGGCAGUGUUGGUGUUCAAAAGGCCUGCGGAGUUUUAGGGGUUUAACUACUCCAUGGGCGAUGCAAAGUGACGACGAAGGGAUCAGCUCAAGAUGGGUGCUGAUUCGGCCAUUGAAACUGUCAGGUGGACUGGCAGGCUUGAGAGUAGGGGCCAGCGGAGGGGCUGCUGGGCGCUUCUGUAUUUUCGUCAAAGCCUUGAGGGAAGGAUGGGGCGAGACAGAAGAAGAAGCAAGUCAAUGUGGAGAGCCUAAACUUGUUGCUGCUGAUGAUGGACAGUCAGACGAGAAGGCAAAUCGGUAAGGGUUCGAAACUGAAACUUGCAUUGUUGUUCUCUUGCGAUGGAAAUUACUUUGUGCGAGAUUGUUGCCCAAAGGAGGGGAAACCUUGAUGUUGUCAUUGUGGAAGAUGGUGUUUGAGAUUAGGCAUACGUAAACCUUAUACGUUUGCUAGAUGACCGAGAUGGAAUUCAGUCAUCAUGAGCCAGCAUAUCGGAGUGGAUGCGGUCUGGCCUUGCUUGCUGCCUUGGUGGCAGAACUUAGGGAUUGUUGUGCAUCUCAAGGAAGGAAUGUUCAGGGAGAUGAAUGUUCAGGGAGGUGGAAGCAAAAUCCAGAGACCAAGUUGAGGACAGACGAAUCUAUGAGGAUUUGUUGUGGCUUUGCUGCCUUUGUGGAGGCAGAAUUGAUGUCUUCGGUGGAGACCUUGAUGAUGGACAGUUCAGGGUGAAGAAGACAGAACAGUGGCUGAGAUAGACUUUAGUCACGUUGAGACCAGGAUUGGAGGCAUUAAAGAGGAGGCAGUACCGUGGGGGUGUGUCUCAAGGAGUCUGCACGUUGUCGAGGGACAGACUGGGUGACAGAUUCGGCAGCCGAUCCAGUGGGCUUGGCGUGGAAGCCAAAAUCUUCGAUGAAGAUGAUUUUGUGUAUUGUCUUGGAAUCAGUACGAGUGGCUAUUCUGUGCAUUGUGAUGGUUGGCAGUGAUGGAAGCAGAAUGGUAAUGACCUUGUUGGGACAAAGUGUUGCGAGUUUUCGGUUGACGAAACAUGCAGCGAAGGUUGAAAACAGUAGGGGCUGUUUUGCGUCAGCGAAAUCUUGUGUGAUGGACGAAGUUCUAGCGCAUGACAGUAGCGCAUGGGGGAACCAGGUCAGACGAAACUUGAUACUGGGAUGCUAUGUAUUGGUGCUAUGGCAGGUUACAGAUGGACUUAGAGGGACUUGCCGAAAGACUUCGACAUGAGAUGGAGUUGAUCAACGAAACUGAGUCGGUGCUAGGUUCAACAGCACUGUCUCAUUCUUAUUUCUUGCAGGUGGAGAACCUAAAAGGGCUGACGGCAAUGGGAAGUCAGAAGCCAAGGGCAAGGAAAAGGUUUCGGAAUCAUGUUUGGGCUGUUUUAUUUGUGAGGGGAAGCACUUCACAAGGGACUGCCCGUUAAGAGCACAGUUUAGUGCUACUUCCGUGGAGAAGAAUGGAGAAGGAACGGCAUACGUAAAUCCUAUACGUGUGCUAAACACUAAGUAAAGAGUUAGUGUGAAGGGGCCAGCACAGUUGAUGAAGACUUAGGCGUGGCCGAACUGCCUUGUGCGAGGCAGAUUUGGGGGAGUUUCAUAACUUGGACGAUGGACAGAUCAUGGUUUAACUCCAGGCGUGAGGAUGCGCCAACGAAAAACACACUGCAUAGAAUUCGGCAGCGAUGAACAGCAGCAGCCUUGCAUGGGCAGAGGUGAAUUCGGCAGGAUGUGUUGAUUGCUGAGAAGCGGACAAGUAAGCAAUAUUGGUAAUACUUGCAGUUUUGGGGCACGCAGAAUGGUUGGAGAACUAGAAUGUUCGUAUGGGAGCUCAUGCGGUUCUUCGAAGUGAUUUUGUGUGGAUGUAUUUUGUGAAGGAAGGGACGGAUUCCUUGGGUGCUAGGCGUGGCAUCUAAACUUUGCGAAAACAUGCUUGCGAGUAUGAUGUGUUUGACAUUUGUGGAAAACUAACGAGCCAAAACAGAAUGUGUCACAGCUUGGUUUUUCGAAACAGGUUGACAAAGAUUCGGUGGACUGAAUUUGUUGUUGAAUGUGGGAAAAGCUAAGGGGUUUCGUGCGGAGAAACGUGGAUUGUGACGAGGAACAGAUGCGGUGCAAGGGUACUUCAAUUCUGUCCGACGAGGGCGUCGGGUUCUUUUGGUGGGGGUGGUUUGUCACAGUGUCAAAUGUGCACGAGGUGCACGCUUCGGCAGGCUGGCCAAAACAAGGCCUGAGGGUGCUGGCAGCCAUGCCAUCAGUGGGAGAAAUCGUCAGCGCAGAUUUAUGCGGCUGUAGGUUCGUCAAAGGGAAAAUCGGCAGCGCAGAUUGUUGACGAACAUGGGCUGGACGAGGGACUGUCCAAGCCUCGUCAGGAGGAUAGGCUGACGAGAAUUGGGGCUAUCGCAGAAUUCAGCAGCGUAGACAGGGGCAGCCUGCACGCAGAUGCGAAUUCGGCAGCGCAGAGAUUGGCAGCACGCAUAUGCGAAUUCGGCAACGCAUUGGCAGCCUGCCCGCAGAUGCGGAUUCGGCAGCGCGCAACAACUUGUGCAAGUCAGGGGCUCGACUUGGCACGAUCUAAAACUUGGGCGAAGGAUUGUCCAAGGCAUGGGUAAAAGAGCUCUAGGCGCUGGGACGCGCCAGCGAAGGCACACUGCCUAGAAUUCGGCAGCGAUGGAUCGCGGCAGCCUUGCAUAGGCAGAGAUGAAUUCGGCAGGCAGCAUGCAAUGGUCUAUGCGAGUCUUUGAGCUUGCGACUUGGCAUGGACGUGGGGGCUUAGAUGAUGGACCUUCUAAGUCAGCAGCUGACGCAGCAGAAGCUGGCAGCUGGGGCUGCCAAGUAGACAGCCAAGAAAUGGGGGAAGUGGCAGCUUCAUGGGAGGCAGAACGUGGGAGCAUAACUGGGGUGCUUUCCAGGCCACUAUGUCCUGAAAACAUGGGAUCAUGGGUGAGAGGUAGUGCUCCACCAUGUCCUGAAAACAUGGGAUCAUGGGAGAGAGGUAGUGCUCCACUAGGUCCCGAAAAUGGGGGAUAAUGGGGAGGAGCCUUUGCAGCUCCUUUGCUUGUCUAUAAAUACAAGAUGUAGCUCUUGGUUGUGAGGGAGCAUUCGGGUGGGAAUGUUCAGAUGUAAGGGCAUUCGGUUGGGAUUGUCCAGCAUGUAGGGGCAUGCAAGAACAUGUGUAGAACACUAGUUAGAGGUAGCUUAGUGUAGCAUGCAAUCUUUGUGCAUAGCACACAUACGGAUUUGUGUAUAGUUUCCUUUGUGUAUGAGAUUAAUAAAGGUUGGGAAAGAGUUCCUGUAAAGCUUGUUGUGCACUAUGAUUCUUAUCCUUGCUUGUGUAUUCCGCUUGCUUAGUUAUUAGGCAAACACGAGUGAGAUUGGUGAGGGAAGGCUGAGUCUAGUGAGGGACUAGGCUGCCGCACGGGUUUAUUCGCGUAGCGAAAAAUACCCCCGUGACAGAGGCCAAGGUGGUCCUCGAAUAUUUUCUUCUUUUAUGUCUCGCUCACUGGGGCAAACCAUCUUUUUCAAAAUUUUGAAAAGCAUGCCAUCAAAAAGAAUUUUGUUCAAUCCCAAUCCCACAUUGUCUGUAGAAGUAUUUACUUUUGACUGUACACUUUGUUAUUUUACAAUCCCUCCCCAGUUCUGCAACCAUUUCUCUACUUUCUAUGCACUUGGCUUGCUAGAAACUAAAGAAAACACAUUGCUCUACUUGCCUGCCUUCACUCUUCAGAUUGCUCAACAAAUCCCUUGAGACCUUCUCCAUAGUUAACACAUCACAUAAUGGCUAAUCUCAAAAAUUUAGCCAUAAACAUUGAACACCUUAAGCAAUCAACGUCCCUUCCUUCACAAUAUGCAUCACCCAUAAAUCUUUCUUUUGGGAUGUCGCCGGGAGUUUAAUCUCCGAGUGUAAAAAUUAUGUAUAAAUUUCCAUUCUUUCUUUCCAUCCAUUACUUGUCCUCUAUGAAGAUUCUAUGUAUGGAAUCUCGGAAUCUUUUCGAGCAUAACUUGGGAUCAACAGCUGAGAUCAUAGACGUGGGAUUAAUUGACAAAAUUUAUUUUUAACCAUCAAUAUUGAAUAAUGGCUUAUUUUAUAAUAUAAAUUAUGUUUGAAAUAAAAUUGAUAAAAUUAAAAGACAUGAAACACAAUUAAUGACGACAUAGUAUAUUUUGAGACUAAAUUGAGGUUUUUCAAUUACCUUUAAACAUAUCUUGGUUUUAAUAGUGGACGGUACAUCCUUUGGAUUUAUUAGAAAAAACAUGCAAUGUAAAUUUAAAAAAUAUAUAUAUUUAGUUUUCAAAUACACAUAGUAAUAAAAAAUUAGAUGAUAGUAAAAAGAAAAUAAAAAUUAGUCUGAAUAAUUGGUAUCAGUUUCUAUUAUGAUAUAUCUAGCGAAGAAGUUCAAAGAAUAGAAUGAAGUAAAAUAUUCUUAAUAAAAAAGAAAAAAAACCACAGAAAAAAAUAAAAUAUGUUUUUAAUAAAUAUGAAAGAUGGAUAAAAUUAGAGAACAAGAAAGAGAAAUAGAAUCUCUUUGUAAGAACUUCUAAAAAUUUAAUUAUAAUUUAGUAUUUCUUCCUUAUAAUUAUUCAACGCUAGGUUUUAAUAUAUAAUUAAAGAGUCUCUCUCCUGAACCAGAUAAUAAAAAGAUUGUAUAACUCUUUUGUAUGAAUUGUAAAUCCAGGGACUGUUUUGGUCCCUGACUUCGUUGAUUUGAUUUGAAUAUAUUAUUUAUAAAUUAGAUAAGAUUCAAACUAAGGGGAUUAAAGUGUAAAAUAAAGAAAAACACCCUUGGCAAUCUAAAAUAAUUGAAGUAAUGAAUGCAUGAAGCAAGAUAAUUAGUGGUUGAAUACAGAUUAUAACUAAUUAUUUGUUCUGAUGAACAUUACCAAAUACAAAAAAAAAUGUUUCUAAAAUAAUAAGAUAUGAAUUAACUAUAGGCGGCAAAUAAUUAAAAGAGAUAUAAAUUUUGUGAUGAGUUAUGGUUAAUGCAGAAGCAAAUAAAAGAGGAACAGAAAUGAUAGGCAAAUAUUGUUUCUGGGGUAGUGUUUGUCACUGCGGUUAGAAAAUGUUUUUAAAUUUUUUUUAUUUUUUUUAUUUUAAAUUAAUAUAUUUUUAAUAUUUUUAAAUCAUUUUAAUAUGCUGAUGUUAAAAAUAAUUUUUAUAAAAUAAAAAAAUAUUAUUUUAAUAUAUUUUCAAAUAAAAAACACUUUAAAAAACAAUCACUCCAAACUUUUAAACACUUAAUUAAAACCCAACCUUACAGCUUCUCUCUCCAUAUAUCGUCUUCUUCUGCUUUUGUCAUGGCAUCAACUCAUCGAGUACAGGUAGAGAUACUUGAGGUCUGUCAAGUCAUCUCGUCCUUGAACUCACUUGACCCAGCCACCGAGUUAUCUUUUCUGCUCAUCCUUUUUCCUACAAACUCACCAAGGCAACACCAGAUUAUUUUAACUAAGUGAUCCUUCCAGGUAGCCCCAGGCCACAUUAAUUCUGUUUUUUUUAAAACAAACUCGGCUUAGUUAUUAAUAACAUGUUGCAUCCACAGUCUUACCACUAUAUUAUAAUUAUUUAGGAGGAUAGUUGAACCAUACUUUUUAAAAAAAUUAAUUUUUUUUUUAUACUUUUUAAACAUGUUAUUAUAUUCAUUUCUAAUUUAAUUUUUAUCAUCCAUUUCAUCGUUUUAUUUAUUUAAUAACUAAAUUUUUAAGUGAAAGCAUAUAGUCUUACGAUAAAAAGCAUUUUUUUGAAAUAAAAUAAUAUUAAAUUAACCAUGCUCAACAUUGUUCAAAUUAUUAAUUAAUUAUAAUUAACUCGAGGCCUUUAGAAGAAACAAAAUGGAAAGACAAAAUUAUCUUCCCCACAACCAUAGUUGGGAUUUUUAAAAAAUUAAUUUUAUUUUUAAUUUUUUAAAAAUAAACAACCAAUAAUAAUAUAGUUGGGAUUUUUAAAAAAUUAAGAUGAUUAAAAAAUCGUAUAAAAAGCAAUUUGAAACCAAUUAAUGUUAAAAACAAAAAAAACAAAAUGAAACAUGCCAUGAAAACAAGAGGGUCUUAUUGAAUUAUUAUUUGCUAGGUAACUAUAUAAUAUAAUCUGUUGAUGUGGAAAAUAACACUAAGUUUUUGGCAUGGCAUUGGUGAGAAGCAAAAGCCAUAGGACCAUCACCAUCCUAUGGCUUUGCCGUGCUAUUUGGUUCAAAGGGACGCAAAAAGACAUUCCAAGUGCGCAGUGUUUAUUGUCAUAAAGUUUUUCAAACUUCCAAUAUUGAGAGAGAAAUUAAAAAAAAAAAAAAAAACCAAAAGGAAAAAACCCCCACCCCAUCUUUCUUGUUCCCUUUUCCUUCUUUACAUGGCUUACUCAAUGAAAAAGCAAGCACUAAUGCACCUUCUCCACAAGCUACCCCCUAUUUGGCCACUAUAUAAAUAUAUUAUGGAAAGCAAGAUAAAAAGAAAUCUUUGAUGACUUGCAUUAUCAAUGCAAAAUCUAUUUAUAUAAUUGCUAAAUCUAUAAAGAUAAAUCGAAAAUAACUAGUAAAAUCAGUGACUUGCAUUAUCAAGCUUGACGAAUUUUAAGCUUAAUCUAUUGUAUUAUCUUUGAUGAUCACUUCACAUGCAUCUCUUGCUUGUAUUUGCAAGAGAGUGGAUACCUUCUGCAAUUGCUCAUCGCUAAUUGAUUGUUCCUUCUGCUCUCUCAUUAUUAAGCUUAAACUGUUGUAUCAUCUUAUCUUCCACAAUAAGGAUAUAAUUAAUCAAUCGGACCGACCAUUAUGUUAAGGAUAAGAGAUUGUUGGCACCUCUUUUUUCCUGUUGACAACUCAUGAUUUAUUUAUAGCAGUUAAGGAUAUAAUUAAUCGGACCCACCAUUAUAUAUGUUCCACAUUAAAGAUAUAAUCCAAUGUUUCAUAAUGAUCAUCUUGAAGUUGUUUUUUUCCGCCUUAAUGUUCAGCAUUUUUUAUUUUAUGAUCAGAUAUUAUUUGGAUGUGAUAAUAUAAAAAAUAAUAUUUUAAAAUUUUAAAAAUAAUUUUUAUUAUAUUUUUUUUAUAAAAAAAAUACUUUAAAAAACAGUUAUUAUUACUUACAUGUGAUCUUUCAAUCUUUCAUGAUUGCCUUGUAUUGAUUAAAAGGAAGAAAUAUGAAUACCUCGGCAUUCUGCCACUCAUCAUUUAUCCCUAGGGGAGGCCAGGUAGGUCUGGCCAUUGCUUGCUUCUGUUAAUAAUGAACCUCAUUCAGCUUACGCAUCAACUAUUCAUAACCUAAUUUUAGGUUAUUUUUUAAAAUUUAUUUUUUUUUAAAUAAAAAUAAAAAUAAUUAAAUAAAAAUUGACAGUGCGAAGAAAACAGGUCGGGAAAUAUAACUAUAAUUAUACCCCAUUAUAUCUAAAAAUUAAAAAACAAUGUAAAUUCAAAGUUAAAUUAAAUAAUUAUUGAACGAAUUUGCAUAAAUAUAAAGUCCAAUAACAUAAUUAAAUUUUUAAUAAGUCAAUUUAAUUUAAUCAUAGACCAAAAUGAUUUUUAAUUACGUUUAAGAAUUAAUUUUAAUCCAAUUAAAAGGUUUAAUUAAGUGAAAAGGUUUAAUUAUACUUUAAAGAGGUUAAAUUAACUUUAUUAAAGAUUUAAUUGAUGAAAAAUUGAGUUUAAAAACUCAAUUUAAAUUUAAUUAAAAAGAUUAAUAUUUUAAAUAAUCAAAUUUAAUUUUUAUCAAAUUAAUUAAUUAAAAUCAGGAUGCAAAAUCACAAUAAAUUGAAGUUUAGCUUUUAUCAUUUCAAAAGUUGCAGCCUCAUCUUCACUACUUGUAAAAUUGGGGCAGAUUAUGGACUUAACCGAGCAAUUACCACUCGAAAUUCCUCGCAAUUUAUGAAGGAAAUUUCCGUGUUCUUUCUCUGUAUAUUAUUAGAAAAACUGUCAUUGACUAAUUUAAUUGUAAAGUCUUUGCAAGAAAGCUAAAAGAAUUAGAGUUUUUUAAUUUCUAAAAUUAUAAUUUUAAAUUGUAAAAAGAAUUCAAUUAUUUUUACAAUUCAUCAACAGGUAUAAAAAACAAUUAUACCACUAGCUGUCUUCUCCCAAUGAUCUUUGUAACACUUCCAUUUCCACAUCAUGCAUGAUCAAUUUAUCAGAAUUUUAAUUAGUGGUUGAAUAUAGAUUAUAACUAAUUAUUUGUUCUGAUGAAGAUUACAAAAUUAAAAUGAAAUUACAGCUUCUCUCUCCAUGGUCUUCCUCUGCUUUUGUCAUGGCAUAAAUAAUAGGAAAUAAAUUAACUAUAUAAAUUUAGUGAGGAGUUAUGAUUAACGUAGAAGCAAAUAAAUUAAAAGAGAUAUAAAUUUUAUGAUUAACGCAGAAGCAAAUAAAAGAGGAACAGAAAUUAUAAGCAAAUAUUGUUUUCGGUUUCGACUUUAAAUCAAACCUAUAAAACCUAACCAUUACAUCUUCUCUCUCCAUCGCCUUUUCCUCUGCUUUUGUCAUGGCAUCAACUCAUCGAGUACAGGUAGAGAUACUUGAGGUCUGUCAAGUCAUCCCGUCCUUGAACUCACUUGACCCAGCCACCGAGUUAUCUUUUCCGCUCGUCCUUUUUCCUACACCAAGGCAACACCGGAUUAUUUUAACUCAGUGAUCCUUCCAGGUAGGCCCAGGUCACAUUGAUUAUGUUAAAAAAAAAAAAUCUAAUGUCUUACCAUUAUAUUAUAAUUAUUUAGGAGGAUAGUUGAACAAUACUUUUUUAAAAAAAUUAAUUUUUGACGAGUAAAAUAAUGUGGAACCAAUCGCAAUAAAUAAAGCCAAAAAAGGCAGACGAGUGUGUCUAAUUCAUGACUUGCAUUGACUAAAAAUUACCACUAGAAAUUCCUAGUUUUAUCCUAUAUAAAGAAUACAAAAAAGGCAGACGAGUGUGUUUCGUGGUGCUUUCUCGGCCUGCAAAUGAAUAGAAAGCAUAUCCUUUUAUCCUAUAUAAAGAAUAAUACAAUUAACAAAGCAUAUUUCAAUAUCCUUGCUUUACUCUCCAGCCAUAUGGCCAUUGAUAGAAAGGUGUGUUGAAGCAAAAUCUUUUUUUAUCUGUAGCGACCUCAAUAAUGUUAUCGCGUGGGACCCAGUUGUUGCGACCACCACGAAAUUACCACUCCAAAUUGCUUGUUCUUUCUCUUUCUCCGUAUAUUAUUAGAAAAACUGUCAUUACUAAUUUAAUUGGAACUUAUUUGAGAGAAAGCUAAAAGAAUUAGAUUUUUUUAAUUUAUAAAAAAAUUCAAUUAUUUUUAAAAAUAAAACAUCAACUAUUUACAUAAUAGCUAAAUAAAUCUAUUAAAAUAAAUUGAAAAUAACUAGUAAAAUCAAGCAAAUAAUCCAAAAAUAAUAAGAAAAUAAAUAUAUUUUCUAGAUCUGAUUUGAGUAUUUUUUUAUCUUGAUUGACUGACUUGUUAAGUCUCACUAAGUAUAAAUGAAGUCUGUUUGAUAUUUCUUCAUUUAUUAAUGAAAUAUUACUUCUAUUAUAUAGUUAUUGGGUUUCGAGUUGAUCCAUCGGGUCAAUAGGUAAAUAGUAUAUUCUUUGAAUUUAUUAGAAGAAACGUGUAAUGUAAAUUAUAGAAAAAUAUUUAUUUUUCUGAUAUACAUAAUAAUAAUAAUAAAUUAGAUGGUAGUAACAAAAGAAAAUAGAAAUUAAUUUGAAUAAAUGGUAUGAGUUUCUAUUUUAAUAUAUCCAGGGAAGAAGUUCGAAGAAUAGAAUGAAGUUAAAUAUUUUUAAUAAAAAAAAGAAAGAAAAAAAUAAAAUAUAUUUUUAAUAAAUAUAAAAGAUGGAUAAAAUUAGAGAACAAGAAAGAGAUAUAUAAUCUCUUUGUAAAAACUUCUAAAAUUUUAAUUACAAUUGAGAAUUUCUUCCUUAAAAAUAUCCAAAAAAUUCCUAUUAUUUAUGAAUCAAGACAACAGUAGAAUAACUUUUACAUAUUUUUCAAGUCUACUUAGAAUAAUUAUUUUAAUAUUUUAAAAUUAAAAAAAUACUGUGUAGUUGUUUUGUAUAAAUUCUAAUGUUGAGAACUCUUUUGUGCUUGGUAAAAUAUGAUUUUCAACUUUCGCAGGCGAGCACUAAAGUCCCAAACUUGAAGAAUUUCUCUUCUUUUCCUUUUGUAUUUUCUCAUUUUUUUGGCAUGCGCGCAGCUGCUUCAUGGAAAAAACGUUUCAGAUGCGGAAAAUAAAGAUAAAUGUAGAAAAUAAAAGUGGAAAAAAAAUCCCAAAUAUCGACAAACAUCACAAGAGAAGCUUGAUAUCAACCACAUGCUGCAGUCCACAGUCUUUCCAUUACAUUAUAAUUACUUCUAAAAAAAAAUUAAUUUUUAUUUAAUUAUAUGCCAUCAGCAACUACCUCAAAAUUACCACUCUAAAUUCCAGCUCAAUAUCGAUUAACAUGUGGCUAAAAAAUUUGAUAAUCUCUUAUAGGAAUCUCUUUAUUUAUUAAAUCAUCAAAAUAUCAGAGUAUAUUUCAAAAGACUAUGACUACAGUUUAUAUAUAUAUAUAUAAAAAUAGAAACAACUAAAUAGAAAAAUUAUUAUUUUUUAAAUAAAAAACUAGAAAAGCCUGAUAAUAUUAUUGAAUAAAAAAUAAAAUAGAAAUUUAAUCAAUUAAAAGUUAAAAAAAAUACUGUUUAACUGUUUUGUAUAAAUUCUAAAGUUAAAGAGCCUUUUGUGCUUGGUAAAAUACGUCACACUAAAAUUAAUAAAUAAUAACACAAGAAAGGACCAAAGUUAAUAAAUAAUAGCAUGCACGAAACUUCAUGAUACCCAUGUUUUCCACGUUUUACACUGCUUUAAUAGAUUGUUACAGCAAGAGCACAGAGAGAGGAACGGUUCAAGACAGAACAAUAAAGGAGGGGCUGACGCUCAGUGAGGACAUCCUCCAGCUCAUCUGAUCCAGCUCAAAUGGUUGCAACCACCACGAAAGGAACGCAUUAAUGUUAACGCGUGGACCCAGUUGCUGCACCAGCAUGAAAGUACCACUCCAAAUUCCAGCUCAAAUUGAAUAAUGAUUUAUUUUCUAGCAUAAAUUAUGUUUGAAAUAAAAUUGAUAAAAGACAUAAUUACACAAUUAUUGAUGGGAUCGUAUAUAAAAAUAAUUAAAUUGAGAUUUUUUAAUUAUUUUUAAACAUAUCAUGGUUUUAGGUACAUCAUGUAAAUUAUAAAAAAAAUAUUUAUUUUUCUGAUAUAUAUAUAUAUAUAACAAAUGGUGUGAAAGGGGGAAGUACUAUGAGAGCUUUAUGCCACUUUCUAUCUUUGAUGUAAUGGCUUUGGCAAAAAGAAGCAAACAAAAGUUAGUGUUCGCACUACUUUAGCCGAAGAGUCUUUCAUGGGUGCCUUGGAUUGAUUGAUAGGAAGAAGUCUGCUUUGUUUUUAGAAAGAAGCAGUCUUCAUUGCUUUAAUAAAUUAUUACAAUAAUAGCACUAAGAGAAGAGAAGAAUGAGAGAUGAUCCGAGUUUCAAAACUAUAGUUUAUAUAUAAAAACAACUAAAUAGAAAAAUUAUUAUUUUUUAAAUGAAAAAACCAGAAGAGCUUGAUAAUAUUUAAUAAAAAAAUAAAAAUGAAAAAAUAUGCCUUUUUAAGUACAAACAAAAUUAUAAAGAUUUAAUAAUACUGUAUAAAAAAAUUAAAAAUUCUAACCUAAAUUAAAAAAAAUAAAAAUAACUGAAAAAAUAUUUAUAAAAAUUACGGUAUGUAAAUCUAGGGACUAAAGAUAAUACAACUGCAUUGACCGGAGAUUUCACUUAGAAUUUCUAGUAAAUUAUAAAGGAAAUUUCCUUGUGCUUUCUCAUAUACAUGAAUUUAAAAAUUAUCGUUGCUGGAUUGACUUGCAUUGACUGACUUGCUAAGUAUUUGCUGCUCUUGUGCUCUCUCUUGUAUAUUAUUAGAAAAAUUGUCAUUGACUAAUUGACUUGCAAAAGUAUUUGCAAGAAAGCUAAAGAAUUAGAGUUUUUAAAAUUUUUAAAUUAUUAAAAACAACCAAUUAUUUAAAAAAAAAAUCAAGAAUACAACAUCAACUAUUUAUAUAAUUGCUAAAUAAAUCUAAUAAAAUAAAUCGAAAAUAACUAGUAAAUAAUUCAAAAAUAACUAGAAAAUAAAUAUAUCUCCUCAAUAUGAUUUGAGUAUGUUUUCUAUCUUAAUCGACUGACUUGCUAAGUAUUUGUUAAACAUAAAAAAACUUUACUUUAAAAGUCUAUUUAAUAUUUUUCUUACUUUUAUUAUUUUACUUCAAAGUUUCAAUUUCAUAUUUUUUUACAAUGUAUAUUUUAUUUGAUUAAGGAUAUGUUAAGCAUUGACUCGAAAUUACUACUUGAAAUUCUGGACUGGAAACUAGCUUAAACGCUGGCCACCAACUCUUUUUUGCUCGAUUCAUAGGGAGAGAUCAGGGUAGAAAAUGUGAUUUUUUAUUCAAGAUCGUGGAUAGUACGUUUAAGAUUAUGGAAAUGUGUUUUUUUGUUUACUAGAAGGAUUGGGUCGAAAAGAGGGAAAAAAGUGACAACCUUCCAUAUACGUUUAAGGAAAUCUAGAUUUCUGUAAAUUUUAGGAAAAAACAAUGUCAUUUUUGUUUUUCUUUCAAUAUCAAAAUUUUUUCUUUCCCUAAAUUAUGAUAUAAAAACUCUCAAACUUAAUUUUUACGUAUAAUAUUUAAUUAUUGGUCUAAUUUCAAUACUAACUAUAUAUUUUAUUAUUAUUAUUUGUGUAUUUUUUUUCUGAUUAUUUCUAACCACUUAAAAAAUUAAAAAAAAUAUCAAAAUAAUAAAAUAAUUAAAAUGAACUAAAUUUACUGAAAAUAUUUUUUUAUAAAAAAAUGAAGGGUAAAAAAAUUAAAUUAUGACAUAUAUCAUUAAUUAUUGAGAUUCUUAUAACAAACACGGAACUUCAUGUCACUUGAUGAUACCCAUAUUUUCAACGUUUUACACUGCUUUAAUAAAUUGUUACAAUAAUAGCACAGAGAGAAGAAUGGUUCAAGAGAAAACAAUAAUGGAAGGGAAUCAAAAUCUUUGUUUGAUUUUCUGUUGUGUUUUUGGUACAUUGGUCAACAAUAGCUUGGAAGAGUUUGGUAGCAGUAAGUAACCUUUUCGACCUCAAUAAUGUUAACGCGUGGACCCAGUUGUUGUGGAAACUUUGCAGAGGAAGAAAAAUGAUUGCAUUGCUAAUAAUUUGCAAGAGAGAAUUCUUUCUCUGAAUAUAUAGAAAAAACUAUUAUUUUUAAAAUAAAAACAACUAUAUAGAAAAAUUAUUAUUAUUUAGGUAGAAAUGAUUUAAUUAAGGAAGUAUGUUAAAAAAUAAUAUAAAUUAUAUUUUAGAGUUUAUUUUAAUAGUUUAAAUUUUUAGAUGGAUAGUUUUUGGCAUGGCCAUCGGUGAGAAGCAAAAGCAGUAGCAGCCCAUCAGGACGAUCACCAUCCUAUCGCCGACAUUCCAAGUGUGAAAGUGUAUUAUUGUCAUAAAGUUUUUCAAACUUCCACUAUAGAGAGAUAAAUAAAUAAAUAAGUAGAAAGCGCAAAAGAAACAAUACGAUAAAUUUAAACUAUACUAAAGGUCAGUUUUUCACUCUGUGUGAAUCUACAGUGAAAGUUUGAUUUUGCACAUGGUAGAUAAAUUUAGGUUUAGGAGUAUAAUUUUUUAUAUAUAUAAUUACACUAAAGAAGAAUAUUAAUCAAAUAACCCUUAAAAAAUUCCUUUUAAUUUAUGGUUUAUUUUUUUUAUCUAAUUUAAAGUGAAUUUUAUACCUGAUAAUAUUUUAUCUAAUUUUAUUACACGCUAAAAAAAUUAUGAAAACUGUAGUUCUUGUCGGAUGUAUUUCGUACGUAAUGGAAUUGUAGAUGGUUUCAUGGAAUAAUAAAAAAUAUUUUAUAUAAAGUAUAAUUUAUUUCAUGAUGUAAUAGCAAUAGUUAAAUUCAUAAUAUUUAAAUUAAAAAUCAUCAAUAUUAAUAUAUAUUUUUUAAAAUUAUUUUAUAACCUCAAUUUUAAAAACAUUAUUAACCAAACACAUUAAAUUACUUUUUCUUCAGCCUCAAUUUCAACCAUAAUUUUAACCAAACACCUAUUUUUUCAAACCAACUUCAACUAAAAGUACUUUUUAUAAAACAAUUUUUUUCAAAUCAUAACCACAACAGCUACCGCAAUACCAAACACACUCUUAAUCAACUUAAAUUUGAGUGUACCUUCCGAGUAAGACAAACCCUGUAUUUUAAAAUACUAUUGCCAAAAGAUCCCCUUAUAUAUGGAUCAAGACAACAGUAUCACUCCCAUUUUAGUAAUAGAAUAAGUUUUACAUAAUUUUCAAGUUUAGUAGAAUAGUAGUGGAUUAAUUUUUUUAAUAUUUAAAAAUAAAAAAAUACUGUGGAGCUGUUGGUAUAAAUUCUAAAGUUAAGGACUCCUUUGUGCUUGGUAAAAUACGUCAAUUUAAAGUUAAUAAAUAAUAGCAUGCACGAAACUUCACGAUACCCAUGUUUUACACUGUUUUAGAGUAUGUUUGGUAUUGCGGUAGCUGUUGUGGUUGUGAUUUGAAAAAAAUUAUUUUAUAAAAAGUACUUUUAGUUGUGGUUCGUUUGAAAAAAUAGGUGUUUGGUUAAAACCGUGGUUGAAAUUGAGGUUGAAGAAAAAGUAGUUUAAUGUGUUUGAUUAAGAAUGUUUUUGAAAUUGAGGUUAUAAAAUAAUUUAAAAAUAUAUAUAUUAAUAUUGAUGGUUUUUAAUUUAAAUAUUAUGGAUUUAACUAUUGUGGUAACAUCAUGAAAUAAAUCAUACUUUAUAUAUAAAAAAAUUUAUUGUUCUAUUAAACUAUCUACAAUUCCAUUACGUACAAAAUUCAUCCGACAAGAACUACAGUUUUCAUAAUUUUUUAGCGUGUAAUAAAAUUAGAUAAAAUAUUAUCAUGUAUAAAAUUCACUCCAAACUAGUUUUUUUUUAAAAAAAAAUGUUAAAAAAAUUAACAAAAAAAAAACUUAACACACUAAAAAAAAAAAGAAAAAGAAAAAGAAAAAGAAAAAAGAGUCCACGCAGUGCAAGUGAACAGUGCAAGAGAAUUGCACCGUUCACUAUUUUUAAGUGAACAGUGCAUCACUUGCACUGUUCAAUGAACAGUGCAAUUAACGUGAACAGUGAAAAAAGUAAGAAAUGACUGCUUUUCCUUUCCUGCGUUGCUAACGCAGAAAUUAAGUGGGGCCCAGUAAACAGUAAAUCAAUUUUUUUCUUAACCAAAUAGCUGCGAACUGCAUUUUAAAUAAAACGCAGCCGCAGUCGCAGAGCCAAACAGGCUUAAUAGAUUGUUACAGUAAAAGCAAAGAGACAAGAACGGUUCAAGACAGAACAAUAAUGGAGGAACGCAAAAAGACAUUCCCUUUCUUGUCACUAAAGAGUAGCAAAAGUAGUAGUGAUGUUUUUUUCAACUUGCAUGUCUGUUAUGACUAUUUAUUAUGGGCUAUGCAUGACAUGGUCAGGGCAGCCUCUAAAAUCAUCCGAUCAGUCAAUUAUGCCAAGCGAUAGGCCUAGCUGAAGAGAAAUUUGUUGCCCAAACCUUGACUAACCUAGCAUGUCUAAGAGGAGACUUUGACUCCAAAACUAGCAAGUAAAUUUCCUCGUCUUUUGUUUAAUUUUUCUCAAGAUGAAGAAAUGGCUGGAUUAAUUUUCAUAUACGAAAAUCAAAAUUUUCUUAAUGGGAUCUUAAGAAAAUUUCUUUUCUUGUCCAAAUCAAGCCUCGAGAAAGCAUGUGCAAUUUAUAUAAGAAGCAAAUUCUAUUUCUUGACUUGUAUUUGCCUUUUGGAAUUUUCUGUACAAAUUUCUUGCCAGGAGUUGGAGAUAAUUCAAUGAACUUCCCCAAAUUUUGAAUUCCCCUCCUGUUCUGCGGUGGUAUCAUAGGACUUCAUUGCACUAUUCUGUGCAUGGAUACUUUGGAAAACAAAGGCUCUUAGCUGAAACCAAAGAACACUCUCUGGCACAUUCCAUUCACUAUACCAGUAAAUAGACAGAUAGAAAUGAAAAUGUUGAUGGAAAAUAUUUUAUUAAUAAUUUCAGAUAAAAAUAACAAUAAAAAAUUUCAAAUCUCUUAAAAUUCUGACCACAAUAGCAACAAAAUAGAAAAAAAUAAAACGGAUCAGAUUGCUUUUGAUGCAUACUGUUUCAUUCUUUUUCUCACUUCUUCGACGUAUUUUCAAGAAGAUGGAAAUUCUUGAUCUUAGUUAGAAACAAAUUGGUUUUUCAAGAAGAGAUUAUUAGUUGGGAUAUUGCAUUUGAGUUGGUUCUUCACCAUUUAAUGUUAUAAUUUAAGAUAAUUGAUGAAAACUAUUGAUAUAUACAGGAAAGUUCAGAAAGCAUCUUUAAUUGAUUUGAUAAGGAAAGUCUUGUUUGUUUUGGCUAUAAGAUUUUUCUAUGUAUUAUUGCAUGCUUUUUACUGCUUUUUGGCCUUUCAUUCGAAGGAUAUAAAAAUAAUAAGAACAUUUUUUAUUCAUUAUCAAUGCUUGAUUUUAGCACGAUAAAAUCCAAGGGAUUGAUGGUCUGGUGUUUGUGGUGCUGGUAAAUGUAAGAACGGACCGAGAGAUGAAAUAGGAAAAACCCAUGUCUAUUAGUUGGCACCGGUGAUCAUUAGGCCCUUGCCGCCCACGAAAUCGCUUUAUCCUGUUGUUAAUUUUUUAAUGAAGCGUAUCAAGUGUUUGAUAAAAUUCCUUAACUGGAAAAAAAAAACCUUUUUUUAAUGAAGCGUAUCAAGUGUUUACACUUUACAGUGCUUUAGAAUAAGUUUGGUUUUUAAAAUAUUUUUUAAAAAAAUACAUCUAAUUAAUUUUUUGAUGAUUUAAAAAUAAUAAAAAUAUAUUUUAGAAUAAAAAUAUAUUUUUUUAAAUACUUUUACACCACAAAAACAACUACUUUUCAAGUCUUCCUACCCAUCGUUAAAUCAAACCUAUAAAACCUAACCAUUACAGUUUCUCUCUCCAUCGUCUUCCUCUGCUCUUGUCAUGGCAUCAACUCAUUAAGUACAGGUAAAGAUACUUGAUGUCUGUCAAGCAUAGGUUUUAGAACCGGCUUGAGGGCCUGGUUAAAUAUUUGGGUUUCAAGUUUUUAUCUGGUUAAUUUUUUUAAAAAAAUUAAAAUAAUAUUGUUUUAGUAGAAGAAUAAAAAUUAACAGGUUGUAAUUAGGUUUUUGACCGGAUCUUAUCAAGUUAAUCUGCCGGAUCACACCAGGUUUUUUCUUUCUUUUUUUUUCCAACCCGGCUCAGUUCCAGUUGCAAGUCAGCCGGAUCCUGAAUCAACCUACCAAAUCAGGCCGGGUUUCAAAUCUAUGCUGUCAAGUCACCCCGUCCUUGAACUCACUUGACCCAGCCACCGAGUUAUCUUUUCCGCUCAUCUUUUUUUAUAUCCUGUUCUUGAAAGUCGCUCCAGCUGAACACGCUUAUUCCUCUACAAACUAUUGCAUUUACCAAUACACGCUUGAGAAAUUUCCUUGCUUUUUUUUCCUUGCAUGUGUUACAUUUUUGUCUUUUAUAAUUAUAAUUAUUGCAUUGCUAAUAAUUUGCAAGAAAUAAUAUUCUUUCUCUGAAAAAGGCUUGAAGCAUUAUAGAUAAUCUCUUAUAGGAAUCUCUUUAUUAAAUCAUCAAAAUAUCAGAAAAUAGCGGAAAUGAUAAACUGUGCAGAAUUGAUGCAGUCUUCCUUAAUGCUUUCAACCUUUUACACUGAUUGAGUCCUCUAGAAAACUAUUAGAUGCCAUAAAGCAAGAGAGGAAUAUAUUUUGGAGUGACAUAGAUAUUAUGUUUUAAAAUGAAAUGUAUUUAAAUUUAUUUUUAAAAAUUUAUUUUUAAAAAUUUAUUUUUAAUGUUAACACAUCAAACUAAUCUAAAAAUAUUUAAAAAAUCAUUUAAAAAAAUAAAACAUUCAGCAACCACCAUGAAAUUACCACUCUAAAUUACCACAUAGAUUGUUGCUUGCUCUUUGACAAUUAUUGCAUUUCUAAUAAAACAUACUUUCUCAAUUUCCUUCUUUUUUUUCUUUUUUAACUAUACUCAAUCUGCACCUGCCACGAAAUUACCAAUAAGUAAAUUCCAGCUCAAUAUUUUCCAAUACGCACUUUUGAGAAAUUUCCUUGCUUUUUUCUUUCCUUGUACGUGUUACCUUUUUAUCUUUUAUAAUUAUAAUUAUUGCAUUGCUAAUAAUUUGCAAGAAAUAAUAUUCUUUCUCUGAAAAGGGCUUGAGAAAACCCGAAGCAUAGUAUAUAAUCUCUUAUAGGAAUCUCUUUGUUAAAUCAUCAAAAUAUCAAAGUCUGUUUCCAAAGUUAUGACUACAGUUUAUAUAUAGAAACAACUAAAUAGAAAAAUUAUUAUUUUUUAAAUAGAACAACCAGAAGAGCUUGAUAAUAUUUAAUACAAAAAUAAAAUAGAAAAAUUAUUCCUUUUUAAGUAGAAACAAAAUUAUAAAGAUUUAAUAAUACUGAAUAAAAAAAAUUAAAAUUUCUAAACUAAAUUUAAAAAAAUAACUGAGAAAAUAUUUAUUAUCCCAAUAGUUCUAAUAUUAAAAUCUCAUUUAUCAUAUGUUAGAUCUAUCAAAUAAUAAUAAUUGAACAGUUUUUAGUGAAUUAAGUUCAAUUCAAGAUAACAAAAUAAAGUUUGUUGAGGCUUAUCUUGGAACCGGUAUUAAUUAGUGAGAAUAAGAAAAUCCUAUACAAAUUAUACAAAAUUAAUUAUUAAUUAUCGAUAUUUAUUAUUGAUAAUCAAUAAUGAAUAAUAGCUUAUUUUCUAGUAUAAACUAUGUUUGGAAUGAAAUUGAUAAAAGACAUGAUACACAAUUAAUGAUGGGAUCAUAUAUAUAAAUAAUAAAAUUGAGAUUUUUCAAUUACCUUUAAAUAUAUCAUGGUUUUAAUAGGUGAACGAUACAUUCUUUGAAUUUAUUAGAAGAAAUGUGUAAUGUAAAUUAUAAAAUAAUUUUUUUUUUAUAUACAUAAUAAUAAUAAUAAAUUAGAUGAUAAUAAUAAGAAAAUAGAAAUUAAUUUGAAUAAAUGGUACGAGUUUCUAUUCUAAUAUAUCUAGGGAAGAAGUUUGAAAAAUAGAAUGAAGUUAAAUAUUCUUAAUAAAAAAAAAAGAAAUAAAAUAUCACAGCAUAAAGAGAUGUGGUAAAUCUUAUGUUGGGAGACUGCUCUUCCAAGGAUCCUACGGUUGCGAGCCAUACACGCUUGAGAAAUGGUGUGUUAUCCUUGCGACCAUAAAAUAUCCUUGCGACACAUCUUCCAAGGAUCCUAUGGAUAGCACUUGCGAGCAAUCUUGUUUUUUCAAUGCCGCCAUUCAGCAAGUCCACAUGUCAUGAGUCUACACGGCAUCAAAUUUGCAAAAUCAUAUGGCCCAUUGAUAAAAAGAUGUGUCGAAGCGAAAUCUGUUUUAGGCUUUUAGGUUGAUUUUAUAUGGGUCUCUGACUUGGCUGAUUUUAUUUGAAUAUAUUAUUUGAUUAGUUCAUUUAUAGGUUGACUCUACUAUAUAUUCUGCCUUGCAUUGACAGGAAAUUUCACUAGAAAUUUCAAGUAAUUUACACAGGAAAUUUCCUGCAUGUGUUACAUUUUUAUCUUUUAUAAUUAUAAUUAUUGCAUUGCUAAUAAUUUGCAAGAAAUAAUAUUCUUUCUCUGAAAAGGGCUUGAGAAAACCCUAAGCAUUGUAGAUAAUCUCUUAUAGGAAUCUCUUUAUUAAAUCAUCGAAAUAUCAGAGUAUGUUUCCAAAUACUAUUACUACAAGAAACAACUGAAUAGAAAAAUUAUUCUUUUUUAAAUAAAAAAAAACUAGAAAAGCCUGAUAAUAGUAUUGAAUAAAAAAUAAAAUUGAAAUUUAAUCAACAAUAAUUUCUCAUCUCCAAUAAAAAUUUAGGUUUAUCAUUUGGGUAACACAAACCCUGUAUUUUAAAAUACUAUUGCAAAAAAUUCCUAUUAUAUAUGAAUCAAGAUAACAGUAAAUAACUUUUACCUAUUUUUUCAAGUUUGUACGUAGAAUAGUAGUGGAAUAAUGUUUUUAAUAUUUGAAAAUUUUAAAAAAAAUACUGUGUAACUGUUUUGUAUAAAUUCUAAAGUUAAGGACUCUUUUGUGCUUGGUAAAAUACCUCACAAUAAAAUUAAUAAAUAAUAACACAAGCAAGGACCAAAGUUAAUAAAUAAUAGCAUGCUUUUAUAGAUUGUUACAGUAAAAGCACAGAAAGAAGAACGGUUCAAGACAGAACAAUAAUGGAGGAACGCAAAAAGACAUUCCCUUUCUUGUCAUAAAGUUUUGAAUAGUACUUUUGUGUAUUAUUUUCGUAAAGUUUUUCAAACUUCCAAUAUUUACAUGGCUUACUCGAUGAAAAAGCAAGAGCAAAAGGAAACGCACCCCAUAUUUAUUGUUCCCUUUCCCGUCUUUACAUGGCUUACUCGAUGAAAAAGCAAACACCCCAUUAGUUGUUGCCACCAAAUUCCAGUACACGCUUGAGAAAUUUCCUUGCGUUUUUUUCCCUCUACGUACGCGUUACCUUUUACCUCUUUUAUAAUUUUGAUUAUUGCAUUGCUAAUAAUCUGCAAGAAAGAUGAUGAAAAUUUUUUAGUGAAUUCAAAAUAACAAAAUAAGGUUUGUUGAGGCUUUUCUUGGAACCUCGCUUGGGGUUUAAUUAGCGAGAAUGAAUUCUACAAAGAUAUCGGACUGUGAGUUUGUUUCUAAUGCAAUUCACAAUAAUGACCUUGUGGAUGGACUCUCAGAAUACGUUAGUGAGACAGAAUAUAAUGAGGUUAAUAAUGGGCUUCUACAACUCAUCAUUUAUCCCCAGGGAAGGCCAGGUGGGCCUAGGCCACUGCUUCUGUUAAAAAUAAACUAAAAUAACACUUGUAAGGUGAUACAUAUUCUUGCAAUAAAUAAAGCCAGCAAAGGCAGAUCUGUGUGUCUAUAUAUACAUGAACUGCUGAUUCGAUUUGAACACCCCAUUUCUCCGAUUCAAUAACUUCAGUUGCAAAACUUCUAUCUCCGAUUGCGGCAAUUUCAUAGCUAACUCUUUGUUAUACACAGGUAUAUAAUUUCAUAGCUAACUCUUUGUUAUACAGAGGUAUAUACGGCUAACUCUUCUUUUCUUCUUUCUUGUUUUAAAUAUUUCAUGUCUUUACCAAUAACAAUAAUGUGAAAGCUUUGUAUGUUUCAUGUUUAACUUCAGUUGCUAUUGUCUUAUGCUCUCUCAUUAUUAAGCUUAAAUUGCGAAUUGAUUGUUCCUUCAAUUCUGCAGCUGAAAUGGCAGAGCCAGAGUCUUCUCGUUCUAUACCAGAAUGGACCUAUGAUGUCUUCUUGAGUUUUAGAGGAGAAGACACUCGCAAGACAUUUACAGAUCAUCUAUAUGCUGCCUUAGUCCAAGCAAAAAUCCACACUUUUCGAGAUGAUGAUGAACUUCCUAGAGGAGAAGAAAUCUCCGAUCAUGUCCUCAGGGCUAUUCAAGAAUCAAAGAUAUCCAUAGUUGUCUUCUCAAAAGGAUAUGCUUCUUCUAGAUGGUGUCUCGAUGAACUAGUAGAGAUUCUGAAGUGUAAAAGGAAGAAAACCGGUCAGAUUGUUCUUCCUAUAUUCUAUGACAUUGAUCCUUUAGAUGUGAGAAAACAGACUGGCAGAUUUGCAGAAGCAUUUGUUAAACAUGAAGAGCGUUUUGAAGAGAAGCUGGUGAAGGAGUGGAGAAAAGCUCUUAAGGAGGCAGGAAAUCUAUCUGGAUGGAAUCUCAAUGAUAUGGCAAAUGGGUAUGCCUUUUUUUCUCUAAGAUUCACUUGCACACAUUUAUGGAGUGAUUAUACUUUACAUUUUUCAAUGUGAAACAAUAAAAUACUUAAUUGGCUCGCUAUCAAUGACUUGCUUUUGUCUAUGAGCAGGCCUGAAGCAAAUUUUGUCAAAGAGAUUAUCAAGGAUGUGUUGAAUAAAUUAGGACCCAAGCACUUAUAUGUUCCUGAGCACCUAGUAGGUAUGGAUCGGCUUUCUCGCAAUAUUUUUUACUUUCUAAGUACUGCAAUAGAUGAUGUACAAAUUGUGGGCAUACAUGGGAUGCUAGGAAUAGGAAAGACGACUAUAGCAAAAGUUGUAUUUAAUCAACUCUGCAAUGGAUUCGAGGGAAGCUGUUUUCUUUCGGAUAUAAAUGAAAAAUCAAAACAAUUCAAUGGUCUGGCUCUUUUACAAGAGCAACUUCUUCAUAAUAUUUUAAAACAAGAUGUUGCUAACAUCAAUUGUGUCGAUAGAGGAAAGGUUCUGAUCAAAGAGCGACUUUGUCGCAAAAGAGUUCUUCUUGUUGCUGAUGAUGUGGCUCGUCAGGACCAGCUAAAUGCUUUGAUGGGAGAGCGAAGUUGGUUUGGUCCCGGAAGUAGAGUAAUUAUUACAACAAGAGAUUCAAAUCUUCUUCGUGAAGCAGAUCAAACAAAUCGGAUCGAAGAAUUGGAACCAGAUGAGGCCCUUCAGCUUUUCAGCUGGCAUGCCUUUAAGGACACCAAGCCAGCAAAAGAUUAUAUUGAGCUUUCAAAGAAAGCAGUUGAUUACUGUGGAGGACUUCCUUUUGCUCUUGAGGUUAUAGGAGCUCGUCUGUCCGGGAAAAACAGAGUUACGUGGGAAAGUGAAAUUGACAACUUGAGCAGAAUUCCAAACCAAGACAUUCAAGGAAAGCUUCUAACAAGUUAUCACGCACUUGAUGGUGAACUACAAAGAGCAUUCCUUGAUAUUGCAUGCUUCUUUAUUGGUAAAGAGAAAGAAUACGUCGCAAAACUGCUAGGAGCCCGUUGCGGUUACAAUCCAGAAGUUGUUUUGGAAACUCUCCAUGAAAGGUCUAUGAUUAAAGUAUUGGGAGAGACGGUAACCAUGCAUGAUCUAUUACGAGACAUGGGAAGGGAGGUCGUUCGUGAAUCGUCUCCAAAAGAACCUGGAUAGAGGACCAGAAAUUGGAAUCAAGAGGAUGCAUGGAAUGUGCUUGAGCAGCUGAAGGUAAAAAAAAAUAGUCAUGGAACACUUGACUGAUCAAAGAAAAAAAAUUAUUUAUUUUCUCUUAUUGAGUUCCAUAGUUUAAACUUUCUCGUUACACAUAAUUUUUAGUUUGGUAUAUAUAUUCUACUGUUUUUUAUAAUCUUUAUAUUUAUAUUUUUAAAUAUAAGUACACAUAGCAUCAUUUGAAUCUUUUGAUUGAAAGUAAAAGCUUUAUCUCGUAAAAUCAUCUCUAGAAGGUUUUAUUUGGUCAAUCUUCAAAAACUUAGGGAUUAAAAAAAAAAAACUUCUUACUUGAUUCAAUUUGGAAACCUCAAGGAGAAAAUUGAAACAAGUAUAACCUCACGGGGAGAAGUUGAAUUCUCCCCAAACUCAGGGGUUAAUUAAAAUUAACCUUUAAAUUUCUAUCCAUGCCCAGUUGCCCACGAAAGAGAAGAGGUACAUCCACGUGAAGCUCAUUUUGGGUUUGGGUUAGUUGAAAAUAUCUAGUGGGUGGGCCUUUUUUCUGUUUUUCUGUUUUUUUUUUGUUUUUAUGCACAGAAUACAUGAAAUAAUAAAUUUAAAUCCAACAAAUCCAAUAGAGAUAUAAUAUUGUAUACGAUCAACAUGAAAGAAUUUUACGAAAAGACAUGAAAAUAUCAUAUAUUAUGUGUCUCUGCCAGUCAUAAUUGUAUUGUUUUGUGUAUUAUCAAUUAUCUUUCUUGUAUAGGAAAUAUCAUGUUGGAUUUUGCUGAUGACAAACUUAAUCCUAGAGAUUGCAUCUGCGGUUUUUGACCAGACGGGUUAUGCAUUAAUUGGCAUGGUGUUGGCAUUUGUAGCUUUGCUUCUUGCUGCCGUUGAACUCAUUCACAUGGCUCGAAAGGAAAGAACUAAACGGGUGGGCCUAUUGCCACCUUUUAUUCUCCAUGCAACUAGAAAGCCUGUUGGCUGGUGCUGUCUGGCAAUGUGUUUAUUCGACUGUGGAGUAUAUGUAUACUCGUCAGAAGAAAGAUAAUCCAAUUAAGAUGUGUCUUUUACCUUUCAUUUUCUUAUUAUGCGUGGCGAUUUCCAAAUUAUUAGUCGACAAGAGUUCCGUUGUAAAUAGUUCUUAGCAAUAGUAUUUUCUUUGAACUAGAAGGAAUUUCUAGUAUUGUGUUCUAAGGACUCUUUUUAGUGGGAAUGAGUCAAAGAUUUUGAUUCCUAGAUUUUCUUAUCGAAGACCCAGACUUGUAAUGCAAUUAAGACACUAUAUUUUAGACAGUGAGCAUGAGUUGAUGUGGACAAUCUAGCUAUUAUUGAUAUGCGGUUCAGUAACCUCAAAUAACUAUGAAAGGAAAAAACUGUCAUUCACUGAUUUAAUUGGAAAUUAUUUGCGAGAAAGCUAAAAAGAAUUAGAGUUUUUUAAUUUAUAAAAUUAUAAUUCUAAAUUCUAAAAAAAAUUCAAUUAUUUUUAAAAUUAUUUUAAAAAAUAAAACAUCAACUAUUUAUAUAAUAGCUAAAUAAAUCUAUUAAAAUAAAUUGAAAAUAACUAGUAAAAUCAAGCAAAUAAUUCAAAAAUAAUAAGAAAAUAAAUAUAUUUCCUAGAUCUAAUUUGAGUAUAUUUUUUAUCUUGAUUGACUGACUUGUCAAGUCUUUAUUCCGUAUAAACAAAUUUUAUUCUAAAAGUCUGUUUGAUAUUUCUUCACUUAUCUAUGAAAUAUUACUUCUACUGUACAGAAUAGAAAUAAAAAUUAGAUGAUAAUAUUUAUUCUAAAAGUCUUCGUUAAGGAUAAAUGAACUUUAUUCUAAGAGUUUGUUUGAUAUUUUUUUAUUUAUUAAUGAAAUAUUACUUCUACUGUAUAGUUAUUGGGUUCCGAGUCGAUCCACCGGGUCAAUAGGCGAACAGUAUAUUCUUUGAAUUUAUUAGAAGAAAUGUGUAAUGUAAAUUAUAAAAAAUAUUUAUUUUUCUGAUAUAUAUAAUAAUAAUAAAUUAGAUGAUUGUCACACCCGACAUCGCGGCGACCUUAAAAAUUUAAUUCUUUGGAAAAGAACAGAUUUCUGGCAUCCUAUUCUUUAAUGGGGAUAUUCUUUGUUUAAGGAGUCGCCACCUAGUAUUAUGGUCACUAGGAACCCUAACUGGUCAACAGAGAGUCUACGGUUUGGGACUGGUUACGUAAAAGGGAAGAUAUUAUCACCCCUUAAACGUCCUGCCUGAGGCAGGCUGCACUGCUAGUUUUAUCUUUAAUUGCUAAAUGUUUAUUAGUUUACGAUAUGAUAAUUUACUUAUAAUAUUCCCGACUCUGGCGUCAGUGAAUAUUAAACUACGAAUACUUCCAACUCUGGCGUUGGUCAAUAUCACGUAGCUAUAAAAUAAAUUAGAUUAAUAUUUUUUAUUUUCCCGGCUCUAGCGCCAGUGAAUAAAUAAACAAAAUAAAAUUUGAUUUUUUUACGCAUGCAUAUUUUUUUAUUUUUUUUAGCUAAAUAAAAUAAAGUACAACAAAUAAAAAUAAUAUAAAUUUAAACCGGUAUUUUUAUUCCUGACUCUGGCGUCAGUGAAUAAACCAAUAAAUUUACAUUAUUUUUAUUCAUCUAAAUAAAUUUAAUUUUUUACGCAUGCACAUUUUUUAUUUUUUAGCUAAAUAAAAUAAAGUACAACAAAUAAAAAUAAUAUAAAUUUAAACCGGUGUUUUUUAUUCCUGACUCUGGCGCCAGUGAAUAAACCAAUAAAUUUACGUUAUUUUUAUUCAUCUAAAUAAAUUUAAUUUUUUACGCAUGCACAGUUUUUAUUUUUUAGCUAAAUAAAAUAAAGUACAACAAAUAAAGAUAAUAUAAGUUUAAACCGGUAUUUUUAUUCCUGACUCUGGCGCCAGUGAAUAAACCAAUAAAUUUACAUUAUUUUUAUUCAUCUAAAGAAAAUAAAAUACAACGAAUAAAAAUAAUAUAAAUUUAAACCGGUAUUUUAUUCCUGACUCUGGCGUCAGUGAAUAAACCAAUAAAUUUACAUUAUUCUUAUCCAUACAUGCAUAUUUUUUUAUUUUUUAUUUUUCUGCCUUUUAUUUUUUUAUUUUUUUUAUUAUAUAUUUUUUUAACUGGGCGGGGCCCGGCCCGGCCCAGAAAAAAAAAAAUUGGGGGCUGGGCCCAGCGCAGCCCACAUGGACUGGGCUGGACCCAGCCAGCCCAGCCCGGUCACUGGCCCAAGCCAGUGACCCGGCUGGGUAAAAACUAAAGGCACGCGUGACUUAUUCACGCGUGCCCGAACACUGGUGAAGGUAAUUAAAUUACCUUCACACAGUGUUCUUGCAGCACAUAAUUAUCUUUUGAAAUGAAAAUGCAGAGGAGACGGGGUCAUACCUGCUUCUGGAGACCGAAGAUGCUGCUUCUGGAGACCGAAGAUGUUGCUUCUGGAGACUGAGAUGCUUGCAGCGCUGCUUGAUGAUUUUCGCCUAAUGUUCCUCUGGUUUUCCUUCUGUGAAUACUUAUCUAUGCUUUCCUUCUUGAUUUCUCUGUAACUUCUAAAGCUACAAAGAAGAUUCCGGCUUGUUGUGAGUGUUCUUUGGCUGAAUCCGGGUUUUUUUGUUUGCAGGUUCGGAGACAAUUUCAAGGAUAAUUCUCCUUACCGUGUCCUGCCUUCUUGUCCUCUCCUUCUCUGUGUAUUUGGAUUUGUGCUCUGUUUUCUCUGCCUUUUUCUUUUAACUCUGUUUUUCUGGGUUGAUUUUUUCGGUUCUCUCCCUCCUUUUCUUACUGUGUAUAAUUUCUCUGGUUUUCUUGCUUUUUUUCUUGCUCUCCCUCCUUUUUUUUUCUUUAGGUGUUCUUCUCCCUUUUAUAAACCCAGCCGAUUGCCCCCCAUCAGUCCUGCCUUUGCAGGACUGUUAUCUUCCACGAACGAGAUCGUGGGCGAGAGACGUGGUCCUCGAUUGGAUUGAAUCCGUUGCAGAUUUUCCAGCCUGUUGAAUCGGGAUGGAGAAGACGAACACGACUGUUCUACCCGCAGCGGCGACGUUUCGGCAGCAAUGGAUUUCACCAGCAACGACGCCGUUUCAAGCAGCAAAUGGACAUUUUUAUUUUGAUCCCUGAACUGUUGGAAAUUCGGCAAUUGGACCUUAAAAAAAAUUCCACUUAAUUUUGUCCCUUUGGAUUAAUUUCAAUUAAAUCCUUAAAUUAUAACACUGUUUACAAAACAGUCCUUAAUUCCUGGAUUGUUCAAUUUAGCCCUUAAUUAAAUCUUUAACCUUUCAAAAUUGAUCAAUUAACUCUCAAAUUACAUCCUCAAACUUCAAAUUUUGUUGUUUUAACCCCAUUGGCAACUAUAUUUAAUUUUUUUAUUAUUUGUUCAAAAAUUGGUUAUGACAGUUGCUCCCUCUUUAUAAUAUUUACAAUACAAAGAUAUUGAAAAAUUUCAUUUUUCCUUAGCUUUGUGUAGUAAAUUUAUAAAGAAAAGUAGAUAAAAAAAAAAUCUUGAAAACAGUAGAUUGACAUAUGACUUUUUACGGAGAGAAUAAGUUAUUUGGAAGAUGACUUUUUUUUUUUUUUUUGAAACUGAUCAAAUUAUUUUGGGUAACCUACCUAAUGAUAAAAGAAACGCGAAGAAUUUCGCGAGUGGUCUAAUUGUUCCAGGCGACCUACCCAAUGAUUGAAAAAUACGAGGAUUUUUUUUUUUGUGAUGGUAUAUUGUAAUGGGUUACCGGCCCAGAAUAAAGUGGUUUAUUGUAAAGGGUUACCGGCCCAAAUGGUCACAUUGUAAUGGGUUACCUGCCCAGUGUAGGAUGGUAAAUUGUAAUGGGUUACCAGCCCAGUCUAGGAUGGUAAAUUGUAAUGGGUUACCAGCCCAGUUGGUCACAUUGUAAUGGGUUACCUGCCCAGUUGGUCACAUUGUAAUGGGUUACCAGCCCAGUUGGUCACAUUGUAAUGGGUUACCUGCCCAGUGGAUAAAUACGUGGAUUUUUUUUUAAUAAGAUAUGAUAGGGCUCGAAGACGCACUCCAAAGGAGGUAGGAUAGGAAAUGCACUACCUUUGAUGUUCGAGGGCUCGAAGGCGCCCUCGAAAUGGAGAUAAAACGAGGGCUCGAAGACGCGCUCGAAUGGAGAUAAGAUGAGGGCUCGAAGGCACGCUCGAAUGGAGACAAGACGAGGGCUCAACGGCACGCUCGAAAAAGAACUCAAAAGGAGGUAGGAUAGGAAAUGCACUACCUCAGGAGUGGAAACUGAAAUGUGGUGGAAAAAUAUAGAGAGAGAUUUUUUUAGGUGGCCUAAUUCUCAUGGGCGGCCUGCCUAGGUUGAAAAAUUCUCAAAAGCGAAAAUUUUUCAAAAGCAAUUUCAAUGUUGGCCAUCCACUUGAUGGAUUCCGUUAGAAUUUUCUCUAAUAAAAUUUGCAGCACUCAUUGUCCAAUGUUUCAAAGUUUAAAUGAUAUGCAUGCAUCUUUACCUGACUUGAAAUAUAGGCCCCCCAUUUCUUCUUAAUCUUCUCAUUGUAUGGUUGAUGAGAUCUUGCUAUCUGAUUUGAGUCAUCUUUGUCGUUUGGAUUUCUAGCGCACUCGAGUUAGCCCAUAUAAGACUUUUUCCAGAUUUGUUUGCACAACUCAGCCUUUGUGGUGCCCAUCGUGACCCACAUGCUUGAUGGACUCGUCAAAUAAUUUGAGAGGAUCAUUCAUUACCCCUUGACUCACUGCUAAAAACAUUCGGUGUCACUAGCUGAAAGGAUCAAGCUGUCUUUCAUAAACCAAAAUGCCCCCUUGUCUUGUUGAAGGAAAUUACCAUCUCUUUUUUUUUUAGAAUUUUCCUUCUGAACACAAUAUCCCCUUGUAUUGGUCAUUCCCCCUAAGUGUGCUCUGUCAGCGACUUUAGACAAAUAAUGGUUUUAAGAGACCCUUUUCUCAUUUCUAUCCUUUUUCAGUUUGGUGAAGAAGUAUGGGUCUAGAAUAAAUCUUGAAAUCUUGAUCUUGCAUUUUUGAAAACAAAAAUUAUUUCAAUAUGAGUCUAAAACAAUUUACUUUCAAAAUCUUGCAACUCCUUGGUUAUUUUCUUUCUUGGAAAAGAGAUUAUUUGCUCUUGUGUUUGGCAAUGAGAUCUUCGGUGAAAAAUACGUUAUGAGAUGACCUUUUGUGUCAAAGUGAAGGGCUCGAGAGAAAGCUCGAGAUUUUGUAUGAGAAAAACAUCUCUUUUUAACUUUUAUUUUUAUCAGCAUGAAUAAUAAUGGGUAGUUUAUUCUUGAUGCCAUGAAUUUCAUGAAAAACUAUUCUUUGGAUUUUGAGAGCAUUGUUUAUUGUUCCAGGUUGCUUGCUUGCUUGAUUAGAAAGGACUUCUACAAGCACGUAAUGUAGGCUGUGGUUUUUGGCUAUGAAAGAAAAGGACUCGUAGGGCUCAAAGAGUGUUUCAGGGUUUCAAAGACUGAAGAUCACUAUUAAUAGUUUGACUCUUGACGUCAUUCAUAUUUUCUUUUGCCGCUCUUCUUUGAUUUGCCCUUUUUUCUUCUUUCUUUUUCAUUGCUUUGCUAGAGCCUACUCAUUUUAUCUUGGUUAUCACUUUUUCUUGUGAUUUGGGCAUGCCCCCUAGCACUUGAGUUUCUUGGGCUCUUUUGCCUUUUGGCUUUCUCACGGCUUUAUCAUUUUUCUUGAUCAUUGAAAUUUCACUUGCCCCCAGUGUGGGGUGUGAUCUUAGUCAGGAUUUUUAAUGAAAGAAAAAUUAUUCAGGCUCAAAAAGGGAUCGCAAGGGAUGUACUUAUUUUAGAACGUGAAAGGAAUAACAAAGAUGGCCUUUCCUCAUUUCAAACGUAAGCAACUAUGAUCAAUAAACUUUGACCUCAUCCAGUGUGAUGGUUUAGUCUUUACGAGGAUGCAUUUCAUGAGUUAUGAGCAACAAGUUCACUACAUACCAUUAUUCAUACAUUUAAAAACACAUGAUUCAAGAGUUAUGGGAUAAGGGUAUUUAUUCAUUUUUUUUUUGUUUUUAGAGUUUGGUCACCUCUAUGUAGGAGUUGCUUGAUUCAUUUGUCAUUCUACACGUAGAAUGUCAAAAAUCAUUUUUGAAUAAACAUCAAAUUACUUUUGAAAUCAAAAUACCAGAUCAAUUUUUCAAAACUCAAAUAAGAAAACUGAUUUUGGUAAAAGUAAUGAAUUCAAUCUAUGAGAUCAUGCAAGGCUUCAAGAGUGUAUUUACUGAUUCUUUAAUAUCAAUAACAUUUAUGAGAGAGAAAAGAUAUGCAAAGUGAAUUUCUUGGCAAAACUUUUAUUGAUUUGAUGAGAACUUAUACAAUCAUGGAUAAUAUUUCUUCACAGAAUUGGAAUUCACUGGCCUACUCAAAUCUUCUCCAUCCAUUCCUGUCAGUAUCAACGCCCCUCCAGAGAAUGCCUUCUUUACUACAUAUGGACCUUCAUAAUUAGGUGCCCACUUGCUAUGAUUCUCACUAGGUAGUAAUAGGAUUUUUCUCAAUACAAGAUCUCCUUCUUUAAACUCUCUUGGUCGAACUUUUCUCUCAUAGGCUCUUGCUAUCCUGUUUUGAUACAGUUGGUGGUGACAAAUUGCAGCUAAUCUCUUCUUACUGAUCAUAUUUAGCUGUUCGUAUCGUAUCUCAGCCCAUUUAGCCUCUUCUAGCUCAGAUUCCAUGAGAACCCUUAGAGAAGGAAUCUCUACUUCUAAAGGCAUCACUGCCUCCAUUCCGUAAACUAACGAAUAAGGUGUAGCCCCCGUUGACGUCCUUAUUGCUGUUCGAUAUGCAUGUAGAGCAUAAGGAAGCCAUUCCUGCCAAUCUUUAUAUAUGACCACCAUUUUCUGGACAAUCUUCUUUAUGUUCUUGUUAGCAGCUUCAACAGCACCAUUCAUCUUUGGUCUGUAAGGGGAUGAAUUAGAAUGCUUGAUUUUCCAUUUAGUGCAUAAUUCCAUGAUCAUUUUCCCAUUGAAGUUCUUGGCAUUAUCGGUUACUAUCCUUUCUGGCAAACCAUACCUACAAAUUAGAUCUCUCUCAAUGAAUCGCUUGACCACCUUCUGAGUCACAUGAGCAUAUGAGCAGGCCUCUACCCACUUUGUAAAAUAAUCAAUUGCGACCAAGAUAAACCGAUGACCAUUGCUGGCUUUUGGAUUAAUAGGCCCAAUCACAUCAAUUCCCCACAUCGCGAAUGGCCAAGGUGACACCAUAUUGAAUAAGGGCACUGGGGGUGCAUUGAUUUUGUCACUAUACACCUGACAUUUAUGACAUUUUCGAACAAAUUCUAUACAAUCUUUUUCCAUGGUCAACCAAAAAUACCCAGCUCUUUGCAUCUGUCUUGCCAUCAUGUGCCCAUUUGCAUGGGUGGUGCAAAUUCCUCCAUGCACUUCAUACAAUGCUUUAUUGGCUUCUGAUCUGUCUAGACAUCUUAAUAAAGUCCCAUCAAAUGACCUUUUGUAUAAGAUUUCUCCAUCUAUAAAGUAUUCCAUUGCCAUUCUUCUUAGAGUCUUCUUAUCUGUCUUUGAAGCUUCAGAAGGAUAUUCCCGAUAUUGGAUGAAUCUUUUUAUAUCUGCAUACCAAGGAUUGCCAUCCACUUCUUCUUCUAUUAAACAACAAUGAGCAGGAGAACUUCUAAUAUCAAUGCUUAUAGGAUGUACUCUGAUACCACAAUCGAUCGUAGCCAUAGAGGCCAAGGUUGCUAAAGCAUCCGCAAACUGAUUCUUAUCCCUUCCUAAAUGAUUGAACUCUAUCUUUUCAAAGUUUUCAGCCAAUUUGGAGAGAUAUUCCUGAUAUGGUUUCAAUUUCUCAUCUUUUGUCUGCCAUUCCCCCUUUGUCUGACAGAUUAUUAACAUAGAGUCUCCAUAUACCUCUAAUUUCCCUAUCUUCAGUUCCAAUGCAGCUUCUAAUCCAUGAAUGCAAGCCUCAUAUUCAGCUGUGUUAUUCGUGCAACUAAACUGCAGUUUGAUGGAGAUGGGAUAUUGUUUUCCUUCUGGAGAAAUUAUUACAGCACCAGCUCCAUUACCAGACACAUUCACCGCACCAUCAAAGUACAUAGUCCACCAAUCUCUUUCUAUUACCAACACAUCUUCAUCAGGGAAGUCAAAAUUUAAUGGCUCAUAGUCCUCAAUGGCGUUAUCAGCUAAAUGAUUCGCAAUUGCACUUCCUUUCAUAGAUUUUCUUGUUUUGUAGAUGAUAUCAUAUUCAGCCAACAACACUUGCCAUCUGGCCAGCCUAUUUGACAUAUAUGGCUUUUCAAAAAUAUAUUUCAGAGGAUCUACCUUUGAAAUUAACCAAGUGGUAUAGUAUAACAUAUAUUGUCGGAGUCUUUUCGCACUCCAUACCAAGCCACAACACAGCUUCUCAAUCAUACUGUAACGAGAUUCACAUUCAGUGAAUUUCUUACUAAGGUAGUAGAUGGCUUGCUCCUUUCUCCCGGACUCAUCAUGUUGGCCAAGCACACAGCCCAUUGCUGAUUCAGUCACUGUUAAGUACAAAAUGAGAGGCUUCCCAGGCACAGGUGGUACCAAUAGCGGUGGUUUCUGCAGAUAUUGUUUGAUCUUAUCAAAGGCUUCUUGACAAUCUUCAUCCCAUACUCCGGGGUUUUUCUUUCGAAGUAAUCGAAAGAUUGGUUCACAAGUGACUGUAAGUUGUGAAAUGAAUCGAGCAAUGUAAUUUAAACGCCCCAAAAAGCUUCGAACUUCUUUCUCAGUCUUAGGAGCUGACAUGGCUUGUAUGGCCUUCACUUUAUCAGGGUCUACCUCUAUACCAUUACUGCUUACCACAAAUCCCAAUAACUUCCCAGACUUCACUCCAAAUGUGCAUUUUGCAGGGUUCAACUUUAAUUGAUACUUUCUCAACCUUUCAAAUAAUUUCUUUAGAGCUGGGAUAUGAUUUUCCUCAUCUUUAGACUUAGCAAUCAUAUCAUCCACAUAGACCUCAAUUUCUUUAUGCAUCAUGUCAUGAAAUAGUGUCACCAUUGCUCUUUGAUAAGUUGCUCCAGCAUUUUUUAAUCCGAAUGGCAUAACUCUAUAACAAUAUGUUCCCCACGGAGUAACAAAUGUUGUCUUCUUCUUGUCUUGCUCGGCCAUUUUGAUUUGAUUAUACCCAGAGAAACCAUCCAUAAAAGAGUAAGUAGAACUCUUAGCAGCAUUAUCCACAAGUACAUCUAUGUGGGGUAACGGAAAAUCAUCCUUCGGGCUUGCCCUAUUCAAAUCUCGAAAAUCCACGCAUACCCUGAUUUUGUUGUCUUUCUUGGGUACUACUACAAUAUUGGACACCCAUUGAGAAUAAUCAACAACUUCUAAGAAUCCAGCAUCCCACUGUUUCGUUAUCUCUUCUUUUACUUUGAUUAGCAUAUCAGGCCUCGUCCUCCUCAACUUUUGCUUAAUCGGUUUACAACCCUCUAUCAAAGGUAGUUUAUGUACCACAAUAUCAGUAUCCAGACCAGGCAUAUCGGCAUAUGACCAGGCAAAAACAUCAACAUAUUCUUGUAAAAGAAUGACCAACUCGCUUCUCACACCAGCAGAUAUUAGCUUCCCUAUUUUCAACUCUCUUUUAUUAUGUUUGGUGCCCACAUUUAUCAGUUCUAGUUCUUCUUUAGCAGGCUUCCAUGUGUGAUCAGAUUGUUCCACUAACCUUGCGAACUCAUCGAUGUCUUCCUCACCCAACUCUUCCUCAUCCAUUGCAAUUAUAGUUUCAUCAAAGUUAGGCCAAUUAUCCACAGUGCAUUGAGUUUGUGAGCACAAUCCGCUUUCAGAUCUCCUGAAAGCGGAAAGUGUUUCGGUUAUGAGUGUAUAAUUCUGGGAAAGCAAAUAAAUAAACAAAUAACAAGAAAACAUGUUUGAAAGAAAAUAUGCAUGAUCUCAUUGAAUUUUAAAGGAUAGACGGGCUCAACAACAAAACCUUAUUGCCAAUCUCUUGAGCCACAAUGGUUUUGGCAAGGCACAAUUGUUCAAACAAUACAAUAAAAACAAAGAACAAACAAACAUUACUUUUUAAAAACAACUGGGACUUCAUGAAUUUCCCAAUUUUCCAACUCUUCUCCCUCAGCCAGCUUCCUCACGAAUUCGGAUGAGCCAUCUUCCAAAACACCAAUAGUUAGUUGUGGUAGCUGUUCGUAAGGACUCUCUUCUUCCUUUACAUCUUGCUCACUAACAUUUUCAAGAUAAUUGAUAGUAGCACCACUGAAUUCUUUUCUUAGCCCCUCCUCAUAAUCCUCAGCUUUUAUCACAUACGCGGCUCUUGGAAAUGUUACAUAGAUAGGUGGGAUUUCCAUUCGAUCUUCAUCUGGCUCUCUUCUUUCAAUCCGGGCUACUCUCUUUUCCCUUCUAUUUUCAGCUGCUCUUUUAAAAUCUGCUUUGCCAGGCUUAAACCCUAAGCCAAACCUCUGAUCGGCGCAUUUUAUUUUUACCGCAUUAACCCUCUCAGGCAUUCCAGUAGUUAGGUCAUAUUGAAAUGGUAAUCCAUGCUUCAAGAAGUAUUUAGCAGCCAUUUUUGCUGCUUCAGAAAUUUCUGGCUUUCUUCGUAUCAUAUUUUCAGGUACCCAUUCAGCAUUUACAACUUCAAAUGCAUGCAGAUUUCCAUCCUUACUUUCUUCAGCUUCUAUAUAAGGGAUCGAUACAUUUCUCAUCAUUGACAAAGUUUCUUCAGCUCUCACAGUCACCAAAUUCCCAUUGAUGAUGAACUUGACCCGUUGAUGUAAAGAAGAUGCGACAGCUCGAGCUGCAUGGAUCUAAGGUCUCCCUAGCAAAAUGUUGUAUGAUGGAUGAAUAUCCAUUACUUGUAAUGUGACUUGGAAUGGUUGGGGGCCAAUGACUAGUUCAACAUCAAUACUUCCAAUGAUUGGUCUAGGUGACCCAUCGUAUGCCCUUGCAGUCAUAGUACUUGGCUUCAUGUGAGAGGCAUCAACUGGCAUUUUAUCAAGUACAUGUCUCGGCAAUACAUUGAGAGCGGAACCAUUAUCCAUAAGCACCUUAGCAAUCACACAAUCCUUGCAUUUUACCGUGAUAUGCAAUGGUUUAUUAUGACCGGUCCCUUCAUGAUCCAACUCAUCAUCGGUAAAAUAGAGGUAGUUGGUGGCUUGAAUCCUACCCACCAAAUGUUCUAUGGAGUCUUGUGUGAUAUCCUGAGGAAUAUAUGCUUCAUUAAGAACCUUCUGAAGUGCGUUCCUAUGCAAUUCUGAACUCAAUAUUAAUGACAACAAAGAAAUCCUAGCGGGUGUUUUCUUUAGUUGAUCAACCACACUAUAUUCGCUGUGCUUCAUCAAUUUCAGGAAUUCAUUAGCCUCUUCAUCACUUACUGGCUUGUUAACCUCAUUUGACUUUGUCAAAUCCACCAUAUCCUUUCCUUUGGCUUUUCUUUGGUUUUCCAACUCUUCAGGAGUAAAACAUCUCCCACUCCGAGUGAGUCCUCCUAUUUCCGCAUGGAAAACGGGGGCAGGAUUUGUGCUGUGAAAGGAACAACCAUAAUUAUAGGGUUGGGCAUUAUAGCUUCCGCUAACAGUAUUCAUAGGCUUGGCUAGUAUCAUUUUUGGUGGACCCUUUUCGGUUGGUAUAUAUCUACAAACUUCCACUUUUUGGUUACAACCAGUCAUUGUUCCUACUAACUCAUCUUCUUUGGGUUUCAUCAAUCUUAACAUUCCCAACGUCAUCAUAUUUUCUACCUCCAAAUGAAACUCCUCGCACGAGUCAAUAUCAUGCCCAAGCUGCUGAUGAUAUUUACAAUAUUCAUUUGCAUUCCUUACAGCUUGUGUUUUGACUGGUGUCUUUAGAUAAUUUGUUUGCCUCAACAUCCCAUACAAUCUAUCCAUAGUCACCCUUAAAGUUGUUGUACUUCUCCUUCCUAUCUCCAAGUUAUUAACUCCCCCACUUCCCGAAGCAUGAUUUGGUAGAGGAUUAGAUUUCACAUUUGGAGAUUCAUCAAAAGAAAUCCACCCAGCUUUGAUGAGCUGAAGGAUUUUUCUUUUGAAUGCAACACAUCCAUCAAUAUGAUGACCAACAGCGCCAGGAUGGUAUUCACAUUUUUUAUCGGGUUUAUACCAAAAAGGAAAUGGUGGUUGUAAAGGUUCUAAGGGAACAGGUGCUACCUGGCCAAUACUAAGCAAUCUUUGGUGCAUUUCAGUAAGAGACAUGGGUAAUGGCGGAAGUUGCACUUGCUCUAUUGGAAAACUUCUUCUUGGGCGGUAAGUAGCAUUGGUUUGGUUGUUUAUUGGGUUAUUUUGGGUGUUUGUAGGUGAUGAGAAUUUUAUAUUGGAUAUAGAAGGGGUAGGUGUAAUACUUUUGAAACUGUAAUUAUCUUGGUAGGUGUUCUUCCCUCUACUUUCCCUUUCAACAUUGUGAACUUCCGUUUCUUUCCUUUUUCCAGUAAAACCUCUUUUUUCAGUAGGAUCCACGAUCCUACCUGUCCGAACAGCUUGUUCGAUCCUUUCAGCUAUGACAACCAAAUCAGAGAAAUUUUUUGCAGCACUACCUACCAAGUAUUCAAAGUACGGGGCUUUGAAAGUGUUGGAAAAUAAACCAGUCAUCUCCCUUUCUGACAAUGGAGGAUUUACUUGCGCGGCUGAUUCACGCCACCUUUGGGCAUAUUCUCUUACAGACUCCCUAUUCCCUUUUUCCAUGGCUUGCAGACUUGACCUUUCAGGGGCAAUAUCCAUGUUGAACUUAUAUUGUCUAAUAAAAGCUUCAACCAAAUCCUUCCAUCCUUUAAUCUUGGUAUUAUCUAAGCGCAUAUACCAAGCAAGAGCCGCAUCACUUAAACUGUCUUGAAAGAAAUGGAUCAAUAGCUUCUCAUCAUGGACUACCUCAGCCAUCUUAUUACAAUAUGCUUUAAGAUGGGUGAUCGGGCAUUGAGUUCCAGUAUAUUUAACAAAAUCUGGUACACGGAAUUUUCUGGGAAUAACCACAUUAGGCACCAAACACAUUUCAGCAGCUUUCACCGGAUCAUACAAACUAUUCCCUUCCAUUGCCUUCAUUCUUUCUUCUAAAGCAGCUAGCUUUUCAUGACCAUUUUCCUCCACUAUCUUAUUCCUUUGAGGUUCUUCUUCUGUCAAAACUGCAAUGGGGACCCUCGUUGGAUAUGCUGAUUGGGCAGGUAAGAAAUGAGCAGCAUGCUAAGGUUCAAAUGGCGGAAUAAAAGGAGGCGGAGGCUGAGGUGUAAAUGUUUGUUGAGAAGAUGUUCCUUCUCCAGCUCUAGGCCUCAAAGCCUGUUCAAGCAAGCUGGUAAGCCUUGCUACAUCCUCCUUCAGGCUUUCCAACUCUUUUUGGUGUUGAAUUUCUAACUGAGUUCUCUCUUCAUUUUCCAUUUUCUUCCGUAAACGAGUAUUAUGGAUACGUUUCAGUUGGGGACCUAUAUUUCACCUGUUAUAUGUAGAAUAUGACAAUUUAUAAAACAAAUGUAUGAAAUGCAUGAAUAUGAAUGCAACAUAUUGGAUAUGGAUUUGCUUUUCAUUGGUGACAUAUGGUCGUCAUUCUUUGGAUAUGAGGUUUGAGCUUGAACUUGAUAUCAUCGUUGUGAUGCCGAGAAGAGAUCUGUUUAGCUUUUUGACAUUUCAGCUUCCAGCCAUAUACGCAUAUUUUUGAAUUGAAAAGGUGGGUCUCAGCCCUUUAUUACUUAUUCAGAAGCUUACAAUGAAAAAUUGAUCUAAUCUAUUACAGGAGAAAAAACACUGCCUCUAUUAGCUAUUGCUUUUAAGAAAAGAUCGGUGUUAUCCAAGCUUCUUCGAUACUUUAUUAUAUCACCUCCCACUUGGCGAGCUUCCACUCGUAAUAAAUGGGCUUCUGCAGCUGCUUGACCAACUUGAUCUUGUAGUUCCCUUAUCCUCUCAGUAUGUAUCAAGUUGUUUCUAGACAGAAAGUUAUUGGUGGCAUCCAAUGUUUGAUUAUGUUGUUCUAUCAUUUUCUGGCUUUCCAUAAGCUGUGCAGUCUUUGAUUUUUCUUUGUCCAGCUUAAAUCUCAAUGCUUCCACCUCAGUAUUGUGAUUGUUCCACUCUGCUUUUUGCUCUUCAUGAAUUUUAGUUAAAGCCUCAGCUUUUCCCAAUUGGCCUUUAAACUUAACAAUGUCCGCCCGACGCAUUUUCAAUGUAGCUUGUGUCUUGAUGGCUAAUUCUUCCCAAUGCUUAGCUUUGUCCAUAUAAUACAUCAUAUCCUGAUUAAUUAUUUUUUGUGUUUCCAAGUCAGCCUUUGCCUUUAUCAAGUCUUGACCUACAGAGUCCCUUUCUUCUUCAGCUACUUUCCUUACACCCUUUUCUUUGGCUAGUUGCCGCUCUAAGGACACUCUUUGUUCUUCCUUUGCUUUAAGCUCAGCUUGUAACGAUUUUACUUGUUUUCUUAAUUCUUCUUCACAAUUCACUCUUUUCCUUCGAAGGCCCACAGAUUCAGAAACUUCUGCCGUAUAAGAGACUCCUCUAUUACGCCAUUCAGGAUACUUUUCACUAACUGUAGGAUUCCUUACACCGAUCUCUUUUUUAACUAGCACCAAAGAUCCCCAAUCAUGUUUAAUGCUCUCCAGCAUCUCAUUAUAUGCACCCUUAUAGACUCCGGUGAAUUGAGCUAAGCCAACUGUUCUUGGAAUGCUUUGUAUGCCCCCAAGCUGUCUUGCAACCAAAGCAGACGCAUAACUAAUAUAUCCAGUCACUCCAAUCAAAGGUACCCAAGGCCUCUUCCCACAACCCAUUAGGCAUGUUACAUUUUUCAUCCAAGGAGCUCUCCAAUUAAAAUUGCUUUGUGGAAUUCCUUGCAAUUUUACCCUCCAAUCAUCUUCAGAAAAGUUUUCCCAUUCACUUGAUACAAAUAACUCGAGUGGCUUUUGGUCAAACCACCAAAAAUUUCGGAAUAUUAGUGUUUCAGAUUCUAUAUGGCUUACCAUCCAAAUGAAUAACAAUGGAACACAACAUCUCAUAGAACCUUUCCCAAUCCUUUUGCAAUGAUUGAGAGACAAAAAAGUUUCAGCCAAGAUAGCAGCAGAAGGAUUAAUUUUAGUCUUCUCAUACUCAACAAACAGAUUAGCUGCCUCUAAACUGAUAAUUCCAGCAGUCGAAGGACACAAAAUCAGCCCAAAUAUUCCCAAAGCCAAUAUUCGGUAUACCUCCAAAUUAGCACCAGGAUUAGAUGUUUUAGCAAUCAACAGCUCUUCUAGCCGUUUCCAUCUCAAACCCCCAGAAUUGUUUUUUUCUCUAUAUAAGCUCAUUUGAUGGAUUCCCAGUAGCUUAGCAAGCUCCUAUACAGUAUUCUCAAUCUUUUGAUGAAAAUAAACCUUAUGGAUAUCCUCAGGGAAUUCUGUCAAAACACCGUAUUCUUCAAUGGUAGGAACCAUAUCGACAUUCCCAAAUGUAAAACAUCGAUAAUCAGGAUCCCAAAAAUGAAUUAGGGCUUUUAUGGCUAAUGGCAGUACUGGAACAUUCAGAAGAUGCAAAACUCUCCCAUAUAUCUUAGUAAAUUCUGUCUCAUCAGCCAAGUAUUUGGUGAAUGGAAGCAAACGACUGGCAUCAUUUAUUACGCAUCUCACAUCCUUUAGCAGCGGUAUCCCACUGUCAUCCAGUCUAGGGCAGUCUCCCUCAGUCAUAUGCAAUGAUUCAGAUUCGAGCCCAUACUCAACAGUUGUGAUUUAACGAUUAACGACCAUUAUGUCACCCAAAAACAAUCCUGUAAUGAAGAUGCUAUACGUUAAGCUUGCCUUAGUGAAAUUUACAUAGGGAACAACCUAAAUGGUAGGUUCUAGUCAUUUAAAUGCUUGAGGUAGGUUGCUAUCUAGUCUUGAAAGGUCUUUCGCAUGCUCAGUGAUCUUCCUCGAAAGGUUGAUGUGAGGUUUACAAGUAGCGUGAAAAUAGAGGCCCUGAAUGAUAUCAGUUAGGCAUAUCAACCACUAUCGAGUAAACAAUCAAGCGAAAGUUGGAUGGUUUCACGAGUCUUACCCAGGCUAAAGCCAUUGGGGUACCGCUACUCUCCCACUUAACUUAAAGUUGAUAUAACAGAUGUUUAUUAUGAAAUGCGUGGUGUGUGAAGGCCUAAAUCUAUAUCCAAUAUAUGUAUGAUGACAUAAACAAAUAUGGAUGCUAAAACUAUAAAAAUAAAUAAAAUAAAAUAAACCAAAUAAAAUAAAAACCAAAUAACACAACAAGCAUUUGUAGCAAUUAAAAAAAAUCAAAGGCAAAGCUUAGUCCAUUAGUCCCCAGUGGAGUCGCCAUUCUGUCACACCCGACAUCGCGGCGACCUUAAAAAUUUAAUUCUUUGGAAAAGAACAGAUUUCUGGCAUCCUAUUCUUUAAUGGGGAUAUUCUUUGUUUAAGGAGUCGCCACCUAGUAUUAUGGUCACUAGGAACCCUAACUGGUCAACAGAGAGUCUACGGUUCGGGAUUGGUUACGUAAAAGGGAAGAUAUUAUCACCCCUUAAACGUCCUGCCUGAGGCAGGCUGCACUGCUAGUUUUAUCUUUAAUUGCUAAAUGUUUAUUAGUUUACGAUAUGAUAAUUUACUUAUAAUAUUCCCGACUCUGGCGUCAGUGAAUAUUAAACUACGGAUACUUCCAACUCUGGCGUUGGUCAAUAUCACGUAGCUAUAAAAUAAAUUAGAUUAAUAUUUUUUAUUUUCCCGGCUCUAGCGCCAGUGAAUAAAUAAACAAAAUAAAAUUUGAUUUUUUUACGCAUGCAUAUUUUUUUAUUUUUUUUUAGCUAAAUAAAAUAAAGUACAACAAAUAAAAAUAAUAUAAAUUUAAACCGGUAUUUUUAUUCCUGACUCUGGCGUCAGUGAAUAAACCAAUAAAUUUACAUUAUUUUUAUUCAUCUAAAUAAAUUUAAUUUUUUACGCAUGCACAUUUUUUAUUUUUUAGCUAAAUAAAAUAAAGUACAACAAAUAAAAAUAAUAUAAAUUUAAACCGGUGUUUUUUAUUCCUGACUCUGGCGCCAGUGAAUAAACCAAUAAAUUUACGUUAUUUUUAUUCAUCUAAAUAAAUUUAAUUUUUUACGCAUGCACAUUUUUUAUUUUUUAGCUAAAUAAAAUAAAGUACAACAAAUAAAGAUAAUAUAAGUUUAAACCGGUAUUUUUAUUCCUGACUCUGGCGCCAGUGAAUAAACCAAUAAAUUUACAUUAUUUUUAUUCAUCUAAAGAAAAUAAAAUACAAUGAAUAAAAAUAAUAUAAAUUUAAACCGGUAUUUUAUUCCUGACUCUGGCGUCAGUGAAUAAACCAAUAAAUUUACAUUAUUUUUAUCCAUACAUGCAUAUUUUUUUAUUUUUUAUUUUUUAUUUUUCUGCCUUUUAUUUUUUUAUUUUUUUUAUUAUAUAUAUUUUUUAACUGGGCUGGGCCCGGCCCGGCCCAGCAAAAAAAGAAAAAAAUUGGGGGCUGGGCCCAGCGCAGCCCACAUGGACUGGGCUGGACCCAGCCAGCCCAGCCCGGUCACUGGCCCAAGCCAGUGACCCGGCUGGGUAAAAACUAAAGGCACGCGUGACUUAUUCACGCGUGCCCGAACACUGGUGAAGGUAAUUAAAUUACCUUCACACAGUGUUCUUGCAGCACAUAAUUAUCUUUUGAAAUGAAAAUGCAGAGGAGACGGGGUCAUACCUGCUUCUGGAGACCGAAGAUGCUGCUUCUGGAGACCGAAGAUGUUGCUUCUGGAGACUGAGAUGCUUGCAGCGCUGCUUGAUGAUUUUCGCCUAAUGUUCCUCUGGUUUUCCUUCUGUGAAUACUUAUCUAUGCUUUCCUUCUUGAUUUCUCUGUAACUUCUAAAGCUACAAAGAAGAUUCCGGCUUGUUGUGAGUGUUCUUUGGCUGAAUCCGGGUUUUUUUGUUUGCAGGUUCGGAGACAAUUUCAAGGAUAAUUCUCCUUACCGUGUCCUGCCUUCUUGUCCUCUCCUUCUCUGUGUAUUUGGAUUUGUUCUCUGUUUUCUCUGCCUUUUUCUUUUAACUCUGUUUUUCUGGGUUGAUUUUUUCGGUUCUCUCCCUCCUUUUCUUACUGUGUAUAAUUUCUCUGGUUUUCUUGCUCUCCCUCCUUUUUUUUUCUUUAGGUGUUCUUCUCCCUUUUAUAAACCCAGCCGAUUGCCCCCCAUCAGUCCUGCCUUUGCAGGACUGUUAUCUUCCACGAACGAGAUCGUGGGCGAGAGACGUGGUCCUCGAUUGGAUUGAAUCCGUUGCAGAUUUUCCAGCCUGUUGAAUCGGGAUGGAGAAGACGAACACGACUGUUCUACCCGCAGCGGCGACGUUUCGGCAGCAAUGGAUUUCACCAGCAACGACGCCGUUUCAAGCAACAAAUGGACAUUUUUAUUUUGAUCCCUGAACUGUUGGAAAUUCGGCAAUUGGACCUUAAAAAAAAUUCCACUUAAUUUUGUCCCUUUGGAUUAAUUUCAAUUAAAUCCUUAAAUUAUAACACUGUUUACAAAACAGUCCUUAAUUCCUGGAUUGUUCAAUUUAGCCCUUAAUUAAAUCUUUAACCUUUCAAAAUUGAUCAAUUAACUCUCAAAUUACAUCCUCAAACUUUAAAUUUUGUUGUUUUAACCCCAUUGGCAACUAUAUUUAAUUUUUUUAUUAUUUGUUCAAAAAUUGGUUAUGACAAUGAUAGUAACAAGAAAAUAAAAAUUAAUUUGAAUAAAUGGUAGGAGUUUCUAUUCUGAUAUAUCCAGGGAAGAAGUUCGAAGAAUAGAAUGAAGAUAAAAAAAGAAAAAAUUUGUGUUACAUUUUUAUCUUUUAUAAUUAUAAUUAUUGCAUUGCUAAUAAUUUGCACGAAAAAAUAUUCUUUCUCUGAAAAGGGCUUGAGAGAACCCUAAGCAUAUAUAGGAAUCUCUUAUAGGAAUCUCUUUAUUAAAUCAUCAAAAUAUGAAAGUCUAUUUCCAAAUACUAUUACUACAGUUUAUAUAUAUAUAUAUAUAUAUAUAUAUAUAUAUAGAAACAACUAAAUAGAAAAAUUAUUAUUAUUUAAAUAAAAAACUAGAAAAGCCUGAUAAUAUUAUUGAAUGAAAAAUAAAAUAGAAAUUUAAUAAAUUAAAAGUUAAAAAAUACUGUGUGACUGUUUUGUAUAAAUUCUAAAGUUAAGGAGUCUUUUAUGCUUGGUAAAAUACGUCACAAUAAAGUUAAUAAAUAAGAACACAAGAAAGGAUCAAAGUUAAUAAAUAAUAGCAUGCACGAAACUUCAUGAUAUCCAUGUUUUUCACGUUUUAUACUGCUUUAAUAGAUUGUUACAGCAAGAGAAACGGUACAAGACAGAACAAUAAAGGAGGGGCUGACGUUCAGUGAGGACAUCCUCCAGCUCAUCAGAUCCAGCUCAAGUUGUUGCAACCACCGCGAAAGGAACGCAUUGAUGUUAACGCGUGGACCCAGUCGCUGCAACCAGCACGAAAGUACCACUCCAAAUUCCAGCUCAUUUGUUAUAUAUAUAGUAAUAACAAAUGGUUAGAAUGCUUUAGUCCUUUUCGAGUGGAAAGUGGUGUGAAUGUGGGAAGUACUGUGAGAGCUUUAUGCCACUUUCUAUCUUUGAUGUGAUGGCUUUGGCAAGAAGAAACAAAUAAAAGUUAGUGUUCGCACUGCUUUAGCCCAAGAGUCUUUCAUCGUCGUUGCCUUGGAUUGAUUGAUUGAUUGACAGGAAGAAUUCUGAAUGUUUUUAGAAAAGUCUUCAUUGACAGGAAGAAUUGUGAACGGAAUGAGAUUUUAUUUUGUUUUGUUUUUUAAAUUAACAUGGAAUAUUUCAGUUAUUUCAGGUGAAACGAAACAAAAUUAACAACCUUGAUAAAAACUCUAAAUCACGAGUAAAAUCUGAAUGUUUUUUUAUAGAAAGAAGCAAUCUUCAUUGCUUUAAUAAAUUGUCACAAUAAUAGCACUAAGAGAAGAAUGGGUAGACCCUCGAGCCGGGCCAAAUUUUAAAAUUAUAGUUUAUAUAUAGAAACAACUAAAUAUAUAAAUUAUUAUUUUUUAAAUGAAAAAACCAGAAGAGCUUGAUAAUAUUUAAUAAAAAAAAUAAAAAUGAAAAAAUAUUCCUUUUCAAGUACAAACAAAAUUAUAAAUAUUUAAUAAUACUGUAUAAAAAAUUAAAAAUUCUAACCUAAAUUUUAAAAAAAUUGUCAUUGGCUAAUUGACUAAUUGACUUGUGCUAUCUCUUGUACAUUAUUAGAAAAAUUGUCAUUGACUAAUUGACUUGCAAAAGUAUUUGCAAGAAAGCUAAAGAAUUAGAGUUUUUAACAUUUUUAAAUUUUUAAAAACAUCCAAUUAUUUUUUUAAAAAAUCAAGAAUAAAACAUCAACUAUUUAUAUAAUUGCUAAAUAAAUCUAAUAAAAUAAAUCAGAAAUAACUAGUAAAUAAUCCAAAAAUAACUAGAAAAUAAAUAUAUCUCCUCAAUAUGAUUUGAGUAUGUUUUCUAUCUUAAUUGACUGACUUGCUAAGUAUUUGUUAAGCAUAAACGAACUUUACUCUAAAAGUAUGUUUAAUAUUUUUCUUACUUUUACUAUUUUACUUCAAAGUUUCAAUUUCAUAUUUUUUUACAAUGUACAUGUUAUUUGAUUAGUCUGAUCAUAGGAUAUGUUAAGCAUUGACUCGAAAUUAGCACUUGAAAUUAUGGACUGGAAACUAGCUUAAAUGCUGGCCACCAACCCUUUUUUGCUCGUUCUAUAGGGAGAGUAGAAAAUGUGAUUUCUUAUUCAAGAUCGUGGAUAGUACGCUCAAGAUUAUGGGAAGGUGUUUUUUGUUUACUAGGAGGAUUGGGUCGAAAAGAGGAGAAAAAGUGGCAGCCUUCCAUAUACAUUUAAGGAAACCCAGAUUUUUGUAGAUUUUAGAGACAAAACGAUGUCAUUUUCAUUUUUCUUUCAAUAUCAAAAUUUUUUCUUCCCUUUUCCAGGCAAAACGCACCAUUUCAAUUAGUGUGAAAAGGCAUCAUUUUGCUUUAGGUUUUCUUCAUAUGUAAUAAUGCUAAACACACCAUGUGGAACUAUGUUAAACGCAACAUUUUAGCAUCUUUUGUGCUUCGAUCCCUAGAAUUUUAAUUCUUUUAUUUUGAUCAAUUUUCAACUCUUUUCCUUUAAUUUCAUUUAAUUUGCUAUUAACUGAAUUACAAUAUGACCUUUAAUUUCUUUAUUUUUUUCAUUUCAGUCACUGAUUCUUUCAAUCUUCAUUUUUAAGCCAAAUGAAUUGCAGUUUCAAUUUUCUUUUUUAAUUAAAUCUCUAAUUGAUUUUUUAAAUUGGUUAUUCAUUUCAAACUCAUUCUUGAACUGCUAAUAAUUUUAAUAGAUGUAUGGUACAUCCUAUGAAUUUAUUAGAAAGAAUGUUUAAUGUAAAGUAUGAACCACUUGCCAUUAACUAGCUUUUUCAAUUGGAUCUUUUAUUUAAAUGAAAAGGAAUAUUUAUUUUAAUAUGAAGAAAAUAAUUAUUUUUUUUGAUAUAUCUAGUGAUAAUAAAUUAGAGGAUAGUAACAAGAAAAUAGGGAUUAGAUCGAAUAAAUGGUACCAAUUUGUAUUAUGAUAUAUCUAGUAAUAAUAAAUUAGAGGAUAGUAACAAGAAAAUAUGAAUUAGAUCGAAUAAAUGGUACCAAUUUCUAUUCUGAUAAAUCUAGCCAAAGAGUAGAAUGAAUUAAAAUAUUCUUAAUAAAAAAGAAAAACAGAAAACACAGAAAGAAAAAAAAAAUGCUCUUAAUAAAUAUUAAAGAUAGGUGAAAUUAGAGAACAAGAAAGAGAUAUAGAAUCUCUUUCUUAAGAUUUCUAAAAACUUAAUUACAAUUACAUUAUAAUUUCUUCCUUAAAAUUAUUCAAAAUAUAGUAUUGUAAUUACAUAAUGCUAGGUUUUAAUAUAUAAGUUUUUAUAUUGUUGAAGAGUCUCUCCUAAAACAAAUAAUAAAAAUAUUGUUAUGAACUGUUUUGAAUGAAUUGUUAAUGCACGGACUAUUUUGGGUCCUGACUUGGCUGAUUUAACUUGAAUGUAUUAUUUGAUUGGUCCAAGUAAAGAUCAACUCGAAAUUUCUAUUAAUUUAUGUCGCACCCGACAUCGCGACGGCCUUAAAAAAAAAAAUCAGGUAUAUUGCGGAAAAAGAACAGAUUUCUGGCAUCUUGUUCUUUUAGGAAAAAUGUCUUGUUUAAGGAGUCGCCACCUAGUAUUAUGGUCACUAGGAACCCUAACUGGUCAACAGAGAUUCUAUGGUACGGGACUGGUUACGUAAAAGGGAAGAUAUUAUCACCCCUUAAACGUUCUGCCUAAGGCAGACUGCAUUGCUGGUUUUGUCUUAAAUUGCUAAACAUUUAUUCGCUUAUGCUAUGAUGAUUUGUUUAUAAUAUUCCUGACUCUGGCGCCAGUGAAUAUUCGAUCGCGAAUAAUUCCAACUCUGGCGUUGGUAAAAAUUCCACCCGAAUAAUUCCAACUCUGGCGUUGGUAAAAAUUCUACUACAAAUAAUUCCAACUCUGGCGUUGGUAAAAAUUCAUAGCCACCAAAAAUAAAUUCAGAUUAAUAUUUUUUUAUUCCUGACUCUAACGCUAGUGAAUAAACAAAUAAACUAAAUUUAUGCAUUCACAUAUUUUUUUAUUUUUUAUGUAGUUAAAUAAAAAAAACAAAGAGAAUAAUUAAAUAAGUAUUUUUAUUUUUGACUCUGAAGUCAGUAAAUAAAAAUAAAUUUAUUUUUCAUACAUGCACGUAUAUUUUUUUGCUAAAUAAAAAAAAUAUACGAAUAAAAAUAAUAUAAACUUAAACUAAUAUUUUAUUCCCGACUCUGGCGUGGGUGAAUAAACUAGUAAAUUUAUAUUAUUUUUAUUCAUGCACACACAUAUUUUUUUAUUUUUUUAUUUUUUAUUUUCUUAUUUUUUUUAUAUAUAUAUAUUUGUUUUUUGCUGGGCCUAGCUCAGCCCACAUGGGCUGGGCCCAGCCCAGCCCAGCCCAGCCCAGUCACUGGCCCAAGCCAGUGACCCGGCUGGGUAACAUGAAGCACGCGUGAACUAAAUCACGCGUGCAUUAGCAGAUAAAGGAAUUAAUUGAGAGUGUACAGUAGGAAGUGAAUUAAAAUGAAAAACGGUGAAAGGUGAAAGAGAAACUUACUUACCUGGCUCUGGAUACAACGAAGGCAGCAGCAACAAUGGUUCUGGUCACGGUGGCUUUCCUCUGCUUAUGUUCGUCCCCUGUUUAUUGGCUUGUUCGUCCCCUGUUCUUGUUUCCAGUCGCUCUCCUUUUGUUUCCUUGCUCUCGUUCUCUGUCUUCUGCGUUUGUUUUUCUUCUGUGUUUCCCUGGUUCUCUUUUUGUUCACCUUAUCUUCUCUGCUUUUCCUUUUUUUUUCGUCUGUGUCUGUCCCUUCUCUCUCGGUCUGUUUUUUCUUUUUUUUUCUCUUGCUCUCACAUGCUCUGUCUUUCUCUGUUUUUUUCUGUUCUUGGCUCUGUUUUGGGUUGAUUUUUCUUGUGCAGGGAUGAAGAUGAUGGCGGGGUUGAUCUCUGAUUCCUUUCUGCCUUUCUCCCCUUCUCCCUGGGUAUUUCUUUUUGUGUUUGUGCUCUGUUUUGCUCUGCUUGUUUCCUCACUGAUUUCCGGUUCUUGCUUUUUCCAAUCUUCCCCCUCGUUUUAGUCCAAUUCAUCCCCUGUUUCCAGUGUUCUUUUUCCUGCGUUUUGCUCGGUUCCCCUCCUCCGGUUUGUUCGGUUCUUUGUCCAGCCCCGUUGUUCCCCUGUUUCCUGAGUUUUUCUAUGGGUUCUGCUCCAGUUAUCCCCCCUCUGUUCGUCCCCUUGCCUCUGCUCUGCUCUGCCUUUUAUAGAGCCCGAGCACGCAGAAAAAACCCGUUCCUCUGUUCAUCAAUCCAUGAGCGGGAUCAUGGGCAAGAAAUCAUGGUGUCGUGGUCCACGAUUUGCUGCAAAUUUCCUGUUAAAACGGCUUUUUCCGCUCAAACGUGGGAGACGAUGAACAAUGCUUCCAAAACGGUGCCGUUGUGUCCUUGGGCAUGGCUUUUUUUAAUUUAGUCCCUAAACAGUUUAAACUUAACAAUUGGGAUCCUAAUCAGAAACAAUUGAUUUCUAAUUGUGCCCUUGGAUUAAAUUUAAUUGAAUCCUUGAGUUAUAACGCCAUUUACACAACAGUCCUAGAUGUUUGGACUAUUCAAUUUGGUCCUUGGACUUUAAUUUUCUAGCAAUUUUUCCUUGAAUCAGCUCUAAACUUUGAUAUUCUUUCAAUUACACCCCUGAUUCCUUUAAUUAAUUAAAUCAAAGUUUAAUUAAGUCCUUAAACUCAUUAAUUCUUCAAUUAAACUCUUGAUUUCAUUAAUUAAAAUAAUCUGAAUUUUAAUUAAAUCAAUUCUCCAAUUAAACCCUUGAUUUAAUUAAUUAAAAAGAGUUUAAUUAAAUCUUUAAACUUCCAAUCAUGCUGCCCUUAACCUAAAUUUUAAUUCAUUCUUCAUUUAUUUUAUUUUUAUUUGUUUUUUCAUCAUUUUUUAAAUAAAAAUAAUUAAAAUAAAAAGGUUAAAAAUUGGGUUAUGACAGUUGCCCCCUCUUUAUAAUAUUUACCUUGCAAAGAUAUUUAGAAAAUUUCAUUUUCUUUUAGCUUUGUGUAGUAAAUUUAUAAAGAAAAGUAGAUAAAGAAGUUUUUUUUUUUUUUUUUUUUUGCUUUUUUAGUUUGAAAACUUCAAAAACAGUAGAUUGACAUAAGAUUUUAACAGAGAGAACAAAUCAUUUGGAAGACGGUCCAUUUUUUUGUUGUUUUUUUUUUGUUCGAAAUGGAUCAAAUUGUUUUGGGCAACCUGCCCAAUGAUAAAAGAAACGCGAAGAAUUUCGCGAGUGGUCUAAUUGUUCCAGGCGACCUGCCCAAUGAUUGAAAAAUACGAGAAAUUUUUUUGUGAUGGUAUAUUGUAAUGGGUUAUCGGCCCAGAUGGUCACAUUGUAAUGGGUUACCUGCCCAGUAUAAGAUGGUAUGUUGUAAUGGGUUACCCGCCCAAAUGGUAACAUUGUAAUGGGUUACCUGCCCAGUAUAGGAUGGUAUAUUGUAAUGGGUUACCGACCCAGUUGGUCACAUUGUAAUGGGUUACCUGCCCAGAUGGUCACAUUGUAAUGGGUUACCUGCCCAGUGGAUGGUAUAUUGUAAUGGGUUACCGACCCAGUUGGUCACAUUGUAAUGGGUUACCUGCUCAGGUGGUCACAUUGUAAUGGGUUACCGGCCCAGUUGGUCACAUUGUAAUGGGUUACCUGCCCAGUGGAUGGUAUAUUGUAAUGGGUUAUCGACCCAAUUGGUCACAUUGUAAUGGGUUACCUGCCCAGAUGAUCACAUUGUAAUGGGUUACCUGCCCAGUGGAUGGUAUAUUGUAAUGGGUUACCGACCCAGUUGGUCACAUUGUAAUGGGUUACCUGCCCAGGUGGUCACAUUGUAAUGGGUUACCGGCCCAGUUGGUCACAUUGUAAUGGGUUACCUGCCUAGUGGAUGGUAUAUUGUAAUGGGUUAUCGACCCAGUUGGUCACAUUGUAAUGGGUUACCUGCCCAGUAUAGGAUGGUAUAUUGUAAUGGGCUACCGGCCCAGAUGGUCACAUUGUAAUGAGUUACCUGCCCAGUAUAGGAUGGUAUAUUGUAAUGGGCUACCGGCCCAGAUGGUCGCAUUGUAAUGGGUUACCGGCCCAGUUGGUCGCAUUGUAAUGGGUUACCUGCCCAGUUGGUCGCAUUGUAAUGGGUUACCUGCCCAGUGGAAGAAUACGAGGAUUUUUUUUUUUAAGACAUGGUAAGGCUCGAAGGCGCUUUUAUUCAAUAGAUGGAAGCUCAAAGGAAAUGAGGGCUCGAAGACGCACUCAAAAGGAGGUAGGAUAGGAAAUGCACUACCUUUGAUGGUCGAGGGCUCGAAGGCGCGCUCGAAAAGAAACAAGACGAGGGCUCGAAGGCACACUCGAAUGGGGAUAAGACGAGGGCUUGAAGGCGCGCUCGAAUGGAGAAUGAAAGGUGGUGGGAAAAUACAUAUAUUUUUCAAGUGGCCUAAUUUUCAUGGGCGGCUUGCCCAGGUUGAAAAAUUCUCAAAAGUGAAAAUUUUUCAAAAGCAAUUUCAAUGUUCGCCAUUUCAAGUUGGCCUUCCGCUUGAUGGAUUCUGUUAGAAUUUUCUCUAAUAAAAUUUGCAAAACUCAUUGUCCAAUGUCUCAAAGUUUAAAUGAUAUGCAUGCACCUGAUUUGAAAUAUAGGCCCCCCAUUUCUUCUUAGCCUUCUCGUUGCUUGGUUGGUGAGAUCUUGCUAUCUGAUUUGAGUCAUCUUUGUCGUUUGGCUUUCUAGCCCACUCGAGUUAGCCCAUAUAAGACUUUUUCUAGAUUUGUUUGCACAACUCAGCCUUUAUGGUACCCAUCGUGACCCACAUGCUUGCUAAAGAUUUUCGGACUCGUCAAAUAAUUUGAGAGGAUCAUUCAUUACCCCUCGUCUCAAUGCUAAAAACAUUCGGUGUCACUAGCUGAAAGGAUCAAACGGUCUUUUGUAAACCAAAAUGCCCCCUUGUCUUGUUGUAAGGGAUGAUAGAUUUUCCUUAAACAUAAUGUUGUCCCCUUGUACUGGUCAUUGCCCCCAAGUGCGCUAUGUCACUGACUUAGAUGAAUAAUGAUUUUAAGAGGCCAUUCUCUCAUUUGGUGAAGGAAUAUGAGUCUAGAAUAAAUCUUGAAAUCUUGAUCUUGCAUUUUAAAAACAAAAAUUAUUUCGAUGUGAGUCUAAAAUAAUUUGUUUUUGAAAUCUUGCAACUCCUUGGUUAUUUUCUUUCUUGGAAAAGAGAUUAUUUGCUCUUGUGUUUGGUAAUGAGGUCUUUGAGGAAAAUAUGUCAUGAGAUGACCUUUUGUUUCGAAGUGAAGGGCUCGAGAAAAAGCUCGAGGUUUUAUAUGAGAAAAACUUGUCUUUUUUAGCAUUUAUUUUUAUCAGCAUGAAUAAUAAUGAGUAGUUUAUUCUUGAUGUCAUGAAUCUUAUGAAAAAAUAUUCUUUGCAUUUUGAGAGCAUUGUUUAUUGUUCUAAGUUGCUUGCUUGCUUGAUUAGAAAGGACUUCUACAGGCAUGUAACGUAGGCUGUGUUUUUUAUUUUUUUGCUAUGAAAGAAAAGGAUUCAUAAGGCUCAAAGAGUGUUUCAGGGUUUCAAAGAUUGAAGAUCACGAUCAACAGUUUGACUCUUGAUGUCAUUCAUAUUUUCUUUUGCCGCUCUUCUUUGAUUUGCCCCUUUUUUUUUAUAGCUUUGCUAGAGCAUACUCACUUUAUCUUGGUUAUCAUUUUUUUCUUGUGAUUUGGGUAUGCCCCCUAGCAUUUGAGUUUCUUGGGCUCUUUAUGCCUUUUUGGCUUUCUCACGGCUUUUUCUCAUUUCACAUUGAAAUUUUCUCUUGCCCCCCAGUGUAGGGUGUGAUCUUAGUCAGGAUUUUUAAUGAAAGAAAAAUUAUUCAGGCUCAAAAAGGGAUCGCAAGGGAUGUACUUAUUUUAGAAAGUGAAAGGAAUAACAAAGAUGGCCUUUCCUCAUUUUAAGCGCAAGCAGUUAAGAUCAAUAAACUUUGACCUCAUCUAGUGUGAUGGUUUGGUCUUUGCAAAGAUGCAUUUCAUAAAUCAUGAGCAACGAAUUCUCUACAUACCAUUAUUCAUACAUUUAAAAACACAUGAUUCAAGAGUCAUGGGGUAAGUGUCUUUCUUUUUCUUUUUCAUAAUUUUUAUGGUUUAUAAUUUAGUCACCUCAAUGAUGAAGCUGCUUGAUUCACUUGUCAUUCUACAAGUAGAAUGUGAAAAAUAUCAUUUUUGAAUGAACAUCAAAUUAUUUUUGAAAUCAAAAUACCAGAUCAAAUUUUCAAAACUCCAAUAGGGAAAUGGAUUUUGGUACAAGAGAUGAAUUGCGUCUAUGAGAUCACGUAAGGCUUCAAAGGUGGAUUCGUGAGUUCUUAUAAGAAAAACUCUCUUAAUCAGAAUAAUGCUUGGUCGUGAACACGAUUGAAUGACAAACUCAAUAUUUCAUUGAAGCUUAGGAAAAGAAGUUCAACAACAAAGAUCUUAUGCCAACAUGAAUACUGGCAUGAUAACACAUAAAGGAGCUAAACAUUUAGUGAUCAUUCUCGACCUAAUAUCACCAUAGCUUUCUCUUCAAGGUAGUUGAUUUCUAGGAGUCGGCGUAAAGAAAUUAACCAUAGGAACAGUAAGAGCCUUGGCCACCCCCUUCAGUGUCCUUUCCUUUUUCGGUGAAACCGUUCUUUUCAGUUGGAUCAGCAAUUUUACCUAACCCAAUGGCUUGUUCAAUCCUCUCAGCUACAACAACCAGGUCAGUGAAAUGUUGUGCAGAGCUUCUAACCAAGUAUUCAAAGUACGGAGCUUUAAAGGUGUUGGAAAAUAAACUGAUCAUCUCUUUUUCCAACAUGGGAGGAUUAACUUGUGCAGCUACCUCACUCCAUCUCCGGGCGUAUUCCCUUAUGGACUCCUUGUUGUCCUUCUCCAUAGCUUGCAAGCUUAACCGAUCAGGGCCCACGUCUAUAUUGAACUUAUAUUGCCUCAUAAAGGCAUCCACUAAAUCCUUCCAUUUUUUAACCUUGGUAUUGUCCAACCGCAUAUACCAAGUGAGGGCAACAUUACUCAGACUGUCUUGAAAGAAAUGAAUCAGCAGUUUCUCAUUAUCAACCACCUCAGCCAUUUUGUUGCAGUAUGCUUUGAGAUGAGUUAUAGGACAUUGAGUUCCCGUAUAUUUAACAAAUUCGGGCACUCUAAACUUUUUAGGAAUGACAACGUUGGGCACCAAACACAUCUCAACAGCCCUUAUAGGAUCAUAUAGGUGAAUUCUCUCAAAUGCCCUCAUCCUUUGCUCUAGGGCAAUGAAUUUGUUCAGAUCAUCUUCUUUUACCACCUUGCCUUUUUGAUAUUCCUUCUCUAUAGAAUCAAUGGUGGACAAAACUCUCGCAGGGUAUGCUGGCUGGAAAUGCAUAGGUUGUUGAAAUUCAGAUGACACCCUAUUUGCCCCCAGAUUCUGUGGAUCGAAAUGAGUUACAUGCAUAUCUUCAGGCUGAGCUAUAAGUGUUGCUUUUCCGGAUUUAUUUCUCAAGACCUGCUCGAGUAGACUAGUAAUCCUUGUGACUUCUUCCUUAAGAUUGUCCACCUCUUUUUGAUGUUGGGCUUCCAACUGGGCUCUUUCUUCGUUUUCCAUUUGUCUUUUUCUCGAACGAGUGUUAUACAUGGGUUUCAAUGGGGAACCUAUAUUUCAACCUGUUAAAUGUAAAUCAUGCAAUUAUGCAAAAAUGCUGAAGCAAUUAGAAAAAAUGCAAAUGAAAUGCGGACUUGCCCUUUUACGGGAUGACAACCUAAUAAACAGAUCCUAAUUGUUGAGUGCAUCAAAGGGUUGGUCAUUAUCUAGUUUUAAAGGGUCUCUCGCACGCUCAGUGAUCGUCCAUGAAAGGUCGAUAUGAGGCUUACAAGUAGUGUGAAGAUAGAGGCCCUAAGUAAUAUCAGUUUGGCAUAUCAACCACUUCCAAGUAAACAAUCAAGCGAGAGUUGGAUGGUUUCACGAGUCUUACCCAGGCUAAAGCCAUUGGGGUACCGUUACUCCCCCCAUUUAUCCUAGAUUUUAAGGUAUGUGCUUUUAACGUGAUGCAUGACAAUAUAAACAUAGAUGCAUGCUAAAGCAGUAAAUGCAAGAAAAAUAAACAAAUAAACACAACAUAACAAAUAUUAUAGCAAUUGACAAACAAAAGGCAAAGCUUAGUCCAUUAUUCCCCAGUGGAGUCGCCAUUCUGUCGCACCCGACAUCGCGGCGGCCUUAAAAAAAAAAAUCAGGUAUAUUGCGGAAAAAGAACAGAUUUCUGGCAUCUUGUUCUUUUAGGAAAAAUGUCUUGUUUAAGGAGUCGCCACCUAGUAUUAUGGUCACUAGGAACCCUAACUGGUCAACAGAGAUUCUAUGGUACGGGACUGGUUACGUAAAAGGGAAGAUAUUAUCACCCCUUAAACGUUCUGCCUAAGGCAGACUGCAUUGCUGGUUUUGUCUUAAAUUGCUAAACAUUUAUUCGCUUAUGCUAUGAUGAUUUGUUUAUAAUAUUCCUGACUCUGACGCCAGUGAAUAUUCGAUCGCGAAUAAUUCCAACUCUGGCGUUGGUAAAAAUUCCACCCGAAUAAUUCCAACUCUGGCGUUGGUAAAAAUUCUACUACAAAUAAUUCCAACUCUGGCGUUGGUAAAAAUUCAUAGCCACCAAAAAUAAAUUCAGAUUAAUAUUUUUUUAUUCCUGACUCUAACGCUAGUGAAUAAACAAAUAAACUAAAUUUAUGCAUUCACAUAUUUUUUUAUUUUUUAUGUAGUUAAAUAAAAAAAACAAAGAGAAUAAUUAAAUAAGUAUUUUUAUUUUUGACUCUGAAAUCAGUAAAUAAAAAUAAAUUUAUUUUUCAUACAUGCACGUAUAUUUUUUUGCUAAAUAAAAAAAAUAUACGAAUAAAAAUAAUAUAAACUUAAACUAAUAUUUUAUUCCCGACUCUGGCGUGGGUGAAUAAACUAGUAAAUUUAUAUUAUUUUUAUUCAUGCACACACAUAUUUUUUUAUUUUUUUAUUUUUUAUUUUCUUAUUUUUUUUAUAUAUAUAUUUGUUUUUUGCUGGGCCUAGCUCAGCCCACAUGGGCUGGGCCCAGCCCAGCCCAGCCCAGCCCAGUCACUGGCCCAAGCCAGUGACCCGGCUGGGCAACAUGAAGCACGCGUGAACUAAAUCACGCGUGCAUUAGCAGAUAAAGGAAUUAAUUGAGAGUGUACAGUAGGAAGUGAAUUAAAAUGAAAAACGGUGAAAGGUGAAAGAGAAACUUACUUACCUGGCUCUGGAUACAACGAAGGCAGCAGCAACAAUGGUUCUGGUCACGGUGGCUUUCCUCUGCUUAUGUUCGUCCCCUGUUUAUUGGCUUGUUCGUCCCCUGUUCUUGUUUCCAGUCGCUCUCCUUUUGUUUCCUUGCUCUCGUUCUCUGUCUUCUGCGUUUGUUUUUCUUCUGUGUUUCCCUGGUUCUCUUUUUGUUCACCUUAUCUUCUCUGCUUUUCCUUUUUUUUCGUCUGUGUCUGUCCCUUCUCUCUCGGUCUGUUUUUUCUUUUUUUUUCUCUUGCUCUCACAUGCUCUGUCUUUCUCUGUUUUUUUCUGUUCUUGGCUCUGUUUUGGGUUGAUUUUUCUUGUGCAGGGAUGAAGAUGAUGGCGGGGUUGAUCUCUGAUUCCUUUCUGCCUUUCUCCCCUUCUCCCUGGGUAUUUCUUUUUGUGUUUGUGCUCUGUUUUGCUCUGCUUGUUUCCUCACUGAUUUCCGGUUCUUGCUUUUUCCAAUCUUCCCCCUCGUUUUAGUCCAAUUCAUCCCCUGUUUCCAGUGUUCUUUUUCCUGCGUUUUGCUCGGUUCCCCUCCUCCGGUUUGUUCGGUUCUUUGUCCAGCCCCGUUGUUCCCCUGUUUCCUGAGUUUUUCUAUGGGUUCUGCUCCAGUUAUCCCCCCUCUGUUCGUCCCCUUGCCUCUGCUCUGCUCUGCCUUUUAUAGAGCCCGAGCACGCAGAAAAAACCCGUUCCUCUGUUCAUCAAUCCAUGAGCGGGAUCAUGGGCAAGAAAUCAUGGUGUCGUGGUCCACGAUUUGCUGCAAAUUUCCUGUUAAAACGGCUUUUUCCGCUCAAACGUGGGAGACGAUGAACAAUGCUUCCAAAACGGUGCCGUUGUGUCCUUGGGCAUGGCUUUUUUUAAUUUAGUCCCUAAACAGUUUAAACUUAACAAUUGGGAUCCUAAUCAGAAACAAUUGAUUUCUAAUUGUGCCCUUGGAUUAAAUUUAAUUGAAUCCUUGAGUUAUAACGCCAUUUACACAACAGUCCUAGAUGUUUGGACUAUUCAAUUUGGUCCUUGGACUUUAAUUUUCUAGCAAUUUUUCCUUGAAUCAGCUCUAAACUUUGAUAUUCUUUCAAUUACACCCCUGAUUCCUUUAAUUAAUUAAAUCAAAGUUUAAUUAAGUCCUUAAACUCAUUAAUUCUUCAAUUAAACUCUUGAUUUCAUUAAUUAAAACAAUCUGAAUUUUAAUUAAAUCAAUUCUCCAAUUAAACCCUUGAUUUAAUUAAUUAAAAAGAGUUUAAUUAAAUCUUUAAACUUCCAAUCAUGCUGCCCUUAACCUAAAUUUUAAUUCAUUCUUCAUUUAUUUUAUUUUUAUUUGUUUUUUCAUCAUUUUUUUAAAUAAAAAUAAUUAAAAUAAAAAGGUUAAAAAUUGGGUUAUGACAAUUUACAAAAGAAAUUUCCUAGUACUUUCUACUGUAUAUAAUUUGAAAAAUUGUGACUGACCAACUUACUUGCAAAGUAUUGGCAAGAAAGUUAAAGAAUUAGAGUUUUUAAAUAUUUAAAAUUAUAAUUUUAAAUUCUAAGAAAAAAAUCAAUUAUUUUUAAAAUUGUUUUCAAAAAUAAAAGCAUCAACUAUUUAUAUAAUAGCUAAAUGAAUCUAUUAAAAUAAAUAAAAAAAUAACUAGUAAAAUCAAGUGAAUAAUCCAAAAAUAACAAGAAAAUAGAGAUAUUUCCUAAAUAUGAUUCCAGUUUGUAUUUGCUAACAUAAAUAGCAUACAUGAACUUUAUUAUAAUAGUAUAUUUGAUAUUUAAAUAAAAACUUAUAGAUAUUAUAUGGGUUGGAAACCCAUUUUUUAUUAAAUUUUAAAUUUUAUAUGUUUAAAAAUAUUUUUUUAUAUUUUUUAAUUAUUUUAAUGUGAUAAUAUUAAAAAUAAAUAAAUAAAAUUUUUCUAACUUUUACUACUUCUGACUUGCUUUGACUCGAAAUUCGCGGUGCUUUCUCCUGCAAAUGAAUAGAAAGCAUAUCAUUUCUCCUCCUCCUAUAUGAAGAAUACAACUCGCUUUGAAACCUCAAUUAAAUUUCCUUGGUUUACUCUUCAGAUUACUUCUCCUAAACUCCUUUGUUCAUUUUCUUUUUUAUUACCCCUUCAUGCCAAUUGUUAGAUACUAAAAACAGCAAGAACUGUACUCAAUUAGCAAAAAAUAGAUUUUUGACUAGAAAAAUUCUAUCAAAUUCUCUACUUUAUUAGUGUUCAUUUUCAUUCUUUUUUAACAUAUCUUUUCCAAUUGUUUAGAAAACUUUUAUGUCAAUCAAUAUACACCUACUUUCAACGUUUUACACUGCUUUAGUCCUAAAAAAUAAUUCUAGAUAUAGUUGUAUUGUAAUAGAUAUUAUAUUUCAAACUAUUUUUGAAAUAUAUUAAAGUAAUAUAUUUUUUUAAAAAAAUAAUUUUAACAUCGCUACAUUAUAAUAAUAAAAAUAAUAAUUUAAAACAAUAAAAAAAUUUAAAAUAUUUUUAAAAUAUGAUUUUACUGCACUCCAAAACAUACCAUCCUCCCUCAGCAACCACCACGAAAUUACCACUCUAAAAACUCUUUGACAAUUAUUGCUUGCUCUUUGACUAUUAUUGCUUGGCUAAUGAUUUGCAAGAAACUUUCUCAAUUUCCUUCUAUUUUCUUUUUAUCAUGGAAACUUUAAGUCACAUCUACGCCUACCACGAACUACCAAUAAGUAAAUUUCAAUAUGUAAUUGUGUAGGUUGAAUUAAAAGUGCUUUAAUGAAGUAUGUUAAAAAAUAAUAUAAAUUAUAUUUUAGAUUUUAUUUUAAUAAUUUAAAUUUCUAGAUGAAUAGAUUUUUUACAAAUAAAAGAUAUAGUUUUACGAUAAAAUGCAUUUUUUGAAAUGAAAUUAUAUUAAAUUAAACAUGCUCGAGAUUGUUUGAAUUAUUAAUUAAUUAUAAUUAACUUUAUGUUUUUUGAGGAAACAAAUGGGAAGGACAAAAUUAUCUACCCCAAACGAUAGACCUAGCCCACUUUUCAAACCAAUCCCCAAAUAAAUAGAAUGAUGGUCUCAUAAGUUGCUUUUUUUCUUUCUAGGCCGCCAAGCAGUUUGGUCUCCCUCACUAGACCACUUUAGCACAAGAAUCACACUAGAGGAUUUAAAAGUAGUUUGAAGUAUCAUUAAACCUGAUAAAAAUGAAUAACUGAUAAUAAUAUAGUUGGGAUUUUAAAAAAAAAUUCAUAAAAAACUAUAUAAAAAGCAAUUUAAAACCAAUUAAUCUUAAAAACACCAAAAUGAAACAUGCCAUGAAAAACAAAUUAAAAAAAAACAAAAUACUUGAAAAAAAUUAAUUCAACCCUUUUUCAUAUAAAAAAAAGUAAUUGGGUAUUAAUUUACGGUAAAAAGAGUAUAUUAAUGCAAAAAAAAAAAAAAAGAGUUUGAGGGUAUUGAUUUUAUUACUUGUUAGGUAACUAUGUAAUCUAAUCUGUUGAUGUGGAAAAUAGCACUAAGUUUUUGGCAUUGCCCAUUGGUGAGAAGCAAAAGCAGUAGCAGUCCAUCAGGACCAUCACUAUCGUAUCGCUUCGCCGUACUGUUUAGCUUCUUGGCAUUGUUCGAAGGAACGCAGAAAUACAUUCCAAGUGCGAAAGUGUAUUAUUGUCAUAAAGUUUUUCAAACCUCCACUAUAGAGAGAGAAAUAAAUAAAAAGCGCAAAGGCAACUAUACUAAAGGUCAGUUUUUCACUCUCUGAAAAAUCCUUAAAAAAUCUUUUUUAGUUUAUUUGUAAUUAAAUUAAAGAAAAAUAUUAAUUAGUAAUUUUACAUUUUUUUCUAUACUAUAAUUAUCAAAUAACCCUUAAAAAAUUUCAUUUUAACCUUUAUUCUCUCUUCUUCUUUUUCAAUUCAUUUGUUAAUUUGAUUUUUUUUUAAUUUUGCUUUUUGAUUCAAAAUUUUAGUUUAUCCUCUCAAUUUUUUUUCAAAUAAUGUUCUUAUUCUCUUAAUUGCUAUUUUUUUAUCCUUUAAUUUUUUUAUUUUAUUAUUCGACAAUUCAUUAAUUGGAUCUGAUCUCAUUGGUUUUUUCUAUUGUUUCUAAACCCUACCCAAUAAUCAAUCCAGGAUAAUUAUCGAGUUACGAGUCGAGUGGGUUGACUCGAGUGAACCCAGACAACCAAAUCCUUUUGUUUUAUAAAAAGCCAAAAUGAUACCAAUUUUUUAUUUUUAAAAAAUAAUAAACGAGUUUUGACCCUGUUUCGGCUAGAUUUUCUUAGGAUUAACUAAAACAUUUAUCAACCCAAGUUUUUUAUUGUAUUACAUUAGAUUAAUUCUCUCUCAAUUAUUUUUGAAACUCGUGCGUUUUAAACCAAAGGUCACAUGGGACACAAUUUCUUUGUGCUUUGUACUGUACAUAAUUUGAAAAACUGUGAUUAACCGACUUACUUGCAAACGAAGCUAAAGAAAAAAAUCAAUUAUUUUUUUUUAAAUUCAAAAAUAAAACAUCAACUAUUUAUAUAAUAGCUAAAUGAAUCUAUUAAAAUAAAUAAAAAAUAACUAGUAAAAUCAAGUAAAUAAUUCAAAAAUAACAAAAAAAAAUAGAGAUAUAUUUUUUAAAAACUUUUAUCUUAUAUGGGUAGGGGUUGCCAUGCAACUUAACCGGGAUCACCAUGAUUGUCGAGUAAAGUAAAUAAAUUACUUAACCGGGAUCACCAGAGGAGUUAUUUGCCAAGAUUGAGUUAUAUAACAGUUUAUAAAUCAUGCUAUCAUCUCCAUCACCAUAUAUAAAGCUAGACAAAAUAGGAUAAGAGGGGAUUAAAUUUAGUUUUAGAAUAUAUUUGAGAAUAUAGUUGAACCAUGUUUUUUAAAAUGUUUUUAAAUUGUUUUAAUAUGCUGAUGUUAAAAAUAAAUUUUAAAAAUUAUUAUUUUAAUAUAUUUAUAAUUAAAAAAUAUUUUAAAAAGUAAUUUUCAUCACAUUCUCAAAUUAGUUAAAGUUUUUCAAAUGAAUAGAUUCAUGUCGAUGACACUCUCUAGUCAGUUUUGAGAAUUUUAAAUCCAAACAAGUGAAUUUAUAUUAUAUAUGGAUCAAACAAGCAUGCUUGUACAAUAAUUUCUCAUACUCAAUAGAAAUUUGGGUUUAUCAUUAGGGUAAGACAAACCGAAUAAUUCUUUUAAUAUUUAAAAAUUAAAAAAUACUGUGUAGCUGUUUUGUAUAAAUUGUAAAAUUGAGUCUUUUGUGCUUGGUAAAAUACGUCACAAUAAAGUCAAUAAAUAAUAACACAAGAAAGGAUCAAAGUUAAUAAAUAAUAGCAUGCUUUAAUAGAUUGUUACAGUAAAAGCACAGAGAGAAGAACGGUUCAAGACAGAACAAUAAAGUUAACGCGUGGACUCAUUUGUUGCAACCAGCACGAAACUCCAGCUCAAUUAUAUGUUAAAAAAUAAUAAAGUAUGUUUUAAUAGCAUGCUUUAAUAGAUUUAAUAAAGUAUGUUAAAAAAUAAUAUAAAUUAUAUUUUAGAGUUUAUUUUAAUAAUUUAAAUUUAUAGAUGAAUAGAUUUUUUACAAAUAAAAGAUAUAGUUUUACGAUAAAAUGCAUUUUUUGAAAUGAAAUUAUAUUAAAUUAAACAUGCUCGAGAUUGUUUGAAUUAUUAAUUAAUUAUAAUAAACUUUAUGUUUUUAGAGGAAACAAAUGGGAAGGACAAAAUUAUCUACCCCAAACGAUAGACCUAGCCCACUUUUCAAACCAAUCCCCUGGUAAAUAGAAUGAUGGUCCCAUAAGUUGCUUUUUUUCUUUCCAGGCCGCCAAGCAGUUUGGUCUCCCUCACUAGACCACUUUAGCACAAGAAUCACACUAGAGGAUUUAAAAGUAGUUUGAAGUAUCAUUAAACCUGAUAAAAAUAAAUAACUGAUAAUAAUAUAGUUGAGAUUUAAAAAACAAUUCAUAAAAAAACUAUAUAAAAAGCAAUUUAAAACCAAUUAAUCUUAAAAGCACCAAAAUGAAACAUGCCAUGAAAAACAAAUAAAAAAUAAAAAAAAUACUUGAAAAAAAUUAAUUCAACCCUUUUUUCAUAUAAAUAAAGUAAUUGGGUAUUAAUUUACGGUAAAAAGAGUAUAUUAAUGCAAAAAAAAAAAGAGUUUGAGGGUAUUGAUUUUAUAUUUUUUAUUAACGUGGGUGUCCGAGUCAGUUUACAUGCACCUCGACUAAUUCUACGGGUCCUGAAGCUAACUACCAUGUAAGUCUCCAGUGGUCCUGAGAUUUAUGAGACUCGAACUGGUAAUCUUUAGGAAGCAAACUCAGGAGCUAGUCAGUUAAGUUACCCUGAGGAUUGGAUCUAGAUUUUAUUAAGAAAAAAACCGGUCGAUCCACCGAGUCAAUCUGGAACCCGGGUGACCCGACAAAACCCGGUAGAAACUUUUUUUUUUCAAAUGUGUUUUUUCUUCUAGCUAGAGAUUCAUCUUUUUUCAUACAUGAAAAUAAAAAAAAAUAAAAAUUUAAAACAAUAAAAAUUUUAAAAUAUUUUAAAAAUAUAAUUUUAUUGCAAUCCAAAACACACCCAUGCUCCCUCAGCAACCACCACGAAAUUACCACCCUAAAUUCGGGCUCAAUAAUUUAUUCCUUAGCAAUUAUUGCUUGCUCUUUGAAAAUUAUUGCUUGGCUAAUAAUUUGCAAAAAACAAUUGCUUUUUUUCUUUCCAGCCAGCCAAGCAGUUUGGUCUCCCUCACUGGACCACUUUAGCACAAGAGAUGUCGUUAAAAGAGUACCAUAAUGCAAAAAAAAAAAACAAAAAAAGGAGUUUGAGGGUAUUGAUUUUAUUAUUUGUUAGGUAACGAUGUAAUCUAAUGUGUUGAUGUGGAAAAUAGCACAAAGUUUUUGGCAUGGCCAUUGAUGAGAAGCAAAAGCAGUAGCAGUCCAUCAGGACUAUCACCAUCCUAUCGCUGACAUUCCAUGUGUGAAAGUGUAUUGUUGUCAUAAAGUUUUUCAAACUUCCAAUAUAGAGAGAGAAAUAAAUAAAUAAAUAAAUAGAAAGCGCAAAGAAAACAAUACGAUAAAUUUAAACUAUACUAAAGGUCAGUUUUUCACUCUGUGUGAAUCUACAGUGAAAGCUUGAUUUUGCACAUGGUAGAUAAAUUUAGGUUUAGGAGUAUAAUUUUUUUUUUUAUAUAAUUACACUAAAGAAGAAUAUUAAUUGGUAAUUUUACAUUUUUUUAUAAUAUAAUUAUCAAAUAACCCUUAAAAAAAUUCCUUUUAGUUUAGGGUUUUUUUUUUCAUCUCAAUUACUUAACUGUCCCUAAAAAAUAAACUCCUUUACUAUGGAUGUAAGGUCAUUUUAGAUUUUUGGCUAUAUUUUUUUUAUUAACGUGAGUGUCUGGAUAGUUUAUACACACCUCGACUAAUCUCAUGGGCCCUGAAGUUAACGAUCAUGUAAGCUUCUAGUGACCCUGAGGUUUGUGGAACUCGAACCAGUGAUCUUGAGGCAACAAACUCAAGGUCUAACCAGUUGAGUUAUACCCCUGAGAAUUGGGUCUAGAUUUUAUUAUUUGUGAGGUAACUAUGUAAUCUAAUCUGUUGAUAUGGAAAAUAGCACAAAGUUUUUGGCAGUCCAUAGUCUUACAGCUAGUACUAAAGUUUUUUUUUUUCUAAAUUAAAGAUGAAUAUUUUUUGUUGGCAUCAAAUAAUUUAAAAUGAGAAUUACAGAGCACAGGGUUUAAUCAAAUAUUAAAAGAGAAGAUUUUGUGGAAUUAUUAGAUAAUUAAAAUCAUCACUAAUCUCCUUUUUUCAUUUUUUUUUAAUUAUUAUUAUCCCUGGCAUGCACGAAACAUUGAAAACCGCAAUUUUUCAUGAUAAAAUCCAAAGGAUUGGUACUUUGGUGUUUGUGGGGCUGGUAAAUGGAAGAACACGUGUUUGUGGGGCUGUUAUUUCAUUCAAGGUGCGUACUUUGGUGUGUAUCACGUGUUUGUUGCAUUGACUGAAUAUGAUAGUGGGAACUUAUUUAUCAAGAAUUAAAGCAGUAGUUGCUUAUGGAUAAUUAGCUCUUCCAUCCAGCAUUAAUUCUAUUAUCAAUUAUAGUUCAGUCAUAAAGUUUUUCAAAGAGAGAAAUAAAAAGGAAAAGGAAAAGGAAACAACCCCCACUCCAUCUUUCCCUUCUUUCCAUGAAAAAAGGAAACACCCCAUAUGAUUUUGAUUUUCAAUCAGUGUGAGUGAGAAAGAAAGAGAGGAUUAAAUUUGAUUUUGAUUUCGAAGAGAGAAUUAAUUAAAUUUAGAAUUAAUUCUAUUAUGUAUUUAAAUGUGUUUAGUUACCUUGUAAACCGUAUGGUAGAGUCCCUCAAAUAUUCUGGCCACAGCAAUAUUUUAGGUGGAUUGUAUGGGGCUUGCAACCACUCUAUUAUGCCAAGCAAUAUUUUGUCAUAGAACCCUUUGGCCCUCUAAAUUACCCAAAAAGGACAAUAAUUGAGCACAAGUGGUACAGGUCAGGGUUAAACUCAGCUUGCUAGAGCCAGUUCUCAAUUUUAGGCACCAGUUCUCAAUUGAAUUUUAGCAAAAUCAAGGAUUCAAGAAUUGGCCUCUGUAACAUGGUUUGUAUUCUGAGCCAAUCUGGGCUAGGAUUUGAAACAAAUGUAGCUAUUUUUUCUCCUUUUAUUAUUAAAAAAUAUAUUCAUGGAUUAAUUUUCGUAUAAUUUAAGAAAGUAAGUCCUUUAAUCAAAUUUUAGAUGUGGCCAUCCUCAAUGUGUUAAAAGUAAAUGUUAAUUACCAAGUUGUUGCAAAAAGACAUUCCCUUUCUUGUCAUAAAGUUUUAAAGAGCUAUCAAAAACGUACUUCGUGUAUUAUUGUCGUAAAGUUUUUCAAGCUUCCAAUAUAGAAAGAGAAAUAAAAAGGAAAAGGAAAAGGAAAAGGAAACAACAAGGAAUCUUUCUUGUGCGCUUUCCCUUCUUCACAUGGCUUCCUCGAUCGAUGUAAAAAAGCAAACGCCCCAUUUGAUUUUCAAUCAGUAUGAGUGAGAAAGAAUGAGAGUCCUCUCUUUCCUUGCUUUUUUUAACGCGUGGACCCAGCAGUGGUUGCCACCAAAAUCCUUCCUCAAUAUUUACCAGUACUACACGCUUGAGAAAUUUCCUUGCUUUUUUUCCUCUACGUACUGUUACCUUUUACCAGAUUUCCCAGAAUAGCCCCUUCGUGGGCUACUUUAUUCUUCACGGGUUCUUCUAUUGCCAGAUUCUCUCAUGCAAUUAAGUUUUUCUUUCCGUUUCCAAAUUUGAUAGCCCCAAAACCUCAUCAUUGAGUAGGUUUUGUUUUAGUUUAAGCGUGAUGGAGACGACACUAAAAAUAACAACAACAAAAAAACAGUUUUGGUGUAAAUAUCAAUGGAAGGUUUGGGUGCAGUCCUGUUUGUUUUUGUAUUUUAAAAAUAUUUUUAAAAAAAUUAAAUUUUUUUUAUUUUUUUACUUCAAAUUCAUAUAUUUUUUAGCCAUUUUAGAUCAUUUUGAUGCGCUAAUAUCAAAAUAAUUUUUAAAAAAUAAAAAAAAUAUUAUUUUAAUAUAUUUUAAAAUAAAAAACACUUUAAAAAUAACUCCAACAAUAAUCUCAAAUAUUCUUUAAAGACACAAUUUAAGUCACCGUAGGGUCAAAUAGGUCAGGCACUGUGCUGCAUGGUUAUUACUACUUUUUAGCCUUUUUUUUUUAUAUAUAUAUAUAUAAACAUCUUUUAUUUUUCUUAUCGGUUUCUCUGUUUCUCAUUAGCUUUAUGACACCAAUUAACAAUAAUCAAAUUUAAAAAAUAAUUAAUUUGUCCUUUUAAAAAAUAAUAUUUAAUCCUUAUGUUUUAAUAUAAAGUUAAACAUGUGGCAGUAGAAAUGAAGAAGAUGCCACACCACUUAAGGGCCCAAAGCCAAAUUUAAAAACAGGACCAUCAAACACGUGUUAACCUCUCAAGAUAAAGGAUGCAAAACUUGGAACAAAAUGAAAAAAGUGCAAUGCUGAUGAGUUCAUCAAACCAUGACCGUUCCAGGUGAAAUACAAAGUUUAGAUCAGUGCUUGUCAGUUGUGUGUUGAACUGAGAAAGAAUAAUUUGAUUGUCAUUUCAGUACAAAAGUAAGAGCAGAAGAGGCUUUUAUAUAUAUAUAUAGCCUAUACAGAGACUAAUAAGGAAAAACUCAUUACACUAAUCUAGUAAAUAAUCAUGGACGAUUUACAAUCAAGUAAGGCUAAUUAGGAAACUAAAUAUUCUAUGAUUCCUAUUCUGUGAUUUCCAUAUUUAUUCUUCACGUUAACACUCCCCCUCAAGUUGGUGCAUAGAUAUCAGCAAUGCCCAUCUUGUCAAGUGAUUUAUGAAAGAUUUUGCCCGAGACAGCCUUUGUAAGUAUAUCUGCUAGCUGAUCUUCUGAUUUUACAAAUGGAAAUUGAAUCACGUUGUCUUCAAGCUUCUGUUUAAUGAAAUGCCGAUCUACCUCAACAUAUUUGGUACGAUCAUGUUGAAUUGGGUUGUGCGCAAUUGCUAUGGCUGCUUUAUUGUCACAAAACAUGUUCAUUGUAUCUUGAGAUGAACAUCCAAUUUCUUCCAUUAAUCUCUUUAACCAAAGUAGCUCACAUAGUCCUUUGGUCAUACCUCUGAAUUCAGCUUCUGCACUUGAUAAAGCAACUACCUUCUGUUUCUUACUUCUCCAAGUGACUAGAUUCCCGCCCACAAAUGUGAAGUAGCCGGAUGUGGAUUUCCUGUCAGUGAUGUUCCCUGCCCAAUCUGCGUCAAUGUAACCAUUGAUGUGCAGAUGUUGAUGUUUCCUGAACAUCAGUCCUCUGCCUGGAGAAGACUUCAGGUAUCGUAAAAUGCGAAUCACAGCACUCAUAUGAUCUUCGCUGGGGUAAUGCAUAAACUGACUUACCAAACUCACGUCAUAUGCAAUGUCUGGUCGAGUAUGAGAUAAGUAUAUUAGUUUUCCCACAAGGCGUUGAUAUCUCUCUUUAUUGGUGGGAGCCUGAUUAGGAAAUUCUCCCAAACCAUGGUUUUGAACUAUUGGUGUAUCAGCUGGUUUGCAGUCAAGCAUUCCUGUUUCAGACAGCAAGUCAAGCACAUAUUUCCUUUGGGAUAGAAAUAUGCCUUGUCUCGAUCGAGCCACUUCAAUCCCCAAAAAAUACUUUAAUCCUCCGAGGUUCUUCAUCUCAAACUCGGUUGCUAACUGCUCUUGUAAUUUUGAGAUUUCUUCUCUGUCGUUUCCUGUAAUUAUCAUAUCAUCAACAUAGAUUAUGAGAGCUGUUACCUUUUCUCGUUGGUGCUUCAAGAAGAGAGUGUGGUCUGAAUUACUUUGCUUGUAACCGUAUCUCCGCAUGGCAAAACUAAAUCGUCCAAACCAUGCUCUCGGGGAUUGUUUUAAGCCAUAUAACACCUUUUGUAGCUUGCAGACCACCUUCCCUUGCAUUAGGGAAGUAAGGUCAGGUGGAACAUCCAUGUACACCUCCUCCUCAAGAUCUCCAUGGAGAAAAGCAUUUUUCACGUUAAAUUGGUGUAGUGGCCAGUCCAAGUUUGCAGCAAGAGAUCAGUACUCUCACAGUAUUUAAUUUCGUUAUCGGUGAGAAGGUUUCUUGAUAAUCUAUCCCAUAUGUCUGAGUAUAUCCCUUUGCCACCAGCCUUGCUUUAUAUCUUUCUACCGAACCAUCUGCUUUGUGUUUGACAGAGAACACUCAUCUACAUCCCACAGUUUUCUUUCCUUCAGGUAGUGGUACGAGGUUCCAAGUAUUAUUUUCCUGCAGUGCUUCCAUUUCUUCAUCUAUUGCUUGAAUCCAUUUAGGAUUAUUCAAAACUUCAUUCACUGUAUUAGGGACAUCUUCUGUAGAUAGUUUAUGCGCCAAUGCCUUGAGGGUUCAGACAGCUUCUGAGUUGAGACAUGGUUGGCAAUUGGGUACUUGGAUUUGCUCAUUCCAUGAUCAGGUGAAUAUCGUUUUGGAGGUUGUCCACAAUUAUGUCUGAAAGGCAAGUUAUAGCCAGCAGAAAUAUUUUGAGAUGAGUUUAGAACUUGUACCUCAUAAAUAUUCUCAGGAGAUUGAACUGAUUGUGGUACUGUCACGGCAUGGAAGGGCUGUUCAUUGGAGACUUCUCCAGUUGCUUCCAUUUGCUCACUAGUUUCUGCACUCUUCUCCACUGUCUCGGUCUCAACGUGCUCAUCAUUUUCUCCUUGUUCCCUCAUUAAUUCUGUCUCUGUAUCAAUAGCAACAUGCGGCUGGAUAAUAUUAUCUGAGAUAUGCUCACUAUCUCCCCCUGCAUUCUUCACUGUACUGUCAGUAAAGCCCGGCCAAUAUUCCCAGGCCUGCUCUGCACUUAGGAGCUCCCCCUGACAAGAGGAGCUAGAAGAUAGGGAAGUGAAUAAAUGCUCAGAUUCAAGGAAGGUAACAUCCAUGGAGGUAUAGAGUCGUUUUGUAGCUGGAUCAUAGCAUUAGUAUCCUUUCUUAUGAGCUGCAUACCCAAGAAAAACACAGCGGACAGCACAAGGGUCGAGCUUGGUUCGUUGGUUUUUGUGUAUAUGAACAUAUACAACACAACCAAAUGUUCUGGGCGGAAGCAUGAGAACUGACGGUAGGAUCACAUGGUGGCCUAGAACUUGAAGCGGGGUCUUAUAGUCCAGAACUCUUAAUGGCAGUCUAUUCAGCAAGUAUACUGCAGUCACCACUGCAUCAGUUCAGAACCGUUUGGGCACAUUAGCAGCUGUCAAGAGAGCUCUAGUGAUCUCCAAGAUAUGUCGGUUUUUACGUUCAGCAACACCAUUCUGUUGUGGCGUUUGUGGACAAGAUGUCUCAUGAUGCAUACCAUGUUCCUGAAAGUAUCGGUGGAAUUGUUUGUUAUCAUAUUCCCCACCAUUAUCGGAUCAUAGAAUCUGUAGUGUUGCAGAAAAUUGUGUUUGAAUCAUAUUAUGGAAUGAGCGAAAUAUGUCAAACACUUUAUAUUUCGUUUUCAUCACAUACAACCAAGUCAUUCGUGUACAAUCGUCAACAAAUGUGACAAACCAGCGAGCUCCAGAAGAGAUAGUAAUCGGGGCAGGGCCCCAAACAUCAGUAUGAACAAUUGCAAAUGGAGUGGCACUCUGAUUUAAACUUAUUGGGUACGAUACACAAUGACUCUUAGCUUUAAUACAAGUUUCACACUGAAAAUCUGCUUCACGAAAUUUCGUGAAUAGUUCUGGAAAUAAACAGCGUAAAUACCGAAAUGAGGGGUGUCCCAACCGAUUAUGCCAUAACCAAAUCUGCUGUUCCUUAUUGUCGACGAUGUGUAUGUUAUUUGCUCGACCACAGCUGAAGUCAUCCAUGUAAUACAACCUUUCCCUCUUAGUACCACGACCAAUAAUCUCCUUGGUGAGAAUAUCCUGAAACAAGCAAAAACUAGGAUACAUUAGUGCACAACAUUGUAAUUCCUCAGUCACUUGUCCUACAGAUAACAACUUAUUGGACAGUGAUGGAACUAGCAGGGUAUGUGGUAAUGAGAAAGAAGGAGAAAGUGCAACUGUUCCAACCCCAGUCACUGGAUAUGUCACUCUAUUAGCAUUAGCAAUGCAUAGCCGUUUUGGUUGAGUGGUGUCAGACAAAUCACAGGGAUCAUACGUCAUGUGGUCUGUUGCUCCAGAGUCAAUAAUCCAGCCAUCAUGAUCAUGUCUUCUCUUCUAAGAGCAAAAAACAUAACCUUGAUUACCUGGGUCAUUCUGAUCAGUCUGUUCUUUAGCCGAGAUAGGAGAUUCUUGUGCAGGUACAAGUGAUAGUGUAGGUUCCAUGCUUAUAAGGGCUGCACGACCAGGAUGUUCACUACGCCUGGCUUCUGGUUUUUUCUUCGCCUUGAGUUCGUGCCACCAAUCUGGAUAACCAUGUAUUUUGAAACAUGUAUCUUUGGUGUGUUUUGUAUUUUCACAGUGUGUGCAACCUGCCCCUUCCCCAUGUGAUUUUGUAACUGGCCUUCCAUUCGCUGGCAUUAGAAAGGAUAAACGAUGUUGAGGUUUCUGUCCUCCCCUUGACAGCAUAGCACCUCCAGAUAUGACUUCUUCAUUUUUCAGCAUCACAGAUUGCCUUAGGUCUUCUCUCCUGACUUGCGCAUAGGCUUGUUCUACUGUUGGAAAUGGCUGCAUCUGGAGCACAUCUGCUCUAAUAUUGUCAAGUCUGUCAUCAAGCCCGUCUAAGAAUAUAUAGACUAUGUCCUCUUGCAAAAGUGAAUUAUAUUUCUGUAUGUCAGUAUUGCACUCCAUAGGGUUUGGAUGCCGGAAAUCAAUUUCUCUCCAUAAUCCCUGCAGAUUGUUGUAAUAUGUUUCAAUAGAUCCUCCUCCCUGUUUCAGCCUAGUAACUCUUUUUUUGAGUGUAUCAGUGCCAUCAAAGUAGGUUGUUGCAAUGUUAUCCCAAACAGCUUUGGCUGUUGAAAAUCUGAUGAAGUUGCUUAUAAGUUUUGGGUUCAUAGAGUUGAUCAGCCAUCCCUUCACCAUUGCAUUUUCAGUUCUCCACUUCCUGAAUGUUGGAUCUGUUUGCAGAGGUUGUGGAAGGUCUCUAUUUAUGUAUCCCAACUUGUCUUUUCUUGAGAUAUACAUGUCAACAAUUUGGACCAUAAUGCAUAAUUGUUGUCAUCUAACUUGAUUCCAAUCGGUGCAGCAGGUUCAUGGCUGGCAAGUUGUGUCAUCCCUGCUGUCAGAUCUGCAAGGAUUGAGUUCUCCCCUUCAUAAGUUUUCACCCCAGCAGAAGGGGUUUCCAUUCUUUUCCAGAAAAAAUUCUAUGGCCCUAGAAUCUCUGUUCUGAUACCAUGUUGAACUGAGAAAGAAUAUAUUUGAUUGUUAUUUCAGUAUAAAAAUAAGAGCAGAAGAGGCUCUUAUAUGUAUAGCCUAUACAGAGACUAAUAAGGAAAAACUCAUUACACUAGUCUAGGAAAUAAUCAUGGACGAUUUACAAUCAAGUAAGGCUAAUUAGAAAACUAAAUAUUCUAUAAUUCCUAUUCUGUGAUUUCCAUAUUUAUUCUUCACGUUAACAUUGUGCGUCCAUGGGAAGAACCUUUCAUUAAGCAGACUUAAAGAUAGAUGCUUCAGUUGUCCAUCACAUUAAUAAUUUAUUUUUUUGUGCUCUAAAACGGACUGGAAUAGAACAGGCAAAAGUUUGUUUCUGAUGAGAAAUAAUUUUUUUAUAUAAUAUCAAAGUUUUAUUAAUUAAGUGAUUAAUUAUAAGUUUAAAUUUUACAAUUUUUAUACUUGUACUAUAUAAUAAAAAUUAAACAUAAAGUAUUGAUGUUACAUGAAAAAAAAGAAGUGAUAAUUGCUUUAUCCGAGGAAUCUUUCAUAGUUGUAUUGCCUAGGCCACAUUGAUUUUUAUCCACAGUCUUACCACUACAUUAUAAUUAUAAACGAAACUAAAUAUAUAUAUAUAUAUAUAUAUAUUAUAGCUCCUUUGUCGCUUUACUGUUCAUGUCACUGCUUAUAGCCAUUGUUGUUUUUCUUGGUCCUUGAAACUUUUACCUAUUUUCGUUUUGGUCACAAAACUAUAUUAUUUUUCUUCAUUUACAUCCUUGCAAGUUCUAUUAACACGGUUCCGUUUGCUGUUAUCUACUUCGAUUUUCAUGUUCUCGCCUGUAUCAUAUAUCUUUAAAUAUUACUACAAUGAAUUAAAAAUCAAUUUUUCUAACCCUCCUACCCAUAAACCGAUCCUUGCCACAGGUUAAUCAUAUAAUCUCAUGCUCUUACCUACAGCUAAGCAUCGGCAGAACCAAAUAGUUGCUAUUAAGGUCAGUUCUCCACGUGCAUGUUCUUCCUUUUCAAGCUAAGCUGUUUUUUAGAAAGCUUCUAAUUUAGUUCAAGUCAAUAAAAGCUUAGCAGGUUGAUACAAAAGUUCAUGGCCAAGUAAAAGAUGUUUAUUUUGGAUGAAAUAAAUAUUCAUAUUGGAACAUAAUAUUCAUCUCUCAAAUCCCUAAUCCAGUUGGUAUAUUCAUGAUAAAAUCCAAAGGAUUGGUACUUUGGUGUUUGUGGGGCUGUUAUUUCAAAUCGCUAGCUUGUAAUUUACUGGAUCUAUUGCAAACAAUUCCCUCAGACGUCUAAAUAUCAAACCAACCAACCACCACCAUGCAUUUACUGAAUAUGAUAGUGGGAACUUAUUUAUCAAGAAUUAAAGCAGUAGUUGCUUAUGGAUAAUUAGCUCUUCCAUACAUUGAAAAACCGCAAUUUUUCAUGAUAAAAUCCAAAGGACUGGUACUUUGGUGUUUGUGGGGCUGGUAAAUGGAAGAACACGUGUUUGUGGGGCUGUUAUUUCAUUCAAGGUGCGUACUUUGGUGUGUAUCACGUGUUUGUUGCAUUGACUGAAUAUGAUAGUGGGAACUUAUUUAUCAAGAAUUAAAGCAGUAGUUGCUUAUGGAUAAUUAGCUCUUCCAUCCAGCAUUAAUUCUAUUAUCAAUUAUAGUUUAGUCAUAAAGUUUUUCGAGGAGAGAAAUAAAAAGGAAAAGGAAAAGGAAACAACCACUCCAUCUUUCCCUUCUUUCCAUGAAAAAAGCAAACACCCCAUUUUGAUUUUGAUUUUCAAUCAGGAUGAGUGAGAAAGAAAGAGAGGACAAGGGGGUAUUCUCUCUCUCUUUCCUUGCUUUUUCUAACGCGUGGACCCAGCAGUUGUUGCCACUUGCCACCAAAUUCCUUCCUCAAUAUUUACCAGUACUACACGCUUGAGAAAUUUCCUUGCUUUUUUUCCUCUUACGUACUGUUACCUUUUACCUUUUAUAAUUAUGAUUAUUGCAUUGCUAAUAAUUUAUUAUUAAUCAUCAAUAUUUAUUCUUGGUCAUCAAUAUUGAAUAAUGGCUUAUUUUCUAUUAUAAACUGUGUUUGAAAUAUAGGUUGAUGUUCUUAAAUAUUUUUUAAUGAUUUUAAUAUGUUGAUAGUAAAAAUAAAAAUAAAAAAACUGGUUUUGUUUUCCAAAAGAAAUUGACAGUCAAUUACUUGUUUACUAUGUUUUUAAGAACCAAAAUAAAUAAAUAAAGUUUUUUCUUUCCGUUUCCAAAUUUGGUAGCCCGAAAACCUCCUCAUCGCUGAGUAGGUUUUGUUUUAGUUUAAACGUGAUGGAGACGAUACUAAAAAUAACAACAAUAUAAAAAAAAUUGGUGUAAAUACCAUUUAUUUUUGCAUUUUAAAAAUAAUUUUUUAAAAAAUUAAAAAUAAAUUUUGUUUUUUAUUUUAAAAUAAUAUUUUUUUAAUAAUUUUAAAUUAUCUUAAUAUACUGAUAUUAAAAAUAAUUUUUAAAAGAUAAAGUUUUUAAAACAUAAAGUUUAGCCUGCAGAUCUUCCGCUGAUCCCAUCUCAUUGUUGUAUGCAUCCAAGCUAAGCCAAUUCAAGAAAGAAGAUUUGAAGAAUACCAGCAGCAGCAGGAGUAAUAAAUUAACAUAACAAACCAUCUAGGUGGUGGCCAGUAAUAAAAGCCUGAGACCAAGAGAUUUGUUUCUUUUGUGGUCUCAGAUUCGAGUUCUGUGAUUGCUCAUAUGAUUAUUACUGGAGGCUUACAUGGUCGUUAACUUCAGGGCCCGUGGGAUUAGUCGAGGUGCGCGCAAGCUGACCCGGACACCCACAUUAAACUAAAAAAAAAAAAUUAACAUAACAACAUUAUGGGAGAAGGAGGGAUGACCUCACUGCAAGGGCGGAGGCAUGUUAAAGGCUUGAGUGCGCUAUAAUUUAGAUCAAAACUUUAUUAAUAUAUUUUGAUUAGUUUUAUGUAAAAAAAUUUGUAAUUCUUGAUUGAAUUAUUAAAAAAAUUUAAAAUUUACCUGUAGCCUUCUAAUAUAAUAUUUUAACUUGGGUUAAAAUUUCAGAAUAUUUUGAGAAAUUCAGAAAUUUGAUGAAAAAUCAUAAUUUAGCCAGUUUUAUGUUAUUGAACGUAAUUUUCAAUCCAAUCAUCAGAUUGAACUGAAAUUUUACGAGGAAUCUUAAAAUAUAUUGAAUAAAAUAUAGUUAAAAUUUUAUGAUGAACAGAGCUUGAUAGUGCUAACAAAAAAAAAACCAUCAAAUAAAAACAAAUCAAGAAUAAAAUGAUUAUUUCCAUUAAAAAGUAAAAUAAAUUAACUCUUCCUUCAUUUUAUACGUUGCCAUCCUUGCAUUAGAGUACACUCCCACAUGCGUUGUGGCAGCGGUUUGCUCUGUUAUUGUUCUCAUUUCUCUUAUUGUUGAAAGAUCCUUGGGAAAGACAUUCCAAGGGUGCAGUGUUUCUUGUUCCCUUUCCCUUCUUUACAUGGCUUCCUCAAUGAAAAAGCAAGCACUAACGCACGUUCUCCACAAACUACCCCCUAUUUCGCCACUAUAUAAAUAUAUUAUGGAAAACAAGAUAAAAAGAAAUCUUUUGGUACAUAUAUAAAUAUAUUAUGGAAAUUAACAUGGUAUCAGAAUAUCUGUGAAGUAUUGCUGGGAAGUCAUAAUUUUUGACACGCCUAAUCACAGACUUUUUUGGGAAAAAAAAAGAAAAAAAGAAGCCAGGCUAUGAAAAUAGGUUUGUGGAAAUUUACAUCAUUUGAUCUUGACAGUAUCAGAUUAGACAAUUGCAUGGAAAUGGUCUUCUUAGUUUGCCGUGUGGAAAAUCAUGUCAUUUACGGGACUGCUGGAGAGAGUGUCUAAUGAUAAUUUUACCUUCUUUUAAAAUCUUUGACACUACUUGCAUUGACUGGAAAUUUCGCUCGAAAAUUUCUAGUAAUUUAUAAAGGAAAUUUCUACUGUAUAUGAAUUGAAAAACUAUUAUUGACUGACUUCUUGCAAAGUAUUCGCAAGAAAGCUAAAGAAUUAAAGUUUUUAAUUUUUAAAAUUAUAAUUUAAAAUUGUAAGAAAAAAAUCAAUUGUUUUAAAAAUAAAAAAUCAACUAUUUAUAUAAUAGCUAAAUCUAUUAAGAUAAAUCGAAAAUAACUAGUAAAAUCAAUGACUUGUAUUGACGAGUGUGUCUAUAUAUACAUAUAGGAACUGCUGAUUCGAUUUGAAUAUGUUAUUUGAUUAGUCUAAUUCAUGAUUUGCAUUGACUCAAAAUUACCACUAGAAAUUCCUAGUUUCGUGGUGCUUUCUCAGCCUGCAAAUGAAUAUAAAGCAUAUCCUUUUAUCCUAUAUAAAGAAUACAAUGAACCUUUUUAUCUUUUAUAAUUAUAAUUAUUGCAUUGCUAAUAAUUUGCACGAAAGAAUAUUCUUUCUCUGAAAAGGCCUUGAGAAAACCCUAAGCAUAGUAUAUAAUCUCUUAUAGGAAUCUCUUUAUUAAAUCAUCAAAAUAUCAAAGUCUGUUUCCAAAGACUAUGACUACAGUUUAUAUAUAGAAACAACCAAAUAUAAAAAUUAUUAUUUUUUAAAUAGAAAAACCAGAGAGCUUGAUAAUAUUUAAUAAAAUAAAAUAAAAUAGAAAAAUUAUUCCUUUUUAGGUAGAAAAAAAUUAUAAAGAUUUAAUAAUACUAAAUAAGAAAAAUUAAAAUUUCUACACUAAAUUAAAAAAACAAAAAAAAACUGAGAAAAUAUUUAUUAUCCCAAUAGUUCUUAUAUUAAAAUCUCAUUUAUCAUAUGUUAUAUCUAUCAAAAUAAUAAUAAUAAUAACUUGUGACGUGAACUAAAGCUAUAUGCGAAAACUAGAAAAACCCGGUAGAGACCGGUUCUGUUUUUUCAAAUAUGUUUUUUCUUCUAGCUAGAGACCCCUUUUUUUUAUAUAUUUUUCUAUUGGUUAGUAAACUAUUUCAAAGUUUAUUAUAUAAAUACUAGAAGAAUAUUUUAUUUUUUCAAUAUGGAAUAAAAAAAAUUAUUUUUGUUUAAAUACCUCAAUUUAAAAGAAUUAGAUAAUAUCUUUUUAAUAUGAGAUAAAAAAAACCUUUUAAAAUAAUCUUUUAAACUUUAUUAUAUGCAACAUGUAUAAUCUAUAUUCAUAUGAAUUGUUUCUUUAAUUUUUUUCAUAUGAAAUAUUAAAAAUCAAAUAUUUUUUUUUUAAUUUUUUCGGGUUAAUUUAGAUCAAUCUGUGUAACCCAAGACUCUGUUUUUUAGUCGGGUCAAAUUCAGCUUGGGUUCCAUAACUAUCAGUAAAUUUAUUGAAAAAAACGUAAUUUUUUUGCUUUUAUAAAAAUGAAAGGCAAAGAAUUAAAUUAGGACAUAUAUCACUAAUUAUUUACAUACUCUUAUUACAAACACAAAAUUUUAUGUCACUUCAUGAUAUCCAUGUUUUCAACGCUUUACACUGGUUUAAUAAAUUGUUACAGUAAUAUCACAGAGAGGAACGGUUCAUGAAAAAACAAUAAUGGAGUUGAAGCAGAAUCUCUGUUUGAUUUUUCUUUUUUGUGUUUUCGGUACACUGGUCAACAAUAGCUUGGAAGAGUUUGGAAUCAGUAACACAUGGACCCAGUUAUUGUGGAAACUUUGCAGAGGAUCUGCACUCUGCAGGAAGAAAAUGAUUUUAAUAGAUGUACUGUACAUCAUUUGAAUUUAUUAAAAGUAACGUGUAAUGUAAAGUAUGUACUGUACACCUGCUUUCAACGUUUUACACUGCUUUAGUCGUCCAAAAAAAAAAAAAAACCAUUAGAUGCUAUAAAACAAGAUAUAUACAAUUUAAUUUGAGAGUGUAAUAGAUAUUAUAUUUCAAAAUAUUUUUGAAAUAUAUUAAAAUAUUAAUUUUUAAAAAAAUAAUUUUAAUAUCAUAUAUUAGAACAAUAAAUAAUAAUUAUAAUUUAAAAAAAUAAAAAAUUUUAAAAUCUUUAAAAAAAUAAUAAUUUUACUGGACUCCAAAACACACCCAUGCUCCCUCAGCAACCACCACGAAAUUACCGCUCUAUAUUACAGCUCAAUAAUUUAUUUUAGCAAUUAUUGCUUGCUCAUUCACAAUUAUUGCUUUGCUAAUAAUUUGCAAGAAACUUUCUCAAUUUCCUUCUAUUUUCUUUUUAUUAUGGAAACUUUAAGUCACAUGUGCGCCUACCACGAAAUUACCGAUAAGUAAAUUUCAAUGCGUAAUUGUGUAGGUUUCAAUUAAAAAUGCUUUAAUUUGAAAAAUUAUGUUAACAAUAAUAUAAAUUAAUUUUUCUUCAUAAAAAAAGUAAUUGAGUAUUAAUUUAGGCUAUAAAAAUAAAAUAAUAAUAAAAAAAGAGUUCGAGGGUAUUCAUUUUAUUUCAUUUUACUAUAUAAUCUAAUUUGUUGAUGUGGAAAAUAGCAUAAAGUUUUUGACAUGGCUAUUGGUGAGAAGCAAAAGCAGUAGCAGUCCAUCGUUAUACUAAAGGUCAGUUUUUCACUCUGUGUGAAUUUACAGUAAAAGCUUGAUUUUGAAAGUGAGAUGAAAUUGGAAUAUUUUGAUUGAAAUUUAAUUAAAAAUUCAGAACAGAGUGAGAUUUGAAAUGAGACAAAAAAUCAUUCUGUUUUUUAAAUUUAUAUGAAAUUUUUUAGCUAUUCCAGACAGACAAAAUGGAAUGGAAUUGAGAACCUUGGAUGCAAUAUGCUUUUUAAUUAAAGAUAUAUUUAAAUAAUAAUUUUUAAAAAAAAUUAUUUUUUUUAUUUUAGUACAUUAAAAAUAAAAAAUAUUUAAAAAUAGUAAUUUAAUAUUUUCUUAAAAAAAUAUUUAAAAAACACUUUUAAAUUUUUUUGAACUGUACUAUUCCUUGAAAAAACUCAAACUCUAAAUAACAUCUACUAUUUUCAGAAUAUCUGUAAGAGAUUGCUGGGAAGACAUAACGUUUUGCCUAAUCAGUCUCUUUUGGAAAUUUAUACCAUUUGAUUUUGACAGUAUCAGAUUAGACAAUUGCAUGGAAAUGGUCUUCUUAGUUUACCGUGUGAAAAAUCAAUAUUAUUGUCCGGGAGGGAAGUAAGGUUUUUUUUUUAAAAAAAAUUAUUUAAAAAUAUAUUAAAAUAAUUUUUAAAAUCAAAAUGAUUUAAAAAUACUUAAAAAAAAUCUAAGACUAAAAAUUAAUCUAAAUGUUUUUGAAAAAUAAUUCAACCAAAGUGCCAAAUAUGAUCAAUAUCGAUUAUCUUUUAUGUAAGAUUAUCUUUUAUCUUUGACAAUUAUUGCAUUGCUAAUAAUUUGCAAGAAAACAUACUUUCUCAAUUUCCUUUUUUAUUAUGUUAGUAGAUGCUAGAUGCUGUUUAUUUUUGUGUUUUAAAAAUAUUUUUAAAAAAAUUUAAGAUUUUAAAUUAAUAUUUUUAGAUAUUUUAAGGUGCUGAUUUUAAAAAUAAUUUAAUUAUUUUUUUUAAAAAAAAAUCAUGACACGGGUAUAAAAAAAAAAUUAUGGUAGAUAUAGCCUCAUCUUCUCUGCUUGUAAAAUUGGAGCAGAUUAUGGACUUAAGCGAGCAAUUACCGCUCGAAAUUCCUAGUAAUUUACGAAGGAAUUUUCCUUGUUGUUUCUCUGUACAGUAUUAGAAAAAUUGUCAUUGACUGAUUUAAUUGCAAAGUCUCUGUAAGAAAGCUUAAAGAAUUAGAGCUUUUUAAAAUAAAAAAUAUAGAGAGAGAAAUAAAAAAUAAAAAUAAAAAAAGGAGCAAAAGGAAACAACCCCCAUCUUUCUUGUUCCCUUUCCCUUCUUUACAUGGCGUCCUCGAUGAAAAUAGCAAACGCCCCAUUUGAAUAUAUAAUUAAAGAAAGAAAGAAAGAGAGGAAAAUUUUUUUAGUGAAUUCAAAAGCCCUUCGCCCCGGAAAGAAAGUUUCUUUUAACAAAAUAAGGUUGUUGAGGCUUUUCUUGGAACCUCGCUCAGGGAUUAAUUAACAAGAAUUAAAAAAUCCCCUGCAAAUUACACAAAAUUUAUUAUUGAUCAUCAAUAUUGAAUAAUGGCUUAUUUUCUAGCAUAAACAAAAAUUGAUAAAAGAUAUUUAUUAUUGAUCAUCAAAUUGUGGUAGCUGUUGUGGUUGUGGAAAAAAUUAUUUUAUAAAAAAUAUUUUUAGUUGAGGUUGAUUUGAAAAAAUAGGUGUUUGGUUAAAACUGUGGUUGAAAUUGAAGUUGAAGAAAAAAUAGCUUAAUGUGUUUGGUUAAGAAUGCUUUUAAAAUUGAAGUUAUAAAAUAAUUUUUAAAAAAUAUAUUAAUACUGAUGAUUUUUAAUUUAAAUAUUAUGGAUUUAACUAUUGCUAUUAUAUCAUGAAAUAAAUCAUACUUUAUAUAAAAUAUUUUUUUAUUAUUCCAUGAAACCAUUUAUAAUUCCAUUACGUAUACAUCCGACAAAAACUACAGUUUUCAUAAUAUUUUUAGCAUAUAAUAAAAUUAGAUAAAAUAUUAUCAGGUAUAAAAUUCACUAUAAACUAGUUUUUUUAAAAAAAAAUGUUAAAAAAAUAACACACUAAAAAAAAUUAACACACUAAAAAAAAAAAGGUUCACGCAGGCAAAUGAACAUUGCAAGAGAAUUGCACUGUUCACUAUUUUUAAGUGAACAGUGCAAUUGUGUUGCACUGUUCACUUGAAUAGUGUACAUUACGUACUGUUCAUGUUAAUUGCACUGUUCAUUGAACGGUGCAAUUAACAUGAACCGUGAAAAAAAGAGUAAGAAAUGGCUGCUUUUCCUUUCCUGCGUUUCUAACAUAGAAAUUAAGUGAGGCCCAGUGAACAGUAAAUUAAUUUUUUCAUUAACCAAACAGCUGCGAACUGCGUUUUAAAUAAAACGCAGCCGCAGCUACAGAGCCAAACGGGCUCUAUAUUUUGGAGUGACGUAGAUAUUAUGUUUUAAAAUCCUUUUUAUUUAUAAAUGUAUUAACAUUUAUUUUUCAAAAUUUAUUUUUAAUAUUAAUAUAUCAAACUAAUAUAAAAAUAUUAAAAAAAUAAUUUAAAACAAUAAAACAUUCAGCAACCACUCUAAAUUCCAGCUCAAUAAUUUAUUCUUUAGCGAUUAUUGCUUGCUCUUUGACAAUUAUUGCAUUUCUAAUAAUUUGCAAGAAAACAUACUUUCUCAAUUUCCUUGAACUCAUUUGACCCAGCUAUCGAGUUAUUUUUUCCGCUCAUCUUUUUUUCCCACAAACUCACCAAGACAGCACCGGAUUAUUUUAACUCAGUGAUCCUUCCAGGUAGGCCCAGGCCACAUUGAUUGUGUUAAAAAAAAAAUCUAAUUCAGCUUAGUAUCAACUACAUUAUAAUUAUUUAGGAGGAUAGUUGAACCAUACUUUUUAAAAAAAUUAAUUUUUUUUUAUAAUUAUACGCCAUCAGCAACUACCUCGAAAUUACCACUCCAAAUUCCAGCUCAAUAUCGAUCAACAUGCGGCUAAAAUUGAUAAAAGACACAUAAUGAUGGUAUUGUAUAUUUUGAGACUAAAUUGAGGUUUUUUAAUUAUUACUUUAAAAUAUAUCAUGGUUUUAAUAGUUGGACGGUAUAUUAUAUAAAUUAUUAAAAAAUAUUUAUUUUUAUUAUAUAUGUAGUAAUAAUAAAUUAGAUGAUAAUAACAAAAAAUAGAAAUUAUUUUGAAUAAAUAGUACCAGUUCCUAUUAUGAUAUGUAUAGAGAAGAAGUUGGAAGAAUAAAAUGAAGUCAAAUAUUCUUAAUAAAAAAAACACAGAAAUAGUUAAAAUAUGUUUUUAAUAAAUAUAAAAGAUGGAUGAAAAUAUUAGAAAACAUGAAAGAGAUACAUAAUCUCUUUGUAAGAUUUCUAAGAACUUAAUUACAAUUACAUUAUAAUUUCUUCCUUAAAAUUAUUCAAAAUAUAUAUUAUUCUAGGUUUUAAUGUAAUUAAAAAGGAAGUAUUUGUAAGUGUAAGAAUUUUUGACACGCCUAAUCACAGUUUUUUUUGGAAAAGAAAAGAAGCCAGGCUAUGAAAAUAGGUUUGUGGAAAUUUACGUCAUUUGAUUUUGACAAUUGCAUGGAAAUGGUCUUCUUAAUUUGCCGUGUAGAAAAUCAUGUCAUUUACGGGACUGCUGGAGAGAGUGUCUAUUGAUAAUUUUACCUUCUUUUCAAAUCUUUGACACUGCUUGCAUUGACUGGUAAUUUCGCUCGAAAAUUUCUAGUAAUUUAUAAAGGAAAUUUCUACUGUAUAAAUUGAAAAACUAUUAUUGACUGACUUCUUGCAAAGUAUUUGCAAGAAAGCUAAAAAAUUAAAAUUUUUAAAUUUUUAAAUUAUAAUUUAAAAUUGUAAGAAAAAAAUCAAUUGUCUUAAAAAUAAAAAAAUCAACUAUUUAUAUAAUAGCUAAAUCUAUUAAGAUAAAUCGAAAAUAACUAGUAAAAUCAAUGAUUGACGAGUGUGUCUAUAUAUACAUAUAGGAACUGCUGAUUCGAUUUGAAUAUGUUAUUUGAUUAGUCUAAUUCGUGAUUUGCAUUGACUCAAAAUUACCACUAGAAAUUCCUAGUUUCGUGGUGCUUUCUCGGCCUGCAAAUGAAUAUAAAGCAUAUCCUUUUAUCCUAUAUAAAGAAUACAAUUAACCUUUUUAUCUUUUAUAAUUAUAAUUAUUGCAUUGCUAAUAAUUUGCACGAAAGAAUAUUCUUUCUCUGAAAAGGCCUUGAGAAAACCCUAAGCAUAGUAUAUAAUCUCUUAUAGGAAUCUCUUUAUUAAAUCAUCAAAAUAUCAAAGUCUGUUUCCAAAGACUAUGACUACAGUUUAUAUAUAGAAACAACCAAUUAUAAAAAUUAUUAUUUUUUAAAUAGAAAAACCAGAGAGCUUGAUAAUAUUUAAUAAAAAUAAAAAAUAAAAAAUUAUUCCUUUUAAAGUAGAAAAAAUUAUAAAGAUUUUAAUAAUACUAAAUAAGAAAAAUUAAAAUUUCUAAACUAAAUUUAAAAAAACAAAAAAAACUGAGAAAAUAUUUAUUAUCCCAAUAGUUCUUAUAUUAAAAUCUCAUUUAUCAUAUGUUAUACCUAUCAAAAUAAUAAUAAUAAUAAUUUGUGAUGUGAACUAAAGCUAUAUGCGAAACCUAGAAAAACCCGGUAGAGACCCGUUUUGUUUUUUCAAAUAUUUUUUUUCUUCUAGCUAAAGAUCAUUUUUUUUUAUAUAUUUUUCUAUUGGUUACUAACUCAUUUCAAAGUUCACUAUAUAAAUACUAGAAGAAUAUUUUAUUUUUUUGAUGUGGAAUUAAAAAAAAUUCUUUUGAUUUAAAUACUUCAAUUUAAAACAAUAAGAUAAUAUCUUUUUAAUAUGAGAUAAAAAAACCUUUUGAAAUAAUCUUUUAAACUUUAUUAUAUGCAACAUGUAUAACCUAUAUUCAUAUGAAUUGUUUCUUUAAUUUUUUUCAUAUGAAAUAUUAAAAAUCAAAUAUUUUUAUUUUUAUUUUUCUGGGUUGACCUGGAUCAAUUUAUGUAAUCCAAGACUCUAUUUUUUAGUCUGGUCAAUUUUAAGUUGGGUUCGAUAAUAAUGAUUAAAUUUAUUGAAAAAAACAUAAUUUUUUUUUUGUUUCUAUAAAAAUCAAAGGUAAAGAAUUAAAUGAUGACAUAUAUCACUAAUUAUUGACAUACUCUUAUUACGAACACAAUAUGAUACCCAUGUUUUCAACGCUUUACACUGCUUUAAUAAAUUGUUACAGUAAUAGCACAAAGAGGAACGGUUCAAGAAAAAACAAUAAUGGAGUUGAAGCAAAAUCUCUGUUUGAUUUUUUCUUUUUUGUGUUUUCGGUACAUUGGUCAACAAUAGCUUGGAAGAGUUUGGUAUCAGUGACACGUGGACCCAGUUGUGGUGGAAGGAAGAAAAAUGAUUUUAAUAGAUGUACUGUAUAUCAUUUGAAUUUAUUAGAAGUAACAAGAUAUAUACAAUAAGAUGCACUGAGGGUAUUGGCCUGGGAUACGAGGGGCUUGUCUUCUCUUGUUGCUUCUGGAUUCGAGUUUUUAUGUGUAUGUCUGUCAUUUUUACGGUGUCUUAUAUGUUCAUUGAGUUUGCAGGGUGUUCAGUGGGUCGUGGAAUUAGUCGUGGUGCGCGCAAGCUGACUCGGACACCCACGUAAAUAAAAAAAAAAAAAAUAUAUAUACAAUAAGAUGCUAUAUUAAAAUAUUAGAUGCUAUUUUUCGAUCUUAGAAGUAACAUGAUUUUAAUAUACACCUUCUUUCAACGUUUUACACUGCUUUAGUCGUCAAAAAAAAAAAAAAGACUAUUAGAUGCUAUAAAACAAGAUAUAUACAAUUUAGUUUGAGAGUCUAAUAGAUAUUAUAUUUCAAAAUAUUUUAGAAAUAUAUUAAAAUAUUAGUUUUUUUAAAAAAAUUAUUUAAUAUCAUAUAUUAGAACAAUAAAAAAUAAUAAUAAUUUAAAACAAUAAAAAAUUUCAAAAUCUUUUAAAAAUAUAAUUUUACUGGACUCCAAAACACACCCAUGCUUCCUCAGCAACCACCACGAAAUUACUACUCUAAAUUACAGCUCAAUAAUUUAUUCUAGUUAUUAUUGCUUGCUCUUUGACAAUUAUUGCUUUGCUAAUAAUUUGCAAGAAACUUUCUCAAUUUCCUUCUAUUUUCUUUUUAUCAUGGAAACUUUAAGUCACAUAAUAUAUGGCUGAUUUUAUAUGAAUAUAUUAUUUGAUUAGUGUUGACUCUACUAUUGCUGCAUUGACUGGAAAUUUCAGUAUUCAAUAUCCUAUAUCAUUCUACGUUCAUAACGAUAACUCUUUGUUAUAUUUAACUUACACUGCAGCUAACUUCUCUGUCCCAUUGCAGCCAUUUCAUAGCUAACUCUUUGUUAUAUUUAACUUGCUCUUCUUUGCUUCUUUGCUUCUUGCUCAUAACGAUAACAAGAAAGCCUUACGUUCAGAUAGAUAAUCAUUGACCAGUUCAUCCUAUACCAUUCAAUUUAAUUUAGAAAUGCUGAAAGAAAAACGCAAGCAAUCCAAAGAUGAAGACAACGAUUCAUCCUCGCGAAAGAGAAGAAAAGCUGACCUCAGUAAGCCUGUCAGUUUUGUCUCCACAGGUAAGGCAGAUGCGUGAGUCUAUACAUGUAGGAACUGCUGAUUCGAUUAGAAUAUGUUAUUUGCUUAGUCUGAUCAUAGGAUAGGUUGAGUCUACUACUAUUUCUGCCUUGCUUUGACUCGAAAUUACUGGUGUUUUCUCCUGCAAAUGAAUAGAAAUCACAUCCUUUCUCUUUCUCCUAUACAAAGAAUACAAUUAACCUCAUUUCAAUAUCAUAGCUUUGGAAUUUCAUAGCUAACUCUUUGUUAUGUUGCUCCAUUGGUAAUUGAUUGUGCCUUAAUUUCUGCAGCUACCAGGACAGAGCCAGAGUCUUCUCGAUCUAGACCAGAAGGGGCCUAUGAUGUCUUCUUGAGUUUUAGAGGAGAAGACACUCGCAAGACAUUUACAGAUCAUCUAUAUACUGCCUUAGUCCAAGCAGGAAUCCGCGCUUUUCGAGAUGAUGAUGACCUUCCAAGAGGAGAAGAAAUCUCCGAUCAUCUCCUCAGGGCAAUUCAAGAAUCAAAGAUAUCCAUAGUUGUCUUCUCAAAAGGAUAUGCUUCUUCUAGAUGGUGUCUCAAUGAACUUGUAGAGAUUCUUGAGUGCAAAAAGAGGAAAACCGGUCAGAUUGUUCUUCCUAUAUUCUAUGACAUUGAUCCUUCAGAUGUGAGAAAACAGACUGGCAGUUUUGCAAAGGCAUUUGAUAAGCAUGAAAAGCGUUUUGAAGAGAAGUUGGUGAAGGAGUGGAGAAAAGCUCUUGAGGAUGCCGCAAACCUAUCUGGACGGAGUCUCAAUAAUAUGGCAAAUGGGUAUUCCUUCUCUCUCUAAGAUUCACUUGCACACGUUUAUGGAGUAAUUUUACAUUACAUUUUUCAAUGUGAAGUAAUAAAAUAUUUCUUUUUAGCAUACUUAAUUGAGUCGCUAUCAAUGACUUGCUUUUGUCUAUGAGCAGGCAUGAAGCAAAAUUUAUCAAGAAGAUUAUCAAGGAUGUGUUGAAUAAAUUAGAUCCCAAGUACUUAUAUGUUCCUGAGCACCUAGUAGGUAUGGAUAAACUUGCUCAUGAUAUUUUUGACUUUCUAAGCACUGCAACAGAUGAUGUACGCAUUGCGGGCAUACAUGGGAUGCCAGGAAUAGGAAAGACGACUAUAGCAAAAGUUGUAUUUAAACAACUCUGCGAUAGAUUCGAGGACAGCUGUUUUCUUUCGAAUAUCAAUAUUGAAACACCAAAAAAACUUACAGGUCUUGUUGGUUUUCAAACGCAACUUCUUCGUGAAAUUUUAAAACAAGGUGUUCCAAACUUCGAAUGUGUUGAUAGAGGAAAGGUUUUGAUCAAAGAACGACUUCGUGGCAAAAGAGUUCUUGUUGUUGCUGAUGAUGUGGCUCAUCUGGACCAGCUAAAAGCUUUGAUGGGAGAGCGAAGCUGGUUUGGUCUCGGAAGUAGAGUAAUUAUUACAACAAGAGAUUCAAAUCUUCUUCGUGAAGCAGAUCGAACAUAUCAGAUCGAAGAAUUGAAACCAGACGAGUCCCUUCAGCUUUUCAGCUGGCACGCCUUUAAGGACUCCAAGCCAGCAAAAGAUUAUAUUAAGCUUUCGAAGGAUGCAGUUGAUUACUGUGGAGGACUUCCUUUAGCUCUUGAGGUUAUGGGUGCUUGUCUGUCUGGGAAAAACAGAGAUGGUUGGAAAUGUGUAAUUGAAAAAUUGAGAAGAAUUCCAAACCACGAUAUUCAAGGAAGGCUUAGAAUAAGUUUUGACGCACUGGACGGUGAAGAACUACAAAAUGCAUUCCUUGACAUCGCUUGCUUCUUUAUUGAUAGAAAGAAAGAGUACGUCGCAAAAGUGCUAGGAGCCCGUUGCGGUUACAAUCCAGAAGUUGAUUUGCAAACUCUCCAUGAAAGGUCUCUGAUUAAAGUAUUGGGAGAGACGGUAACCAUGCAUGAUCUAUUACGAGACAUGGGAAGGGAGGUCGUUCGUGAUAAGUUUCCAAAAGAACCUGGAAAGAGGACCAGAAUUUGGAAUCAAGAGGAUGCAUGGAAUGUACUUGAGCAGCAGAAGGUAAGAGCUCAAUGCAUACAUGAAAGCAUAGUCAUUCGUAUUUUCUAGUCAAACUUAUUUCACAUAAUUGAAUGAAAGUUGUAUUGUUUUUUUUUUAGGGUACGGUUGUUGUAGAGGGUCUUGCACUGGAUGUCAGAGCAUCAGAAGCUAAAGCACUUUGCGCAGGAUCAUUUGCAGAAAUGAAACGCUUAAAUUUACUCCAAAUCAAUGGAGUACAUCUCACCGGAUCCUUCAAACUGCUUUCUAAAGAGUUGAUGUGGAUUUGUUGGCAUAGAUGUCCUUUGAAAGAUUUUCCAUCUGAUUUUACCGCAGACUAUCUAGCUGUUCUUGAUAUGCAGUACAGUAACCUCAAAGAACUAUGGAAGGGAAAAAAGGUGCGAAACAUGCUACAAUCCCCGAAAUUUCUCCUGUAUGUAAUUUAUAUUGACAUCUUAUGACUUUCUAUGAUUAAUUUUCAUUAUUUUACCCUCUAUUAUGACAGAUCCUCAACAGGCUAAAAAUCUUUAAUCUUAGUCAUUCUCGGAACCUUGUUAAAACACCAAACUUGCACAGUUCAAGUCUAGAGAAACUAAUUCUGAAAGGUUGCUCAAGUUUAGUUGAGGUGCAUCAAUCAAUUGGACAUUCGACGAGCCUCGUUUUCUUGAAUCUCAAGGGAUGUUGGAGUCUGAAGACUCUCCCUGAAAGCAUUAGGAAUGUAAAGUCUCUUGAAACUAUGAAAAUUUAUGGGUGUUCACAACUUGAGAAAUUGCCAGAAGGCAUGGGUGAUAUGAAAUUCUUAACUGAGCUAUUAGCUGAUGGGAUUAAAACUGAGCAAUUUCUCUCUUCAAUUGGGCAAUUAAAGUAUGUCAAAAGGUUAUCAUUACGUGGAUGCAGUCCGACUCCACCAAGUUGUUCUUUGAUUUCAGCAGGUGUUUCAAUUUUGAAAUGUUGGCUGCCAACAUCAUUCACUGAAUGGAGAUUAGUGAAACAUCUUAUGCUUUCUAAUUGUGGUUUGUCUGAUCGUGCAACUAACUGUGUUGAUUUUAGUGGUUUGUUCUCUCUAGAAAAAUUGGAUCUAAGUGAAAACAAAUUCUCUAGCCUGCCUUAUGGGAUCGGCUUCCUUCCCAAGCUAUCGCACUUGGUUGUUCAGACAUGUGAAUAUCUUGUAUCAAUCCCAGAUCUUCCCUCAAGUUUAUGCCUUUUGGAUGCAUCUUCUUGCAAAUCAUUGGAAAGAGUAAGAAUACCAAUCGAGUCAAAAAAAGAACUAUGUGUAAAUAUAUUUCAAAGUCUUUCGUUAGAAGAGAUUCAGGGCAUCGAAGGUCUAAAUAAUAGUUUCUGGAAUGUUAGUAUUGAAAGACGCAGUCAUUCACCAAAUAAAUUACAGAAGAGCGUUCUAGAGGUACUAUUUCUUUCAAUCUCUCUUGCAUAAGAAGAAACACACACAAUUGGCACAUAUUGAUUAAUGUCUAAAAUCGCAGCAUUCCUUGAAAUUAAUAUGUAUACAGGCAGUUAUUAUUAUUAUUAUUAUUAUUAUAUUUUAAAAAAUAAAUAUCAUCUUUAAUAAUAUUUUCUUAUUUUUCUUAUUUAAUCUAAAAAAUUAAAUAUUAUCUUUAAUAAUAUUUUUUAUUAAAUAUUUAAGUCUUUGGUUUUCUUUUUUAUUUCUUGAUUUUAUGAUAAUAUAUUUAUACAGGCAAUGUGCAACCGUGGUCACGGGUAUCGUAUUAACUUCAGUCUAGAACAUGAUGAACUACAUGAGAUGCCAGAUUGGAUGAGCUACAGGGGAGAAGGAUGCUCAUUGUCAUUCCAUAUACCUCCAGUCUUCCAUGGCUUAGUUCUUUGGUUAGAGAAGGGUACUCAUAUGUACACAUACACUAACAUUAUUAUUAUUAUAAGAAAUAAAAGCAACGGAAGAAUAUUGUUUAAAGAUAAACGAGCACAGAUAGGAAUACAUAUAUUUAUGCAGGGAUGGUUAAGAUACAUAAGUAGAAGUGAAAUGGCAAUGGAAGAUUACUGUGGAGACGAAUUGGAACUAUACAUUUCUUCAGAGCCAACAGACUAUGCACUGCGCAAGGGUAAAUCAUUGAAACCAAGCGUUAAAGAAUGUGGGGUCCAUGUGAUCGCAGGGAAGUCAGAUUCAUUAAAAAAGUCGGCAGUGGAAAGAGAUACAGUGAUGCUUUCACCACCGCUGUAUCAUCUGCUUCCUCAUCCUCAUCGUGGUUCAAUUACAACGUCUACACCUAAGCAAUGGUGUGACUUUUUACUUGCGGAGCUGCAAAACCAUAGCCUCGGUUUAUUGCUUCUUGGUAAGAACAAAUAUUUCCUUUAGUUAUUUUUAUUCUAUUCUAUUUAAUUUAUGAGAUUAAAUAUUAUCUUUAAUUAUUUCAUUAUUACUAUUUAAUAUAAAAAAUUAAAUAUCAUUUUUAAUAAUAAAAAAUUAAAUAUUUAAGGCUUUUUGGUAAGAAUACAUAUUUCCUUUAGUUAUUUCUAUUUUAUUCUAUUUGAUGGGAAUUUGUUCGUAAUAACAAAAUGCACAUGUUUAACUUUCUUUUCAAACUUGGAAGUUUUAUUGAAUUUGAUGGCUUUUGAAGGUAGAGAAGACUUGGAGUGAAGAGUACAAGAUCAUUUUAUAUAGAGAUGCUUGAAGUUACUUCAAAUUAGUACGGUACUUCUAUCUGAUGUAUUGAUAUGUAUUUGUUUGUUUGAAGAUUAUUUUCCAAGCUUGGAAGUUUUAUUGAAUACUCUUUGAAAUCUUUUCCAUCCGCUUUUAUAUUUUUAUAUUGGACAACCUAGUUGUUAAUUAUUAUCCAUGAUGUAAUUUAUAUUUUCAAGUUAUAAAUUUUGAUGAAUAUUGUUUCAUUUUUUUCCUCAUUUCAAAAGUUGAAAAUCCUUAUUUUAGUUAGAAAUAAAUUGGUUUUCUAGGAAGAGAUUAUUGAUUGGAAACAAGAGCAAAAGAAAAAAGCAAACACCCCAUUCGAUUUUCAUUCAGUAUAAGAGUGAGAAAGAGAGACGCCAAGGUGGUUCUCGAAUAUUUUGUUCUUUUUUGUCUCGCUCACUGGGGUAAAUACUUCAUCAUUUAAUGUUAUAAUUUAAAAUAAUUGAUGAAAAAGAAUUUUAUUCAAUCCCAAUCCCAAUCCCACAUUGUCUGUAGAAGUAUUUACUUUUGACUGUACACUUUGUUAUUUUCCAAUCCCUCCCCAGUUCUGCAACCAUUUCUCUACUUUCUAUGCUCUUGGCUUGCUAAAAACUAAAGAAAACACAUUGCUCUAGUUGCCUGCCUUCACUCUUCAGAUUGCUCAACAAAUCCCUUGAGACCUUCUCCAUAGUUAACACAUCACAUAAUGGCUACUCUAAAAAAUUUAGCCAUAAACAUUGAACACCUUAAGCAAUCAACGUGCCUUCCUUCACAAUAUGCAUCACCCAUAAAUCUUUCUUUUGGGAUGUCGCCGGGAGUUUAAAUUUCCGAGUGUAAAAAUUACUCAAUGAAAAAGCGAGCACUAACGCACCUUCUCCACAAACUACCAUAAAUAUAUAAAUAUAUUAUGAAAACAAGAUAAAAAGAAAUCUUUCGGUACAUCUAUAUAUAUAUAUUAUGGCUAUGAAAAUAGGUUUGUGGAAAUUUACAUCAUUUGAUCUUGACAGUGUCAGAUUAGACAAUUGCAUGGAAAUGGUCUUCUUAGUUUGCCGUGUGGAAAAUCAUGUCAUUUACGGGGCUGCUGGAGAGAGUGUCUAUUGAUAAUUUUAUCUUAUUUGCAUUGACCGGUAAUUUCACUCGAAAAUUUCUAGUAAUUUAAAAGCAAAUUUCUACUGACUAUUAUUGACUGGCUUCUUGCAAAGUAUUUGUAAGAAAGCUAAAGAAUUAAAGUUUUUUAAUUUUUAAAAUUGUAAGAAAAAAAUCAAUUAUUUUUAAAAUUGUUUUCAAAAAUAAAACACCAACUAUUUAUAUAAUAGCUAAAUCUAUUAAGAUAAAUCCAAAAUAACUAGUAAAAUCAGUGACUUGCAUUGACGGUGUAAUGAUCUGGAACCACUCGCAAUAAAUAAAGCCAAAAAAGGCAGACGAGUGUGUCUAUAUAUACAUAUAGGAACCGCUGAUUCGAUUUGAAUAUGUUAUUUGAUUAGUCUAAUUCAUGACUUGCAUUGACUCAAGAUUACCACUCAAGAUUUCGUGGUGCUUUCUCGGCCUGCAAAUGAAUAGAAAGCAUGUCGUUUUAACCUCAUUUCAAUAUCCUUGCUUUACUCUCCAGCUAGCCUGAUACAUAUGAGUCUCAAGACAUACGGCCAUUGAUAGAAAGGAGUGCUGAAGCAAAAUAUUUUUUUAUCUGUAGCGACCUCAAUAAUGUUAAAGCGUGGACCACCAUGAAAUUACCGCUCCAAAUUCCUUGUUCUUUCUAUAUUAUUAGAAAAAUUAUCAUUGACUAAUUUAAUUGGAAAUUAUUUGCGAGAAAGCUAAAAAGAAUUAAAGUUUUUUAAUUUAUAAAAUUAUAAUUUUAAAUUGUAAAAAAAUUCAAUUAUUUUAAAAAAUAAAACAUCAACUAUUUAUAUAAUAGCUAAAUAAAUCUAUUAAAAUAAAUUGAGAAUAACUAGUAAAAUCAAGCAAAUAAUCCAAAAAUAACAAGAAAAUAAAUAUAUUUCCUAGAUCUAAUUUGAUUAUAUUUAUUAUCUUGAUUGACUUACUUGUUAAGUCUUCGCUAAGCAUAAAUGAACUUUAAUCUAAGAAUCUGUUUUAUAUUUCUUCAUUUAUUAAUGAAAUAUUACUUCUACUGUAUAGUUUUUGGUUCCGAGUUGAUCCACCAGAUUAAUAGGUGAACAAUAUAUUUUGUCUCCACAGGUUAUAACAUCAUUUCAAUAUCUUUAAACAAAAUCUUUGUUAAACUGCACCAUUGGUAAUUGAUUAUGCCUUAAUUUCUGCAGCUGCCAGGACAGAGCCAGAGUCUUCUCGAUCUAGACCAGAAGGGGCCUAUGAUGUCUUCUUGAGUUUUAGAGGAGAAGACACUCGCAAGACAUUUACAGAUCAUCUCUACACUGCCUUAGUCCAAGCAGGAAUCCACACUUUUCGAGAUGAUGAUGAACUUCCGAGAGGAGAAGAAAUCUCCGAUCAUCUCCUCAGGGCAAUUCAAGAAUCAAAGAUAUCCAUAGUUGUCUUCUCAAAGGAUAUGCUUCUUCUAGAUGGUGUCUCAAUGAACUUGUAGAGAUUCUUAAGUGCGAAAAUAGGAAAACCGGUCAGAUUGUUCUUCCUAUAUUCUAUGACAUUGAUCCUUCAUAUGUCAGAAAACAGAAUGGCAGUUUUGCAGAAGCAUUUGUUAACCAUGAAGAGCGUUUUGAAGAGAAGUUGGUGAAGGAGUGGAGAAAAGCUCUUGAGGAGGCUGGAAAUCUAUCUGGAUGGAAUCUCAAUGAUAUGGCAAAUGGGUAUGCCUUUUCUCUCUAAAAUUCACUUGCAGACGUUUAUGGAGUAAUUCUACAUUACAUUUUUCAAUGUGAAGUAAUAAAAUAUUUCUUUUUAGCAUACUUAAUUGACUUGCUAUCGAUGACUUGCUUUUUUUCUGUGAGCAGGCAUGAAGCAAAAUUUAUCAAAGGGAUUAUCAAUGAUGUGUUGAAUAAAUUACGUCGCGAGUGCUUAUAUGUUCCUGAGCAUCUGGUAGGUAUGGAUCUUGCUCACGAUAUUUAUGACUUUCUAAGUACUGCAACAGAUGAUGUACGCAUUGUGGGCAUACAUGGGAUGCCAGGAAUAGGAAAGACGACUCUAGCAAAAGUUGUAUUUAAUCAACUCUGCUAUAGAUUCGAGGGAAGCUGCUUUCUUUCGAAUAUCAAUGAAAGUUCAAAACAAGUUAAUGGUCUUGUUCCUUUACAAAAGCAACUUCUUCAUGAUAUUUCAAAACAAGAUGUUGCUAACAUCAAUUGUGUCGAUAGAGGAAAGGUUAUGAUCAAAGAUCGACUUUGUCGCAAAAGAGUUCUUGUUGUUGCUGAUGAUGUGGCUCAUCUGGAACAGCAGAAUGCAUUGAUGGGAGAGCGAAGUUGGUUUGGUCCCGGAAGUAGAGUAAUCAUUACAACAAGAGAUUCAAAUCUUCUUCGUGAAGCAGAUCGAACAUAUCAGAUCGAAGAAUUGAAACCACAUGAGUCCCUUCAGCUUUUCAGCAGGCAUGCCUUUAAGGACUCCAAGCCAGCACAAGAUUAUAUUGAGCUUUCGAAGAAAGCCGCUGGUUACUGUGGAGGACUUCCUUCAGCUCUUGAGGUUACAGGAGCUCUUCUGUACAGGAAAAACAGAGGUAGAUGGGAAAGUGAAAUGGACAACUUGAGCAGAAUUCCAAACCAAGAUAUUCAAGGAAAGCUUCUAAUAAGUUAUCACGCACUUGAUGGUGAACUACAAAGGGCAUUCCUUGAUAUUGCAUGCUUCUUUAUUGGUAUAGAGAAAGAAUACGUCGCAAAAGUGCUAGGAGCCCGUUGCCGUCCCAAUCCAGAAGUUGUUUUGGAAACUCUCAGUGAAAGGUCUCUGAUUAAAAUAUUGGGAGAGACGGUAACCAUGCAUGAUCUAUUACGAGAGAUGGGAAGGGAGGUCGUUUGUAAAGCGUCCCCAAAAGAACCUGGAAAGAGGACCAGAAUUUGGAAUCAAAAGGAUGCAUGGAAUGUACUUCAACAGCAGAAGGUACGAGCUCAAUGCAUACAUGAAAGCGUAGUCAUGUGUAUUUUCUCAAUGCAAACAUGAAAGCAUAGUCAUGCGUAUUUUCUUGUCAAACUUAUUACAAAUAAUUGAAUGAAAGUUGUAUUGAUUUUUUUUUUAGGGUACGGAUGUUGUAGAGGGUCUUGCACUGGAUGUCAGAGCAUCAGAAGCUAAAUCACUUAGCGCAGGAUCAUUAGAAAAAAUGAAAUGCUUAAAUUUACUCCAAAUCAACGGAGCACAUCUCACCGGAUCCUUCAAACUGCUUUCUAAAGAGUUGAUGUGGAUUUGUUGGCAUGAAUGUCCUUUGAAAUAUUUUCCAUCUGAUUUUACCUUGGACAAUCUAGCUGUUCUUGAUAUGCAGUACAGUAACCUCAAAGAACUAUGGAAGGGAAAAAAGGUGCGAAACAUGCUGGAAUCCCCAAAAUUUCUCCAGCAUGUAAUUUAUAUUUACAUGUUAUGACUUUCUAUGAUUAAUUGUCAUUAUUUUACUCUCUCUUAUGACAGAUUCUCGACAAGCUAAAAAUCCUUAAUCUCAGUUAUUCUCAUCACCUUAUUAAAUCACCAAAGUUGCACAGUUCAAUUCUAGAGAAACUAAUUCUGAAAGGUUGCUCAAGUUUAGUUGAGGUGCAUCAAUCAAUUGGACAUUCGACGAGCCUCGUUUUCUUGAAUCUCGAGGGAUGUUGGAGUCUGAAGACUCUCCCUGAAAGCAUUGGUAAUGUAAAGUCUCUUGAAACUAUGAAUAUUUGUGGGUGUUCACAACUUGAGAAAUUGCCAGAAGGCAUGGGUGAUAUGAAAUUCUUAACUGAGCUGCUAGCCGAUGAGAUUAAAACUGAGCAAUUUCUCUCUUCAAUUGGGCAAUUAAAGUAUAUCAAAAGGUUAUCAUUGCGUGUUUCAAAUUUGAAAUGUUGGCUGCCAACAUCUUUCACUGAAUGGAGAUUAGUGAAAUAUCUUAAGCUUUACUGUGUUGAUUUUAGAGGUAUGUUCUCUCUAAAAGUAUUGGAUCUAAGAGGAAACAAAUUCUCUAGCCUGCCUUCUGGGAUCGGCUUCCUUCCCAAGCUAUCGUACUUGGUUGUUAAGACAUGUGAAUAUCUUGUAUCAAUCCUAGAUCUUCCCUCAAGUUUAUGCCUUUUGGAUGCAUCUUAUUGCAAAUCAUUGGAAAGAGUAAGAAUACCAAUCGAGGCAAAAAAAGAACUAUGUGUAAAUAUAUAUAUGAAAGUCUUUCGGUAGAAGAGAUUCAGGGCAUCGAAGGUUUAAAUAAUAGUUUCUGGUAUGUUAGUGUUACAUCACCAAAUAAAUUACAGAAGAGCAGUCAUUCACCAAAUAAAUCACAGAAGAGCGUUGUUGAGGUACUAUUUCUUUUAGUCUCUCUUGCACAAGAAGAAACACACACAAUUGGCACAUACAUUGAUUAAUGUCUAAAAUCGCAGCAUUCCUUGAAAUUAAUAUGUAUACAUACAAUUAUUAUUUUAAUUUAAAAAAUAAAUAUCAUCUUUAAUAAUAUUUUCUUAUUUUUCUUAUUUAAUCUAAAAAAUUAAAUAUUAUCUUUAAUAAUAUUUUUUAUAAAAUAUUUAAAGUCUUUGGUUUUCUUUUUUAUUUCUUGAUUUUAUGAUAAUAUAUUUAUACAGGCAAUGUGCAACCGUGGUCACGGGUAUCGUAUUAGCUUCAUUGUUGAUGAUCUACUUGAGAUGCCAGAUUGGAUGAGCUACAGGGCAGAAGGAUGCGCAUUGUCAUUCCAUAUACCUCCAGUCUUCCAUGGCUUAGUUCUUUUGUUUGAGAAGAGUACUCAUCUUUACACAGUCACUAACAUUAUUAUUAUUAUAAGAAAUAAAAGCAACGGAAGAAUAUUGUUUAAAGAUAAACGAGCACAGAUAGGAAUACAUAUAUUUAUGCAGGGAUGGUUAAGAUACAUAAGUAGAAGUGAAAUGGCAAUGGAAGAUUACUGUGGAGAUGACGAAUUGGAACUAUACAUAUAUUCACAGCAAUCAGAGUAUGCAACGGUCAUUCAUUCGAACCCGUACACGUUAAAGAAUGUGGGGUCCAUGUGAUCGCAGAGAAGUUAGAUUCAUUUGAAGAGUCGGCAGUGGGAAGAGAUACAGUGAUGCCUUCACCACCGCUGUAUCAUCUGCUUCCUCAUCCUCAUCGUGGUUCAAUUACAACGUCUACACCUAAGCAAUGGUGUGACUUUUUACUUGCGGAGCUGCAAAACCAUAACCUCAGUUUAUUGCUUCUUGGUAAGAACAAAUAUUUCCUUUAGUUAUUUUUAUUCUAUUCUAUUUAAUUUAUGAGAUUAAAUAUUAUCUUUAAUUAUUUCAUUAUUACUAUUUAAUAUAAAAAAUUAAAUAUCAUUUUUAAUAAUAAAAAAUUAAAUAUUUAAGGCUUUUUGGUAAGAAUACAUAUUUCCUUUAGUUAUUUCUAUUUUAUUCUAUUUAAUUUAAGAGAUUAAAUAUCAUCUUUAAUUAUUACAUUUUUCUUAUUUUUUAUUUUUUGAUUUUAUGAUAAUAUUUUUCUUGAUUAAUAUAAAAAAUAAAUAUUAUCUUUAAUAAUUAGAUCUAUCGAAUAUCACUCAAAAAAAUAAAUUAUAUCUUUAAUAAUUAUUUUUUGAAAAACAAAAAGCCAACAAUCACUAACAUAUUUUAUUAAAAUCACUUUAGUUUAUUUAGGAAAUAUUGAAAACUGAUUUUUGUUUUUUUACAUUUAAAUAAAAAAUUGAAUAAUGUUUUUAUAUUUUAUUUCAAAUUAAAUAUUUUAAAACAAAAAUAAAAACAAAAUGAUAUUAACCUUUUUUAUUAUAAAGUAAGUUUCUUAAUUAAAAGUGAAGGGGAUUUGUUUGUAAUAACAAAAUGCAUAUAUAAUCAUGCACGGUUAACUUUAUUUCCAAACUUGAAAGUUCUACUGAAUUUGAUGGUUUUAUAGGUAAGAAGGAGCUGGAUGGAUGAGUUAUUUUACAUAGAGAUGCUUGAAGUUACUUCAAAUUAGUACGGUAUUUCUAUCUGAUGUAUUGAUAUGUAUUUGUUGGCUUGAAGAUCAUUUUCCAAGUUUGGAAGUUUUAUUGAAUGCUCUUUGAAAUCUUUUCCAUUCGCUUUUAUAAUUGUGUAGGUUUCAAUUAAAAGGGAUUGAAUUAAGGAAGUAUGUUAAAAAAUAAUAUAAAUUAUAUUUUAAAAUUUAUUUUAAUAGUUUAAAUUUUUAGAUGGAUAGUUUUUUUGACAGGUAAAAGAUAUAGUUUUACAAUAAAAUAUAUUUUUUGAAAUGAAAUUAUAUUAAAUUAAGCAUGCUCGAGAUUGUUCAAAUUAUUAAUUAAUUAUAAUUAACUUUAUGUCUUUAGAGGAAACAGAAGGGAAGGACAAGAUUAUCUUCCCCACACCAAUAGACCUAGCCCACUUUCCAAACCAGUCCCCUGGUAAAUAGAAUGAUGGUCCCAUAUUUUUCUUUCCAGCCCGUCAAGCAGUUUUAUCUCCCUCACUGGACCACUUUAGAAUGGGAAUCACACUAGGAAAUUUAAAAGUAGUUUGAAGUAUCAUUAAACCUGAUAAAAAUAAACAACCAAUAAUAAUAUGGUUGGGAUUUAAAAAAAAAUUGAUAAAAAAACUAAAAUAAAACAAAUUAAAAUAAACAAAAAACUUGAAAAAAAUUAAUUCAACCCUUUCUUCGUAAAAAAGAGAAGUAAUUGGGUAUUAAUUUACGGUCAAAAGAGUACAAUAAUGCAAAGAAAAAAAAGAGUAUGAGGGUAUUGAUUUUAUUAUUUGUUAGGUAACUAUGGAAUCUAAUCUGUUGAUGUGGAAAAUAGCACAAAUUAAGUUUUUGGCAUGGCCAUUGGUGAGAAGCAAAAGCAGUAGCAGUCCAUCAGGACCAUCACCAUCCUAUCGCCGACAUUCCAAGUGUGAAAGUGUAUUAUUGUCAUAAAGUUUUUCAAACGAAACAAUACGAUAAAUUUAAACUAUAGAGAGAUAAUUAAAUAAAUAAGUAGAAAGCGCAAAAGAAACAAUACGAUAAAUUUAAACUAUACUAAAGGUCAGUUUUUCACUCUGUGUGAAUCUACCGUGAAAGCUUGAUUUUGCACAUGGUAGAUAAAUUUAGGUUUAGGAGUAUAAUUUUUUAUAUAUAAUUACACUAAAGAAGAAUAUUAAUCAAAUAACCCUUAAAAAAAUUCCUUUUAGUUUAGGGUUUAUUUUUUUUCAUCUCAAUUACUUAAAUAUCCCUAAAAAAUAAACUCUCUUUACUAUGGAUGCAAGGUUAUUUUAGAUUUUCUGCUAUUUUUUUUUUAAAAAAUUCUCAUGUAAGAUUAGAGGUGAUUUGGUAUUUUAAUAUAUAAAUUAAUAUUAAAAUUCAAAAGCAGUUGGUGUCUCCCACACCUUUUGGAUGGCGCCUACGACUUCCACACAAAACCGAAUGUUACCGUCUAAGGCAGCGUUUGAUGCGUUUCACCACCGUUGUCACGGUGGUGGCACACGUGUUCUCUGAUGGCAUGUAGAGGAGCACGCGGAGGAGCUCCUUUCUCUUUUUCCUCUCUCGACCUAGAAAAUCAUGUUGACCAUUGAAAAAAAAAAAAACAAAGAAAGUCUAACUAUUUAUUUGUUAAGUUAAAUUAGGUCCUUAUUCUUUUGAUAACAAUGCAUUUGGUCUUGAGCUAUUUAUUAAGUUAGUUGUUUUUUCAUUUUCAUUAAUUUACACUUUGUUUUUAUAUUAGAUUUAAUCCUUAUUCUUUUAACUGUGAUGUUUUUUGUUGUCUUAAUUCCUUUAUUGAAUUAAAUUGUCUUUGAAUUUUAUCUCUUGAUAUUUUAUUUUUAUAUCAAAUAUGAUCCUUAUUUUUUUAUUGUUAUUUUUAGUUAUUUUUAUUAUUUUCUUAAUUGAAAUUGUUUUUUAAUUUCAUCCCUUAUGAUUUGGUUUUAUUUACUUUAUGUAUCAAAUUUGGUUCUCUUUCUUUUCAAAUCUACAUCUUUAAAAAUAAAAUUUAAUUUUUUUCAAGUUUAUCCCUAAUUAUUUUGGUUGGUUUAGAUUUUAUAUUGUUAUUUUUUAUUUUUCUUUUACAUUGUGAUAUAGCCUUAUGAUUGUGUCACAAAUUCUAAAAGUUGGACAGGGAUGACUUCAAUUAUUUUUAGAAAUUUUCAUUCUUCAAUUCAAUUAUAUAUAUAUAUAAAAGGUUUGACGCUUAAUAUAUUUUUGUAUUGAUUUUAUCAUUUUAUAAUUUGAUUUAUAAUGCAGUCCUAUUAUAUAUGGACCAGGACAACAAUAUCAUUCAAAUGUUAGUAAUAGAAUAACUUUUACAUAUUUUAAUAUUUAAAAAUUAAAAAAAUACAGUGUAACUGUUUUGUAUAAAUUCUAAAAGUAAGGACUCAUUUGUGCUUGGUAAAAUACCUCACAAUAAAGUUAAUAAAUAAUAACACAAGAAAAGAACAAAAGUUAAUAAAUAAUAUAUAGCAUGUCUUACACUGCUUUAAUAGAUUAUUCCAGUAAGAGCACAGAGAGAAGAGCGGUUCAAGACAGAACAAUGAUGUAUAAAUUAAAAAAAUAUAAUCUCUUAUAGGAAUCUCUUUAUUAAAUAAUCAAAAUAUUAAAGUCUAUUUCCAAAGACUAUUACUACAGUUUUUAUAUAUAUAAAAAUAGAAACAACUAAAUAGAGAAAUUAUUAUUUUUUAAAUUGAAAAAGUUGAAAAGCUUGAUAAUAUUGAGUAAGAAAUAAAAUAUAAAAAUAAUUCCUUUUAAAUAAACAAAUAUAAAAGUUUAAUAGUACUGAAUAGAAAAAAAAAUAGAAUUUCUAAACUAAAUAAAAGUAACUGAAAAAAGUAUUUAUUAUUCCAAAAAAAUUGAUGUUAAAAUCUCAUUUAUCAUAUUUUAUAUCUAUAAAAAGCUAAUUUGUCAUAUGGAAUAAGUCUAUAUGCUAAAAUCAGAAAAAACAAAUGUAACAAAAAAAAAUUCCACCAAAGGCUGUGAUUAGCAGAUUAUCUGAUGGAAAGAUGAUGAACAUUUUUUAGUCAAUUAAGUUCAUUUCACAUGAUUUUUUUAUUCUUGUCAAUUAAUCUUAAAGCAAGAUUCCAAGAUAAGCCUAAAAAAUAUUUAUUAUUAAUCAACAAUAUGGAAUAAUAACUUGUUUUCUAAUAUAAAUUAUAAUUUGAAAUAAAAUUGAUAAAAGAGUAAGGCGCAUUUUGUAUACAAAAUUAAUGACGGAAUCGUAUAUUUUAAGACUAAAUUAAAGUUUUUCAAUUACAUUUAAACAUAUUAUGGUUUUAAUAAACGUACGAUGCAUCCUUUGAUUUUAUUACAGGGAACGUGAAAUAUUGUAAAUUAUGGAGGGGAAUCAAAAUAUUUGUUAGCAGUAACCUCAGUAAUGUUUAAAAAAAAUUGUUGUGGAAACUUUGCAAAGGAUCUGAAGGAAGAAAAAUGAUUGAAUUGAUAAUAAUUUGCAAGAGAGAAUUCUUUCACUGAAUAGAAAAAAAAAUAUUAUUUUUAAAAUAAAAACAAUAAAUAUAAAAAUUAUUAUUUUUUAAAUAGAGAAACUAGAAAGUCCUGAUAAUAUUAAAUAAAAAAUAAAUACAAAAAUUAUUCUUUUCAAGUAGAAAAAAUUAUAAAAGUUUAAUAAUACUGAAUAGAAAUAAAUAAAAUUUCUAAACUAAAUAAAAAUAUUUAUUAUCCCAAAAAUUCUUAUAUCAAAAUCUCAUUUAUCAUAUUUUGUAUCUAUAAAAAACUAAUUUGUCAUAUGUACUGGGUCCAUAUGCUAAAACCAGAAAAAAAAAUGUAACAAAAAAAAAAUUCCACACAAGGCUGUGAUUAAGAGAUUAACAAGAUGAUAGAUAUUUUUUAGUAAAAUGAAUUCCAAUUCAAAAUAGCAAAAUAAGGUUUUUUGAGGCUUUUCUAGUAUAUAAAAAAAUCAAAUUAUACAAGAUUUAUUAUUAAUCUUUGAUAUUUAUUAUUGAUCAUCAAUAAUCAAUAUUAAAUGAUGACUUAUUUUCUAGUAUAAACUAUGUUUGAAAUAAAAUUGAUAAAACACAUUAUAUAUAAUUAAUGAUGGGAUCGUAUAUAAAAAUAAUUAAAUUGAGAUUUUUCAAUUACCUUUAAAUAUAUCAUAGUUUUAAUCGGUGGUGGACGAUAUAACAUAUGUAAAUUAUAAAACAAGCAUUUAUUUUUCUGAUAUAUACAUAAUUGUCGCACCCGGACAUCGCGGCGACCUUAAAAAUAAUAUUUCAUGGAAAAGAACAGAUUUCUGGCAUCCUGUUCUUUAAUGGAGAAUGGUCUCGUUUAAGGAGUCGCCACCUAGUAUUAUGGUCACUAGGAACCCUAACUGGUCAACAGAGAUUCUAUGGUACGGGACUGGUUACGUAAAAGAGAAGAUAUUAUCACCCCUUAAACGUUCUGCCUGAGGCAGACUGCAUUGCUGGUUUUGUCUUAAAUUGCUAAAUGUUUAUUAGUUUACGCUAUGAUAAUUUGCUUAUAAUAUUCCUGACUCUGGCGUCAGUGAAUAUUCAACUACGAAUAUCUCCAACUCUGGCGUUGGUAAAUAUUACGUAGUUAUAAAAUAAAUUAGAUCAAUAUUUUUUUAUUACCUACUCUAGCAGUGAAUAAAUAAAUAAAAAUAAAUUUAUUUUUAAACAUGCACAUAUUUUUUUAUUUUUCUAGCUAAAUAAAAUAAAUAUAACGAAUAAAAAUAAUAUAAAUUUAAACCGGUAUUUUUAUUCCUGACUCUGGCAUCAGUGAAUAAACCAAUAAAUUUACAUUAUUUUUAUUUAUGCAUACACAUUUUUAUUUUUAUUUUUUUCUAAUAAUGAAUAAAAAUAAUAUAAAUUUAAACCGAUAUUUUUAUUCCUGACUCUGGAGUCAGUGAAUAAACCAAUAAAUUACAUUUUUUUUAUUUUUUUCCUAGGACUAUUUUUCCUACAUUUUUUUAUAUUUUUUUAUUUUUUUCCUAGGACUAAGCUUCACACGUGUAUGCAAAAGUAGUGAAUUAAAUUGGCCUAUGUACAGUACCCAUGCAAUUAGAAUUGCAAAGCAAAGGGAAAUGAAGAACUUACCUGUGCAGGAGGCGAAGUCGAAGACGGUGGCGAAGGUGUGCUGAAUUGCCAAAGCUACCUUCUCUCCUUCUCUGUUUUUAUUCUUCGUGCGCUUCUCCUCUGGUUUUGCUUUUCUUUACUUUGAUUGCUUCUCUUAUUCUUCCUGUCUCCCCCCCUGUGUUUGCUUGUUCUCAGUUCGCUUGUGUUUUCUUUUUUUAUCUGUUGUUCAGGGAAUGGAGGAGCUGGUGUAAGUGGAGACAAAGCAGCUGAUGCCUGAGAGGGCGUUGUACUGCUGCUGGAGCUGGAAGAGGCGCGCGUUGCUGGUUGCUGAUGCAUGCUCACGGUGCAUGGAAGUGGCUGAGUUGCUACUAAUCUUGACGAUACUGGUUUCGUCCGCUGUAAAAGUUUUCGUGCCCCUGCAUCCGAUCAAAGCUUGUGCUUUUCCAAGCAAAAGCCAUGGUCCCUUGAAACUCAGCAGAUUUUCGGAGCAAGGAGGAUCGCAUGCCAAUGUAGUUCAUGGUUCUGGUUUAGAGGCAGACGUGGCGGAGAUUAAUGGUGAUUGGGACCACAGCCUAGAAGGUGACCGGGAGGAAGAUGAUCUCGAGCCUUUAUUUGCUUCUUCUUUUUUUGUGAGGAGUUUGCAGAUCCCGGGGGUUGAGAAUGAAGAAUGAAAAAUCAGUUUGAUGGGGAAGAGAUUGAGGCCAGGCAAGAAGGGAGGAAAAGUCUGGGGGGAGGGGGCAGCGGCGGCUAGUCUAGGACUCGGCCGCGCCCCUUUUUUUUUUUGUAAAUGUCUUUUGUUUCUUUUUUUUUAUAUAGGUUUCUGGUAAUGAUCUUCUCCUGGGUUUUUUUUUUGUGUCGUUUAAGGUUCCUCUCUAAUCGUCUUCCUCUCCCCUCCGUUUUUCAUACCCUGAGAUCUGUAUUUAUAGUGCCAGAGUCCCUUCGCUUGUGAGAAACCAAGUUUCAAUCAAACUCAUUCUAUUUUUUGAAGUUUGAAUUUGAUUAAGAAUCAAAUUUGAAAGCGGAUAACUAUCAUUAUCUUAAAGACAAGGAUUAUCUCGAAGAUAAAGAUUAUCUUGAAGAUAGGGAUUAUCUUGAAGAUAAAGAUAGAAUGAUAAAAGCACAUUGUAGUCCUUAAUUUUCACGGAAGUUGACAAAUCACACUUUUCAUCGAAAUAAAUCUCUGAUCUUUUAAUUUUUCAUUUUAAACCCUGUAAAAAUUAAAUUAAAAGUCAAAGGGCCAAAAUUGGGUCAUGACAGUUGCCCCCUCUUUACAAUGCUUACGGUGCAAAUGCAUUAGAAAAUUUAUUUUCUUUUGACUUUGUAUAGUAAGUUUUGUAAAGAAAAAUAAUUGUGAAAGCCCUUCCUCUUUUCCUCCUUUUUUUUUUCUUCUCUUUUUUUUGAUUGAUUUUUUUGCUUUUUUUUUUUAAAUGGUCUAAUUGUUCCAGGCGACCUGCCUGAUAAAGAAUAAAAUGCGAAAAGGGUUUCGCGAGUGGUCUAAUUGUUCCAGGCGACCUGCCCGAUGAUUGAAAAAUACGAGGAUUUUUUUUUGUGAUGGUAUAUUGUAAUGGGUUACCGGCCCAGAUGGUCACAUUGUAAUGGGUUACCUGCCCAGUAUAGGAUGGUAUAUUGUAAUGGGUUACCGGCCCAAAUGGUCACAUUGUAAUUGGUUACCUGCCUAGUAUAGGAUGGUAUAUUGUAAUGGGUUACCAACUCAGAUGGUCACAUUGUAAUGGGUUACCUGCCCAGUAUAGGAUGGUAUAUUGUAAUGGGUUACCGACCCAAGUGGUCACAUUGUAAUGGGUUACCUGCCUAGUAUAGGAUGGUAUAUUGUAAUGGGUUACCGACCCAGAUGGUCACAUUGUAAUGGGUUACCUGCCCAGUUGGUCACAUUGUAAUGGGUUACCUGCCCAGUGGAUGGUAUAUUGUAAUGGGUUACCGACCCAGAUGGUCACAUUGUAAUGGGUUACCUGCCCAGUGGAUGGUAUAUUGUAAUGGGUUACCGACCCAGAUGGUCACAUUGUAAUGGGUUACCGGCCUAGUUGGUCACAUUGUAAUGGGUUACCUGCCCAGUGGAAAAAUACGAGGAUUUUUCAGAUGGUCACAUUGUAAUGGGUUACCUGCCCAGAUGGUCACAUUGUAAUGGGUUACCGGCCCAGUUGGUCACAUUGUAAUGGGUUACCUGCUUAGUGGAAAAAUACGAGGAUUUUUUUUUAAGACAUGAUAGGGCUCGAAGGCGCAUUAUUCAAUAGAUGGAAGCUCGAGGGAAAUGAGGGCUUGAAGGCGCCCUCAAAAGAAGGUAGGAUAGGAAAUGCACUACCUUUGAUGGUCGAGGGCUCGAAGGAGCGCUCGAAUGGAGGUAGGAUAGGAAAUGCACUACCUUUGAUGGUCGAGGGCUCGAAGGCGUGCUCGAAAAGAAAUAAGAUGAGGGCUCGAAGACGCGCUCGAAAGGAGGUAGGAUAGGAAAUGCACUACCUCAGGAGUGGAAACUGAAAGGUGGUGGGAAAAUAGAGAGAUUUUUUCAGGUGGCCUAAUUCUCAUGGGCGGCUUGCCCAGGUUGAAAAAUUCUCAAAAGUGAAAAUUUUUUCAAAAGCAAUUUCAAUGUUCGCCAUUUCAAGUUGGCCUUCCGCUUGAUGGAUUCCGUCAGAAUUUUUUUCUAAUAAAAUUUGCAAAACUCAUUGUCCAAUGUCUCAAAGUUUAAAUGAUAUGCAUGCAUCUUUACCUGAUUUGAAAUAUAGGCCCCCCAUUUCUUCUUAGUCUUCUCGUGGCUUGGUUGGUGAGAUCUUGCUAUCUGAUUUGAGUCAUCUUUGUCGUUUGGCUUUCUAGCCCACUCGAGUUAGCCCAUAUAAGACUUUUUCCAGAUUUGUUUGCACAACUCAGCCUUUGUGGUGCCCAUCGUGACCCACUUGCUUGCUAGAGAUUUUCUGUCUCGUCAAAUAGUUUGAGGGGAUCAUUCAUUACUCCUCGUCUCACUGAUAAAAAUAUUUGGUGUCACUUGCUGAAAGGAUCAAACUGUCUUUCGUAAACCAAAAUGCCCCCUUGUCUUGUUGUAGGAAAUGUUCCUUCUUUUUUUUUAGAACAGAUAGAUUUUUCUUAAGCACAAUAUUGCCCCCUUGUACUAGUCAUUGCCCCCAAGUGUGCCCUGUCAGCGACUUAGACAAAUAAUGGUUUUAAGAGACCAUUCUCUCAUUUCUCUCCUUUUCAGUUUGGUGAAGGAAUAUGGGUUUAGAAUGAAUCUUGAAAUCUUGAUCUUGCAUUUUGAAAACAAAAAAUUAUUUCGAUGUGAGUCUAAAACAAUUUGCUUUUGAAAUCUUGCAACUCCUUGGUUAUUUUCUUUCUUGGAAAAGAGAUUAUUUGCUCUUGUGUUUGGCAAUGAGAUCUUUGAUGAAAAUACGUCAUGAGAUGACCUUUUGUUUUUAUAGGUUUUUAAAGUGGAGGGCUCGAGAAAGAGCUCGAGGUUUUGUAUGAGAAAAACUUGUCUCUUUUUUUAACAUUUAUUUUUAUCAGCAUCAAUAAUAAUGAGUAGCUUAUUCUUGAUGUCAUGAAUCUUAUGAAAAAGUAUUCUUUGCAUUUUGAGAGCAUUGUUUAUUGUUCUAGGUUGCUUGCUUGCUUGAUUAGAAAGGACUUCUACAGGCACAUAACGUAGGCUGUGGUUUUUGGCUAUGAAAGAAAAGGAUUCAUAAGGCUCAAAGAGUGUUUCAGGGUUUCAAAGAAUGAAGAUCACAAUCAACAGUUUGACUCUUGACGUCAUUCAUAUUUUCUUUUGCCGCUCUUCUUUGAUUUGCCUUUUUUUCUUUUUUCUUUUUCAUUGCUUUGCUAGAGCAUACUCACUUUAUCUUGGUUAUCACUUUUUCUUGUGAUUUGGGCAUGCCCCCUAGCAUUUGAGUUUCUUGGGCUCUUUUGCCUUUUGACUUUCUCACGGCUUUAUUAUCUUUCUUGAUCAUUGAAAUUUCACUUGCCCCCAGUGUGGGGUGUGAUCCUAGUCGGGAUUUUUUCAUGAAAGAAAAAUUAUUCAGGCUCAAAAAGGGAUCGCAAGGGAUGUACUUAUUUCAGAAUAUGAAAGGAAUAACAAAGAUGGCAUUUCCUCAUUUCAAGCGCAAGCAGUUAAGAUCAAUAAACUUUGACCUCAUCUAGUGUGAUAGUUUGGUCUUUGCAAAGAUGCAUUUCAAGGGUCAUGAGCAACAAGUUCACUACAUACCAUUAUUCAUACAUUUAAAAACACAUGAUUCAAGAGUCGUGGGGUAAGGGUGUUUAUUUAUUUCUUUUCUCUUUUUUCUUUUUUUCUUUUUGGUUUAUAAUUUAGUCACCUCAUUGAUGGAGUUACUUGAUUAACACGUAGAAUGUUAAAAAUAUGGUUUUUGAAUAAACAUCAAGUUAUUUUCGGAAUCAAAAUGCAAGAUCAAUUUUUUCAAAACUCUAAUAGGGAAACUGAUUUUUGGUAACAGAGACAAAUUGCGUCUAUGAGAUCGCACAAGGCUUCAAAGAUGUGUUUGUGAGUCUUUAUAAGAAAACUCUCUCAGAAAAAUGAAUAAUGCUAAUCGUACACACGAUUGAAUGACAAACUCAUUAUUUUCAUUGAAACUUUGGAAAAUAAGUUCAACAAGAAAGAACUCAUGACAACAUCUUGGGCUAUGAAUACUGGCAUGAUAGCAUAUAAAGGGGCUAAACAUUUAACAAUCAUUGAUUGGAAUUUCUGGAAUCAUUCAUUCUCCUUGACAAGGGCAUCUCUUCAAUAGUCAAUAAUAUCACCAUAGCUUUAUCUUCAAGAUAGUUGAUUUCUAAAAAUUGGUGUGAAGCAAUUAGCUAUAGGAACGAUAACUGUCUUGGCAGCCACCUUCAGUGAAACCGUUCUUCUUAGUUAGGUUAGCAAUCUUACAUAACCCAAUGGCUUGUUCAAUCCUCUCAGCUAUAACAACCAGGUCAGUGAAAUGUUGCGCAGAGCUUCUAACCAAGUAUUCAAAGUAUGAAGCUUUAAAGUUGUUGGAAAAUAAACUGAUCAUCUCUUUUUCCAACAUAGAAGGGUUAACCUGUGCAGCUACCUCCCUCCAUCUUCGAGCGUAUUUCCUUAUGGACUCCUUAUUGUCCUUCUCCAUAGCUUGCAAGUUUAAACGAUCAGAGUCCACGUCUAUAUUGAACUUAUAUUGUCUCAUGAAGGCAUCAACUAAAUCCUUCCAUUUUUUAACCUUGGUAUUUUCCAACCGCAUAUACCAAGUGAGGGCAACGUCACUCAAAUUGUCUUGAAAGAAGUGAAUUAACAGUUUCUCGUCAUAGACUACCUCAACCAUUUUGUUGCAGUAUGUCUUGAGAUGAGUUACAGGGCAUUGAGUUCCUGUAUAUUUGAUGAAUUCUGGCACUCUAAACUUCUUAGGAAUGACUACGUUAGGUACCAAACACAUCUCAACAGCUUUUAUAUGGUCAUGUAGGCUAGUUCCCUCGAAUGCCCUCAGUCUUUGUUCCAAGGCAGCCCUUUUAUCCAGGCCAUCUUCUUUUACCACCUUGUUCUUUUGAGAUUCCUUUAUUGUAAGGUCAAUGGUAGAUGACAUUCCUAUGGGAUAUGCUGGUUGAGCAAAUUGGGAAUACAUAGACUGUUGAGACACCUCAUUUGCCCCCAGAUUCUGUGGAUUUACGAGCAUAGGUUCAGGCUGAGCUGUAGAUUUUGCUUCUUCAUGUUUAGAUCUCAAGGCUUGUUCGAGUAAGCUAGUAAGCCUGGCAACUUUCCAUCUCUUUUCGGUGUGGGGCUUCCAACUGGGCUCUUUCUUGUAAAAAAUUCCACACAAGGCUGUGAUUAAGAGAUUAACAAGAUGAUAGAUAUUUUUUUAGUAAAAUGAAUUCCAAUUCAAAAUAGCAAAAUAAGGUUUGUUGAGGCUUUUCUAGUAUAUAAAAAAAUCAAAUUAUACAAGAUUUAUUAUUAAUCUUCGAUAUUUAUUAUUGAUCAUCAAUAAUCAAUAUUAAAUGAUGACUUAUUUUCUAGUAUAAACUAUGUUUGAAAUAAAAUUGAUAAAACACAUUAUAUAUAAUUAAUGAUGGGAUCGUAUAUAAAAAUAAUUAAAUUGAGAUUUUUCAAUUACCUUUAAAUAUAUCAUAGUUUUAAUCGGUGGUGGACGAUAUAACAUAUGUAAAUUAUAAAACAAGCAUUUAUUUUUCUGAUAUAUACAUAAUAAUAACAAAUUAAAUGAUAGUAACAAGAAAAUAGCAAUUAGUUUGAAUAAAUGGUACCAGUUCCUAUCAUUAUAUAUUUAGGAAAAGGUUCAAAGAAUAGAAUAAAGUCAAAUAUAUAUUUUUAAUAAAAAAGAAAAAAAAACACAGAAAGAAAUAAAAAUAUGUUUGUAAUAAAUAUAAAAGAUGGAUAAAAAUAUUAGAGAAUAAGAAAGAGAUAUAGAAUCUCUUUGUGAAAUUUCUAAAAACUUAAUUACAAUUAUAUUAUAAUUUCUUCCCUAAAAUUAUUCAAAAUAUAGUAUUAGAAUUAUAUAAUGCUAGGUUUUAAUAGUUAAUUAAAGAAUCUUUCCUGAAUCAAAUAAUAAAAAUAUUGUAUAACGAUCUUUUGGAUGAAUUGUUAAUGUAGCUCUUUGACUGUUUGGGGUCCUGACAUAGCUGAUUUUAUUUGAAUAUAUUAUUUGAUAUCUCAUUGCUGCAUUGACUGGAAAUUUCAGUAUUCCAUAUCCUAUAUAUUUAACUCGUUAUAUUUAGUAGCUAACUCUGCAGCUAACUUCUCUGUCCCAUUGCAGCAAUUUCAUAGCUAACUCUUUGUUAUAUUUAACUUACUCUUCUUUGCUUCUUUGCUUCUUGCUCAUAACGAUAACUUGAAAGCCUUACGUUCAGAUAGAUAAUCAUUGACCAGUUCAUUGACCAGUUCUUUGUUAAUUUAGAAAUGCUGAAACAAAAACGCAAGCAAUCCAAAGAUGAAGACAACGAUUCAUCCUCGCGAAAGAGAAGAAAAGCUGACCUCAGUAAGCCUGUCAGUUUUGUCUCCACAGGUAAGGCAUAUGCGUGAGUCUAUACAUGUAGGAACUGCUGAUUCGAUUUGAAUAUGUUAUUUGAUUAGUCUGAUCAUAGGAUAGGUUGAGUCUACUACUAUUUCUGCCUUGCUUUGACUCGAAAUUCCUGGUGUUUUCACCUGCAAAUGAAUAGAAAUCACAUCCUUUCUCUUUCUCCUAUACAAAGAAUACAGUUAACCUCAUUUCAAUAUCAUAGAUUUGGAAUUUCAUAGCUAACUCUUUGUUAUAUUGCUCCAUUGGUAAUUGAUUGUGCCUUAAUUUCUGCAGCUACCAUGACAGAGCCAGGGUCUUCUCGAUCUAGUCCAGAAGGGGCCUAUGAUGUCUUCUUGAGUUUUAGAGGAGAAGACACUCGCAAGACAUUUACAGAUCAUCUAUAUGCUGCCUUAGAUCAAGCAGGAAUCCGCGCUUUUCGAGAUGAUGAUGAACUUCCGAGAGGAGAAGAAAUCUCCGAUCAUCUCCUCAGGGCAAUUCAAGAAUCAAAGAUAUCCAUAGUUGUCUUCUCAAAAGGAUAUGCUUCUUCUAGAUGGUGUCUCAAUGAACUUGUAGAGAUUCUUGAGUGCAAAAAGAGGAAAACCGGUCAGAUUGUUCUUCCUAUAUUCUAUGACAUUGAUCCUUCAGAUGUGAGAAAACAGAACGGCAGUUUUGCAGAAGCAUUUGUUAAACAUGAAGAGCGUUUUGAAGAGAAGUUGGUGAAGGAGUGGAGAAAAGCUCUUGAGGAGGCUGGAAAUCUAUCUGGAUGGAAUCUCAAUGAUAUGGCAAAUGGGUAUGCCUUUUUUCCAAAUUUAUGGAGUCAAUAUACUUUAUAUUUUUCAAUGUGAAACAAUAAAAUACUUAAUUGACUGGCUAUCAAUGACUGGCUUUUGUCUAUGAGCAGGCAUGAAGCAAAAUUUAUCAAAGAGAUUAUCAAGGAUGUGUUGAAUAAAUUAGAUCCCAAGUACUUAGAUGUUCCUGAGCUCCUAGUAGGUAUGGAUCGGCUUUCUCGCAAUAUUUUUGACUUUCUAAGUACUGCAACACAUGAUGUACGCAUUGUGGGCAUACAUGGGAUGCCAGGAAUAGGAAAGACAACUAUAGCAAAAGUUGUAUUUAAUCAACUCCGCUAUAGAUUCGAGGGAAGCUGCUUUUUUUCGAAUAUCAAUGAAACAUCAAAACAAUUCAAUGGUCUGGCUCUUUUACAAGAGCAACUUCUUCAUGAUAUUUUAAAACAAGAUGUUGCUAACAUCAAUUGUGUCGAUAGAGGAAAGGUUCUGAUCAAAGAACGACUUCGUCGCAAAAGAGUUCUUGUUGUUGCUGAUGAUGUGACUCGUCAGGACCAGCUAAAUGCUUUGAUGGGAGAGCGAGGUUGGUUUGGUCCCGGAAGUAGAGUAAUUAUUACAACAAGAGAUUCAAGUUUUCUACAUAAAGCGGAUCAAACAUAUCAAAUCGAAGAAUUGAAACCAGAUGAGUCCUUUCAACUUUUCAGCUGGCAUGCCUUGCGGGACACCAAGCCAGCAGAAGAUUAUAUUGAGCUUUCGAAGGAUGUAGUUGAUUACUGUGGAGGAAUUCCUUUGGCUCUUGAGGUUAUGGGUGCUUGUCUGUCCGGGAAAAACAGAGAUGGUUGGAAAUCUGUAAUUGACAAAUUGAGAAGAAUUCCAAACCGCGAUAUCCAAGGAAAGCUUAGAAUAAGUUUUGACGCACUGGACGGUGAAGAACUACAAAAUGCAUUCCUUGACAUCGCUUGCUUCUUUAUUGAUAGAAAGAAAGAGUACGUCGCAAAAGUGCUAGGAGCCCGUUGCGGUUACAAUCCAGAAGUUGAUUUGCAAACUCUCCAUGAGAGGUCUCUGAUUAAAGUAUUGGGAGAGACGGUAACCAUGCAUGAUCUAUUACGAGACAUGGGAAGGGAGGUCGUUCGUGAAAAGUCUCCAAAACAACCUGGAGAGAGGACCAGAAUUUGGAAUCAAGAGGAUGCAUGGAAUGUACUUGAGCAGCAGAAGGUAAGAGCUCAAUGCAUACAUGAAAGCAUAGUCAUGCGUAUUUUCUAGUCAAACUUAUUACAAGUAAUUGUAUGAAAGUUGUAUUGAUUUAUUUUUUAGGGUACGGAUGUCGUAGAGGGUCUUGCACUGGAUGUCAGAGCAUCAGAAGCUAAAUCACUUAGCGCAGGAUCAUUUGCAGAAAUGAAAUGCUUAAAUUUACUCCAAAUCAAUGGAGUUCAUCUCACCGGAUCCUUCAAACUGCUUUCUAAAGAGUUGAUGUGGAUUUGUUGGCUUCAAUGUCCUUUGAAAUAUUUUCCAUCUGAUUUUACCUUGGAUAAUUUAGCUGUUCUUGAUAUGCAGUACAGUAACCUCAAAGAACUAUGGAAGGGAAAAAAGGUGAGAAACAUGCUGCAAUCCCCAAAAUUUCUCUAUUAUGUAAUUUAUAUUUACAUGUUACAACUUCUUAAGAUUAAUUUUCAUUAUUUUGCGCUCUAUUAUACAGAUUCUCAACAGGCUAAAAAUCCUUAAUCUCAGUCAUUCUCAGCACCUUAUUAAAACACCAAACUUACACAGUUCAAGUCUAGAGAAAUUAAUUCUGAAAGGUUGCUCGAGUUUAGUUGAGGUGCAUCAAUCAAUUGAAAAUUUGACGAGCCUUGUUUUCUUGAAUCUCAAGGGAUGUUGGAGGCUGAAGAAUCUCCCUGAAAGAAUUGGCAAUGUAAAGUCUCUUAAAACUCUGAAUAUUUCUGGGUGUUCACAACUUGAGAAAUUGCCAGAACGCAUGGGUGAUAUGGAAUCCUUAACUAAGCUGCUAGCUGAUGGGAUUGAAAAUGAGCAAUUUCUCUCUUCAAUUGGACAAUUAAAGCAUUGCAGAAGGUUAUCAUUGCAUGGAGACAGUUCGACGCCACCAAGUUCUUCUUUGAUUUCAACAGGUGUUUUGAAUUGGAAACGUUGGCUGCCAGCAUCUUUCAUUGAAUGGAUAUCAGUGAAACAUCUUGAGCUUUCUAAUAGUGGUUUGUCUGAUCGCGCAACUAACUGUGUUGAUUUCAGUGGUUUGUCUGCUCUAGAAAAAUUGGAUCUAACAGGAAACAAAUUCUCUAGGCUGCCUUCUGGGAUCGGCUUCCUUCCCAAGCUAACGUAUUUGUCUGUUGAGGGAUGCAAAUAUCUUGUAUCAAUCCCAGAUCUUCCCUCAAGUUUAGGGCAUUUGUUUGCAUGUGAUUGCAAAUCAUUGAAAAGAGUAAGAAUACCAAGCGAGCCAAAAAAAGGACUAUUUAUAAAGCUAGAUGACAGUCAUUCGUUAGAAGAGUUUCAGGGCAUUGAAGAUCUAAGUAAUUGUUUCUGGUAUAUUCGUGUUGAUGACCGCAGUCAUUCACCAAGUAAAUUACUAAAGAGCGUUGUUGAGGUACUAUUUCUUUCCGUCUCUCUUUCGCACAAAAAGAAACACACACAAUUGGCACAUACAUUGAUUAAUGUCUAAAAUCUCAGCAUUCCUUGAAAUCAAUAUGUAUAUAGGCAAUAAUUAUUAUUAUUAUUAUUAUAUUUUAAAAAACAAAUAUCAUGUUUUAUAAUAUUUUUUAUUUUUCUUAUUUAAUCUAAAAAAUUAAAUAUUAUCUUUAAUAAUAUUUUUUAUUAAAUAUUUAAAGUCUGAUUGGUUUUAUUUUUUAUUUCUUGAUUUUAUGAUAAUAUAUUUAUACAGUUAAUGUGCAACGGUCGUCACGGGUAUUUUAUUCGCCACACUCCUAGUGAGAUGCCAAACUGGAUGAGCUACAGGGGAGAAGGAUGCUCAUUGUCAUUCCAUAUACCUCCAGUCUUUCAAGGCUUAGUUGUUUGGUUUGAUAAGGAUGAUCAUUAUUACUUCCACACUGACAUUAUUAUUAUUAUAAGAAAUAAAAGCAACGGUAUUCAAUUGUUUGAAGAAGAACGAACAGUACCAGAAAAUGAAAACAAUACCUCCAAAUUAGUAGAACGAACAGUAUCAGAACGAACAGUACCUCCAAAUUAGUAGGGUACAUCUCUUUUUGCCGAGUUGAUAUGAAUUCGUUAGCUUGAUGAAAACAACCGAAAGUUCUGAAAGCAUCCUUAAUUAGUAUAAUUAGUAAAGUCUUGUUAGUUUUGGCUAUAAGUUUUUGUUAUGUAUUAUUGCAUGGUUUUUAUUAUUUGUUGGCCCUUGUUUUUUUUAUAUACAACUUUUAUUUUUAUUGUCGGUUUGUCAUUAGCUUUAUGGCACUAACACUUAUUAAUAAUAAAUCUUGGACUAUUAUUAAAUAAAGGAAAAAUAAAAACAUUGUUAAAAUACCAAACUUGCAUAUUUCAAACUUAGAGAAAGCCGAUGAUAAUAAUCCAAUUUAGAAAAUAAUUAAUUUGUCCUUGUAGUAUUAGAAAAUAGUAUUUAAUCCUUAUGUUUUCAUAUUCAUCUAUGAUUUAAUCUCUUACAUCCAUUUCAUUUUCUUAUUAUUUUAAUCCAAAAAAAACUAAAAAUCACAUAUCAUGAAUACCAAUUAGAACGGAAGUGAAGACCAAUUAGAAGACUAUAAUCCAUAAUUCUCUCUGCUUCUAAGAAUUCACAGUCCCUAUAAAUUUGACUGAGAAAGAAAGAACUGAAGACAAACACAUGUUAACCUCUCAAGAUUAGUGCCUCACAAAAGAACAAGAUAAAGGAAACACCGCAAUUUUUCAUGAUAAAAUCCAAAGGAUUGGUACUUUGGUGUUUGUGGCGCUGGUAUAUGAAAGAACAGAGAUCAAGAGAUGAAAUCCCUCUAUACCGCUGUUAUUCCUUUCAAGGUGCGUAUCAGGUGUUUGAAAAACUUCCUCAACUUAAAGUAGAAAGGUCUUGUUUACAACGUUUUUUAGUCCUUUUCAAGUCUUCCAAUGUGUUGCAUUUACUGAAUAUGAUAGUGGGAAUUUAGUUAUCACCUACUAUCUUCUAAGACGCAUCUCUGUCUCCUCUUCUUCUUUAUAAAAUUAUUCCCUUCUAGUUCUCUAAUGUACUUGAUGUCCCGGAAGUGUGGCUUCUUCAUAUGAAGAAUACGUUAAGAUUCAAUUAUGAUUUUAGAUUCCAUUGCCUACAAAUUUGAACCAUGAUAAUGUAGCAUACGGACCAGUCAUGCCUAUCUACAUUAAUUAGAAUAGGCCUCCACCCUCUUAGGUUUUUAUUGAGAUUAGGGAUUCUAUUGUAGCUCUUUUUUCUCCUUUUAUUAUAACAAAAUAAUAUGUAUGGAUUAAUUUUCGUAUACAGAAACUAAGUCCUUUAAUCAAAUUUUAGAUUGACCAUCCUCUAUUUUUUAACUGUUUGAUACUUGUUUAAAAAAAAUACUAGUAAUGAGGGCAUGAAAUUAAGAAGGUGUGUGGGAAUGUGGUUGUGGUUGUUUUUGAAAAUAUAUUUUACUUAAAAAUAUAUCAAAAUAUUAUUUUUUUUAUUUUUAAAAAUUAUUUUUAAUAUUAACAUAUUAAAAAUAAAACGGUUAAAGAUAAAGUCCCAAAACAUAUUCUGCCCUUCUCCCCAAUGAACGUGGGCAGGCUUGACAUUUACUCGUUUACAAAACUGAGCCCAGUGGCAAAGAGGCCUGCUUAUUAUGCCUUUAGCUGAGACUGCUGUAGAAAUAAGUAGGCCUGAUCAAUUGGACUAAAUUUUUGUUUUGCUGUAGAAACACGUUUUUCCUUUGUGAGAAAAAGCAAGUUCAAAAAAACAGAAGAAGCAGAAUUUGAAAAAAAGAAGAGAAAAAAGAAAGAUGCUUUAGUUUUUAAUCCAUAAUGUCCAAAGUGACUGGGUAGAUAAGAUCCAGCCCAUUUGGGUCCAUCAAAGUCAUUUGUGGUAGCUUAUGACUAAUGUGCCCAAAGGAUGGCGGUUCAGUAACGGUCCAAGUAAAGAAACUAAUCUGGAAAAGGAAAUCAUGCCCAUCAGAAUUCAGAAGAUCAUUCUGCGUCCAUUUCACAUUAGCAAAAUGAAUCAAAACACCCAUUAGAAUUUUGAAGUCAUGUAUCUUCGAUGAAUUGCAAGCCAUAUCCAAAAGUUUCAUCAUCCAUAUGCCAAGCAGCAUGCAUGCAUGCAAAAUAUGGUGAGACAGAGUCAUCAGAUAAAAAAGAAAAAUAGUAGUGGAAUAAUUCUUUUAAUAUUUAAAAAUUAAAAAAUACUGUGUAACUGUUUUGUAUAAAUUGUAAAGUCAAGGACUCUUUUGUGCUUGGUAAAAUACCUCACACUAAAAUUAAUAAAUAAUAACACGAGAAGGACCAAAGUUAAUAAAUAAUAGCAUGCACGAAACUUUACAAUACAGUAAAAAAAUUGUUACAGUAAAAGCACAGAGAGAAGAACGGUUCCAUAAAAAGAUGUGGUAAGUCUAAUGUUGGGAGACUGCUCUUCCAAGGAUCCUACGGUUGCGAGCCAUGUGAAUGCAAAAGGAGCCAGUUGUUGCAACUCCAAAUUCCUUGCUUUUUUUCCUCUACGUACGUGUUACCUUUAACCUUUUAUAAUUAUGAUUGUUGCGUUGCUAAUUAUAAUUUGCAAGAAAGAUGAUGAACAUCUUUUAGUGAAUUAAGUUCAAUUCAAAAUAACAAAAUAAGGUUUGUUGAGGCUUAUCUUCGAACCUCAUUUUAGGAUUAAUAGACGAAAAUCAAAAAGUCCUGUGCAAAUUAUACAAAAUUUAUUAUUAAUAAUCAAUAUUUAUGAUUGAUCAUCAACAUUAAAUAAUGGCUUAUUUUCUAGUAUAAACUAUGUUUGAAAUAAAAUUGAUAACAGACACACAAUUAAUGAUGGUAUUGUAUAUUUUGAGACGAAAUUAAGGUUUUUCAAUUAAUGCUAAAACAUAUCAUGGUUUUAAUAGUUGGAUGGUACAUUAUGUAAAAUAUAAAAAAAUAUUUAUUUUUUUGAUAUACAUAGUAAUAAUAAAUUAGAUGAUAAUAACAAAAAAAUAGAAAUUAGUUUGAAUAAAUAGUACCGGUUCAUAUUAUGAUAUAUCUAGAGAAGAAGUUGGAAGAAUAGAAUGAAAUCAAAUAUUAAUAUAAAAAAAAAUAUUGAAGUAAUGAGUACAUGAAGCAAGAUAAUUAGUGGUUGAAUAUAGAUUAUAACUAAUUAUUUGUUCUGAUGAAGAUUACCAAUUAAAUACAAACAAAAAAAAUGUUUCUAAAAUAAAAGGAUAUGAAUUAACUAUAGAAACUAAAGAGUGGAUCGGUUAUCUUUAACGUUUGCAAAUAAUUAAAAGAGAUAUAAAUUUUGUGAUGGGUUAUGAUUAACGCAGAAGCAAAUAAAAGAGGAACAGAAAUUAUAAGCAAAUAUUGUUUCCUGGGCGGAAGUGUUUGGCACUGUCGAUAAAAGUUUUUUGAAAAAAAUUAAUUUUAUUUUUAUUUUUUUAUUUUAAAUUAAUAUAUAUUUUAUGUUUUCAGAAUAUUUUGAUGUAUUAAUAUCAAAAAUAAUUAUUCAAAAAUAAAAAAAAAUCUAACCAUUAGAGCUUCUCUCUCAAUCGUCUUUCUUUUUUUUAAUAACUAGAUUAUUAAAAUUACAAGAAUUAAGUUAAUAUUUCAAAAAAUUUCAAAAAAAUAUUUUGUUUUCUUUUAGUAUCUGGGAUUAUGAAUUUAUACGUAAAAUGUAUUCUUGAUAUUAAAAAAAAAGAUAAGGAUCUUCUUACUGAGGAAGACUUAUCUUGAACCUUAGACAUACUAAUUAGAAAACAUGACAAUACCUUAAUUUUUCUCAGACAAUUAAACAAUGCAAUUGUGUAUUUGGGGUGCUAAUAUAUUUUUUUUUACACAAUCAGUUUUCAUGCUCGAUCUCUAAGAUUAAUUAGGGUUUCUAGUAACUAAAAUACUAAGUAAAUAUUUUCUAGUAAAUUAAUUUCAAUUCAAAAUAACAAAAUAAGGUUUGUUGAGGCUUAUCGUGAAACCUUGUUUUGGAUGAAUUGAUCACGAGAAUGAGAAAUCAUGUGUAAAUUAUACAAAAUAUAUUAUUAAUCAUCAAUAUUUAUUAUUGAUUAUCAAUAUUGAAUAAUGGUUUUUUAUAAUAUAAAUUAUGUUUAAAAUAAAAUUGAUAAAAUUAAAAUUCAUGAAACACAAUUAAUGAUGGGAUCUACAUCUUUUGAAUUUAUUAGAAUGAACGUGUAAUUAAAGGACGAACCACAUACCAUUACAUGCGUUUUCAAUUGGAUUUUUUAUUUAAAUGAAAAAAAAUCUGUUUUAUAUGAAAAAAAUAUUUAUUUUUUUGAUAUACCUAAUAAUAAUAAAUUAGAGAAUAGUAACAAGAAAAUAGGAAUUAGAUAGACUAAACGGUACCAAUACUAUAUUCUUAAUAAAAAAAAUAUUUUUAAUAAAUAUAAAAGAUGGAUGAAAAUUGUUGCUACUCGAUUUUUUACCUAUAUUUUAAAUAAUUUUUCAGAAAAAAAUCAAAAUAGUAAAAACACAACGAAAAUCUCAAAAAAUGUAUUUUUGAUAUAUUUGUAUUGUUUUUAGCAUUUUUAAUAUUAUCUCAAAAAAAUUUUAAUUUUCAAAAGUAUUUUAAACGCGUUUAAUUUUUAAUGCGUAAAAUUUACAAUUACUGAUUUGCCUUAUUAAGUUGAUAUUGAUAUGAUUUGUUUUUAAAAAAAUUCAAAAUAUAACAAAUAAAAAAAUAUCAAAAUUUAUAUAUAUAAAAAAAAAUGAGGAACCAGUUUGGAAAUCUAAUAAGAUUUUGGCUAUAAAUACAGUGAAAAAUGUCAACAUCCGGGGGGAAUUGAGAGGAAUAGUGGCGUAGAAAAUUUUGGGGGGAAACAAAAGUAAAGAACCCUAGACCUCUUCCUUUUGGCAGUGUGGUAGUGGUUGCUUUUCAAAUAAUUUUUCGUGCCGAAAUACAUGCCAAUGAUAUUUUUUUAUUUUUUAAAAAUCAUUUUUGACAUCAGCACAUCAAAACGAUCCAAAAAAUACAAACCACACUCAAUUUUAACAAAAAAAAAAACAAAUUUGAAAUUUGGUGAAAAGCAGGUUGAACAGCAGAGCCAAACAUGCUAGACAGGAGCCGCCGCCUCCCUCUCAAAAAAUCCAGAGAAACCCUCCCUCUCUAAAAAAAAACAGGAGAAACCCUACUUUGGGGUUUUGAACUUUCGGCUUCUUCUCCCUGCAGCCGGACAAGGCUGCCCCCUCGCUUUGCCAAAAACGAGGAGAACCCCACAAAACACACAGACCCCCCCCCCCCAAAAAAAAAAAAAAAACCAUCCCCAGAGAAACCAACCCCCAGCCGGCGACCCCCAGCCUUAACAACAAAGAAAGACACGGCUGGUCCCCCCUCUCCACUGAUCUUCUCCCUCACCAACCUUCCCCUCUCUCGGCCGCUCACUUCCCCUCCGUCAAAAACAGAGACCGGCCGCCCCCCCCCUCUCCUUUGAGGCCAGGAACCAGAGAAACCAGAGAGCUCCGGACAGGCCUCCCUCUCCCUCGACCACAACCUCCAUCCUCCCUCUCUGUAAUCCAGCCCCCACAAACCCACAAGACAGCCCCGGCUCCCUUCCUCAUCGCCGUUUUCUCCAACUCUGACCGACCCCUCUCUCAGCCACCGAGAACGCCGCCUAGCAGCCCGCAGGCCCUCGUCCUCACCAAGACCCGAACCGGCCACCGGCAGCUGUACAGACACGACAGAAGCUCCGCCGCCGGCCGCCCCUUGCACAUACCGUCGGCCACCUGAAACAGAAGGUGAAAAAAAAAGAAAAAAACAGAUCUGCAGAAGAAACAGAUCUGAAACAAGGGAAGACCGAAACAGAUCUAAAGAAGAAGAAUAAAAAUCAACUGCUUUGUUGCGUUUUUGGUUGUUCUUGCAGGUCACUGCCGAGGAAAGGAAGAGGAGGAGAAGUUAAGCCAGAUCCACAUGUUCACAGUUUCUGCUUGCGGUGACGCGUGAACCCACACGCCGCCAGUGGCAUGGUGCGUGGAGAAGACGCUCCGCCACUGUUCCCAUCCCCAGAACCCUUUCAGCACUGUUCCCGAGGUUUUUUUUUAUUUAAUUUUCAGAUGUUGAUAUGUGUUUUUAGAUUAUUUUUAUUUGAUUUAUUUUGAAUUCUUGGUAUUUUGUAAUAUGGAAAUGUGGGUGCACGAGAAAAACAUAAUAAAAAGGAAUUUAUGUGUUUGUAUUUUUUUUAUGUAAGUUAUUGAAUUAUAAAAUCAGAAAGAUAAAAAAAAAUAAAUUUAAUGUUUUAAUUUGUAUAUGGUCAAGUAUAUGAUGAUAAUUAAAAUUAUGUUGUAUUUUUCAUAUUUUUCAUAAAAAUAUAAGAACAUGUUUCUAUAUAUUUUCUGGUGGAAGCUUUAAAAUUUGAUUAAUAUUUUAUUUUUUAAAAUUGUAUCUUCAAAUUAAAUUAUGAAGCAACUUAUCUCAGGUAAGAUGUGUUAGAGGUGUUAAUAUUUUUUCAAUUAUAAUCAAUUUUUUAUCCUUGAAUCUUUGACAAGACUAACAUAUCCAGGUUUUUUAGUAGGUGAUGACUUUCAAGAACAAGCAAACGAAGAAAAUCACUAAUUGACGCCGUGCAGGGAACGUGCGACAAAAAUAUUAGAGAAUAAAAUUGAGAUAUAGAAUCUCUUUUUUAUAUUUCUAAAAACUUAAUUUCUGUUGUAACCUAUUUUUGAGUCCCACACUAAAAUGGAGAAUAAACAAAUUUGGAAGAAAUCUAAAAAAAUAAUAGCAAUGAGAAGAGGAUGCCGAAACACCUAGAAAAUAGCUAGAAAUUGGUUGAGGAGGUUCAAAAAUACAAAAAUUAAAAUUUGACAGUAUAUAUUUGACUGAUGAGAGCUCUAUUGAAAAAGAAAAUUUAAUUUGAGAAAAAAAAGUUUAAAAUCAGAUGUUUAUGGAUUUAAUUAAUUUUAUUGAAGGAUUUAUAAAGAGUUUGAUUGCAAGAAAAAUUGAUUUUUAAGUCAAUUUAGACUUUAAUUGAAAGAAAUUAAAGUUCUGAGGUCAAAUUACAAUUUUUAAGAGUUAAUUUGGUCAAAUUAGGAGUUUAAUUACAUAAAUAUUAAAGUUUGAUGGCUAAUUAGGGACUUGUUUAAAUAAAUCCAAAACUAAUGACCAAAAGUUCUAUAACUCUAGAUAUAGUUAACAAUCUGAUGAGUGUUCAGACAGUAACAGUUCAAUGUCGAGACAGUAACAGUUGGACAAUAACAGUUAGACAGUAACAGUUCAAUGUUUAGACAGUAACAGUUGGACAGUAACAGUUCAAUAUCUAGACAGUAACGGUUGGACAGUAACAGUUCAAUGUCUAGACAGUAACAGUUCAAAUUAGACAGUAACAAUUAGACUUUCACGUGAAUACUAUAUGUAAGAAUAUAAAAGAACUGAGUCAUGCGAACACUUGCACGUUGAGACACUUAUGCAAUUUAAAGUUCUUCUGGUGAAUGCAAUUACAAUAAAUACCAUGUUCAAUGUAAAUAAAGUCCAGCGUAUUUACAAGAUUAGCUACAGCUAAUGGCAUCCGUGAUAGGAUUGCCGGGAAAUGAAUUACAAGAGUAGCUUGGGCUAAUAAUGUCCAUGUUGGGACGCCCGAGAACGAUUGAUAAGACUUGAUUUGUAAAGGGUAUCAAUGUUUGAAUGACUUGGGAAAUUGAUAAAUAUAAGUUGACUGUUAUAAUUCUUAUGGAUCCGAUAGAAAAUUUAUACUUCAUUCGUAUACCUUACAUGUGCACAUAUAUAUUUCUUUUGCAAACAUAAUGGUAUGUUUAUUUAUGUAACAAGGCCAUCAAAUAUCCAAGGAGAUCAUUAGUUUAGGGCUCUAUUUUGUCAAUCUUAUGUAAAUAUUUAACUUAAGCAUAAUGGAAUUAACGUGUUUAUGCAGUAUGCUUUUGUGUAAACCUUGAUGUAUUUAUAAAAGUCCAGCUUAACAUGUAGUACAUUAGUUAUCUUGUAAUUAACCCUCUUGAAAUGUUUAAGAAUACUUAAUAAAUUGUAAAUGCUCUCUUUGCAUGUUAUUCCCUUUUCUUUUAAAUUUUAUGACAUGAUAUAUAGGCUAUGUUCAUAUUGAACUUACUAGUAGGAUAUAUAUAUAUAUAUAUAUAUAUAUAUAUAUAUAUAUAUAUAUAUAUAUAUAUAUAUAUAUAUAUAUAUAUAUAUUGUGUGGAUUGUAUGAGUUGUUGAAUAUUGAUAAUUGAAAUAAGGUCUGGAAUUAUGGGACCUUGUGAUGAUGGGUUGAUUGAGUAAAUUGGUAGUAGUCGAUAAUUUGGAAUGUCCUAAAUACAAACGAAACUUUGCCGAAUUUUUGGUAGAUUUAAAAAAAAAAAAUUACCCUCAAAUUAAGAACAUAUGUUGGGAUCUUUUAACGUUGAUCAAGUCGUACAGUCGGGUCUGUUACAUAUACCGUAAAGAUACAAAUCCAGUAUUAAAAUACGUGGUUUUCACCAAAAUAUUGCAAAAGUUAAAUAAAAGAAAUAUAUUAUUUUCAUGCAUAUGGCCAACUCUUUAAAAAAAAAUUAUCAUAUCGUAUUUUCAUACCAUAAAAAAAAUCUCAAAAAUAUUUGUUAGCAUGCAUUUUGGCUUUAAUAACUAGUUUGUUAAAGUCAUGAGAACUAUGCUAACAUUUUAAAAAUUUCAAAAAAAUUAUCUUGUUUUAUUUUAAUAUCCGGGAUUAUGAACUUAAUCGUAAGUCGUACUCCUAAUAUUAAAAUUAGUUUCUUUGGUUGAUAUAGAACGGUUAGGUUUUACCCAAUUAGAUAAUAAUCUCUUUAUCGAGGAAAAUUUUUCUUAAACCAUAGACAGACCAACAACUAGAAAACACAAUGAUACCUUAGCCUAUAUCAGACAAUAAAACAAUGCAGCUUACCUUAGGUAGGGCGUAUUUUGGGUGCUAAUACUUUUUUUUUACGCAAUCAGUCUCCGUACCCGAUCUUUGAGACCAAUUAGGGUUUCAGUUACCAAAAUACUAGGUGGUGACUCUCAUUUUUCCAUUCCACUGAUAAAAGACAAGAUUUUCUUGCCUCCCUAUAUUUGCCAGAUAGACAUACAUGAGAGUGGAUGUUAUUCACCGUGACACCGCACACGUGUCACAAUUACAAUUCCAUUAUAAUUUGUUCCUUAAAAGUAUUCAAAAUAUAGUAUUAGAAUUACGUAAUGCUAGGUUUUAAUAUAUAAUUUUUUAUAUUGUUAAAGAGUCUCUCCUGGACCAAAUAAUAAAAAUAUUGUAUAACUCUUAUGUAUGAAUCGUAAAUCCAGGGAUUGUUUUGGAUCCUGAAUUGGCUGAUUUGAUUUGAAUAUAUUAUAUGAUUAGUCCAUUUAUAGGUUAACUCUACUAUUGCUGCCUUGCAUUGACUUUACUCUGCAGCUAACUUCUCUGUCCCAUUGCUGCCAUUUCAUAGCUAACUCUUUGUUAUAUUUAACUUUCUCUUCUUUGCUUCUUUCUCGUUUUAAUUUCAUUUCUUGCUCAUAACGAUAACUUGAAAGCCUCACGUUCAGAUAGAUAAUCAUUGACCAGUUCAUCCUAUAUCAUUCUAUUUAAUUUAGAAAUGCAGAAAGAAAAACGCAAGCAAUCCAAAGAUGAAGAAAACGAUUCAUCCUCGCGAAAGAGAAGAAAAGCUGACCUCA
RNAcentral lists this long non-coding RNA (252867 nucleotides) under Populus trichocarpa (black cottonwood). RNAcentral's name for it is "long non-coding RNA (PTRI_LNC004300)". The stretch from base 91506 to 91595 matches the Rfam family "MIR478 microRNA precursor family". The record is from RNAcentral. Lineage: Eukaryota; Viridiplantae; Streptophyta; Magnoliopsida; Malpighiales; Salicaceae.